Molecule: long non-coding RNA, 182393 nt
Filed under: Gossypium raimondii (Peruvian cotton)
Lineage: Eukaryota; Viridiplantae; Streptophyta; Magnoliopsida; Malvales; Malvaceae
Description: long non-coding RNA (GRAI_LNC003720)
Rfam family: Plant small nucleolar RNA R71 (bases 15488-15594)
Source: RNAcentral
ACUGAUAAGAAGUGUGAGAUUGAUUUCCGGGAACAUCUGAGGUCUGGGUCUGAUUAUCUCAAGGGAAAUGCACUAGAAACAGGACAUGGAAUUAAAAGUACUCCUGCAAUUAAUUUUAGCCGGGGAAAUGGUGGAACUAGAUACCUUGACCCUAUUAGGGGUACAUUUUUGUCAUCCUCUAAAGCUUUUACGGGAAGUAGUUUCUUUGGAAAGAAUACUAAUAUUCCUGCUAUUGCAAAAGAAAACAAAACUAAUAAUCCUGUAGACCAUGCCCAUGCUUCAGCCAAUAGGAGAGAUUUCUGUCCAUCUGAACGAGUAGCUGGGAAGUUGAGUAUGGAUGGAGAUGAUAAGAAUGUUAAAAUCAACCACUCUGUAAGUUAUUUGACCCUGUUAUUUGAGUUCAUUGUUUUAGUAAAUUAGUACAAUUCUUACCUUUUUGUAUGAUAAUGAAAAUACAGGCAUUUUCUUUUGAAAUUAUCCCAAAUGCAAAGUUACUACAAGGUAGAGUAAACUACUAUGGCUAUAUUAAGAGCAACCAUUAGCCAGCUGGUUCCAGUGCUAAAUGAAAAAUUUCAUGCUUUCCUUGUUAGUCAAUAUAAUUGAAUUAGCAUUGUCACUUUCUUCCAUGUCUGAGGUCCAGCACGUAUUUUCAUGUCUUGGUUUUCAAUGUGAGCCCCGGAGAUAUUGGGACCAAGGCUUGUUGGUUUGGUUGGGCAUACUGCAUAUUUUCCCUGGAAUCAGCGUGUUCUAUUUCUGUAGAAUUUGAUGUUUUCUUGAAGAUUAUGUGGUCUUUGGUACACAUUGUAGAAAUUUAUAUAGAAAGAUACAAUGCUAAAAUAUGGAGUUGUUUAAUGCAGGUGCUUUCAGAACCCCAACUGUGGGCAGCACCUAAAAAAUCUUGGCAACAGUUAUUUACUCGUUCACCUUCCCUUCCUCCAGUCUCAAAUGCAAAUGUUAUUAGUAGACCGACUUUGAAGAAUAAACCAGAAGCUCAGAGCCCACCAUUUCCUAGUCAUUCAACAAUACAGACAUUUGAUAAUCCUAUCAAUUUUGGACUACCAUCACCAUUUAUAUCUAUGUACACAAAUGGAGUCCCCAGCAGUAGUUUAGGUUUCUCACCAGCAAUUGAACCCAUUUUCCCUCGUGCUGCUGAAGGGCUAAGUGAAAUUAUACCAGAAGAGCCAGAGCUCUUUGAAGACCCCUGUUAUGUUCCUGAUCCGGUAUCCUUGCUUGGGCCUGUUUCUGAGUCGCUUGAUAAUUUUCAGUUGGACUUGGGUGCUGGGUUUGGGAUGGACGUGGGAACGGAAAGGCCUUGUGGUUUGAAGAAUAUAUCUGCUUCUUCUGAAAUUAACAAGCCCUCACCUAUUGAAUCCCCAUUGUCAAGAUCACGUUCUGCUACCCCAAAGGCCCAAGAUCUUCAAACUUCUUCUGUGGAUGAUACUAAUGCAAAUGAGAAAAGGACAUGGCAGAUGUGGAGCAGUUCUCCCCUUGGUCAGGAUGGUCUGGGCUUGAUGGGUGAUCCAGCAAGCUGGCUUCUACCACUGGAACAUAAUAGAUCAAACAAGGAUGACCUUUUGCACCUUUCUUCUCAGAAAACUAUGGUGUCAUUGUUUGCAAAAGAGGACCCUAUACUUGCUGGUAAACGAUCUCCUCAGAAGGUUUUUCUUGGUAAUGGCCAGAAUGGUGGUACAUUCAGUCCUGUACCUGGCCUGAGUGAUCAUGAUCCAUGGUUACAGGAUACUUCCUUUCCACCAUUAUGUGGCAGUGAUAACCGUUUUCCUAACAAGUCUCUGGAGGAAAUGAAUUAUGGGAGUCUCAAUGGAUCUGCAGGCACCUAUCCAUUUGAGCCGUCUGCUGCAAGCUGUUGGCCCAAGUGAGUCAAUCAAACAUAUAUCCUACCCUUAAAUGCUAGUAUUUCACAUUUGUCUAUUUUAUUUGUUGAAUCGUUUAAUCAUUGAUUUCGGUGAGAUAUCUUCACUGUUGGCAUUUUAAGUUGGCUCUAAUUGACUGUAGGAUUGUGCCAAUGCAAGUCAUUAGUGUUUUAGAGUUUAGGGUUAGGAAUUGUAGCAAUGAACAUCAUUGAUUUGAUGUUGAGUUUGUAUAUUAGAACUGUUCCAUAAAAGUCAGAUUAUUCUUGAAUCUCAGCAGUAGAAAUGGGGUCGAUCAAAGAUUUCCAAAUUUCUUUUCUUCUACCUUUUGGUUUAUAUUGCAUGCUUCUUUGGUCACUGGGAAGUAAAUGCUGUGGCUUAAAUCUUAGUAUGUGACCAAUUGAGGUUAAAUGGUGCAACUGUUGACUAUCAUUCCAGUUACAGUGUUCUGGUUAUUACUAUAUACUCUGUGUUAAAGAACUUGCUUGUAGUGAAGCUGAUGAUGAUGGUAUCUUUGGAGUUAUUCCUCGUAUUAAUUUGUCUUUUAACAUUAUUGAACUGUUGAGGGUAUAAAUGUAGUGUUUGUAUCCAUUCACUGAAUAAUCCAUCUGAAAAAAUGGGCUUCUGUAAUGCAUUUGUAACUCAUAAUGGUUAUCUAACGUUUGGGGGGUACUGUUUUCUUUUGGCAGAAAGGAAUGGGGGGCUAUGCAAGAUUCAGAACAACCAGUUGGAAAGUCUUCUAUUUCAAGGCCCCAUGUUGGCGGUUUAUUUGACAACCAGAUGUACAGUCACUUUGGUAAUUUGAUUGAAAUAGAAAAAGAAAAGUGACACAUAGCCAAUUGGAGGAUUGACUCGAUGCAUGCUUUGAAACAAUAACAGCUCUUGAUCCUACUUUGUCGGUCAUAGUUAGAUUUGCGGUAUCUAAAGUGUUGGUAGUUCGGUAGACUUGAAUAUAUGGUACGUGGACUCAGAUAUGAUUGAUACGGGUAUAAUUUUUUUUCUUAUUCGGGUGAUAUCUACAUGGUUAUAUUUCUGUAUACAUGUUCAUGUUCGAAUAUGCUUAGAACACAAUUAGUAGGAGAAAUUUCAAGAAAAUUGAUAAGUGGAUACAAUCCUUGUACAAUCCUGAUAAAGAGAGAUCCAGAGAUGACUGUCUCGAUUGACUUAAGAGUUAUCAAUUGGUUUAAAUAUGUUGAUUUUUUGUACUCUUUUAAAAUUUAAAUUUAAAUUUUAGUUUUAUAUUUUAAUUUUUGAGACAUUGAAUAUUUUAUAUAUAUUUUUAUUUGAGAAAUUUCUAGUCUUUGCGCUUAAUUUUGCAGUUUAAGUCAUUGAUGUAGCAGGGUUUUUAUUAUUAUUAUAGAAAAUUGAUGUAGCAAUUGAAAAUCGUCAAAUAACUUUUAACUUUUAACGAUCACAGUUUAUUAAUUUGGUGUUUAUUUUUUAGUUGCAUAAAAAAAUUUAAAAUUAUAUUUUUAUAUUAUAAAUUAAAAACAAUAUUUUCUAAACGAUUCAAAAAAAUAUGAAAAAAAUUAAAAAACUUUUUAAAAUUUAAAAACAAAAAUGAUUUAUAAUAUUUUUAAAAUUUUAAAUAUAUAUAAUAAUUUUAAAAUUUAGUGUUGUUUGAAUUGGAUCGAAUUGGUCGGUUAGAUCGAUUAGAUUGAGAAUCGGUUGGGGUAUCAGUCUAGUGAGAGGUGAAAAAUGCGUUGACCUGUGAACCAGUAGAGACUAAUUGAACCAAACUAAAAACGGUUAAAUUGAUUAUUGGAUCGAUAAUUAUAAUUUUUGAAUUUUUACACUUUUUUGAGUUCUUUUAAUAAUGUAUUUGUUUUGUAUGGUCAAACUGAGACAUAGUGGUUGGACGGGUUCGACCAUCGGUCUAGUUCUAAAAACAUUGUCAAAAUUUUAAAAAAUUAUGAUAUUUUCUCCUUGAAUUAAUAUGUGUUCAUGGUUUUGUAACCCAACCAAUUCGAUGAUCUUGACUUGUUCCGAGACGGGUUUAGGUUUAUAUUUUUAACUUUUGGUUGACUUGACUUGGCCCAUUUCACUAUUUAAAACAAUAAAAUAUAAAAAUUUAUAUUAAUAUUAAUUUUUAUAAUGAAAUUUAAUAUAAAACAAUUUAUUAUUAUUUUAAAUAGUCAAAUGGAGGGGCGAAAUAAACUUGAAACUAAAAAUUGUUUUAAAAUUGAGCCUCAACCUACCAUCAUCCAUGAAUGCCUCUAAUGGUAAUAAAGCCUCUCUAAAGUGUGAGCUAUUCAUUCAUUCCAUAUUAAAUCAUAUUUGAAAAUAUUUUUUUAAUUAAACUUAGAUCAUUUAUAUAUCAUAAAUAAUUUUAAUUAAAGUUAAUUAUAAAGUAUGUUAAAUAUUAGUGUAAUAUAAUUUUUAAAUAAGGAUACAAAUUCUAAAUUAAUUCCAUUUAAAUUUACAUAUAUUGUGUAAAGUAUGUUAAAUAUUAGUGUAAAAUAUACUAUAUAAAAAUUAUUAUGUUAAAUAUUAGUGUAAAAUAUACUAUAUAAAAAUUUCAAGAAUUAAUUCAUUACCUUUGUGUUUUGCCAAAACAGGGUCCAUUUUUAUAUAAAGUUCUUUUAAUAUAGUGUAUUUUGAACAAAAAUUAUAUUACAAUUAAUUUGAACAGAUUUGGAGUAUGUAUCAUUAUUUAAAAAUGAUUUUAUAGUAAUAUUUUAUAUAUUUUAUAAUUAAAUUUACAUAAAUAUAUAUAAUUAAAUUGAUUUAAAAUAAAAAAAUAUGUUUAAAUUUUAUUCCAUUUGGACCGAAUGAAUAACUCAAAGUUUGAAGAUACCUUAUUAUCAUUUUUGGAGUAAAUAACACAUUUUUGAAUUUUUGGAAAUUUUUAUAUUUUUAAUUUUUUAAAUUAUUUGAAAUGAAUUUAAAAAAAAUAUUUUUUAAUUUAUAAGAUUUUUUUAUUUUUUUCACAAUUUUUUUUAUUUUUUUUGAAAGUGUGAAAGAACUUUUAAUUUUUAAAACAUUUUUUGAAACUAUAUAUAUACUUUAAAAGAAUAAAGACUAAACUGACAAAGAAAAGGUAAAUGUUAAGGGCUAAAAAAAAGUUAUUUUACCCUUUUUUUUUAAUAAUAACUACAUCAACAAUUUUAACGGAAAAAUUGAAGGGACCAAAUUUUUUAAAUAAAAAGUAUAAUUGUUCAAUAUCUAAAACAUAAAAUAGAAAAAUAUAAAUUUUAAAAGAAUAAAUGAAUCUUUAACAUAUUUAAACCUUUUCAAUUUGGGUUCAGUUGAAGUAGAUACACGCGAACUCAGAGAAAUAAAAUAUAAAUAUAAUGAGUAAUUGUAUAAAUAUUUUUAGAUUUAGAUUUUAUUUUAUUUAUAAUUUUUUUUACCAAUUGGUUUGAAAAUUAACUAUUUUUUUUUGUUUUUCUCUUCGUUUUUAGGUCAUAAAAUUUUUGUUCUUAUUAUGUUUUCAAUUUAUUCUACCCAUUUUUGCAUUGUUUUUACUUUGGCACUGAUUUUAAAGUUCACUAUAUAUAUAUAAAAAAAAAUUCUCUUCUACUAAAUUAAAAAUUUCAUAUUUAUUACUUUUAUUUUAAUGAUGUCAUCUAAGUUGAUAAUUUAAAAUACAAAAUUUAAUGAUAAAAUUAAAAAUUUAUCUAUUCAUUAUAGCAACAAAAAGUUUAUUCGUUGCUAGAAAAUUCUUCUUUUAUUUUGGUUGAUAAAAAGAUCUACAAACUCAAAGCCAAAAAAAAAAGAAAAAAAGAAAAAAAAAAGAAAGAGUAGCUAAUGACAAAAUUUUGCAUGUUGCUAGAAAAAGGCCAUUAUGGUAACAGGACUUCUAUCUCUUGCUAAAUGUAUUAAUAAAGAUAUUAACUAUAGUGAUGAAAUUUGUUUCAUUACAAGUACGAAUUACAACAGCGAAAAGUACUCGUCCCUUUUAUAGCGGCAAAUACUUUAUCAUCACAAAAGUUACAUUUUAUGUUGAAAGGAAUUUUGCUCGAUGCUAAAAAGUUUGUACAGUUAUGAUAGCUAAUUGCAAGAGAUGGAAGAACUUGUCACUAUAACCAUUUUAAUGAUGAAAUGCCUGUAAUUAUUGAAAAGGCCGUUAAUAAUAUUCUUAUUUUUUUUUGCUAAGAGUACAUUUAUAGAGACAUAAGUUGUUCGUGCUAAAUGUAAAAAUUUGAAUUUUAGUGAUGUUGAAAAAUGUAGUUUUGGAACCCCAUUUGCGUAAAUCGAAUCCGUAAAUAUAAAAUGGAAAUAUUUACGGGGUAAAUAUGAAAUUAUAGUAAGGUUUGGUUUAGUAAUUUAACCGAAAAAUUAGUUAAUUAAAGCUUAGGGACUAAAUUGUAAAAAUCUAAUUGCUAUUGAAUUUUAAUUAAGAAAAGGAUUGGGGACUUAAAUAGUAAUUAUCCAAGGGCCAAAAUGAUUAUUUAACAAUUUUAUAUCAUGAAUUAGUGGAUUGUUUCCACUAGCUUAAUUAAUAUGUCUAUAUUAGUAUAAUAAAGCUUAAGUAAACUAAUUAAUUAAAGUUGUUUAGCAUAUAACCUUAAUAUAAAAGCUAAGUUAGUCGAAGAAAAUGAGUAUUCAUCUUUUUCCACCGUCCCUAACAAGAAAAAAAAGGGAGAAUACUCCAUUUUUGGAGCUUAAGCUUCAUCAAGGAAAUUUUCAAGUUCUUGUAUUUUUUUUAUAGAUUUAUGAUCAUGGGAGCUUACCCUAGCUAGCCCAUGUAUCAAUUUGUCAAGUUGUUGAAUUAGCAAGUUUCCAUUACUAAAAAAUUGAUGAAUUAGUCUUGAAUUUGAUAGAUAUUAAGCAUAGAUCAUGACAAGGACUAAAUUGUAAAUUUAAAUAAGUUUGUUAGUUAACUUUGUAACAUUAGGGAUGUAACAUACCAAACUCGGCCCAGUCGUUAUGGCCAAAUUCAGAAAGCUACAUUGGUCACUGGAAUGGCCUAAAAAAACUUUCUUGAUUUCAAACGUAUUUUUUAAAACCAUUUGCAUAGUUCGUUCAAAACUAGUAAAAUCGAAUGUUCAACUUUAUUUUCAAUCUCAUUCCAAAAACCAUUUGUCCACGAAAAUGACCGAAAUAAACUUUUGAAAUUUUGAAUUUUUUUAAAACUAUUGGCUUAUCAAUUCAAAACAAUGAAAUAAAGCAUUUAUUUUUAAUUUCAUAAAAAUAUUACAAAUUUCAGGAAUCGAAAUAAAUAAGAUCUCAAUUGUAAAUAUUGAAUCAUUUAUUCAAAAUUAUUUCGGAUUUUCAAUCAUGCUUCUAAAUCAAUUGUCUUUUUAUUUAAAAUUGGAGAACUUGGUUAUUCAUCAAUAUUUUAGAAAUAAAAGCAUAUUAACUUCAUAAAUCAUAUGUCUUAGAGAACUCAUUUGUAAACAUCAAUAAUUUUGAAAACUAAGUUUAAUUAUAUUAAAUACUCAUUUUUCAGAAAUGCAGCUCAUUUUUCAGAAAUGCAGCGGAAAAAUGUGUUAUUGAUAGAUUCUAUUUUAAAAACCGAGUUUCAAGCAAAAUCUUAUCAAAUACUAAUUUAUGCAGUUUUUAAAACUUAAUGUCAUGCAAGCAAUUUAUGCAAAUCAAAAUGAAAAAUCCCCAAAAUAAAGUCCCAUAAAGUUAUUAAAACAAACCCAAAUCAAAUUUCAUAAAAUGAUAUAAAGUCCAUAAUUUAAAAAGUUCACUUCCGAGAGCAUUACCGAAAAUCCGCAUCUGAGUCCUAAUUACGAGGAUUACCUAAAACAUACACAUAAGAUGGGUGAGCUUACAAGCCCAGUGUGAGACCAUCACAAAAAUAAUCACAUACAUAUCAAAAUAUAAAUCUCAACAUAUCAAUCUUCAUAAUAAUCACAAGCUCUAACACUGAUACUUAUGCAUGAACAUGUCGAUCCAUAUUUUAAAACGAUGCACAUUUUAUAAAAUUUCCUACCCAUCUCUGCUACACACCAAUAUCGAGUUUCCCAGAACCUGUCCAUCUAAAAACACACCAUUUGUGGACAAGCCACCACAUAAUUGCCAAUAACGACCAUAUAAUCGCAGAUAAACUGCCACAUAACUUCCACCUUUCACAAAACCCACCCCAUGCAUGUGAUAUGACCAUUUUCAAAUUUAGCACAUAUAAUCACAUUUCGCAUUUCUCAUGUAGUCAUGCUCAUAGUCGCAUAUUUCUCAAUUUUACACAUUUGCAGUAAACAUGCUCACAUUUUCAUAUAUCACAUAAUAUUCACUUUUGAUUCACUUUAGCAUGCUUUAAUAUAUUUUCAUAUUAAAUCAUGGAUCUGAUCACACACACAUAUAUAUAUAACACAUAUUUAGAUCAUCACAUAUCAAUGAAGCUAUGUAUUACAUAAGAUAAAGAUGAGAUUUGCACACAUAUCAUCGUCACAUCACAAAUCAUAGUUUUCAUGGAUAAUAAUUUUAGGAACACUUGGAAUUUGUAACACCCUAACCCGUAUCUGUCACCGAAAUAGAGUUACGGAGCAUUGCCUUCAAACUGUAACAUAAAAACAUACAUUUCCAAACAUUAAUAUAAUCAUAGCACAAAUCAUUCAUUCACAUGCUUAAUGUCCCUUAAUUGAGCCCUUGAGGCCCUAGAAACACUUUAGAAAUGAUUUGGGACUAAAUCGGAAACAUUUAGAACAUUUAAGAAAAAGUUGGAAAAAUUGAACUACAGGCCGUGUGACUCACACGGCUGAGACACAUGCCCGUGUCUCAGGCCAUGUAACAAUCGCAAUAGGGACACACGGUCAUGUCCUAUCCCGUGUUCGUGCUCGUGUAACUUUUGAAUUUGGGUCACACGACCAAGCCACAUGCCCAUGUGCCAGGUCAUGCAACUCUCGAAAUGGCCUCACAUGCUCGUGUGCCAGGCCGUGUGCUAGGCUGUAUAAUUACCUGACUUGAAUGCCUUUAAAACCUACAAGGGACAUGGUCGUGUGUCACACACAACUGAGACAUACGCCCAUGUCUUAGGCCAUGUGGACAUGAAAUUGGCCGAAAUCAAGCCAUUUUCUUCACCUAUUUCAAGCUUGUACCUAAACAUAAUUUGUGCACAACUUCAAGGCUUCAAAACCUUACCAAAACAUGCACAAAAUGACUAUUUCAAUAGACUAUAAAUCCAUUCAACCAAUAUGCCAACAAGGCACCUCAAAUCCAUUCAAUCAAAUCUUACCUAAACAUAGAAACAUUACCACAAUUCAUGAAUACACAUCAAGUCCAAUACCAUUCAAAACUUACCCUAUUUUGAUCACUUUAAAACUAUUCCAUCACAUACCAUAUUGACCAUUGAAACAUGCAUUAAAUCUUAGCCAUAUAAACUCAUAUCAUCAAUGCAUCAAACAUACCAAAAGUAUAUUAACCAAAAUGACAUAUACAAGCCAAACGAUCAACCAACAUCAAACAUAAGUCCACCUAUACAUGCCAUUAUAACCUUGACCAACACAUCAAAACUACUGAUAUAAUCGCUGGAUAGUAUGAUAGAUCUCCGACGAGCUUCCAAACCGAUCAAGCUUCCGAUUAUCUAUAAAACAUAGGAUAGAAAACUACAUAAGCACAUAAUACUUAGUAAGUUUGUAUAAACUUUAAACAUCAUAUUCCAUUUCAGUGAUGAACUUUAUAGUAUAAAUAUAAACCUAUACCAAUGCCACAAGAUUUAUCAAACUAUAUAACCAUCAACUCACAAAUGAGUAAGUCCAUCAGCAUCACAUAUAUUUUUCAUUCCUAAAAUAAUAGGAUUUAUAAGACAUAUUGCACAUUCAUUAACCUUUUCAUAAGACUAUGAACCACUCCAUUUACUUACUUUCCAUUUCAUUUACUUACUUUCCAUUCCAUUUACUUAGCAUAAGCUUAAAUAACAUCAUCAAUUCACGAAUUAGUGUGUUUAUUCAUGACAUAGAUAAAUUCAACCAUAGCAUAAGUAAAUUUCUCACAUAUAAGUAAGUCCUUUAACUCAUCAAUUCUUUUAUAUCAUCAUAUUACAUCUCAAUUAUGAACUUACCAUUUCAUUACCUUUUCUUACCCGUAUCAUUUACAUAAUACAAGACAUAAACAUAAACAUCAACCAAUUACACAAGCUUGUCACAAACCUAAAUAUCAUCAUCAAUACACAGGCUAGUGCAUUUGUACAUAACUCUUUUGGGAUCAACCACAUGAUAAGCCAUUUCAUAAGAAAAAUAUAUCUUUUGAUUCAUACAACCUUUUUAUGAACAUAAGCAUAUUUACAUUUGGUCACUUACCAUUUCAGCGUAUAUAAUUAAGAAUAAGCAUGAUAUAAUCCAAACCUAAGCUUGACACAAGCCUAAGCACCAUUAACAACACAUGUUAGUGCAUCAACUCAUAAUUCACUUGAAUUAACAUAAGGUAAGUCAUUUUACAUGAAAAACUUCAUUUAAAAUCAUCAUUUUCAUGAACAUAGGUAUACUUUUAUUGAGCAUUUCCUUUUCAAUCCUUUUCAUAGUUUCAUGACAUAGUUCAUUUGAACACUUACCGUUCCUUUCCUUUUCAUGCCCGUUAAACCACUUAGCAUAACAACGAAUAUGCGGGAAAGCUCACAUAAAGUGUGCUAAACAUAUAAUUUUUCCUUUCCUUUUCCUUUACAUCGUUGCUCACACGAGCUAUGAAAUGGGUCUACUCACACAAGCUGACGGUUGGAUAUAAGAUACGCAAUGCUGCUCACACAAGCUGUUGAGUAUCCACAAUAAAUGUAAGACCUCAGCCAUCGGUAGGACAUUCAAGACCGGUGCCCAAAACAUGGUAACCUUAAUGACAUGUUAUUUGUAUCCUAUGAAUUCCUAAGGUUCAACCGGGACUUGAUAACCGUCAAUUCGUCAUAAUAUGGACACAUUCAUAUAUAUAUUGAUUCGUUUACAUUAAAAACAACAAAAUAAACAUUCAAUUUAAACAAAAUUAUACCGAGUACAGUUCGUAUGAACUUACCUAGCUAAAUUGCAGUAAUGACUAAGUAUAGGGGCUAUUUGGUAAUUUCCUCUUCUCCUCGAUUUUCCACUCGUUCUUGAUCUAAAUUAAAAUUUUCAUUCAAUUUAUUAAUUUAGAAAGCAAAACCAAUUCAUUUUAUGUAAUUUAGUCCUUUUUGACAUUUUUACAAAAUUGCCCCCAAUAUUUUACUUUUAUUCAAUUUAGUCCCUAAGCCUAAAACAUGAAAAUUAGCCAUUUUUUCUCAAAUUUAAGCUUAGCCAAAUUUAUUGGGACCUUACUACAACUCAUAUUUUUUGUUAUUACACAUUAAAUCAUUGUACUUUUUCUAUUUCAACAAUUUAAUCCUUAAUCGUUAAAUUCAUCAAAAAUCACUUAACAAAAUACUCAUAAAUAACAACUAAUACUUAAAUUUCAUCAUUUAACAUUUAAAAUCACAAAUAUUCAUUAAUGGUAAAAUUCAAAAUCUUUAACAGUUUCAAAAAUGAAGGUACGGGCUAGUUGGACCUAGUUGCAACGAUCUUAAAGGCAUAAAAAUUAUUAGAAACAAGUGAAAAAUAGCUUACCAUGAAAAGAUAUAACCAUGGCCAAACCUUGAGUAUAUUUCCAUGGAGGUUCGAUAAUGAACAAAACAAAUGCAGAAGAAAACAUCAUGUUUUUUCUUCUUUUUAACCUUUUUUCUUUAUUUUAAUAAUACAAUAGCAUAUAAACAUAUAAAAUUAAAAGAAAUUAAAACUUAACUCGUCCACCAUCUUAAACCGUCCUUAAAUUGAGACUUAGAUUCGAUGCCUUGAUUAUCACACUAAGGAUCUCCUGGAUUGGCGUUGUUUGGUCCUUCAAAGAAUAUAGGAACAAAAUGUUAACACAUGAAAACAAACGUGUCUUAACACCAUUCAACUAUGAGGAAAAACAAUAGAGAGGAAAGAAUGUUCCCAACGCCCCUCAUGCAUUUACACUACUUAACAAUACUACGAUAUCGUUGAUAAGUCUUGACGAAGGAGUGGAGAGGUUUAACAAUCUACAAAAAUAUAUGAUCGAUGAGUCUUGGUCACAAAAUAAAUAAAAUAGGAUGAUUGAAUCCUUAGAAGAGAUGGAGAGAUCGAAAGAGAAAAAAAAGGGGAAAAUCGAAACUUGAUGGAAAAAAAUGAAGUCUGUGGCGGCGACGAUGGUCUGGCGGUGGUCCAAUGAGGUGAGAAAAAGUAUAAAAAAGUGGGAGGGUUCAGUCACAAUAUUGAGAGAAAAUAAAAAAGAAAAAUAGUGGCAGAGAAAGGUUUUCCAGCGGUGGUUCACGGUGGCAACGGUGUCGGUGAAGGGCAGUGAUCAAAAGAAGAUAAGAGGUGAGAACCUUGGAUGAUGGUGUGGAGGUGGUGAACCUAUAGCUCAUGCUGGAAGAGUUUUAGAUGAUGGUUGUGUUGGAUCGUCGGCACCCCUAUGGGGCAGCGGAAAAAUUAAAAAUUCGACGAUCCUAACCACGGAUCCAUGUGUGAGGAACGAAUCGGGGUGAUAAGGAUUACGAAAUUACCGAAUGUUUAUUCUGAGUAGACAGCAACGCCUUAACAACGAGUAGUCUGAUCUGCUAUCUACCAAGCCGCAAUCUAUCGUGACCCCGGCCUCUACGUAAUCCACCCAGUUGAUUAUGAACGGAAGGAAUCCCCAGAACAGUUUUGAAAAGAAUUUUCUUUGACGGCUACUAGACCCAAGCAAAGAAAAAUGGGAUUCGUAUAUAUCUUUUUUUAGGGUUUCUAGAAAUUAAAAUAAAUAUAAUAAUAUUUUAAACCGAAAAUUAUAAUUACAUUAAUUAUAAUAUAAUUUCGGUAAACCAUAUAUUUAUUUGAAUUUAUAUACUGACCAAAUUUAUGUUCUUAUAAUGUGUACAACAACCUUGUACAUAAUGUGUUCGAUAUUUGAUUACCCAAUUAAAUUAAUUCUAUAAUUAAUUUAAUUCAAGCGACAACCAAACACAAUACCAACUAUGUUUUAUUCUGUUCAUUUCAACUAUAGGGUGUGACCCUGUAGGUUCCUGUAACAUUAGUAGUCAUACUAGAACAAUUCCAAUGUUACAAACAAUGAGUGGCAUCUAGCAAUGCAUCAUUGCUACCUAAGUCACAAGAAAUCAUGAUUCGAUAUAACCUUUUUAUGAUUAACCUUUUAUGCAGUAAUCCUUAAGUUCUUUAUCUCUGGAUUGGACACAAGUCAUGGAAUACUCACACUUGCAUAGUCCAUUCCAUGUUCCUUGAUAUCUUAAGCAGACUACGAUAUACAAAUAAGUAUGACAUCUCAUAUCAACUUAUUUGAGCAUGGCCAUGCAUUUCUAGUCUCACUCAAUCAAGUGGCCUAAGAUAUUACUCCCAUUAUGUAGGAGGGGCUUAUCCUAUCUCAAUCAACCAUAUCCCUCUACAUAGAUCGUGGUAUAUCCAACAUCAGCCUUUAUAGAACAACCAAUUACAGUGUACAUUUGAUUGUAUCAAAAUAUACAACUCACGAUGUUGGGAUUAUGAUGAUCUCAAGUCUGAGGAUCAUAUACAUAUUAAUCACUAUGAGUAAUGUUGUGACAAUUACAUAAUAAUCCAAGAAACAUACUCAUAACGGGUCAGUCCAAUAUGUUGUUCUCUAACACACAUAUUCAUGCAUCGAUUUUGACAUUCCAUAUCAAUGACAACUUUGUAUCAUCAACCAACUACAUGUUAGUCUUAAUGCAUUAUCGUUGUCCUAUCCAACAAUAAUACUUGACUAAGGAACUUUUAAGAAUAAUCAUAUUAUUCUUAAGACAUUAUUAUAAAACAGUUUAUUUAUACAUACAGAAAAGAAACUAAAAUAAUAAUGGUAACACCUUAUAUUAAUAAACAUGAUAAAUCAAGUAUGUUAUUACAACCAUCUCAUGAUUGAUCUUUGGGCAUACUCUAACAGGUUGAAGGUGGUGGUUAUUUGUCAAAAAGGAGAGAAUGAAAAAGGAAUAAAUGAAAAAAAAUAAGAAUAUAGAAGCAAAUGAGUGGUAUGGAUGGCAAGGAGGUGGAGUAAGCUUGGUCAACUGUGACCAGGUUCAUUGAACCACAACAAAAGGCAAGAUAUGAAGUUUUGGAAAGAGAGGGAAACAUAGAGUGAAAAAAGGAUCAUGUUACCCCAACAUAUGGUAAGUUGGACUCAUAAAGAGGGAAAGGAAUCCUAUUAAACAUGGUAACAAUGGGGUGGACGACAAGCACAUUAUGCACAUGUGGUAGGUCUAGGCUCAUCAGUUUCAGCUUCAUCCUCGUCCCCUUCAUUUUCAUUCGAUAGCAGCUCCUUUUCAUUAGGUGCAAGUCCUUCCUUUCUUUAUCAGGCUCUGUGAUCUCAUUAAUAAGGCGAUAAAUUAGAAAUGAAUAUAACAUAAGUAAUUAAAGAUAAAAAUAAUAAGAACAAAAUUAAAGUAAAGCAAUUAAAGAAAAGAAAAAUAGAAAAUAGUUUUUUACACUUUUUCCAAUUCCGCAACGAUUUGAAGUUGCUAAGUCUCAAAGAGAUUGAGUUGCUUUUGCAACUGACCGAGUGAGUUGAGCAUUUGUUGCUUAAACAGACUUUUGGACAUAGAAUAUUUUUGCUGAGGCAAACGUCUUGCAAACUUUUCUUCCAUUGCCAUUUCUAGCAAACCAAUGGCCUGACAAUCUUCACUCUCAUCAACACAUUUUAGGGCGUCGAAUAUGUUGAAUGUAACCUAUUGAUCAUUCACCCUCAUAGUCAAUUUUCCUUUGUACACAUCAAUUAGCUGAGAAAAUAGUGGAGGUGGUCAUCCUUUAGGUUGCUGAUAUUGUUUUGCUGUGGCAUUUUUGUUGGCAACCUGAUCUGAUUCUACCACAACAUUUUUCUGCUGACCAUUUUUAGUUGAUGUAUGCUUUUCAGUUGGUUCUGAGAUCUUUUGAUGAUCGAGUCUUGAGUCGUGCUUUUCUAUCAUGGCAUCUUUAACAACUUCAUUCAGCUGAGUUCCACUUUUGAGAGCGAUCGCUCUGCAAUGCUCUUUUCCUUGUGAUCUCGAAUUAUCAAUAUCACUUGGUAAAGCUCUUUGUGGUCUCGAAUUUAAAGCAUUUGCUAUCUACCCCAGUUGACUUUCAAGAACUCGUAGGGACACAGCUUGACUCUGGAUUGCAACAUCAUUCUUAACCAUGUACUCCUUUAAUAGAACUUCCAUAUUUGAUGUUGAAGAUGACGAAAUUUGUUGCACAUUUUGCCAUGGCAUUGGUUGAUUAUAAUUAGGUGGUGCACUAAUAGAAUUAUGUCAAACAACAUUACUUGAAUUUCCCAAUCCUUGAUUACUCUAGCUAAAAUUUGGAUGUUGUUCCACCCUGGAUUGUAGGUGUUGGAAUAUGGGUUGUUCCAAUUGAAAUUUUCCAUGUAAUAUACUGAUGCCGGGUUCGAUGGGCAUUCAUCAAAAAAUGAUCUUCCCCACAAUAGACACAUGUUAGGUCGGUUGCUUUCAUUUCCUGCACUAAAGCUGGUCUCUUCAAUGUUUUAAUCAUAUUAUUUAGAGAAGAUACCUGAGUAGUUAAUGAAGUGAUCGCAUCAAGUUCCAUAGCUCUAGCAACUCUUUUACCAAUACCCACUCUUAUAGUUGGAUAUUGAUAAUCGUUGUUAGCUAUCCUUUCUAGAAUUUCACAUGCCUCAUUAUAUAAUUUAUCUAGCAAAGUCCCAUUGGUAGAUGCAUCAACUACCAUUCUUGUAUGGGCAUUCAAUCCAUUAUAAAUAAUUCCAUUUGUGUCCAGUGUUGGAAACCAUGCAUUGGGCAUUUUCUAAUUAGUUCCUUGAAACGCUCCCAUACUUCAAAUAAUGUUUUAUCUUCCGAUUGCCUAAACGAUGUAAUAUCGUUCCUAAGCUUGGCAUUCAUGUUGGGAGGAUUGUACCUAAGUAGAAAUCUCUGACACAUUUCAUUCCAAGAUGCAACCGUACCUGAUGGUAACACAUUCAACCAUGAUCUGACACGAUCUCGCAAUGAAUAAGGGAACGAUUUUAAUCUAAGGGGUUCUUCAGGGACACCUUGCUACCUGAAUGAGUCACAGGCUUCAAGAAAAAGUUCCAAGUGCAAUCUUGGAUCUUCAGUAGGUAAACCACUAAACUGCCCUAUGGUUUGUAGCAUCUGAAGCAUUACUGGUUUUAAUUCAAAAUAUUCAGCUUGAAUAUGUGACCUAAAAAUUCCUGGAUUUAGAUAAUCCAAAAUAGGCACUACAUGUUCUCUAAUGGGUCCGCCUUUGUCAUCUAUGAUUCGAGGAAUAUCAGCAUUCCUUUCAUUCUGAAGUACUUGAUCUUCUCUAUUGGAUCAUUUCUAAUUCUCUCCAUUUCUCUUAACUCUUUUCUUCUUCGCCUUAAUGUCUUUUCAAUUUUAGGAUCAAAACAAUGUUUUGUAUCCUCUUGAAUACUUCUUCUCAUGCACUAAUACAAACCUGAAAAAUAAAAUAAACUAUUAAUUAACUGCUCUAACAAAAAUAACAAGAAAUCAACUUUUCACCAAUAUUACUGAUCCAUGACAAUGACGCCAAAAACUUGUUGCGUAUAAAUAACUAAUGCAAUUGUGCAAGUGUACACAUCAUUGAAGUAAUAAAGUGAUAAGUAAGUAUCGUCUCCACAGGGAUCGAAAAUUGGUAAGAAAUUGAGUAAAUUAUUAUAAUCCUAUUGAUUAUACUGAAUAGUAGGAAAUAUUCUCAAGUUGAACAAAAUGUUUGUAUAAUGAAUUAAUGAAAUCAAAUGCUAAAAACAAUGAAUUGAUAUGGAAAAUAAAAUGCUGUGGAAAAUUACAGAGAAAAUAAAGAGUAUUUCUAUUGUUGAAUGAAUAGGGCUGUAAUUAUUAAGGCGAAAUGUUCAUAUCAAAAUAAUGCCAUGGAAAAAUAUUGUCUAAUAAACUGCUAAGAGAGUCAGUACUGUAACUUGCCUCUUUCGAUAGCUAGAUCUUAAGCUAGAAAUCUAAGUUACUGUAUGUCUAUAGAACUUUGGAUUAAUAACUACAAUGAAUGUUCUUCUCUAUACAACUCACAACGUCUAUGUCUAGAGUGUUACGAAUAUUUUGUCGAGUAUUCGCUUGCAUCAAACGAUUCAAGAUCCAAUAUAUUUGAUCUUUUUAGAAUUAAAAAUAAAUCUAAGAACACAUCACACAAUCAAGUAUGUCUAGAGCUUGCAUACAUGUAUUUAAGAUAAACAUAAAUCGAAUAAAAUAAUGACAAAGGCAAUCUCAAUUCAUGGGCUUUAAAGAUGAUAACAUAUUCACCCAAAUAACUCCAACCUAGAAAAGAUUUAGCUCAUAAGUGGAAAGGUUAACAUCAAAAUAAAAUCAUUCAUCAACAUCCUCAAAUAAGUUUGAAUAAUAGAAAUAAGAAAAUAAAAGCAGAAAUGUAGGAAUUCUUGCCACACUCUAGCUUAUCUUUGAUCUUCAGAUUGUACGUGAAUCCAAGAUAGCUGUCUCUCUCCUUUUUCUUCACGUCUGUAUUUUGCUCUCUAAAGAUGCUACCUUUUCUUUCUUUGGAAUUAUCCACCAGCUUUUUUUGGAGAGAAAAUUGAUCCCUAAAUUGUCUCUAAUUCCUCUCUCCAAAAAAUCCUCCUCCCUUUUCUUUUCUUUUCUCAUCUUUUAUAGGGCAGGUCCCCCUCUUUCAGCACACAAUUUUCUUCCUCUUUUUCAGGUGGAUUUAUCUGGUACACGGAUAGCUAGCUAAGAGUUACGAAGACUGAGUGCUGUGUCAACAUUAUCCUGGAAUUGCCAUGACAUUUUUGUUGGCAAUCCAUCCAACGUUUUGCCAUUGUAAUAUUUCACUUCCUUUACUCUGUUCCUCCUUUUUAUCCUUUUCUUCAUCUUUUCUACACCUGCUGCAUACAAUAACCAAUUCUCUUUCUCCCAAUAGGAAAAGUAACAUAAAAUGACAUUCAAGGCAUAAUUCAACGUUAUUAUGCAAUGUUAUAAAAAUAACCUAAAAAUGAAAAUAUAUCUACUUAAGUACAUGCAGUUAAUCAAGUUUAGAGGCUUGAAAUAUAACUCUUUUCAAGAGUUAUGAACAAGCCACCACUGAUAUGCAUAUAUACUGCCAUUGCUUCCACCUUUCACAAAAUCCCACCCCAUGCUUGUGAUGUGGCAAUUUCACUUUUAACACAUAUGGAUCGCUUUUAGAAUUUUGCAUGUAAACAAGCUUUCAUAAACACAUAUCGCAUAAUAACCACUUUUAACAUGUUAAACAUGUUUUUUCACAUUAGAUGAUAGAUCUCGAUUUGUCAUAGACAUAUAUAUACAUAAGUCGCACAUGUUUAAAUCAUCACAUAUAUCACAAAAGCUAUACAUCGCAUAUCAUGAGGAUAAGAUCUAUGCAUACUUUAUAAUCAAAUCACAAUCACAUUAAUCAUCAAACAUUUUAUAGAAACACUCGGUUAGAGUCACUUACAUGGUGUUCAUCUUGAUAAGUUUUUCAACUCUUCAUGAUUAUUUAGUGUACUCAUGAUUUAUUAUUAUUGAAUUAUUAAUGUAAUAAAAUAACUAUAUCAUACAAAACAAACGGUAACGAUCCCACACCUUAUAUUGUAGAUCCGAUUGCCACAAGCUUAUUAACAAUUUCACUUGAUCAAUCUUACAAGAUAAUCUAACACAUAAGUAACGUUUAUUAAUUAGAAUCCUUUGAAAAUAUUUUACCACUUAAAAGAUUCGAUUACUGAUAGUCUCAACAACACUUACCCCAUGAUCUAAGACUCUCGAAAGGAGGGUUUCCAAUGCGAAGUUAGGGGUCUCCCCUAUGAAUAUCGUUUAUCCCUUCAAAGUUGAUAUGAAAUUGUAUUAGUAAGAUAAUAAAUUAAUAAUAAAAUAUUAUGUUGUUCUUGUGGCAUUAUACCAUUCGACCAUGACAAGAAAUUACUAAAAGAAAGAUUUUACGAUCAAAAUAACCCACACUUACACUUAAAUAAAUCAGAUUGGACGAUGAGUCAAAAAAGGAAUGAAGUCGAUGAAUUGAGUGAUCUAAAAGGAUUGAUAGAGUAAAGAGAAUAUGAGUUUUUAAUCAUUUAUAAGAAGCAACGAGUGAAAGAGGAAGAGAAAUUAAGAAUUUUGUUCACUGAUGGCAGCGAUGAUGACGGCAAUGGUGACGACUCAGCGGUGGUAGAGUGGCAGUCCAACGGUGAAAGGAAAUAGGGGUUUCAGUGCAAAAGAGGAUGAAUAAGAAAAAUAAAUAAGAAUGAAUGAGAAGAAAUAUAGGAAGAGAGGAAUAUGCAGUAGCUCAUAACGGCGGUCACGACAUUGAUCGGCGAUGGUGGAAAAAGAAAGAGAGGGAAAGGGCGGUGUUAUGGUGGCUAAAAGGUGUGACGAUAGUGGUGCUAUAGUUGGUUGUGGUGGAGGAAAAGGAAAGACUAAAAUAAAGUAGUGGUGAUUAUUUUGCAAGAGAAGAGAAAAUGGAUGAAAAAAAAGUGAAAAAGUGAAAGAAUGGAAGCAAUAGGUAGGUAGGGACGACAAAGGGUGGUGAAAGCUUGGUCAACUGUGACUAGGUUCAAUGAACCACAACAAAUAGACAAUAUUAAUGGGAUCAUGGAGGGAGAAAAGGGAUCAUGCUCCCUCAACUUAAGGUAAGUUUGACUCUAAUAGAGGAAAGAAAUCCUCCUAAUUAUAGUGGCUAUAGGGGUGGAUGGCAAGCAAUAAAACACAUGGAAAAAAUGUCUAAAAAAAUUAAAUGAAAGAGUGUGAACACUAGGACUUGAACCUUGGACCACUAUGAUAGUUAAGUAGUCAAUUUAACCACUAGACUACACAUUCCCUUAUUAUCAUUCUUGCGUACAUAUUAAUAAAAAUAUAUGAGAUGUGACAAAAGUUAUCCAAGAGGAUGACAAGUAUCAAUAGUUAGUGGAUAGACUCAACCAUGUCGAAUCUACUUCUACACAGUCUAUGCAUGGAAGAGACUUAUCUGCCAUAAUUCAGUGUAGCAAAUUAAACUAGUUUUCACACUUAAGGAGCUUGAAUACAAGUAUUUCUAUUAAAUUUUAAGUAAGUUUCUUUAGUUUUACUUAUAUCUAAUAAAAUGUGUGAAUUAAGUCUUUUAUUGACCUUAAAGGCCAAAAGAGGCCUAAGGGAGAGCUAACAUACUUCGUGAGUGUACAAGAGACCAUUAGAAGGCAUUUUAAGCUCAUACUAGAUGCUAUGUCACAACACGGGAGGCUCAAUGUCGUAAUAUGGAGAGCAGAAUAGAGAAAGUAUGAAACUGCCUUUGAUGUCACGACAAAGGUCCUGGUGUGUUGCGACAUCGACUCUAGGAUAGAAAUUAUACACAAAGCAGGGAUGUUUUGAUCCACACAAGUGAACUUGAAGCUCGAGAACAUAAGCUGACCUACGGUUAAGGAUGAGGACCAUCUGAAGGUUCUAAAUAGACUCCUUGAGCACAUGGCAUGUGCACCUUUCCAUUAACCUAGUUUCUUUCUUUAGACUUGGUUUUGUUUUCUUUCUUUCUUAGGUUUCCUAGAGUUUAGUUUAUUUUGUAGUUGUUUUCUUUCAAGAGAUCUGAUUUGUGAAGAUGACCAAAUUCUGUGGAUUUGUGUUAUUAUUUAUAUCAAUAGGCUUUUCUUAAACUCUCCACUUUGACUUAUUCACCAUGUUUUAUUCUUCCAUCUAUUCCAUAUUGUUUAUGAAAUCCAUGAGGAACUAAUCCUUAUUAUCUAGUAAUUGUUUUGUAGGGUUACACCAUAGAUCAGUUGUUUAGGAAAGGAGGAGCAUGAAACAAACCCUAAGCUUGACAACCCUGAGAAGUCAUCAAUAUGGGAAUUAACCCAAAAUUGGAAUUGCCCAUCUGUGAACACCGUCACCUUAAGCCAGUUUGGACGGUGAGGUUGAAAGAUAAGUAGUCCUUGCUAACUCGUAAUGUUAGUGGAAGAUUGAAAGAUCCUUUUAGGGUAGGGACUAGUUGGUUGACGAGGAACCCGAAAUGUUAGUUGAUAUUGUCGAAGCAAGCUAAUCACCCAUCAAACCUCUUAUUUACAUUUACGUACUAUAACUUAAUUAAAGUAUUAAUUAGAUAUUUUAGUGUGUAGGUUAAAAUUGAUCCAGUCUUCACCUCCCUUGGGUACGAUUCUCAGAGUACUCACCCACUUCAUUGUAAAAUUAGUCUAGUUUUCCCCAAAAUGGUAAUGACUACCUUGUAAUUUUAUAUUUUAUUACAAUAUUCACACAUUAGACGUUAGUACGUUUAGAGGCAGUUAGAGAAAAACCACUCUUCCACUAUCUCAACAACCCUACUGAGGAUGUAAAUUACAUUGGAAAUAGGGGUGGAAACCCUUAUUUGAAUACGUAUAAUCUCGAUUGGAGAGAUCACCCGUAUCUGAGAUGGGGAGGAAACAAAGGAGGAGGUAAUAGUUCAAAUCAAGUUAGAAAUACUAAUUACCAACCUCCUUACUUGCAAAAAACCCAGGAUAGGGCCAACUUGAGUGACAAUACUGUAUGUGGUCAACUUUUGGAUAGAAUAGAAUGAAGGAUGUCCAUGAGAGUGGACGUCAAACAGGUGCAGUUUGAGUGCAUCAACUCAACUAGAACUUUGACAAAGCUCAAGGAUUAGAUUAGCCAAUUUAUGAGUAUGAUGGGGGACAUCAAAAGAGAAAUUGGCAAGGGUAUUCCUAGCAACAUGGGGGAUAACCCACGGAGAGAAGGUAGAGAGCAUGUAAAAGUAAUAUCGCUCCAAUCGGGUGAAGUACUACAUAGCCCAGAAAUACCUACUCUAGAGGUAUGUGUGAAAAAUAUUGACGAUCCUAAAGAUAAAUCUCUCGAGGUAAAAAAUGAAUCUAAAUUUGAGGAAAAAAUUACACUAGUGGCAGAGAUAGAAAAUUGAACACCUAAAGAUGCCACAAUCACAAAGAUCCCAUUCCCUUCGAGACUUGAAAAACUAAAGCGGGAUGAGGAUGAGAAUGGAUUUGUAAGCUUUUUAUUUAAGACAUUACAUGUUAACCUACCUUUAAUUGAAUUGAUUGAGAAAGUCCCUAAGUAUGACAAGUUUUUGAAGGAGAUGAUGUCUAGGCGUAAGAAAAUUAAGGUACAACAAACUAGUCUAAGUGCUUCCUGUAGUGUGAUUAUUUCAAGAUAGGUCCCUCGAAAACUAAAACACCUGAGGAGUUUUACUAUUCUGAUAAAGAUAGGGAGCAUUCAUUUUAAUAAAGCUUUAUCUGAUUUUGGAGCUAGUAUUAAUUUAGUGCCUUUAUCAAUUUUUGACAAACUCGGGUUAGGGGAUCUUAAAACAACUCAAAUAGCAUUACAAUUGGCUGAUAGAUCUUCAGUACAUCCAAAGGGAGUACUAGAAGAUGUGGUAGGGUGUAAAGUUUUAUUAUUCUUGCAGAUUUCGUAGUACUUGAUUUUGAGGAAGAUUGUGAGAUACCGAUCUUACUAGGAAGACCUUUCUUGGCUACUUCUAGAUCCACCACUGAUUUAAAGAAAAAUGAAUUAACUAUGAGAAUCAAUGAGGAGACUGAAACUUUUAAAUGUGGCCACCAGCUGAGCGAGGAAGAUAGGAGGAAAUUAGGGGAGCAUUGCAAAAAUUUAUGUAUCUUUAACAUUCCCAAGUCAAAGGAAACACUUCCUUUUAUGAAUGUAGAAAGAAUAAACAGAUUCAAAGAACGAGACAAGCAAGCAAAGGUGGAAUUGCACGACGUACAGUGGAUUAAUACUGAUAGAAUAAAGAAAUCGUCCAUGGGUGAAUUGACAAUACUUCUAGAUGGAUCUAACAAUAUCACUUAAAAUAUGAGAAUUGCUGCGUGAUAUUUGUAAAUUACUGUAUAUUUAACUAAUCACCUAGUUUAGAUUUUAACUUUUAUUUGAUGUAGGUUGAUCUUUAAAGAGAAACAUCCUUAAAGUUGGAGUUUUAAGCUGAAACAGAGUCAGUGUCACGAUAUCGCCCCAACAAGUCGUGACAUAGCAGAUAGUUUCCUUCAGACUUCUAAAUUGUUAGGCAUGUCACGACACAGAACCCGUGUGUCACGACAUCGUUGUAAUUUUCUGCAAGGUCAACUCGACCUAAUCGUGCAACCUAGUGGUUUGUCCCUUAAUUUACCCGAUUUUAACACAUUAAAUCAUUUAUUUUCUAACCUAAAACACCUUAAAUCUAUUACUAAACCUGGACUAACCUUUCUUAGAUUCAUAUUUUGAAAACACCCUCUUAAAAUUGUAAACCCUAAACCCCCAAUCUCUCAAAUAUUUUUCUUCUUCAACAAAACCUACAAUCAUCAUUAGAGCAACAAGGAACGGGAAUACCAUGUGAAAACAAGAAAUCCAAAUGACCUCCAAGCAUAUAACUAUUAAAAAUAGGUGUACCUCUGUCAUUCACUGAGCAAUCAAUAAAACCUUCUUGAACUAUUAUCGGUGACAACUUGUUCCAACAUUAAGUAGAGCUGCGAGCCAAACAAAUAAAGGAUUGGAGUAAGCGACAAUAAGAAGCGAGGGAUACAUCAGCGUUGUCACAAAGGUUGACAUGAGCUCAACAAGACAUCGAAGAAAGUAGUCAUGUAACACCCCUUACUCGUGUUCCUUGCCGAAACAGAGUAUGAGGUAUUACUAGAACUCAAACACUUAUAGAUUUUAUUUUAUUUUUUUUUGAAUCUUUACCAAAAUUUCGGCAGUAUUUCUGCUUAUUUUUACAUAAAACCCUCUGCAACUUUCCAAAAACAAUUUCAACCACUUCAUAUAAUCCAACCAAAAACAGAUGUAUGAUCAAACACAAUUUAUUUAAUAAUGAACACCAAUAUUUUAAACCGAAACACAUAUAUUUGUUUACGCCACAAUACAUAGAGUCGUCUAUACAUGCCAUGUUUCCCAAAAUAUGAGUUGCAAAAUACCCCAAGCGUUGAUGAUAGUGUGGAUGAUUAUCUGACUCCGCCCAAUUUUUGAGUUAAUUGAUGUCACUAUAACCAAGGGGGAAAAAAAACGAGUAAGCAUAUAGCUUAGUAAGUAAACAUAUGAUAGAUAAAUAAAUUCUCACAUGAUUACACCAUAGUAUAAUUUUAAUCACAAAUAAAUUUCAUAAUUUGUUCAAUUUCCAGCAAGCUAUUUUUCUGUGUCAUAGUCACUAAUUUAUUUUUAUCUAGAGCUACAGGGCUCAAAAUUGAAUUCCGUAAAUUUUACCCAAAAUUAGGUUCAUAUAAAUUUCCACCAUAAAAUUUUCAGAAUUUUUUGUUCGGCCAAUAAGUACAGUUUAUUCUUUAAACCUUCCGCUGUUUCACUGCCCAACAGUCCUGACCUCUCAUUACUAAAAUUCACUUAACUCCCUGUAAAAAAUUCAAAAAAUCUUCUAGUUUGUUUCUAUUAAAAAUAGACUCAUUUAGUAACCAAUUCAUAUAAAUUUCAAGCCAUAAUUAUUUUUUUACAAUUUUUGGUGAUUUUCCAAAGUUCGAACAGGGGAUUUCGAAAUCAAUCCAUCCCUGUCUCAAAUAAAUUCAAAUAUCCCCAAAUAUACAACUCUUUUGUUUUCUAUGUUUAUUUCAUAUGAAAAUAGACUCACUAAGAUUUAAUUUCAUAUAUUAUUCAACCUCCAAUUCAUUUUCCACCAUUUAUGGUGAUUUUUCAAAGUUGUCCAACUGCUGUUGUUCAAAACAGUUUUACAUUUAAAUUGUUUCUUUUGUACUUUUGAUAUUUCCUCUCAUCUUAUACAUGGGUUGAUUAAGUAUCAAACCCAAUAUUCCUCCCAUAAACUUUUCCACCAUAUAUAAAUAUUCACCUUCCCAAUUUACUCGUUGAACACUCGAAAUGUUAACCGUUAUCAGUGGAUUCAGCACUUAGCAACCACCAAUGAGUCGGGGAAUUAGCACUUAGCAACCCCUUUCACAUUUAAGAUACAGUGGGUUCAGCACUUAGCAACCACCAAUGAUUCGGGGAAUCAGCACUUAGCAACCCCUCGGGGGAAUCAGCACAUAGCAACCCCUUCACAUUUAAGAUACGGUGGAAUCAGCACUUAGCAACCACCAAUCAGUCGGGGAAUCAGCACUUAGCAACCCCUUGGGGGAAUCAGCACUUAGCAACCCCCUUCACAUUUAAAAUACGGUGAAAUCAGCACUUAGCAACCACCAAUGAAUAGGGGAAUCAGCACUUAGCAACCCCUUGGGGGAAUCAGCACUUAGCAACCCCCUUUUUAUUCAAUGUAAUCCAGCCUAUUCCGAGUGUUCAACCGGAAACCGUGUUUUUCACCACUUUACCACCCUUCCCCACUUAGCCACAUUUUUAGUAUCCUUGCCAAAUAUUUAUUCUAUGUUCAAAUAAAUCUCAACAAAUAUCAAUAAUAUCAAAAUAAUGCAUUAUUUCACAUGUUUACUUACCUCGGUGCAAAAUAUCGUAAUUUUGUAAUUUACUCCACUACUUUCUCUUUUCCCCGUUUGAGGUAGUCUUCUCAUCUUUCUUGAUCUAUAAUGGAAAAUUUAGCUCAUUUAAUGAUCACAUUUAUUAAAAUAAUCCUCCACCCAACUUUUUGAAAAAUUAUAAUUUUUCCCCCAAACUUUUGCAUAUUUACAUUUUCAUCCCUAAGCUCGGAAAUUAAACUUCAUCUCUUAUUCUUAUGUUUUAUGACAUGCUGAACAUUUUUCCCUUCUAUGACAACAUCAAAUUCUCACUCUAACACACACUUUUGAACAUUAGGUAUUUUUAUCGAUUUUGUCUAUUUACCCGUUUUCGUUUAAAAUCGCUUAGCAAAAGUUGUUUAACAUAAUUUCUAGCUUCAUAUUCCACCAUAAAACAGCAAAAUAAACACAUUUCACCUAUGGGUAUUUUUCCAAAUAUGAACCCUAGCACGAAUUAUUGCUAGAAUAAGCUAAAUUAAGCUACCGAGACUCUAAAAAUGUAAAGAACAUUAAAAACGGGGCUUGGGAUCACUUACUAUGGAGCUUGGAAGCUUGAAAACCCUAACUAUGGCUUCCCCCUUGCUGAUUUCGUUCAACAUGAAGAAGAUGAGCAUAUUUUGCCAUCUUUUUCCCAUUUAAUUCUAUUUAAUUACCAAAUGACUAAAAUGCCCUUACUUAAAAAAAUUCUAUUUCACUAAUCCUAUGCCCAUUUUUGUCCAUCAACUAACUAAUGGUCUAAUUACCACAUAAAGACCUCCAAUUUAAAAUUUCAUAACAAUUAGAUACCUCUAAGAUGUAGAACUCAACUUUUGCACUCUUUAGAAUUUAGUCCUUUUGACUAAGUUGAGUGCCCAAACGUCGAAAUUUUCGAACGAAAUUUUUACGAAAAUUUUCCGUGAAAUUGUAGACCAUGAAAAUAUAAUAAUAACCAUAUUUUCCCUCGUCGGAUUUGUGGUCCCGAAACCAUUGUUCCGACUAGGCCCAGAGUCGGGCUGUUACAAUUCUCCCCCCUUAGGGAUUUUCAUCCCCUAAAAUCUUACCAGAAAAGAGGUUUGGGUACUGUUUCCUCAUAACUUCCUCCGGUUGCCACGUAGCCUCUUCCAUUCCAUGUUUUUGCCACAACACUUUCACUAAGGCUACACUUUUAUUCCUUAACUGUUUGACUUCUCGAGCCAGAAUCUUUAUCGGUUCCUCCUCAUAAGUCAUAUCCGGUCGAACUUCAAUCUCUGUAGGAGAAACUAUAUGUGAAGGAUCCGAACGAUAACGUCGCAACAUCGAUACAUGAAAUACAUUAUGUAUCCUUUCCAACUCUGCCGGUAAAGCUAACCGAUAAGCUCCAGGUCCAAUUCUUUCAAUAACUUCAUACGGUGCCAUUCGUAUACUUGACUGAUAGCUGUUGUUAUAAGCAAAUUCAACCAAUAGUAGAUAUUGUUCCCAACUGCCUUCAAUUCUAAAAUACAACACCGGAGCAUGUCUUCAAGAACUUGAAUUACUCUUUCUGAUUGCCCGUCAGUUUGCGGAUGGAACGCAGUACUAAAGUUCAAUUUUGUACCCAAGGCUUCCUACAAUUUUAUCCAAAACCUCGAUGUAAACCUCGGAUCUCUAUCCGAUAUAAUAGAUUUAGGCACCCCAUGUAAUAUCACUAUUUCAGCAACAUAUAACUCCGCCAACCUGUCAAGUGAGUAAUCAAUGCGUACUGGAAUGAAAUGGGCUGACUUUGUCUGUAUAUCAACAAUUACCCAAAUAGCAUCUUUCUUCUUUGAAGUUAAAGGCAAUCCUGUCACAAAAUCCAUCGUGAUACUGUCCCACUUCCACUCUGGGAUCAUUACCGGCUGAAGUAAACCCGAUGGUACUUGAUGCUUAGCUUUCACUUGUUGACAAAUUAAACACUUUGAUACAAAUUCCGAGAUAUCCUUUUUCAUGCCCGGCCACCAAUACAAUUUCCUCAAAUCAUUAUACAUUUUCACACUACCUGGGUGAACUGACAAAUUACCACUAUGUGCCUCACAUAAAAUGGUCUGAAUUAACUCAUCAUUUCUCGGUAUACAUACUCUAUCCCGGAACAUCAGGCAAUCAUCUGAACCAAUUUGAAAAUCUGAGUCAACACCUGCUUCACACUGAGCUCUCCUGGCUUGCAAUUUACUGUCAUUCUUUUGAGCUUCCUGAAUUUGUUGAAGAAAUAACGGUCUAGCUCUCAUUUCAGCCAAAAUUGAACCAUCAUCCGAUAAAGUUAAUCUCGUACUCAUAGCUCUCAAAGCAAAUAAAGAUUUUCUGCUCAAGGCAUCAGCAACCACAUUAGCUUUCCCGGGGUGAUAAUCAAUCACUAAUUCAUAGUCUUUAAUUAGUUCGAGCCAUCUUCGUUGCCGCAAAUUCAAGUCUUUUUGACUCAUUAAAUACUUCAAGCUCUUAUGAUCAGUGAAGAUUCGACACUUUUCACCAUACAAAUAAUGACGCCAAAAUUUUAAAGCAAAAACAAUGGCAGCCAAUUCUAAAUCAUGCGUCAGAUAAUUCUUCUCGUGCGGUUUCAGCUGUCUUGAAGCAUAAGCUAUUACUUUGCCCUUUUGCAUUAACACACACCUAAGACCAUUCAACGAUGCAUCACUGUAAAUUACAAACUCCUUCCCUGACUCAGGUUGCACCAACACUGGCGCCUCAGUCAACAAUGCCUUCAAUUUCUCAAAACUUUGCUGACAUUUAUCAGUCCAUUCAAAGUUGACAUUCUUCUGUAGUAACUUAGUCAUAAGAGAAGCAAUUAUCGAGAAUCCCUUGACAAACCGUCUGUAAUAGCCGGCUAAGCCCAGAAAACUUCUAACCUCGGUCACAUUCUUUGGUGGCUCCCAAUCAACAAUUGCUGAAAUUUUGCUUGGAUCAACCAGAAUACCUUCACUUGAAACUAUAUGUCCCAAGAAUCCAACUUCGCGAAGCCAAAACUCACUUUUACUGAAUUUAGCAUAUAAUUUCUUCUCCCUCAAAAUCUGCAACACAGUUCUCAAAUGUUCUACAUGCUCGGAUUCAUCCCGUGAAUAAAUUAAAAUAUCAUCUAUGAACACUACCACAAAUUUAUCCAGAUACGGCCGAAAAAUUCGGUUCAUUAAAUCCAUAAAAAUAGCCGGAGCAUUAGUCAACCCAAAAGGCAUUACCAGAAAUUCAUAGUGUCCAUACCUCGUUCUAAAAGCGGUUUUUUGCACAUCGGACUCUUUAACUCUCAACUGAUAGUAACCAGACCUCAGAUCGAUCUUUGAAAACACUGUUGCCCCUUUUAGUUGGUCAAACAAAUCAACUUCUCUAAUCGGAGGUAACCCAGACAGCUCCUCUAGAAAUACGUCUGGAAAUUCACAAACUACCGACACUGAUUCAAGCUUCGACCUAGUUAUACCAGUAUUCAACACAUAAGAAAUAUAGGCUUCACAUCCUUUUCUCAAGUAUUUCUGAGCAGACAUGUGCAAAAUCACCAUAGGCAAUUUAUUCGACUCCUCUACUUCAACCCGGAGAAUUUCACCAUUUUCACAUUUUAAUUCUAGAAUUUUCUGUCUACAAUUUACCUUGGCAUCAUGCAAUCUCAACCAAUCCAUCCCCAAAAUAACAUCAAACUCAUCAAAUGGUAACAACAUCAAAUUAGCCGGGAAACAGUGACUUCGAAUCAUCAAAGGACAAUUCUUGCAAAUCUUAUCGACUAAGACAUACUUGCCUAAAGGAUUUGAUACUUUAACUACAAAUUCAGUAUUUUCAAUGGGCAAUUUCUUACUAGAUACCAAAUUUACACAUACAUAUGAAUGAGUAGAACCAGGGUCAAUCAAAGCAACAACAUCAAUAUCAUGAAGAGAAAAUGUACCAGUAAUCACGUCGGGAGAUGAUGCAUCCUCACGAGCACGUAUGGCAUAAGUUCUGGCAGGCGCUCUAGUUUCUGAUCUCCUAGCUGUAUCUUUUACUACACUUUUACCACUGGCUUUGCUCCCAACAUUCCUCGGUGGUCUACCUCUACUAACAAUAUCACCCGAUCCAGCUCUUUGUAAUAUUUCUUCCUCUAUUCUCUCAGGGCAAUCUUUUAUAUAGUGCUCUUGAGAACCACAUCUGAAGCAAGCUCGUUUAAAUCCCCAACACUCACCAGGAUGUCGCCUGCCAGACUGUUGACACUCAGGUCUGGUAUUCCCCACACUGCCCGCACUGGCCACUGAGGUAGCUUGAGUUUUAGCUCCAGAAUAUGGUUUCCAUCGAUCUCUACGUGAAUACCCAGAUAAACCAGUUGGUCGUGGAUCCAUCCCUUUAAACUUCUUCGGUUUAGAUUCAAAGGUCCUGCUCAUUGACCUUUUUCUUACAUCUCGAGCUUCCAUCUCCGCUCUUCUCUUUUCUUUACUCAGUUCUUCAGCCUUAUAGGCUCGAUCAACCAAUACUACAAAUUCUUUUAACUCUAAAACCCCAACAUGCAAUCUGAUAUAUUCGUUUAACCCCUCUUCGAAUCUUUUACACAUAAUAGCCUCUGUGGGCACACAUUCCUGGGCAUAUUUGCUGAGCCUAACAAACUCCCGUUCAUAUUCUGCCACUGACCUUCGGCCCUAUUUCAAUUCGAGAAACUCCUUGCGUUUCUGAUCAAUAAACCGUUGGCUUAUAUAUUUCUUCCUGAAUUCCUCCUGGAAGAAGUCCCAAGUAACUCUUUCUUUCGGAACCACCGAUAUUAAUGUUUUCCACCAACGGUAUGCUGAAUGCUUCAGUAAAGACACAGCAGAUUUCAAACAUUCCUCAGGAGUACAGGAUAAUUCAUCAAAUACCCGGAUAGUAUUUUCAAGCCAAAACUCUACUUUUUCCGGAUCAUCGUCAACAUUAGCCCUGAAAUCUUCAGCCCCAUGCUUUUGAAUUCUGUCAACUGGUGGUUUACUUGAUCUUACCAACCCAACACUUUGUGGAGCUACGGGGACGGUUGAGGAAUAGGAGGGGGUGGAGGAGGUGGAACAUUCGGAUUUGCACGAACAUAUUGUGUAUACCAAUCAGUAAUCAUCCGAAGGAAGGCUUCCCGAGCCUCAUCCUGGCUAUGUAUCUCAUGUCUACUCUCUUCACGCGCGGUCCCUUGUGCGGGAGCCGGCGCGUUACUUUCAACAUCAUCUGUCAUACUUCGGUCAGGAUCCAUUUACUAUAUAAAACAAAAUUUUAAAUUGUCAGAAAUCAUCACACUAUCACAAUAUAAUUAUGGCAUGUAUAGACUGACUUUCACACAUAUUUUAUUUGUCCGAGAACCGACUAAACCUGGCUCUGAUACCACUAAAAUGUAACACCCCUUACCCGUGUUCCUUGCCGAAACAGAGUAUGAGGUAUUACUAGAACUCAAACACUUAUAGAUUUUAUUUUAUUUUUUGAAUCUUUACCAAAAUUUCGGCAGUAUUUCUGCUUAUUUUUACAUAAAACCCCCUGCAACUUUCCAAAAACAAUUUCAACAACUUCAUAUAAUCCAACCAAAAACAGAUGUAUGAUCAAACACAAUUUAUUUAAUAAUGAACACCAAUAUUUUAAACCGAAACACAUAUAUAUUUGUUUACGCCACAAUACAUAGAGUCGUCUAUACAUGCCAUGUUUCCCAAAAUAUGAGUUGCAAAAUACCCCAAGCGUUGAUGAUAGUGUGGAUGAUUAUCUGACUCAACCCAAUUUCCGAGUUAAUUGAUGUCACUAUAACCAAGGGGAAAAUAAAAAAAAACGAGUAAGCAUAUAGCUUAGUAAGUAAACAUAUGAUAGAUAAAUAAAUUCUCACAUGAUUACACCAUAGUAUAAUUUUAAUCACAAAUAAAUUUCAUAAUUUGUUCAAUUUCCAGCAAGCUGUUUUUCUGUGUCAUAGUCACUAAUUUAUUUUUAAUUGGAGCUACAGGGCUCCAAAUUGAAUUCCGUAAAUUUUCCCCGAAACUAGGUUCAGAUAAAUUUCCACCAUAAAAUUUUCAGAAUUUUUUGUUUUUCCAAUCAGUAUAGUUUAUUCUUUAAACCUUCCGCUGUUUCACUGUAAAAAAUCAAACAAUCUUUUAGUUUGUUUCUAUUAAAAAUAGACUCAUUAAGGAACCAAUGCAUAUAAAUUUCAAGGCAUAAUUAUUUUUGUACAAUUUUUGGUGAUUUUCCAAAUUUGGAACAGGGGAUUUCGAAAUCAAUCCAGCCCUGUCUCAAAUAAAUUCAAAUAUCCCCAAAUAUACAACUCUUUUGUUUGCUCUGUUUAUUUCAUAUGAAAAUAGACUCACUCAGCUUUAAUUUAAUAUAUUAUUCAACCUCCAAUUCAAUUUCCACCAUUUAUGGUGAUUUUUCAAAGUUGCCCAACUGCUGUUGUUCAAAACAGUUUUAUAUUUAAAUUGUUUCUUUUGUACUUUUGAUAUUUCCUCCCAUCUUAUACAUGGGUUGAUUAAGUAUCAAACCCAAUAUUCCUCCCAUAAACUUGUCCACCACAUAUAAAUAUUCACCUUCCCAAUUUACUCGUUGAACACACGGAAUGUUAACCGUUAUCGGUGGAUUCAGCACUUAGCAACCACCAAUGAGUCAGGGAAUCAGCACUUAGCAACCCCUUUCACAUUUAAGAUACGGUGGGUUCAGCACUUAGCAACCACCAAUGAUUCGGGGAAUCAACACUUAGCAACCCCUCGGGGGAAUCAGCACAAGCAACCCCCUUCACAUUUAAGAUACGGUGGAAUCAGCACUUAGCAACCAUAAAUGAGUCGGGGAAUCAGCACUUAGUAACCCCUUGGGGGAAUCAGCACUUAGCAACCACCAAUGAAUAGGGGAAUCAGCACUUAGCAACCCCUUGGGGGAAUCAGCACUUAGCAACCCCCUUUUUAUUCAAUGUAAUCCGACCUAUUCCGAGUGUUCAACCGGAAACUGUGUUUUUCACCACUUUACCACCCUUCCCCACUUAGCCACAUUUUUAGUAUCCUUGCCAAAUAUUUAUUCUAUGUUCAAAUAAAUCUCAACACAUAUCAAAUAAUAUCAAAAUAAUGCAUUAUUUCACAUGUUUACUUACCUCGGUGCAAAAUAUUGUAAUUUUGCAAUUUACUAUACUACUUUCUCUUUUCCCCGUUUGAGGUAGUCUUCUCAUCUUUCUUGAUCUAUAAUGGCAAAUUUAGCUCAUUUAAUGAUCACACUUAUUAAAAUAAUCCUCCACCCAACUUUUUGAAAAAUUACAAUUUUUCCCCCAAACUUUUGCAUAUUUACAUUUUCAUCCCUAAGCUCGGAAAUUAAACUUCAUCUCUUAUUAUUAUGUUUUAUGACAUGCUGAACAUUUUUCCCUUCUAUGACAACAUCAAAUUCUCAGUCUAACACACACUUUUGAACAUUAGGUAUUUUUACCGAUUAUGUCUAUUUACCCGUUUUCGUUUAAAAUCACUUAGCAAAAGUUGUUUAACAUAAUUUCUAGCUUCAUAUUCCACCAUAAAACAGCAAAAUAAACACAUUUCACCUAUGAUUAUUUUUCCAAAUAUGAACCCUAGCACGAAUUAUUGCUAGAAUAAGCUAAAUUAAGCUACCGGGACUCCAAAAACGUAAAGAACAUUAAAUACGAGGCUUGGGAUCACUUACUAUGGAGCUUGGAAGCUUGAAAACCCUAACUAUGGCUUCCCCCUUGCUGAUUUCAUUCAACAUGAAGAAGAUGAGCAUAUUUUGCCAUCUUUUUCCCAUUUAAUUCUAUUUAAUUACCAAAUGACUAAAAUGCCCUUACUUAAAAAAAAUCUAUUUCACUAAUCCUAUGCCCAUUUUUGUCCAUCAACUAACUAAUGGUCUAAUUACCACAUAAAGACCUCCAAUUUAAAAUUUCAUAACAAUUAGAUACCUCUAAGAUGUAGAACUCAACUUUUGCAUUCUUUAGAAUUUAGUCCUUUUGACUAAAUUGAGUGCCCAGACGUCGAAAUUUUCAAACGAAAUUUUUACGAAAAUCUUUCGUGAAAUUGUAGACCAUAAAAAUAUAAUAAUAACCAUAUUUUCCCUCAUCAGAUUUGUGGUCCCGAAACCACUGUUCCGACUAGGCCCAGAGUCGGGCUGUUACAAGUCAUCCAAAGCUUGAUUGGAUGAUACAGUGUAUGUAAGAGUUAGGACCAUGAUUCUAAGAAUUUGUGAGGCAAAAUAACACUGGGUCCCAAAUUAUACACCUAACAUGUUUGGGCCAACAAGUAUUUGUUAGGGUAUGCCCAAAGAUCAAUCAUGAGAUGGUUGUAAUAACAUACUUGAUUUAUCAUGUUUAUUAAUAUAAGGUGUUACCAUUACUAUUUUAGUUUCUUUUUUGUGUGUAUAAAUAAACUGUUUUAUAAUAAUUUCCUGAGAAUAAUAUGAUUAUUUUUAAAAGGUCCUUAGUCAAGUAUUAUUGUUGGCUAGGACAAUAAUAAAGCAUUAGGACUAACAUGUAGUUGAUUGAUGAUAAAGAGUUGUCAUUGAUAUGGAAUGUCAAAAUCGAUGCAUGAAUAUGUGUGUUAGAGAACAACAUAUUGGACUGACCCGUUAUGAGUAAGUUUUUUGGAUUAUUAUUUAAUUGUCACAACAUUACUCAUAGUGAUUAAUAUAUAUAUAUAAUCCUCAGACUUGAGAUCAUCAUAAUCCCAACAUCAUGAGUUUUAUAUUUUGAUACAAUCAAACGUACACCGUAAUUGGUUGUUCUAUAAAGGCUGAUGUUGGAUAUACCACGAUCUGUGUAGAGGGAUAUGGUUGAUCGAUAUAGGAUAAGUCCCUCAUACAUAAUGGGAGCAAUAUCUUAGACCGCUUGAUUGAGUGAGACUAGAAAUGCAUGGCCAUGCUCAAAUAAGCUGAUAUGAGAUGUCAUACUUAUUUGUAUAUCAUAGUCUACUUAAGAUAUCAAGGAUCAUGGAAUGGACUAUGCAAGUGUGACUAUUCCAUGACUUGUGUCCAAUCCAGAGAUAAAGGACUUAAGGAUUAUUGCAUGAAAGGUUAAUCAUAAAAGGUUAUGUCGAGUCAUGAUUUCUUGUGACUUAGGUAGCAAUGAUGCAUUGCUAGGUGCCACUCAUUGUUUGUAACAUUGGAAUCAUUCUAGUGUUACUGCUAACGUUACAAGAACCUACAGGGUCACACCCUAUAGUUGAAAUGAACGGAAUAAAACAUAGUUGAUAUUGUGUUUGGUUGUCACUUGAAUUAAAUUAAUUCUAGAAUUAAUUUAAUUGGGUAAUCAAAUAUCGAAUACAUUAUAUGUACGAGGUUGUUGUACGCAUAAUGAGAACAUGAUUUUGGUUCGUAUAUAAAUUCAAAUAAAUAUAUAGUUUACUGAAAUCAUUAUUAUAAUUAAUGUAAUUAUAAUUUUCGAUUUAAAAACAUUUUUAUAUUUAUUUAAUUUCUAGAAACCCUAAAAAUAGAUAUAAAAUCUCAUUUUUCUUUGUUUGGGGGUCUAGCAACCGUCAAAGCAAAGUCUUCUCCAAAACAGUUUUGAGGAUUCCUUCCGUUCAUUGUCAACAGGGUGGAGUACGUAGAGGCCGGAGUCACGAUAGAUUAUGGCUUGGUUCGAUAGUAGAUCAGAUUACUCGUUCCCGAGGCGUCGUUGUCUACUCAAAAUAAAGAUUCGGUAAUUUUGAAACGUUUAUUUCACCCCAAUUCGUUCCUCACACAUGGAUCCAUGGUUAGGAUCGCCAGAUGUUUUAUUUUUCCACUGUGCCAUAAGGGUGCCGGCGUUCUAAUAGUAUCGAGCGAGGAGAUUGAACAUGAAAGUGAAGAGAGUGAAGAGGAUGAUAGGAGGGAGGUGAUGAAUUUUGAGGAAGGAGAUUGAACAUUUUCUGAAGACUUGUAUUAAUUUGUGGAGGUUUUUAAUUUGGACUUUGUAGGAGUAGGAUUAAUAAAUAGAUUUUUCAUUUUGUUGCACUUUGUUAAGUUUUCUAUGUAGGAACCCAACUCGAAGGAGACACAAACAAUUCAAGCUUCACAUAAUUAAAAGAGAAAGCACCCACCAUUAACCAUUAGAGCAAUCAUGAUCAAUCGGGUAACUUCUUUCCUUAACUUUUUAUGGGCUACACAUUGAGGACAAUGUGCCAACUAAAGUGUGGGGGGGUAACAUAGGGAGUUUGUUAUAAUUUUUUCUUUGAUUUUUCUUGUCUUUUGUGUGCUUGAGCUUGUAGAAAUACAAGUAAUUGGUUAUAAGCAUGUACAUACGUUGUUUGUGUUUAUGAAUAAAUUUUGCAUGAUGAUAGGUGAUUUUAAAUUUUUGAGUAUUAGACUACUAACUUCUAUAUGUCACACCGUAAUAGGCAUUAAGCAAUUGACUGUACCAAGUGAUAUAGAAAAUACAAGGAAAUGAGCAUGUUAGUACAAAUGAUAAAAGGUUGAAUUUGUAUUUGUUUGGUUGAUUAGAUUUGUGCAUAUUGAGAUAUUUAGGGAUGACGUAAGGCAUUUUUGGAACGCAUCUAGAGCCAAAAAGCUGACCUAUUUAUGUUCACCUUUAGUACCAAUGUUUGAACCUAUUGACACAUCUUGAUGACCUAAAAUAUCCUUAUAGAUGAAUGGACAUCAUAUUGAACAUAUGCAUAAAUGAUUAUUUGUAUUCUGCUCGGGUAAUCAAAGUACUUGUAUGAUCUGUUGAUAGAUUCCUAUAGAUGAGACGCUUAAUAAUUGUAUACUUUGUAACAUUUUGAACUUAGAUGUUAGUGGUCAAAAGUGGUAAGUCAACUACUCAUCAUGUUAAGAUUGUUUGUAAAUAUGAAAUGCAUAAGUCAUAUGCUCUUAAGUCAAUACUUGUAUCAUAUUUGCUCAAGGGUCAUCAUUUUAUUGUUUUCGUUUAUGUUGGUUGAGGACAAGCAAUGACUUAAGUGUGGGGGAGUUUGAUUUGUCAUAAUUCGGUGUAGCAGAUUAAACUAGUUUUCGCACUUAAGGAGCUUGAAUACAACCAUUUCGGUUAUAUUUUAGUUAAGUUCCUUUAGUUUUACUUAUAUAUAAUAAAAUGUGCGAAUUGAGUCCUUUAUUGACCUUAAGGGCCGAAUGAGGCCUAAGGGAGAGCUAACAUAUUUCGUGAGUGUGCAGGAGACCAUUAGAAGGCAUUUUAGGCCUAUAUUGAAUGCUAUGUCGCAACACAAGAGGGCCGAAGUCGCAACAUAAAGAGCAGAGUUAAGAAAGUAUGAAAUUACUUCUGAUGUUGCGACACUAACUAAGGGUGUCAUGACAUACCCUUGAAGACAUCCUAAGGAGGAGCAUAUUGACUUCUAUGUCACGACAUAGGUUCUGUUGUGUCGCGAAAUCGAAUCUAGGAUGGAAAAUAAAUGCGAAGCAGGGGCAUUUUGGUCUACACAGUCAAAAUUAAAGCUUGGCAACGUUAGCUGACCAAGGGUUAAGGACGACGUCCACCUAAAGGCUAUAAAUAGGCUCAUUUGGCACAUGUUAUAGACACCAUUCCAUUAGCUUAGAUUAUUUCUUUAGACUUAGUUUCAUUUUCUUUCUUUCUUAGGUUUUUCAGAGUUUAGUUUUUUUGUUUGUUUCUUUUCUUCGGAAGAUCUGAUUUGUAAAGACGAUCAACUUCUAGGUAUUUGAGUUAUUAUUUAUAUAAAUCAAGAUUUUCUUAAACUCUACAGUUUAAUUCAUUCACCAUGUUUUAUUCUCCCAUCUAUUCCAUGUUGUUUAUGAAAGCCAUUAGGAACUAAUCCUUCUAAUGGGGAUUAGCGAGUGGAGGCAUGAUCUAUUUUAGAAAGGAAGAGCUUGAAACAAACCCUAGGCCUGAUAACCUUUGGAAGUCAUCAAGGUGAAAAUUAAUCCAAAAUUGGUAUUUCCCAUCCAUGAACACCUUCACCCCAAGCUAGUUUGGACUGUGAGGUCAGAAGAUAAGUAGUCAUUGUUGACUCCUUAUGUAAUGGAAGAUUGAAAGAUCCUGCUAGGGUAGCGUGGCUAGUUGGUUAACGAGGAGCCCAAAACGACAGUUGAUUGGGACUAUCGAGGCAAGCUUAUUACCCACCAUUAGAUUUGAUUCCUUUACUUUUUCUAUCUAUUGAAAUUUAGUUUUAUUUUAUGUUAUUUUACUUUUAUUAUUAGCAUUAUAAAAUCCCAAAAUUCUCUUAUUUAUAUUUCUGUACUAUAACUUGAUUAAAGUAUUAGUUAGAUCUUUUAUUGUGUAGGUUAAAAUUGAUCUAGCCUUAACCUCCGUUGGGUACGGUCCUCGGAGUACUCACCUACUUUGUAGGAACACUAUAUUACAACUUGACCCAUCUACUUGCGGAUACUACCCUAUCAUUUUAUAUUUUAUUGCAGUAUUCACACUCUGAAUGUUGCUACGUUCGGAGGCGGUCAAUCAUCUUCUGAUGAAAUAAAGGUGACAAUAGUGGAAGCUACAGUGCCCACUUUCACUGCCACUACCACAACCGGGCAUAGAAUAACAUGCUUUGUAGUAAAAAAAAAGAAGGCACCUAUUCAGUUAAAGGCUUCUAAAAAAAAGAAGAUCAUUUAAGAGAGUUUAUCUAAAGCAUCCUCUGAUUUUUCUGAGGAAAUAGAAACUGAUUCAAAUCCAAGCUUUGCUCAAUUUCGAUUAGACUAUGGACUACUUAGAUUAUAUACUAAUAUAAGUUGUCUUCUCCAAUUAUGAUCGGACCACAUAAUGCACUAAUAUGAGUUAAACAUUAUAUAAUUAUUAAACUAAGUUUUUUUGAUAAUAUGUUUAGAUAUAACAAAUUAAAGUAUUUUUGAAUAAAAGUUAAAGUUGAACAAAAUUGGACAAAAUUAUUAAACUAAGCUUCAUUUGAUAAUAUGUUUUGAUAUAACAAAUUAUAAUGUUUUUGCAUAAAAGUUAAAGUUGAAAAAAAUUGGGCAAAAUUGUUAAACUAAGCUUUAUUUGAUAAUAUGUUUUGAUAUAACAAAUUAAAAUAUUUUUGAGAAAAGUUAAAGUUGAACAAAAUUAGAUAAAAUUGAUAAAAUCAAGUAAAAUUGUUUUUAAACUAGUUAGUAUUGCUCUAGGUCAAAAAGUAUAUUUUUUGGCCAAGUAUCAAUAGUUUCCAAAAUAUCGAUACCCAUUGUAAUAUCGAUACCCAAUUGACAUUCUAUUUUCAAUGAUUUACAAAAUGUGUCGAUACCUUUCCAAAAUGUGUCGAUACCUUUUAUCAGGUAUUGAUAAUUUUUCUUUUGUAUCGUUGUAAACUAAUUUCAAUGGUUAUUGAAUCAGACAUUAAAUGCUAAUAGUAUCAAUACUCAGAGAGGAAGACGUUUUGUUGCAAGUGAUUUUAAUGAUAUGGUAUUUUCAUCCCUAACGGCUCUAUUAACUUUCACAACAACCCCAACAGUUGGAAAUGUAUUAGAGGGUAUAAAUAUCAUGUUCAACAGGUCCUACAAUAAGGAGAGAGAUCAUAAAGCUUAAAGAAUAAUGAAAACAAUCUUAAUGCUUAAUUCUUUCAUAUUCUUCUUAUAAACACUUGUGAGCUUUCAUUGUAUUCAUUCAGCUCAAGUGUUAUUCUUUGUAUUUGUGCUUCAUUGGCAAACACAUCAUUUUUGUAAGGAUUACUUCUUAGUUUUCUAUCUAUUAUUCUUUUUGAGAGGGGUGAGUCUUAAGGUUUGGGUGCAUAUUUGCUUAAAUUUUUUUUUGCAUGCAAAAACCAUUGAGGAUACAUACAAAUGAUAUUAAUGUAUAAUGAAAUUUUGUUUAAACCAAUUUGUUCAAAGAAUUACAAAAAAUUGAUGAAUAUACUACACUUAUGGCACAAGAUUCUAACAUUUAGUGCCAAUAGUAAUUCAUGCAAUCUAUUUCUCAUACGUCAUCUACAUCCAUUCAUGUAACACCCCUUAUCCGAUCCUGUCACUAGACCCGAGUUACAGGAUGCUACCAUAGUUACCGGAACAAUUAUUAACAAUCAAGUCAAAUUCGUAUUAAUUAUAAGUAUAACAAUAGUUUCAAACAACUCUAAGAUAAAAUCGAUCUAUCAAUCAUAAUUUAUUUUAUUCUAGAAUGAAUAAGGACCAAUCUACAAAAAUUUCAAAACUUUAGGUUUGGUAUCGAUACUAAGGAAAUAAGUAUCGAUAUUUUUGUAGUAGGUAUCGAUACAAAAUCAUUAUCAAUACCAUUUUGGCAUUCUACAAAUUUUAGGUACCGAUACAUUUUGGUAGGUAUCGAUACAAAAUUUUCGUUCUGUUAGUUUUGAAAAUUGUUCAUUUGCUAAGGCACCGAUACCUUGGUCCAUGGUUUUGAUACUUUUACCUAGAUGAUUAACAAUCAUAAGUUUGAAAUCUUAUUUCAAGCUCAAGUCUAAUACUUCAUCAAGAGAUUAUUUAGAUACAUUUAGUGCCUUCAUCAAACUUGUUUCAAAUAAUUCCAGAUAUGACCAGUCAAUCAUGAUUUGCUAACUAGCACACCUAUUUUCAACUGGUACCUAAAUAAAAAACUAACAAUGCACAUCAAUCAUUCAUGAAGGUACAAAAUGUUUACUUUCAUCCUUCAUGAACAAUCCUUGUCACAUAAGCCAUAUUACCAACUUUCAAAUAAUACAUGCCUUAUUCAAGUUUAGCUACUUACCAUGCCAUAUACAUAUACAUAUACAUAUAAUCCAUACCAUCUUCAAACCAUCAUUCAUUCUUUGCUCAAACUCAUGAACACACUUUGCACACACACAUAUAAUUUUAGUACUUUACUGAUAUCAUGUAAACAUUCAAAACAACAUCAUAAACAUGGAUCCUUUCAUCACUAUCCAAAUUAAACAUUUAAACACCUUUAAACCUAGGCACAUGCCACAUAACCAGUUCAAGAAAGAUUCAAAAUUUCACCGAAUCUGAAGUUUGAUAGUGUGAGCAUUGGAGUGAUCCUAAUGACUUCGUUCCGCAUAAAUGCCAACUACAAAUAGAAAAAAAUGAACAGAGUAAGCAUUACAAAUGCUUAGUAAGUUCAUAGGAACUUAAAUAGUAAACUCACCUUAUUCGCUAUUAAAAUAAUGACCCAAUUAGGAUCACUCUAAUGCUCACACUAUCCAUAUACUCGAAAUUUGCAUAGAUUAUAAGUAAAAAGGUGCUAAAAAAACCUAUAUAUUUUAGACGUGCAAAAUAAACACCACCCUUUCUUUUAAUCUUUUCUCCUUUCCUCCACUGUGACCAAACCCUCCACUAUCGUUCACCACACCUCGUGGCUGUCGCACCUCAUUUCCAUCUCUUUUUCUCCUCCCAUCGUCGCCAUAAUUACCGUUGCCUGCCACCGCAAGUCUCAUUUCUUCUCUCCCGUUACGUUGAAACCCCAUAGCCCUCGUUCGUCAGACCACCACUCCACCAUCGCUGGACCACUAUCGAGUCGCCACCAUCAGACCAUCAUCACUGCCGUCACGUUCGUCACCAUCGGACCACUUCACCGCCACCGUCGAUCACUUGAUUCAUUGACUUCAUUCCUUUCUCGAUUCAUCGAUCAUUCCAUAUUGAAUCAACUUGACCAAACGAUAAUCAUAGGGGAGACCCCUAGUUUUGCAUUUGAAAUCAUCUUUUUGAGAGUCCAUAACCGUGGGAUUCAUCUUUUGAGUUAGAUCAAAGUGAGAUCGUUAUUAAGGAUUGUGGGAAAUAGGGUCUACGAUAUAACGUGUGGGGUCAUUACCAUUUUUUUGUGUGAUAUAGUUAUUUGUUACAUUAAUAAUUUAAUCAUAUUAAAACAUGAGUACACUAAAUAUUCAUGAAGAGUUGAAAAACUUAACAAGAUGAACACCAAGUAAGUGACUCUAACUGAGUGAUCCUGUAAAACGUAUGGUGAUUGAUAUGAUUAUGAUUGUGAUUAUGAUGUAUGUGUAAAUCUCAUCCUCAUGAUAUGUGAUGUAUGGCUUAUGUGAUAUAUGUGAUGCUUUAAGCAUGUGAGACUUAUAUAUGUGUAUGUGAAAAUUGAGAUACAUGAUCAAAUGUGAAAAACAUGUUUAACAUGUUAAAGUGAUUAUAAGUGAUCAAUAAGUGAUAUGCGAUUAUAAGAGCAUGUUAUAUGCCUAAGUGUAAAAGUGAAUAAAAUGUGUUAAAAAGUGAAAUUGCCAUAUGACAUGCAUGGGGUGGAGUUUUGUGAAAGGUGGAAGUUAUGUGGCAGUUUAUCUAUGAUUAUGUGGCCAUUAUCAAAAAAUAUGUGGUGGUUUGUCCAUAAUAUGUUAUUUGGCUAUUUAUCAGCAUUUAUGUGGUGGCUUGUCCAAAAAUGGUGUGUUAUUGGAUGGACGAGUUCUGAGGAAAUCGAUAUAUGGUGUGUAGCAGAGAUGGGUAGGAAAAUUUAUAAAAUGUGGAUCGUUUUUAAAGUAUGAAUCGACAUGUUCGUGCAUAAGUAUCAGUAUUAGAUUUUGUGAUUAUUAUGAUGAUUGAUAUGAUGAGAUCGAUAUUUUUAUAUGUACGUGAUUAUAUUUGUGUUGAUCUCAUAGUAGGCUUUUAAAGCUCAUCCCUUUUAAAUUUUGACUUUUCAGAUAAUAAUUGAUGUUAGGUUGGGCUCGACUAACGGAGGUGCUUUCGGUAAUUUUCAGAAAAAUAUAUUACUGUGGACUUUUGCUUGAGAUUUUCUUUUGGACUUUGAAUUUUUGUGAUUUUGGAUAUUUCUGCAUGAUUUAGGUUUUAAAAUUAUCAUUUAAAACAUUGUCAAAUUGACAAUUUAUGAUGAAAUUUUCAUAACUAAGUCAAACAAGGCCCAACAAGGGUGUUUUCAAAAUUUAAUACUUCGUUUUCGAAACUCAGCACUAUCUGCUCACAAAAUUUACAUUUUAUGAGAUAUAUAUUAAAUCUAUGUUUUGAAAAUGACAAACGAGUUUCAGAUAUACAAAUUAUCUGUUGCGAUGUUUUAAUUGAAGUACGACACUUUCUAAAAAGAAUUAUCAAAACUUGAGUUUUCUGAAGAUAAAAAGUUUCAAACAAAAUUUGGUUUUCUCAACAAGGAUGUAUUUAGCAAUGACGAUUUUUAAGAUAAAAUAGCUAAAUGAUUUUCUGGGCCAUCAAUAUGGCCAUUGUGAUCUUUGAGAUUCGGUCAUAACGUCUAGGUCAAGUUUAGGGGGUUACAAUAAAUCUAAAUUUAAAAGAAUAACUAAGUUGAUUUCCAAAUAAUAAUGAAGGAUUUUUAACAAGUUUUCAAAGUUAUCCUGAUCGUUUUUAAGUGAAAUAGUAGUAUGUGUUUUAAAAAAUGAACGAAUGUGCUUCAACUAAAUGUUUUUGCCAUAUUUAUGACCCAUGUGGUCGCUUAGAUCGGGUUGUAAUGUCUAGGCCUGGUUUGAGGGGUUACAUUUAGUGGUAUUAGAGUCGGGUUCAAUACUUGAACUAUGGGUAAAGUAUUUUAAAAAAACUACAUGCAUUAUAAAAGGGUAUUUUGGGAAAAACAUGCCACAUGUUAAAAUUGUUGUAAAAAAAUUCGAGACUCCCGAAGCUGAUCUAAGGUAAGUGUUCUUUAGAUUUGAAAACUAUAGACUGUGAAAACUCUAUUUAGUGAAAACGAUAGAUAGUGAGACAGGUGUAAAUUGUAAUGAAUCUUUGAUUAAAAUUAUUCAAGUGAUAACAUCAAAACUUACCUCUAUUGACAGAAAAUUCAUAAAACUUAAAAUGAGUACUCGUGAAGUUAGAACUUGAGGAAUGAGAACUCAUGGAGAACAGGGUCAGGGAACCCAAAUCGACUCAUCUGCAUCCCAAUUGCAAACCCCUGAGUGAGCAACACAAUAAAUCUGAAUUUAAAAGAAUAAAUAAGUUGAUUUCCAAAAAAUAAUGAAGGAUAUUUAACAAGUUUUUGAAAUUAUCCUGAUCGUUUUUAAAUGAAAUAAUAGUAUGUGUUUUAAAAAAUGAACGAAUGUGCUUCAACUAAAUGUUUCUACCAUAUUUAUGACCCAUGUAAUCGCUUAGAUCGGGUCGUAAUGUUUAGGCCUGGUUUGAAGGGUUACAUUUAGUUGUAUUAGAACCUGGUUCAAUACUUGAACUAUGGGUAAAGUAUUUUCGAAAAAUACAUGCAUUAUAAAGGGGUAUUUUGGGAAAAACACGCCACAUGUUAAAAUUGUUGUAAAAAAAUUUGAGACUCCCGAAGCCGAUCUGAGGUAAGUGUUCUUUAGAUUUGAAAACUAUAGACUGUGAAAACUCUAUAUAGUGAAAAUGGUAGAUAGUGAGACAAGUGUAAAUUGAAAUGAAUCUUCGAUUAAAAUUAUUCAAGUGAUAACAUAAAAACUUACCUAUAUUAAUAGAAAAUUCAUAAAACUGAAAAUGAGUACUCCCAGAGUUAGAACUCUUGGAAUGAGAACUUGUAGAGAAUAGGGUUAGGGAACCCAGAUCGAGUUAUUUGCAUCCCAAGUGCGAACCCCUAAGAGACCAACGAAAAAUGUUGAGCAUGCACCAACUAUUGAGGAGAGUCAACAUGAGCUUGCGAACGAGGCUAUAGCAUAGGCCAUGCUUCGAGUGUUAGAGCGAGUGCCGGGUGCUCAGAUUGGGGCCAAUAGUCAUGGUACUAUAGCUGAAAGGCUUCGUUCCAGUAGAGUCGAGUUGUUUAGGGGUGUUAUUGAGAUGUCUGCCACUAUAGCUAAAUAUUGGCUAGAGGCUACAUAGAGGAUCUUAGAUGAUAUGGAUUGCACACCAGAGUUGAAGCUUAAGGGGACUAUGUCACUUUUACGAGAUGAGGCCUAUCGUUGGUGGCAGGCCAUUAUGAGAGGUACUCAAGCCUAUCGACUGACGUGAGAAUAUUUUCUAGAUUCCCUCAAGAAGAAAUAUCUGGGCAUGAGGUACGUAGAGGCUGUGACUGAGUACAAGGCUGAGUUUCUGAGGCUUAGUCGUUAUGCUCUGGGUAUGGUUGUGAUUGAACAGGAUAAGUGUGCCCGAUUUGAGUUUGGGCUGAGAUCCGAACUGAUGAUGCAAGUGGAUUCACGUUAAGAAAGGGUUUUCGAAGCUUUGGUGGAGAAAACCAAAAUCUGUGAGGAAGUCAGACGCAUAGAGUGAGAAAGGAAGGAGCAUGCUAGUGUCCCUGUGAAGAGAGAAUCAGACCCUAAUGUGGAGGCUUCGCUUCUAGUUAAGCAAGCCAUAGAUGAUCAACCUCGCCAGAACUUUGUUGUAGCGAUAGGAAGAAUUUAGAACUGUGCCAUUUGUGGAAAGAGGCACUCAGGUGACUAUUGGAAGAGCAUGGGUGCAUGUUUGAAGAACGGUCACUGAAUCAUAUGAUUGGAGAUUUCCACAAUGUAAUGAACAGAUGCAAGUACCGAGACAGAAUCUAGCCCCGAACCAAAGAGUUGGACAAUAACCCUAGAGAGAUCAGGGUCAGAAUAGAUGUAGAAACGUAGGGCAGAGGCAGCGAGCACUAGGUCAAAGUGCUAGUCGGGCAGAUGCGAGGCAACCAGCAUUUGUGUAUACGGUUAGACCCAGAGAGGAUCGUGAUUCAAUAAACGUGAUAGCAAGUACUUUUACCACUAAUGGUAUUCCAUACUUUGCAUUAAUUAAUAAUGGUUCUACCCAUUCGUAUGUGUCUUGUGUGAUGGCUGAUAAACUGGGAAUUCAGGUAGAAGUAAGUGAUGUACUGUCCUUAGUCCCUUAGGACAAUCUGUGUAUGUGAACAAGAUAUAUGGGAGAUGUCCGUUGAAAGUCCAAGGUGAGGUAUUUCCUAUUAAUCUAAUGGAAUUGCAUUUUGGAGAAUUGGAUCUCAUAUUGGGCAUGGAUUGGUUAAGUGAGCAUCAAGUUAGUCUUGAUUGUGAUACGAAAUGGGUUACCCUAAGGACUCUAGUUGGGAAUGAGAUAAUUAUGAUUGAGGAGCGUCGAAAUUAUUUAUCAAAUGUGAUAUCUGCCUCGGUAGCAGAUAAUCUGAUUCGUGAAAGAUGUGAGGUCUAUCUAGCGUAUAUCUUCGAUAUGAAUGUGAAUGGUGCAAUAUUAGAGACUAUGCAUAUAGUGAAAGAGUUUCCAAACGCCUUUCCGAAAGAGUUGCUUGAUUUACAUCCAGAGCGUGAGGUCAAGUUUGGAAUUAAAUUGCUACCUAGGAUAACACCGGUGUCCAUUACACCUUAUCACAUGGCACCUAAAGUUCUUAAAGAGCUCAAAGUGUAGUUGAAAGAGUUGCUUGAUCAUGGUUUCAUAAGGCCAAGUGUAUCACCGUGAGGAUCUCCAAUGUUAUUUAUGAUGAAUAAGGAUGGAUUGAUGAGGCUUUGUAUCAAUUAUCGUCAGGUGAAUAAAUUGUCUGUGAAUAAUAAGUACUCUUUGUAGAGGAUCGAUAACCUUUUUGAACAAUUUAGAGGUGCCACAGUUUUCUCUAGUAUCAAUCUGAGGUCAUGUUACUGUCAGUUGUAGGUGAGAGAGACUGAUAUCUCCAAAACUGCUUUGAAGACUCAGUAUGGGCACUAUGAAUUUCUAAUGAUGCCCUUCGGGCUUACAAAUGCUCCCUCCACUUUCAUGGACCUCAUGAACAAAAUCUUUCAACCUUAUCUCGACCAGUUUGUAGUGGUCUUCAUUAAUGAUAUUUUGGUCUGCACCAAAUUUGAGUUGGAGCAUGAGGAACACUUAAGGUUAGUCCUUCAAACCUUACCUGAGAAAAAGUUGUACGCGAAGUUAAGUAAGUGUGAGUUUUGGCUAUGAGAAGUAAUAUUUUUGGGACACAUGGUAUCUGCUGAGGGUAUCUGUGUAAGUUAACUUAUGUUUUCAAAACAAAAAAUGAGUUUUAUAUAUAGAAAUUUGUCCGCUGUGAUGUUUUAAUUGAAUUACGAUGUUUUCCCUAAAACUCUCACAUUACUUGAGUUUUCCAAAGUUAAAAAUAGCAACUAAAUUUGAUUUUACUUAAAACAAUAUUCAAAGAUGUUUUGCAAAGAAUAUUUUUAAAGCGAAAUUUUCUAAACGUUUUACUAUGCCAUCGUCAUGGCCAAUGUGAUCUUCGAGAUUUGUCCAUAACAUUUAGGCCUGGUUUUGGGGGUUACAAAUAUAGUAAAUACGGCUAGCUUACGAGUUUCUAUGCACUAAGGAAUGAGUUUUUCUUUCUUUUUUUGACUUUGUCACUUUAUUUUUCAACUCAUCUCACUCACGAAUGCUUUUUUUCGUUGUUUCAAGACUUUCUCUACUCGUAUUGAUUUUCCGUCUGAAUUUUCUUUUGCUUUGCACUUUCAAGCUAACCUAUAGUUCCCAUAUCACACCAAUAUUUCCUAUUUCACUCUUUUUUUUCAAAAUCUGCCUUGAUGCAUCUACUUAACCCUCAAUACGCAUGGUUAGAUGUCUAUAAUCGUGUAGUGCAGGAAAAAAGAAAAAGGGUAAAAACAAAUUAACAUUUUUAAGCUUGGGGUUUGUAAUGAGGUUCAUCAAGAAGUGUCAAUAGGCUCAAAAAUUGGUAUUAAAGGUGAAAUAAAAAUAACCAGUUUUUUGGCUCUAGAUGUGUUCCAAACAAUGCCUUAAGGUCAUCCCUGAAUAUCUCAAUAUGCAUAAAUUUAAUCAAUCAAACAAACUCAAAUUCAACCAUUUAUCAUUCAAGCUAGCAUGCUCGUUUCCUUGUAUUUUCUAAAUCAUUUGGUAUAGUCAAUUGCUUAAUGCCUAUCUACGGUGUAAUGUAUAGAACUUAGUAGUCUUAAUAAUAAAAAAUUUAAAAUCACCUAUCAUCAUGCCGAAUUUAUUUGUAAACACAAGCAACCUAUGUACAUGCUUCUAACCAAUCACUUGUAUUUCUACAAGCUCAAACACACAAAAGACAGGAAAAAUCAAAGAAAAAAGUAAAAAUUUAAAACAAAUUUUCUAUUUUUCCGCACCACACUUUAGUCAACACAUUGUCCUCAAUGUAUAACCCAUAAAAAGAUAAGGAAAGAAAUUACCCGAUUGAGCAUGGUUGCUCCAACUACUAAUGGUAGGUGUUUCCUUCUUUGAUCGUGUAAGCUUGAAUUGUUUGUGUCUCCUUCAUGUUGGGUUCCUACAUAGAAAACUUAACUAAAUGCAAUAUAGUUAAAAAUCUAUUAUUAACCCUAUUCUUACCAAGUUCAAAUUAGAAUCAUCCAAAAAUUAAUAUAAGUCUUUAAAAAUAAAAAAAUACAAAUUUUUCAGUCUCCCUCCUCAAAAUCCAUCUCCUCAAUUUUACUGUUUUCCUCAUCCUCUCAUUCCUCCUUGCUAUCAUGUGCCUCUUCUUCUUGUUCUAGAUUUGUUGGCCCAAACAUGUCAGGUGUAUAAUUGGGGACCGGGAUGCUACUUUGCUUAGCAAAUUCUUGAAAAAUAGGCCCUGACUCUUGCAUCCAUUGUAUCAUCCAAUCUAGCUUUGGAUGAAUACUCUCACCAACAUCUUCUGUCGACCUCUGUGAUGAAGCUGGUGUAGUUGUCGCUUCUUGUUGUUGCUUGUUCCAAUCUUUUAUUUGUUUGGCCUGCAACUCUAUGUACUAUUCGAACAAGGUGUCCUUGAAAAUACUUCAGGAGGGUUUUAGAGACUGCUCAGUGGAUGUCAUAGGUACACUUGUAUUUUUGCAUAAGGCUGUCACUAAAUGGGGAAAGAAAAUUCCCACUUUCCUGGUAGUAAUGCAUCUCUUCAUGUUUUGCUGGAUCUAUUUUCCAAUACGCACAUGCUAUUUUUUUUUUGCAAAAUUGAAUAUAGCAAUACUGCUCGAAAGGUAUUGACACUAGAAACUUUUAAAGCAGGGACUAUUCACGUGCAUACAAAUUGAAUUCACAUUUUAGCCUAUGGAAACAUAAUAGCUUGAUUAAAGGAUGUAGGAAUAUUGGUGCUCGAGUAAUAAUUCCAUUUGCCUCUUCCUUCAUUUAAAGAGUUUAUAAUCUUGUCCUUAUCUAUAUCCCAGAAAUAUUCUAAAUUAGUUUCACCGAUAAAAUCUUUUUCAUAGUAUGGAGCAUAAUAAUAGUCGCAAAUAAUUCGAGGGGUUAGUCGCACUUCUUUCCAUAGGACAGGUACUAUAUCCCUAUAUGGCCUUCGGUGUUUCUAGACUCUAAGUCUCGUAAGGAUGCAUAAAUCUCUUGAACAACAGGGAACACAUAACUAUCUUUUAGGAUUGUCCAAAAUCGCUCCCACCUAUGAUACCUAACCAAAGGCCAUAUUUCCUUACAAAGAACCAUGGAUGGAUCAAAUACCCUCUCUUGAAUGAAUGUCUUUCCUUGUAUUUCAUUAAAAUAUUUUUCAAUGUUCAAAUUAGAAAACUAGAGGGAUUUUGACUCAUCGAUGGUUCCACUUCAAUAGUUCGCAUAACUUUUUUAAGAGGCAUUAUUACAAGACGGGGGAAAAUAGAAAAAUAUCAAAAAUUUCAAUGGAACAGUAAAAAGUAUAAAAUUAGGAACCCUUAACCUCGUAGAAGUCAUUUGAAUUCCUCGUUUUGUGCAACAUCUAUUGUUCUGUGAGUAUUUUCAUUCUUUGUGGCGCUUAGUAUAAUUGAGGUAUGGAGAUUUUAAAGAAGUGGAGAUUGAGGGUUUAGGGUUUAUAGAGAUGUAAGAUAAUUGGACAAGGUUUAGAAAAUAAAUGGUUAAGAUGUGUUUAAGAAAGGGAAUAAUAGGUUUUUAGGUUAAAAGUUAGAGGUUUAUGUUCUAAAAAGUUAGAAAAAAUGUGUUUUAAAGCCGCCAGGUUACAUUGUCGGGUCGGGUUUCCUGCAAAAAAUUGUAGCGAUGUCAUGGCAUAAAGGUUUAGUACCGUGACAUGCCUGGCAGUUUAUCGUUGUCGCGAUACUCGGGUUCGUUGUCACGAAACACUCUAGGAUUUUGGAUUUGUGAGUAAAGUAACUUCGAUGUUGCGACUCUCAAAGCCCAUGUCGAGAUGUCAAGAGGAUUUUCACAAUUUUAUUAAAAACUACUCUUGGUGUUGCGACACUGGCUCUGUUUUUACUCAUAAUUUCCUUUUCUAGAGUGCCACGAUUUCUGUAAAAAUGCAAAGUUAAUGAAAAUUAAAAUCUAUUCUAAAUAGUUAGCUAAAGAUACAAUAAUUUACAAGAGUUUAACAUCAAUUCAAAUAAUCUUAGUUUUACUGUCAGACUCAUCUGCCAGUAUCAUUAAUUCACAACUGGACAAUCCUUCCACCCUAUCAACAUGAGUCCAUCGUCUGUCCUGCUAUUCUACUUCUGCCCAUUUUUCCCUUUCCUUAAACCUACUUAUUCUUUCUUCAUACAUAAAAGGAAGUAUAUCCCUUCACUUGGGAAUGUUAGAGACAAGUAAAUUUUUACACUACUCACCUAACUUUCUCUUUCUGCGCUCUUUGCUAAGUUGAUACCCAUAUUUAAAUAUUUUAGUCUCACUAUUGAUUUUCAUAGUUAAUUCUUUCUUUUCUAGAUCAAUGGUGAACCUAUAAGUGGCUAGAAAAGGUCUACCUAGUAAGAUCGGUAUCUCACGAUCUUUUUCAAAAUCAAGAACCACCAAAUCUACUUGGAGAAUGAAGCUGCGCACCUUGACUAACACAUCUUCUAGUACUCCUUUCGAAUGUACCGAAGACUUUUUAGCCAACUGUAGUGUUAUUUGAGUGGUUUUAAGAUCCCCUAACCUGAGUUUUUCAAAAAAUAAAUAGAGGUCACAUAGAGCUCUACUAAAAUGAAUGCUCCCUAUCUCCAUGGGAAUAGUAAAACUUCACGGGUCUUUCAAUUUUUAGGAAACCUGUCUUGAAAGAAUAACACUGCAAGAGGCACUUAAACCAACUUGUUCUCCUACCUUAAUUUUCCUACACCUAGACAUGAUUUCCUUUAAUAACUUGGAGUAUUUAGGAACUUUCUCAAUUAACUCGAUUAAAGGCAGGUUUACAUUUAAUGUUUUGAACAAGUUUAAGAAACUUGCAAAUUCAUCUUCGUCCCACUUUUGUUUUUCUUCCAGUCUUAAAGGGAAUGGGAUCUUUGUAAUGGCAGCAUCUUUAAUGAUUUCUCUUUCUUCUUCAAUUACCAGUGCAAUUUUCUCCUCUGGCUCUGGUUCAUUUUUAGUUUCUACAGAUUUCUCUUGAGGAUCGUCGACAUUCUCCAUAUUUACCUCUGGAGUAGGAUUUUCUAGGCUACUUAGUACUUUGCCUGAUCGGAGUUCUAAUUCUUUCACAUUCUCCUUGCCUUCCCUUCGGGGAUUAUUUCCUGUAUUGCUAGGGAGUCCGGUGCCAAAUUGUCUUUUGAUGUCACCCAUCAUGCUCAUUAAUUAGUUCGUUUGAUCCUCAAGUUUAGUCAAUGUUCUAGUUGAGUGGGUGAAUUCAGACUCCACUUACUUUAUGUCUAUUCUCAUUAACUGCAUCUCUCUCUCAAUACUAUCAAGUCGUUGACCAUAUGCAGUAUGGUCACUUGGGGUGACCCUUUCCUGAGGUUUUUGAAAAUAAGGAGGUUUAUAAUGGGUAUUUUUUUACUUCAUUCGAACUACUACCUCUCCCUUGGUUUCCUACCCAUCUUAGAUUUGAGUGAUAUCUCCAGCCAGGAUUGUAGGUAUUCGAAUAAAGAUUUCCACCCCUAUUUCCAAUAUAGUUCACAUCCUCAGUAGCGUUGUUGACGAAGUUAAAGAGUGAUUUAUCUUCUCCAUACAUAGAUGAUUUAUUAGCAGCUUUGAUACGGUUAAGUCUAUCCACUAAUUGUUGAUACUUUUCAUCCUCUUGGACAGCCUUUACCGUAGUGGUUUUCUAGCUAUAUGUAAAUCAUUCAAUUAGUCACUGGUAGGAGUUUAACCCUAUGCUCUCAAUGAUUUCAUACUCGCCCUCAUACGUCAUAUUCAUAAGGGCUCCUCUUACUGCUCUAUCUAGUCAUGAUCUUGCAUUUGCAUUCAACCCAUUAUAGAACACCUGCAAUCGCAUCCACUCCGGGAAUUCAUGGUGUGGGCACUUUUAAAUCAACAUUUUGAAGUGCUCCUACAUCUCAUAGAAACUUUCCCCUUCCAUUUGUCUAAAUAAGAAAAUCUCUCUUCUUAGUUGAACCGCUUUGCUAAUAGGAAAAAAACCUUUUGCAAAAAAUUUCCAACAAGCUCAUCCCACGUUGUGAUAGACCUUGGUGCCUGUGAAUCUAACCAAGAAAAGUCAUUAUCAAUAAAAGAAAAGGGAAACAACUGAAGACAAAUAGCAUCAUCGAUGACCCCGUUGUACUCAAAGGUAUCACAAAAUUAAAGAAAUCAUUUUAAGUGUUGAUUCGCAUCCUCUAUCAUUAUGCCUCUGAACUGCAGAUUAUUCUAGAUCAAUUGAAUUAUUGUCAGUUUAAUCUCAAAAUUAUUUGUUGUAAUAGCUAGCCUUGUUAUACUCUCCUGAACCAUUUCAAGACUUGGUAAUACAUAGUCUCUUAAGGAUCUAUAGUUACGAGCCAUGCGCACGUUUGUAGGUAGUUGUGGUGGUGCUGGUGGAUUUCCUAGAGAGUUUUCGUCAAUGUCGCCAAACAAUGGAUUCUCAUGUGGUACAUUCCCUGCAACAGGUAGCGGUGGGUCUUACAUCUGUUGCUAGUGCUACUAUUGCUGUCAGCAAAUUCUUUGAAUUAUUCUUUCUAGGUUUGUGGCUCUUGCAUGGAUGUUCCCUAAAACCCAGAGAAAGAAGAUUAGUAGCAAUAAACAAAGUAAAAUUGAAUCUAUAACCUAAAAUUUUCUAAUUAUUCAUUUUGAAGUGCAAAAAUUAAAAUGAACUAGUGACGUUUCCUCCCCCACCACAGCACCAACAACUUGACCGCCUUCGAACGUAUUAACGCCCAAGGUGUGAAUACUGCAGUAAAAAAUAUAUAAAUGAGGUAGUAUCCGCAAGUAUACAGGUCCAGUUGUAAUAUAAUUACAACGAAGUAGGUGAGUACUUCGUGGAUUGUACCCAAUGGAGGCGAGUGGUAGAUCAAUUUUAACCUAAACAUAGAAAGAUCUAAUUAGUAAUUUUAGUCAGUUAUAGUAUGAUCGUAAAGGUAAAAAGGAGUUUUUAAGGUUUUUAUGAAUAAUAAAAUAAAUUAACAUAAAAGAAAUAAAAUUCAAGAGAUUGAAGAAUAGAAAUAAUCGAAUCUGAUUAUGAUGAUUAGCAUGCCUCGGUAAUCCCCAUCGAUUGUCACUUCGGGUUCCUCGUCAAUUAACUAGUCGCUAUCCUAGCAGGAUCUUCCGAUCUUCCACUCAAAUAACGAGUCGACAAGGACUACUUGUCUUCCGAUGUCACAGUCUAGAUCGGUUUGGGGUGAAGGUGUUUGCGAGUGGGCCAUACCAAUUUUGGGUUAAAUCCUACCUUGAUGUGUUCCCAAGGUUGUUAGGCCUACGGUUUGUUUUACAUUAUUCCUUUCCCAAGGAGCAGAUCCGUUGAGUAUCCCUACAAAAUAGUUAACAUAUCAUCCAUCCACUCGCUAAUGCCCUAUAGAGGGAUUAGUUCCUCAUGGUCUCCAUAGACAAUAAUAACAUCGAUAUAAAGAGAAAUCAUGUUAAAUAAAUUGACAAUAUAUAGUUUACAAAGGAGCUUGACUGCAUUAAGAUUGAUCGCGAAUCCACAAGGUUUUAUUGUCUCCACAAUUUAGAUCUCUCCAAAUAGAACAAAGAAUAAAUAGAAAUAAAUCUAACCUAAGAAAAUAGAGAACUAAACUAAAUUUAAAAGACUAAUUCUAAGCUAAGUGAAUGUUGUCUUUUACAUGUGACAAAGGAUCCUAUUUAUAGAUCUCAAGUGGUGGUCGUCCUUAACCCUAGGUUAGCUAAUGUUCUUGAACUUUAAGUUUGAUAGUGCAGACCAAAAUGCUCAUUGACUCGUGUAUAAUUCCCGUCCAGAGUUGAUGUCGCGACACACUAGGACUUGUGUCGCGACAUAGGAGUCAUUAUACUCCUUUUGGGAUAUCUUCAAGGGUAUGUCGCGAAACCCUUAGUCUGUGUCGCGAAAACGAAGGUAGUUUUGUGAUUUCUCCAUUAUGCUCCCUAUGUUGUGACAUAGUGGCCAAUAUCUGUUUAAUAUGCCUUCUAACAGUUUCCUGCACAAUUAUAAAGUUCGUUAGCUCACCCUUAGGCCUCAUUCGGCCCAAGGUCAAUAAAAGACUCAAUUUGCACAUUUUAUUGAACUUAAAAAAACUUACUAAAACAUAAUUAAAUCCUAAUGGUAAUGCUUAAUUUGAAGCUCCUAAAGUAUGAAAACUAGUUUAAUCUACUACACCAAAUUACAACAUAUCAAUAUUCUUCUAUUUCCUUGAGUGAAUAACAAUUUAGGAGUUCCUUCCUCCCAUAAGAAUCUUUUGUGACAUCCUCUCGUUUGCUCAAUUCUGGACUUGUCACCUUUUGAUGCCUUUCUGAUGGUAUACCAAUGUGGUCAUUAUCAUCUUGGGAAGGAGUUAAAGCUUUCUUCGGAGUUGGCUUAAUUAAAGCAUUAAUAAUCUUUGGUUCUCCUAUAUCUCUCAUUCCACAUAUACUCAUUCUUUGUAAAUACCGACAUCAUAACCUAGGUCUUCGUCUAACCACAUAUAAUUGAAAUUGUCCAUUCUCCUGUAGACUGGUUUCCUUAGUCUAUGACGGCUGUAGUUCUAAUUUGGAAUGAGCACUAGGGGUUUCUUGAGAAAAAUAGAUAAGUAAUAGUGAAUUUAGUUAGUUAAAUAAGUUAAAGAUAAUAUCUAUAGCGUAAAAAUUUCCUAAUUAUUAAUUUUGGGUGCAAAAAUUAAAAUCAAACUAGUGACGUUGCCUCCCCGGCAACGACGCCAACAACUUGACCACGUCCGGAUGUACUAACGUCUAGAGUGUGAAUACUAAAGUGAAAGAUAUAUCAAUGAGGCAGUAUCUGCAAGUAUGCGAUCCAGUUGUAAUAUAGUUACAACAAAGCGAGUGAGUACUCCGAGGAUCGUACCCAAGGAAGGUUAGUACUAGGUCAAUUUUAACCUAAACACCAAAAGAUCUAAUUAGUUCUUUGAUUUAGUUAUAGAACAUUGAUAAAAUAAAAUGAGGUUUUUUAAGGUUUUUAUGAUAAUAAAAUAACAUAAGGAAAUAAAAUUUCAAGAGAUCAAAAUAUAGAAUCAAUUAGAUUUGAUUAUGGAUAAUUAGCUCACUUCGGUAAUCCCCAUUAACUGUCGCUUCGAUUUCCUCAUCAAUCAACUAGACUCUAUUUCAGUAGGAUCUUCUGAUCUUCCACUCAAAUAACGAGUCGACAAGGACUACUUAUCUUCUGAGCUCACAGUUCAGACCAACUUGGGGUAAAGGUAUUCACAGAUAGGUCAUACGAAUUUUGGGUUAAUUCUUACCUUGAUGACUUCCUAGGGGUAUCAGGCCUAGGGUUUAAGUUCUUCCUUUCCCAAAUAGCUGAUCCAUUAAGUAACCCUAUAAAAUAGUUAAUAGAUCAUACCUCCACUCGGUAAUUUCCCAUAGAAGGAUUAGUCCAUCAUGGUUUUCAUUAAAAAAUAUGGAAUUUAUGUAAAAAAAAUGAUAAAUAAAUUGAAGUUUACAGUUUAAGAAAACACUUGAUUUGUAUUAAAGAUGAAAAUGAAUCCAUAGAGUUUUACUAUCUCCACAAACUAGAUCUCUCGAGAUAAAAUAAGAACAAACUGAAAAUAAACCUAAAACCUAAGAAGAAAUAAAACUAAACUGAAAUUUAAAAGUGAAAUUCUAAACUAUGCAAUUGGUGUCGUUUACAUGUGACAAAGGAGCUUAUUUAUAAAUCUCAGGUGGUCGUCAUCCUUAACCCAAGGUUAGUUGACAUUCCCAAGUGUUAAGUUUGAUUGUGUAGACCAAAACACCCUUGGCUCAUGUUAAUUGUUGUCCAAAGUCGACGUCACGACACACUAGGAACUGUGUCAAAAUGUAGGAGUCAAUAUCCUCCUCUUGGUAUAUAUUUAAGGGUAUGUCGCGACAUCCUUAGGCUGUGUCACAAUAUCGAAGGCAGUUUCAUAAUUUAUCCAUUUUGUUCCCUAUGUUGUGACAUUGAGCACUCUGUGUUGCAAUAUAGUGACUAGUAUUUGUUUAAUAUGCCUUUUAACAGUCUUCUGCACACUUAUAAAGUUCAUUAUCUCACCCUUAGGCCUCAUUCGGCCCCUAAGGUCAAUAAAAGACUCAAUUUACACAUUUUUAUUGAAUUUAACGGAACUUACUGAAACAUAAUUAAAUCAUAUUGAUAAUGCUUAAUUUCAAGCUUCUAAAGUGCGGAAACUAGUUAAAUCUACUACAUUGAAUUACGACAGAUCAUGUUCACGGAUAGGUCAUACCAAUUUAUGGUUAAUUCCCACCAAAAUUACUUCUUAGGGUGUCAAUCAUAGGAUUUAAUUCUUCAUUUCCCAAAUAGUUGAUCUAUUGAGAAAACCCUAUAUAAUAAUUAAUUAAUCACAAUUCCACUAACUAAUCCCCUAUAAGAGGAUUAAUUACUCUUAGAAUACAUAAAGACAAUAAACUUAUAAAUAAGAUAAGCAUAAUUAACAAAUAAAGAAUAAGGUUUAAGAGAAUCCUGAUUAUAUUUUAUUGAUGAAAGUGUAGAAAUCCAGUAAAUUUUGAUAAGUCUACAAAUCAAGUUCUUUGCAGAACACGAAUGGAAAUAACUAAAAAUAAAUCUUAAGCUUAAAGAAAAUAAAGCUGAAACUAAAAUUACAAUGAAAAAUUUAACCUAUGAAAAUUGUCCCUCAAAAGUGUUAAAUGAGCUUAUUUACAGAGUGAGGGUUGGUUGUCGUCCUUAGCCCUAGGUUUGCUAAUGUUUUUGUGUUAAUUUUCAUUAUGCAGACCAAAAUGCCCCCCGCUCGUAAUUCUUCUCAUACAGGGCAAGUGUCCCAACACCGAAUGCUUGUGUCGCGACAUAGAAGCAAGUAUACUCUAGUUAAAGUUUGGCUUUAGUGGUGUGUCACGAAAUCCUUUGGUUGUGUUGCGACACCAAAGGCAGUAUUGGUAUUCUUAUAUUUUUCUUCCUAUGUUGUGACAUUGAACCUUUUGUGUUGCAACACGGUGACCCAUUUUGAGCUUUUAUGCCUUUGAAUGGUGUCCUCCACACUCACUAAGUACGUUAGCUCACCCUUAGGCCUCAUUCAACCCCUAAGGUCAUAAAAUGACUCAAUUUACAUUUUAUUGAAUUAAAACUAAAAUACAAAAACUAAUUAAAACAUAACAAAAUUGUUUGUAUUUAAGCUCUUUAAGUAUGGAAACUAGUUAAAUCUGCUACUGUUAGCUCGAUUGAUCAAACUGAAAUCGCCUAGAGGGGCAUGAAUUGACUUUUAAAAAAUUUAGGAAAGCUAAAAACAAAAGAUAGAACAAUGAACACAACAAUUUAGAGUGGUUUGGACCCAAUUUCCUACUCAACUACCUUAGCUUUCUACAAUUAAGGAUUUUCCCAAAUUCACUAAUUUGUAUGACCUUUGAGGACAAGGUUUAACCUUACAACUCCCUUAAAAUUUCUACCAAAAUCUUAAGACACAAACCCUUUGAAAGAAUUACUAAGAAGCAAACAAAGAAAUAGUCCUAACAAGAUCAAAAUGUUUGACAAUUAAGCACAAAUAUAUAAAGACACACUUGAGCAAAAAAAAAAAAAAAGAGUAAGAUCUCACAAGUGUGUACAAGAAAAUUAUGGAAGUAUUAGGCACAAAGGUUGCUUGAUUGAUUAUUUUUUCUUGGAUAUGCUUUCUUGUUGUUGUAGGAUCUUUAGAAGCUGGUAUCUAUGCCCCCUAAGUGAUUUCCAAUCGUUGAGGUUGUUGUUGUAGAGCCGUUGGGGAUGUCAAAAACCAAAGCAUUUAAUACACUUGCAACAACAUGUAUCGAUACCAAGUAAAAAUGUAUCGAUAAUUUUUUUCAUAAAUGUUAAAUCCAGUGUUAGUUGGAGCUUAAAUAUUGAUACCAAGAAAAAUUUAUCAAUACCAAACAAAAGGUAUCGAUAUUGAAUCGAUAUGUAAUUGAAUUUGUGAGAACCAGAAUGCCAAUUUAGUAUUGUUUAUUUUAAGAGGUAUGGAUGAUUUUAAAAUAUUGAUACUUAGCCAAAAAGGUAUCGAUUUUUUUUUGCCUGGAGCAAUUCUUACUCGUUUUAAAAAUAUUUUGUCAAGUUGAAAGAAUCUAUACUUAGUUAAAAUCAUUUUAACUUGAUUUUGAGAAUGAUUCACAAAUUUUCUAAGUAAGAAUUGAAAAUUUAUCUUUUAGACUUCUUUUGAAAAAUCAUUUAGUCAAUUUUGUUUAAUUUUAACUUUCAUUUAAAAAAACAUUUAAUUUUUUAUAUCAAAAUAUAUUUUCAAAUAAAGCUUAGUUUACAAAUGUCCCCCUUUUUCAUAUAACAAAACCUUUGAUAAAUUUGUUUUUUAAUAUAUUAUUCCCCCUUAAUAAAAGUCAUUUUGAAUUUAAGGCCAAAAUAAAAAUUGCCAUAUAUUUUCAAAAUUUGACAUUCAUUUUUACUUGAAGGAAAAAUGGUCAUAUAACUUGCAUUGCAUAAGAUUAGGAUAAUAUCAAUAAAUCUACCUCAAUCUACCAUUUCUUCUUCGCCUUUUUGUUAUAUAAAAAUAGACAAUUAAAGCUUGAGGAGAAAAAGAUGGUUACUUCAAAAAUAUAUGAACAUUAGGAAGUGGAGAACUAACAUAAAAAAUAACCAAAGUAUCUUAUAAUACUUAAUAUACAAUAAGGUGCAAAAAGAAGUAGUGGACAUAGGAAAUGAACCAAAAGUAAUAGUGCAAAUGUGAUGAAUAAUAAUAUGAAAAUAUAUACUUAAAAAUCUACUCUAAUCGUCAUCACGAGGAGAGAAGGGAGGAUUUGAUGGGAAAUGAGCAAGGAGAGAUGCCAUUUGCAUCUCUAAAGUUGAUAGCUUUGAGUCAACCUUAUCUCUGUGAGAUCGAACCUCAUGUCGAAGUCCUCAAACAUCAUUUCUCAAAGAAUGGAUAGCGUCGAGGAUGACACCAUUAAUCUCUUAUGAAGGUUGAGCACCUUAAGAGGAUGAAGCCGGAGGAGGAGCAUGUUUGGGUGAAGAAACAUGUUCAGAUGCCUGAAUGUCUUCAUCUAGAGAAGGCAUCAAAGUAACAUCUCGCAUGAUGAAGGGCCCCAUAACUAAUAGGUUGGGUAGAAGUAACAAGGGUGUCUCCAUGAGUGCUAAUGCCUAACCUUCUAAAGAGAUAUAUAGAUAAGUGUCAUGAGGAAGGGUGAUAUUUGUAUUCAUCCCCCUCUCGAUAGCCUUAGUUAUGUCAUUAAACAUGACGAGGGCCAGGUCGAGAUUCCUAUUAGUAUGGAAAGAAUCAAGCCACCAAUAAUCAAUGUUCCGAAGCUUAGCAUGUUUCUUAAUGGGGUGUAGGUUCCAAGCUAAGAUCAAAUGAAGGACACGAUCAUAAAGGUUAAGUUCAGAUGAUGAUCUCCAAAAUCUUCUAAGGUAAGACGUAUAGAGGUGUUCAUUAAAAAAGAAGCGAUGGCUAUGACAGUGUCGCCAAACUUAUCAUGUUCGAGUUUGGUAUUUGAUAAAAAUGCUUGAAUAAGAUUAUAAUAAGUCGACAUUGAAAUGUUAAGAAAAUCCAUCCAACCCCAAUUUUGCAAAAUAGAAAUAUAGACAAAAUUAAUACCCUCUGACAUGGCUAUGUCAACAUUACUAGACUUGCAAACUCUUUUAGAUGCAAAGUUUCUAUCAAAACAUUCACGUAAAGCAUUGGUAUGAAAGCAUUCAUUAAAGCAUGAUUUAAGACCACUAGGAUGAUGAGACGAUGAUGCAUCAGUUCUUGGUCUUUUCUUAGGAGCCAUAACUAGAUAAUUAAACACUAAAGUUUGACUAAAAUACUAAAAAAAUUCUUUUGGUAAAUUUGUCAACCAGUUGGUGUGCAAGGGUUUUAGUUAAAAAAAUAUAAGAUAAAGUCUAGGAAAAGGAAACCUUCUGCAACAAAAUAUAGAGAAUAUAGUACAAAUCAACCCAAUUAACCAUCAAAAAUCAACAUUUUAACAUACAUUUCAUAAAAUCAAAAGUUUGAAGAUUUCAAGUUCUACUUCAAAAGUGUUGAAAUUGGAUAAGUCUCCAAUCAAUGUUGAAAAAAUCUAGAGGAAAUAGUGUUUGAAAGUUUUGUAAAGGAAGAUUUGAUGAAAAAAAAGAAAUCUGAAGAAACUUUGGGGAAGAAAUUUGGGGUAUUCAGGUAAGUGAAGAGAAAAAUAGGGUUUUUGGCAAAACUAGUUUUGAAAUCACGAUUCAAAUGCCCUUAAAGUCCCAGAGGUAUCGAUAUUUUUUCAUGAGUAUCAAUAUUUUUCUAAAAGUAUUGAUGUUUUUUAAAUGGUAUCUAUACCAAAUUGUAGUUUUGUUUUCCAAGUGCAGAAAAAAUGUAAAAACAAAAGUUUUAGGUCCAAACAGGUUCUAAGGGUCCUAAAAUGACUCUAAUAUCAUUCUUAAUGGUUUCUUAUGCAUUAAAAUGCAUAAUGUAAGCAUGAUACAUAUGAUUCAUGAAAAACCAAAAAAAAAAAUUACCAAGUUGACAAAAUUUUAGUCCAUUCUAGCAAGUUUAACAACAUAAAAAAAAGUCAUGCUAGACUAAUGAAGUCAAAAUAGAACAAUUAUCUAUAUGAAAACUCACCCUAACUUUUUGCAUACAAGGGCCAUAUAAAUCAUGCAUAUAUACUUUUGUAAUCAAUUGUAAGUCAUAAAAAAUUUUAAAAUAACAAAGUGCUAAAAUUCAUUUGAACACAAAAUUAAGGCAAGGUUGUAAUACCUAAUUCACCCCUAAGUGUUCAAAAUCUUUCUUUGUCUAAAAGUUUUGUAAAAAUAUCUACUAAUUGAUUUAAGGUGUCUACUUAUUCUCGAACUAUUUUUUCUUUUUGGACAUGAUCUCUAAUGAAAUGAUGUUUAAUCUCAAUAUGCUUAGUUCUAGAAUGUUGGAUGAGAUUUUUAGUGAGACAAAUAUCACCAGUAUUGUAAUGCUUGAUAGGAAUGGUAUGGAAUUCUACCUCUUUGAGAAUUUUAUUUUCCUUUUUGAGUGAUUAACGGUAAGGUUUGUUAAUUUUUGAGUGUUGAGUGUUUGUUUUGCAGGUAUUCCAAAUAAAAAAGAUGUCUAGAAUUGGUCAAGUCGUUGAUUUUUCAGAUUUGAGGACAAAUCUUUUUGAGGAAGGGGGAAUGAUACGAGUCACAAAGGCCCAACUCAAGCUUAAGAACGUGAUGGGCUCAAAUUACCACAAGGCCCAAUAACGAGGUCAAAGGCUAGGCAAAUGCGUAUGAAACUAAAUGGAACCGUUCAAGACUUCAUUAGCAAGGCCUUAGAUGUGUAUACAAAGGAAAAAGAAAAUCAAGAUUCACUUUCUUGUUUUCAAGAAAAUCAAGAAACAGAAUCUUGGUCCAAUUUUGCUGUUUUGAACGAUUUCAAGAAUUAAGAAAAUCAAGAUUUCAAAUCUUGGAAAUCUUGGUCUAAGAAACUGAAUCUUGCAGCUAAGGCACAUUGGAUCUCAGUUACGAGCAUCAACGAACCAAUUUCAGGAGAGAACGAAUUACAAGCCCAAGUUCUUGAAGAUACGACCCAAUAAGAUGUUCCAAGCCCAACCAAGAAGUUGAAAUUAGACUUAGUUGAAAAUCAAGCCAAAUUGUCAAAGUGGCCCAAUUUGUAAAAUUUUAAUUCUUUAAAUACUUAGUUUUAAUUUUUAGACUUUAUGAAUAAAUUUCUAUGUAAGAAUUCAGUCCAAGAGGCCCAUUUAAAGGCCUUGGAUGAAAUUCCCUUGAAAGGCAACAAUUAGAGUUUUUUUUAGUUUUCCCAGUAGGGAUAAGAAAGUAGUUAGGAGGCCUAUAUAUAUGGCUUGGCUGGCCACCCUUAUGGAUGAUAUAUUGAAUUCAGAUUUUUUUUUGUGAAGAGAAAACUCUCUUUGAGUUUCUCCAAGAAUUCUCUCUUGAGUUUUCUUUAGAAGUAUUUUUAACAAUCUUUUUGAUUGUGGGAGCCAUCUUCAACCUUCUUCUUGCCGUGUUUUUACAUUGGAGGGAAGAUUAGAGCCGUUUGAAGGGAGUUGUGAAAUCUUUCUUGAUUUCAAGGCUUCUUAGGACUUUAUCCAUCUUUUUGCUGUUUGUUCUUUGUUAAUUAUUUUUGUUUGUGUCGAAUUGUUGAUUAACUUGGUUUAAUUGUUCUUGUUGCGUUUCUAGCCAUUCCAAGCUUCAAGGAUCUGUUUUGCAACAUUCUUUGGCAUCAAGAAACGUCCUUUAUUCAUAUUUUGCAGAUUUCUUGCCGCCCAAGUAUUCUAUUUUCUAUCUCAAUUUGGUUUUCUUGAUCUUUGAGGUUAAUUUUCUGUUUUCUGUUUCCGUUUCAGCCCAAGUGUUUAUAGCUCUCGUUGGAAUUUCCCGUGACUUGACAACUCGAUCUUGGUUCACGCGCGACCCUCUAUCAGUUGCCUAAAUAAUUUUCAACAUUCCAUGCUUCCUAGGAUUUUGCCUAAAGAAACUACUAAGUCAAUUCUAGAGAUUUAAACUUUCAUGCAUGCCUACUUUUCUUAAGGAACUAAAAAUUUUAUGGUUUUCAAAUUUUUGAACAAAAUAUAUCCUAAUCAUAAUUAAAAGAACUAUUUAUUUUGAGUGGAAAUAAUUUGAAUUUUUUGGUCCCCCUACUUAAAAUGAACAAUGUCCUCAUUAUUUAAAGUGAAUAGAUACUAUAUACCAGGUAGGAUUCUAGAAAAGAGGAGGUGAGUCAAUUUGACUGCUUAAGUACCAAGCUCUUUCUAAAUCCAACCCUAGACAUGUGUAUAUCUAUUGCCACACUUUAUACUUCGCAACUUGUUCAAUUUUAUUAAUGAUUUCCAUCUCUUCUUUUAUUAUGCAAAAAUUCCUAAUUAACUUUAUCCUAAAAUAACCUAAGAACAUAAAUAAAAUAAAGUCGAGAUCGCCCUUUUAUUUAUUUGCAGAUCCUUCCGAAUUUGACUAAUCAUUUGCUCCAUCAUUAUUGUCUUUGAAUGAAUUAAUGGGCUCCAUGGUUCAAAUACGUAAUCUGGAAACUCAGACACAAAAAUAAAUGGGGUCAUUGUAAAUUUUCGUAAGAGCACUUCUCAUCGAGUCAUCCCUUAUUUUUGAGUAUUUCCAGUAAGCUUGUUGCUGCCACUGCUUAAGUUGCAUUAUGUCCAUUAAAUUUGACAGCUCAUCUCAAAGAUCUGGGCGAGGCGGUUGAGCUCUGAACAUUGAAGUCUCGAUAUCAGGUUCAGCUUCUGGUUCCAUUGGUUCCACCUUAUCAGGGACUUCAGUUGAUUGGACUGGCUCAAUCUCUGUGGGAUCUUCUUCUUCUUCUUUUUCGGGAUCCUCACUUUCUUCAACUUGUUGCUGUAGAACAGAGUCUCUAGCUAUUCGAUAGAGGUCCCAAUCUGUGAUUGUGCCCUGGCUAUAGCCUGUCUUCUUUACGUUUGCAAGAAUUUUAGCUUUCAAGCACAAAAUUGUUAUCAUAAAGGGAAAGAAAGCUGGGCCAGAACGUGAACGUGUAACGGUAAAAUUUUGCAUUUCCCUCAGGAUGAUUUUUCCCACAUCAAUGAUCUUCACAGUUAAAAUCGAGCAUAAUAAGACCAUUCGCUCUAAUGAUAUUGUAGUCCCAUGUUAGCUAGGCAUAAGGCUGAAUCGAAUGAAGUAGAACCAUACCUUUGCGAGUGGUGUCAAAUAUGCUCUUCGACAAGUGUGGAUUCCUUGCUUUGACACAGUCCACAUAGAACCUGGAACUGUAAGUUCCUCGAGAAUUUCUUACAAGUUUUUAGAUUCUAUAUUGCUCAUCAAUGAGGAAUAUUAGUCGUUUUCGAAAUCAGGCAAUUCAAAAAACUCAUUAAUAUUGUUUGAAGUUAUUGGUACCUUGAUUCCGCGAACUGGAACUUUCGUCAACUCGCUUGAGGUUAAAUUCACAUAGAAUUCGCGUACUAACUCCUCAUCCACACUAGGUCUCUUCUCACAAAAAAAACUCCCAAUUGAGAGUUUUAGUAACCUGACAAAUACGCGCCAUAAAACCAAUAUAGUUGCUUUCUUUCAAUGUGAAACCUUUCUCUGGAUGCAUCUGUUGAUUCUUGAAGAUACUGUCGUAUCUUGCUUUGGCUUCUUUAUAGUGGAACUUGUUUUAUGAUUCGUCAAUUUGGGCAGAUGCAUGAGUUCUCUUGCGAGGCAUGAUUAACCUGAUCAUAAGAUGUUAACAAUUAUUUUCUCAAAAAUUUAAUUAAUAUAAAAUAUUAAUAAUUCAAUAAAUUGGAAAAUUAGAUAAUAAAAUUAAAAUUUAGGAGAAAAACUGGUCUUACCACAUUUUUUGUAAAAAUUAAUAGCUCUUAAGAAAAAUGAUUUUGAAUCAAAAGAUGGCAAAUUAAAAAAAAAAGUUGAGGGGUUUUUGGAUAAGGAUGGGUGAAAGGGUGAUGUGCCGCUCGGGUAUGCAAGGUAGCAGUGUUCAGCAGGGGACGAAUGUGAGCAGCGUGCUGAUCGUUGAGCAGGCCUAGUGUGGGCGUGCGUGGGGUGCUGCUGACCGAUCAGCUGGGCAAUGUUGUGGCUAGGGAAUUGUUAGGAGGUUUCAGCACUGAAGGGUUUUGGUGUUUUUGGAGGGAAUGGUGUAUGAAUGAACAAAUAUAAGAAUAGAUGGGUGGAAUUUAUAGUGAAAGAAGUAGGAGCUAGAGUAGAAUUCUUAAAAAUUCUAAGUUCUAAUUCUACUCAAAGUAAAUAACAAUUAAUAAUUAAUAUAAUGCAUAUUAAAUUAUUAUUUUCUAUUAAUUUAUUAAGAUAAAAACUUAUCGAAUAAAAUAUGAUUAAAGUAAAACUAAUCCUAACUCUAAAUAGAGCUCAUAAUAAUUCAUAUAUAUUAUAAUGGAUAUAAUUAUAUAUAUUAAUAAUUAUCAUCUUUUCUUUUUUUUUAUUGAACUAAAAACAUUUAUUCUAGAUGCUUUUUGAAAAUAUUUACAAAAAGAGGCAUCUAAUUUUUAAUAUUUACAAAAAGAGCAACCAAAUUUUUAAAAAUAAUUCAAUUAAGUUCCUAGAUUUAAUGAAAAUUCAAAAUUGAGUUGCAACAUAAAACUUGGAUCAAAAUUGACCCUUUUAUUUGAAAAACUAAAAAUUUAUUUUGUCAUUUAGGGAAUAAUUUCUUGGGAAAUUAUGUUAAAAUAAAUUCCAGGAAAGAUUGGAGAGGUCAUAAGUGGUCCCGCUUAAGUUCCAAUCUCCUAGAAAUAAUUUAUUUAAACAUACUAAUCCCGAAAAUAUGCCCUAAAUCAUUUAUUCGAACAGAAGAACAAGAAAAAUUAAAUAUCUAAUAAAAUGAACGAGAUUUGAUUCUAUUCAAUUUUAUCUCCCCAGUAAUGUUUCAAGCGUUGAGCAUUAACGCAAAAAUUACCUCCCUUACCUUGAAGUUCAACAACUCCGUAUGGAUAGACUCGAUGAAUCAUUAAUGGACCGGACCAACAUGAUUUUAACUUACCUGGAAAGAACCUUAAUUUGGAAUUGAAUAACAAGACUUGCUGACCUGCUUCAAAUUCUCGAACUCGAAUGUGCUUGUCAUACCAUUUCUUGAGUCUCUCCUUAAGUAAUUUGACAUUCUCGUAUGAAGAUAUUUAGAAUUCUUCUAACUAGCUAAAUUGAAGCAUCUGUUUCUCUUUGGCACUUUUAAGAUCCAACUUGAGUCGUUGGAGAGCCCUAUAAGCUUUGUGUUCUAACUCCAAGGGUAGAUGGCAGACUUUCCCAAAGACUAACCUAUAGGGUGACAUCCCUAAAGGUGUCUUGUAUGCCCAUAAAGCAUCAACUAGUCUUUUGGACCAAUCUCGUUAGUUCGGGGAAACUACCUUCUCAAGUAUUCCUUAGAUCUCCUUGUUUGCCAGUUCAGCUUGCCCAUUCGUCUGCGGAUGGUAAGCUGUAGCGACCUUGUGUUUCACUCCAUGUUUAUCUAAUAACCAUUUCAACCACUUGUUCACAAAAUGGGACCCUUCAUCACUGAUGAUGGCUCUUGGGGUUCCAAACCUUGUGAACACAUGUUUCUGCAAAAACUUCAUUACAACCUUAACAUCGUUUGUCGGAUAUGCCUCUACUCAAACCACUUAGGCACAUAGUCUACUGCUACUAAUAUGUACUUGUGACUAAAAGACAGAGGGAAAGGAUCGAGAAAUUCAAUACCCUAAACAUCGAAUAAUUCUACCUCAAUAAUGUUUGUUUGAGGCAUUUUAUUUUUGUUGGUGACAUUUUCGACCCUUUAACAUCGAUCAAAACUCUUUACGUAAGCAUAUACAUCUUUGAAUAGUGUUGGCCAAAAGAAUCUGGCUUGCAAUACCUUGGCUACAAUAUGUGUACCUCCGAAGUGUCCCCCACUCGGAGCUGAGUGACAAUUGUAUAAAAUCUUAUGCACUUCAUCUUCUGUCACGCAUCUCCUAAUCAUUUGAUUUGCACACUUUUUAAACAAAUACGGUUCUUCCCAGAAAUAGUACUUUACAACGUGAAGAAACUUUUUCUUUUGAUGAUACGUCUUAUCAAUCGGCAUCAAACCACAAGCUAAAAAGUUAGCAAUAUCAGCAAACCAAGGGGUAUUAUGGACAUGAUUUACCUUCAGUAUGUGUUCAUCUAGAAACGUCUCUCGAAUUGAUAUAAGAGGAGAGUUCCCUUCUUGCGGCUUCAAUCUGGACAAGUGGUCUGCUACUUGGUUUUCCACCCCCUUUCGAUCUUGAAUUUCUAGAUCGAACUCUUGAAGUAGAAGUACCCAUCGGAUCAGUCUCAGCUUAGCGUCUUUCUUGGCAAGUAAAUACUUAAUUACCGAGUGGUCCGUAUAAACAGUCACUUUGGUGCCUACAAGAUAAGAUCGAAACUUGUCAAAAGCAAACACAAUAGCAAGCAACUCUUUUUCCGUUUCUGUGUAAUUCAGUUGAGCUCCUAUCAGAGUCUGACUCACAUAGUUGUAAUGCUCGGGUUUGUACAAGUGUACACAGUCGUUAUCAAGUAAUAAGGAAGUAUCGAGUUAUCGUCUCCACAGGGAUUGUAUUUGUGCUAAGUCACUUAAUUUGUAAAAUUAUAUUAACAAUUUGGUAAAUAAAAACACAAUAUAGUUGAGAAGUGGUGAUUAAAAUAUAUUAAACUAAAUGCAAUGAUCCCUAAUGCAAAUUAUCUUAAGUAUGCAAACUAUAUGACUGAAAUAGAUUUUAGUAAAAUUAAACACAAUUUGCAACAAUUAUAACAUAAAUAAACUAGGAUAAUUACUUUAAUUAAACUCAAUUUAUUAUCAACAUGCUUAGUAACAUUUGAAAAAGUAUUCCAUGGCAACUCGAUCUUUCAUGAGUUUGGAAACCACAUUUGGUCCUUUCGGAAUCCUUUACUUAGUAAAUAUGCAUUUUACUGAUCCUUAUUUACUAAGGGUUUCUUAGCAUUCAUGUGAGGUAACAGGGAUGUGUUAGGUUUGAAACAAUUUAAUUACACAAAUCUAAAAACUAUGCAGAUAACAGAGCUUGGUUAGAGUUGUUAUGCAACCUACAAUUUAAUCGGGUUAGGAUCUAAAUUGAGCAUGCAUAUUUCAAUUAUGCGUCCAUUAGCCACCGUUUGGUUAGGAUCGCUCAGCUAAUUCAGGUGCAUUUCAAUCACGUAUGAACAAAAUACAAACUUGAUUUUAAUUGAAAAGGCGAUCGAUUGAGGCAUAAACAUUAUAAGCAUGAAUCAAAUAAAUAUUAUUUAAUCAAAAUAAUCAUCCUAGAUUAAAUAAAAUUAAGCUAUAAUUAUUGUAAAUUAAAGAAAAGAAAGAUUAAACCCAAUUUAGAAUGGCUGUCACCAAAGACUCUGACUGACGAGGCUCCUUCGCUUCUUUGCUUUGCUCUUUUGUUGAUGGCUCUCCAAGGUGGCCGACCAAGGGUUCUUUAAGUGGCUUAAUUUCUAAAAUCCUUAUGUAAGGAUUAUGAAGGGGAAAGAUAGCUAAAAGAGUUGAGAGAAUGAUGAAUGAGUGAGAGAUGAUGGGAUGAGGGAUGAUUGAAAAAGUGGAAAUGAGCUCUUAUUUAUAGUUAAGGCAAGGGAGCUAGUUUGCUAAAAAUAGGAGUGUCCAUCCUUUGAAACUUCCUCCAAGAGUGGCUGGCCAUGAAUUGAGGAAAGGUGGCUGAUUUUUCCUUUAUUUUUUGUCAAUUUGAGUGCCACAACAACUCAAGACUAAGACUCGGUCAUCAGCAAAUCUUCGGGAAAAUCUCCGAGUUCUUUAACUCUUCAAGGACUUUGUAUAAUUAAACCAAAAAAUUGUUUAUGACAUCCAUGUGUAGUGAAAAAUUGGGUUGACUUGGUCGCCAAUUUGGACGAUUUUGCAAUUAGAAGAAAACUCUCAGACCUAUCCAAAAAUAGUAAAUAGUUUAGAGGGCCGAAUAAUAUAAUUUAACCACUUUAAUUAAUCAAUUUACUUAAUUAAUUAAAACCCAAUUUAUUAAUAAAUUAUUAAUUAUAACUUUAUAUUUUAUUAUUUAAUUUAAUCAUGCAUGACCCACCUUAUAGCUUAAAAAUAUAAUAUGCUCAAAUUAAUAUAAAAUAAGCCAUUUUAUGCAUGAAAACUAUAUAAUAAAGUAUAAAAUAACAUUUUAAUAAUUUCUAUGUCCUAAUUUCAUAUUUUCGCAUAUUUCAUUAAUUUAUUAAAGAAUUACUUGGUUUUAACAACAAAUUGAAGUAAAAGAGGUGAUGAAUUAUAUAGGAAAAAUCCUAUAUAUUUUUCAGUUUACAAUAGUAGAUGGGAUGAAAAAUUUUGUUCCUUCGCUGACACAUGAAAGCUCCGAUCGCGAAGUCACUUGCGUCACACAUCAAUUCAAAUGGAAAAUCCCAGUCUGGUGUGAGUAUUGUGGGUGCUGAGACUAACUAAUUCUUCAAAUCGUUGAAAGCUCUUAAGCUCUCAUCAAAUUUAAAUGCCGUGUCCUUCUCCAAUAAUUUGCAUAAGGGUUUAGCAACUUUACAGAAGUCCUUGAUGAAUCUUCGAUAGAAAUCGGCGUGACCUAAAAUGCUCCUAACACCCUUUACAGAUAUUGGAGGUCGGAGUUUCUCAAUAACAUCUACCUUUAUUUUAUCUACCUCGAUUCCGUGUCUUGUUAUACGAUGCCCUAGAACAAUACCUUCUCGUACCAUGAAAUGACCCUUUUCCCAGUUAAGUACAAGGUUUGUUUCUUCGCAUCGCCUUAGUACCUUGGCUAGAUUGGCUAGGCAAUCAUCAUAUGUAUCUCUGAAUGCUGAAAAAUCAUCCAUAAAAACUUCCAAAUAUUUCUCAACCAUGUGAGUUAAAAUAAACAUCAUACAUCUUUGAAAUGUAGCAGGUGCAUUACAUAAACCAAAUGGUAUGCGCCUAAAUGCAAAUGUACUGUACGGGUAGGUGAAUGUUGGCUUGUGCUGAUCUUCCGGUGCUACUGUAAUCUAAUCAUACCCCGAGUAUCCAUUGAGAAAAUAGUAAUAGUCUCGCCUUGCGAGUCUAUCCAGCAUCUGGUCCAAAAAUGGCAAAGGAAAGUGAUCUUUCCUAGUUGCCUUGUUCAGCUUCCGGUAAUCGAUGCAAAUUCUCCAUCUCGUAAUCGUUCUAGUCAGUAUCAACUCGUUAUUCUGAUUUUCAAUGACAGUGAUACCUCUUUUCUUUGGCACGUACUGGACCGGACUUACCCAUGAACUAUCUGAGAUGAGGUAAAUUAUACCUGCAUCUAACCACUUGAUGAUUUCUUUCUUGAUUACGUCCUUCAUAAUGGGAUUCAGUCUUCAUUGUCCAUCAAUCGUCCCUUUUUUGCCAUCUUCUAAGAUAAUCUUAUGCAUGCAUACAAAUGGACUAAUUCCGCGAAUAUCGGCUAUGGUCCAUCCGAUAGCCUUCUUGAAUUGUGUCAACACCAGGAUGAGUUUCUCUUCUUGCUCAGUAGUUAAUUCUGUUAAAACAAUCACAUGCAGAGUAAAAGAGUUACCUAAAUAAACAUAUUUCAAAUGUGAGGGAAGUACCUUCAGUUCUAAUUUAGGUGGCUCCUCGAUUGACGCUUUUGGUUGGGCAUAAUCCCUUUUCUCUAACUCCAAAGAUUUAAAGCGGGAUUGUGGAUUAAAUCCCCUUUGAUUAGAUUCUAACAAAGCUAAGUAUUCAUCCUCCUCUUCAUCAUUUGGAGGAUCUGAUGUCAAAAUUUGUUCCAAUGGGUCCUGUACAUAAUUGAGUUCCUUCUCCAUGAUUAAAUCCUCUAAAUUAGACACUGUAGAAUAAUCAUCAAUUGUGUCAGGAAAUUGCAUGGGCUUAAAAACGUUAAAUGUUACCUAAUGAUACUGAACACACAUAGUAAGCUCACCCUUCUGCCCAUCAAUAAGGGUCCUUCCGAUUGCUAAGAAUGGGAUUCCUAAUAUGAUUGACACCUCUUUGUUUGCUUCAAUGUCUAGAAGAACAAAGUCAGCAGGAAAGAUAAAUUUGUCUACACGUACCAAUAUGUCAUCGAUUUUUCCUUCUGGAUGUGCUAAGGAUCGAUCUACUAAUUGAAGUGUAAUCGUAGUAGGUCUAAAUUCACCUAUCCCCAACUUCGUAAAUACUAACAUGGGCAUUAAGUUGGUACUCGCAACCAAGUCACAUAGUGCAUUACCACAAUAUGCUACUCCAAUAUUGCAAGGUAUGGUAAAACAUCCAGGAUCUUUCAAUUUUGGGGGUAGUUUAUCUUGAAGAUAUGCACUUCAUUCGUUCGUUAGGGCUAUCGUCUCAAAUUCUCCAAGCCUUUAUUUUUUAGACAGGAUAUCCUUCAUGAAUUUGACAUAGUUCGGCAUUUGUUCAAGUGCUUCAACUAAUGGGAUGUUGAUAUGAAGUUGCUUUAGUACGUCUAGGAACUUCUUGAAUUGAAUUUCCUGCUUCUGCUUCUAAAGUCUUUGAGGGUAGGGUGGUGGAGGUUUCUUUACUGGAAUUGGUUGAUUUUUUUCUGUGGCAAUUCUACAUCUAACGGAGUUAUUAGUUGAUCAGAAUUAGCUGGUUUAGAAGUUACCUUGUUGGAUUUUGUAGAUUCAAUUUUCGGUGAAAUUGGAAUUUCAACACUCGGUUGAACUUCCUCUGAGUCUUGAGCGUCAGCUGGCUUCUUGUCAACUUCAAUGGAAUUGGGCUAUAAAGUCUUUCCACUCCUCAAUGUUAACGCUUUAUAAUGCUCCUUCCUUGGAUUCCUUGGAUUCUCCAUAUCACUAGGUAAAGCACCUUGUGUUCGGUUUCUGAGUUCAGUUGCAAGCUGACCCACUUGAUUCUCCAAAUUCUUUAGAGAGGCAUCAUUUUUCGCCAUGUAUGCCUUCAAUAGAUUCUCUAGGUUAUUGGAUGGUUCAGCUUGGGUUGGUUUCUAAGCUUGUUGGGAAAAACUAGGUUGUUGGGUCGAACUAGGUUGGAAAUGAUUGUUACUGGUUCCUGCCCCUUGGUUACUCCAGGAAAAAUUCGGGUGGUUUCGCCGUGAUGGGUUAUAAAAAUUGGGUUGCAGCCCUUGACUUCCUCGAUUUUGGUUUUGGUUACCCGUGUAAUACACAAAUUUUAGGUUCGAUGGACAUUCUUUGAACAAAUGUCCUUCCCCACAAUAAACACAGGCUACAUUUUCAAAUUGAUUUAGUGGUUGUGCUGCAAAACUAUUACACCCAUUAGUAGUAAGAUUUUUUUUAUCAUUGAGGAUAUUGAUGAUACUUGUUCAUGUAUUCCAGCGACUUGUCUUACUGACUCUACUCGAUUGGUUGACCAUUGAUAAUUGUUGUUGGCAAUCCUCUCAAUGAUUUCAUAAGCCUCAUUAUAAGACUUAGAAAGGAGAGCACCAUUAGUAGAAGCGUCCACUACUAUCCUCGGGUGAGCAUUGAGACUAUUAUAAAAUGUCUCAAGUUGUAUGCAAUGUGGGAUUCCGUGAUGAGGGCACUUCAGUAAUAAUUCUUUAUACCUUUCCCAUGCCUCAUACAAUGACUCAUCAUCCAUUUGUUGGAAAGCAGUGAUCUCGUUCCUCAACUUAGCAUUCUUGCUAGGCGGGAAAUACUUCAUAAGGAAUUUUUCUGCUUACUCUUGCCAUGUAGAAAUUGAGUUUGGUGGUAAUGAGUUCAACCAAGCUUGAGCUCUAUCCCUUAGUGAAUAUGGGAACAGCUUCAAUCGUAAUGCAUCUUCGAGUAUUCUGGCUAACUUGAAAGAAUCACACACCUCCAUAAAUAGCCUUAAGUGUAGGUGAGGAUCUUCGGUAGGCAUUCCACUGAAUUGACCCACUGUCUGAAGCAUCUGGAACAUGAUUGGCUUCAACUCGAACUGUUGUGCCUCAAUUUCAGGUCUCCUAAUACUCAGAUUAAGAUCAUGAAAUACUAGCACGGCUUACUGUCUCAAAGCUCUAUCCCUAUCAUCAGCAAUAAGGAUAGGAUUUUGAGCAAGGUUUGCUCUGUUUCCUUGAUUUGGAUUUUCGAAGUUCAUCUCUUUAAUCUUUCUCUGACUUGCUUGUCUUCUCCGCUGUCAAAAACUUCAUUCAAUCUAAGGGUCUAUAGGGAGUAAAUCGAUGAUUCGAUCAAUACUCAUAAACACCUGAAAUAAUCACAGAAAAAUUAAAUAAGUUAAAAUUUGAACAGAAAAAUAAACCAAAAUGCAAAACUAACAACUUGACAAAUAAUGACUUUUUUUAAAACACAGUCCCCGGCAAUGGCGCCAAAAACUUGGAACGACGAAAAUGUGCAAGUGUACACACUCGCAAUAAGUAAUAAAGUGACAAGUAACUGUCGAGUUAUCGUACCCAUAAGGACUGUGAAAAGAAUUAUUUAUGAAUGCUAUUUAAAACACUUUGAUGAAGAAAAAUAUUUUGUUGAAGAGGGUGAUAAAAACUAAGAUUUUAAACUAAGUAAACUAAAAUAAAUAAAUCUCAAAUGCAUGAUUUCAAAAUACGAUUUUAAUCAAGAUGACAUAAUUGUGUUAGAUUAAUUACAUUUCUUAACUUAGAAUUAUUAAACUCAUGUUUAUAUUGUUACGAAUAAGUUCACGGCAACUCGGUAAUUUGCUAACUUAUGAACAUACUCACCUGCCAAAAUCCAUUUAUCUCUUGACUAUAUCCCUAUGUCAAUUCAACCGAUUAAACAAAUCUUAAUAGGCAAAUAUGUUAUUGCACAUACAUACUUAUUAAAUCGAAAUAAUCUCUUGUACAUAUCCCUAUGUCAAUUCAAACAAUUAACUUGAUUUAAUAAGCACAUAAAAGACUAUGUGAGGUAACAAAGUAUCCUUACCUUGAAACAAUUUAAUCAAAAUAAUCUUGCAAGUUAUGCAAGGCAAAUGUAUCAUCAGAUACCGUUGCUAAUCUAACCCUCAGCUACCUUAGAUGAUUAAACAUGCACUGAUUAAAUACUGUGUCCAUUAAUUACAAUUUCAAUCCGUUUAAAUAAUUAAUUCGUUAGUUACCUAACAAUUGUAAUGCAAGAAUAACUUAGUCAUGAUUUUACUCAAUCAAGCAUCUUACCGAGGCUUAUAACAAUAUAAAGACAAUUUUAAUAAUUUUAACAAACGAAAUGCAAUCAAACUAACACGAAUUAAAUUUAAGCUAAAUUGAUUAAAUUAACCAUUCCAACAACAUAAAUAUUCAUAGAUAUGUUUAGCAUAACAAAAAAAAAUUAAAGAGACAAGGAACAAGAAUCAAAUCUGGUGUUUUCCCAUGGCUUGACUAGUUGCUCCGUUCUUCCUUCUCUGUUUUCCUUAUCGACCAAGGAUGCUAUGAACACUUAAUUGAUGCUCCAAAUAGCUUAUGAAUGCCCAUUUCCCAAGAGGAUAAAUUGGCAAAAGAGCAAGGGAAUUUUGGAAUGGAAAGAAGAGAGAAAGUGGAGAGAAGAGAGGAAAGAUGUGAAUGCUUGAUGUGUGUUUCUAAAAUGACUAGUCUAAGGGGGUUUUUAUAGCUGAGGAGGGCUGCUAAAAAUAGCUAAAAUUAUCAGCCAAAGAGCCCUCCCUUGGCUGGCCACACAUGUGGCAAGGUUGAUAGUUUCAACUUUGCUAAUUUAGGCUUGGGGGAAAUCUAUAAAGCCACCAAUUGUUGAGGGGUUUGAAUGAAACUUGAACAAGUCUUCAAGGGCCUCUUUGCAAGAUUAAAUAAUAAGCUAAUAAGCUUAUUUGGGUCAGCUCUUGGGACGGUUUUUGGGCUGUCCAUUUCUUGAUCGGUUCGGUUCACUCGGUUCAGGUCAACUGGACCACUUUUUCAUAAUUAAUUAAUAAUAAUUUAUUAACCCAAAUUAAAUUGGAUAUAAAUUAAAAUUAAUUAUAUUAUGAAUUGAUACAUAUAAUUUUGAACCGUCUUAGGCUGAAAUUUAGUUUUCCUCGAUGCUUCAAAUUGCUCCUCGGUUUUGUGCUACUAGCAGUGUCUGCCGAGCCAUUUUUCCCCCUUUGUGCAAAUCUGUCGAAAAUAACCAAAAUUCAUCAAAAUUAAUUAUAAAAUUAACUAAAAUUCAACAUGUUCAUAUUUUCAAUGCACUUUAAUUAUUUUGUAAAAAUUAAUUAUUUUUUCGACAAGAAUUUUAUCGAAAUUGUUUGAUUUUAAGUUAAAAAGGAUAUGUAAAAAUGUAUAAAUUUCCAUGUUUCCAUUAACACAUUAGUAUCAUUUAUUACAAUUCAUCCCAUUCCUCACAUUUUCUACUAUUUCAACCACAAUUCAAAAUAUAAUCGCAUAUCAUCAAUUUAGUCCACUUGAUGUCCAAACAAUAUCUAUAUGCCUUUUAAGAAUAUAAAAUUACCAUGAAUAUAUCAUACACUCGUAUACUAAAUUUUACAUUCAUCCAAUACUGCAUAUCUAUCUAUAUUUAUCACAAUUCUCAUAUUUUUCAAUAUAGUCCUUUCUUCACCUUUUUAUAUCAAAUUGUAUACAAUUUAAAAUGCAUUCAAUUAUUAUAAGUUUACAAUCCAACCAUAAACAUUACAUGAAUAUACUUAAUUAUACCAUAUGAGCUUGCCAAGUACAAAAACAAUAGAUGAAGUGUUAGAGACUAAUUUACAAAUUUCCCCUUUUCCUCGAUUAUCUACUAAUUGGUUCCAUUUUUGAUCUAUAUGUUUAUUUAUUUCAAACUAUCACCUCUAAUUAACUUAUAAAUACUUAUUUAAGGCAUUUUACAACUUAAUUUCAUUUUACAUGAUUUUCCUAAAGUUUUGCAUUUAAUUCAAUUUAGUCCUUAAAUUGAUAUAAUUAUAUCUUUCAAUUUUAAGCUUCUUUUUUCAAUCCAAUUUCAAUUUCAUCCUUAUACAAUCCUCUAAAUUUAAUAAUCAUAUAAAUUUCAUGUCAAUUUUAAAAUAUUUUCAUUUUAGUCCCUAAACUCAAAAUUAAUAAAAAUCACUUUACAAAUUAGUCCCUAAUCAUUUUCAAGCUUUCAAAUCUACCAUUUAACACAAAAAAUUCAAAUAAAAACAAUGACAAAUUUUUUUAAACUUUAGCUGUUUCAGAAUUGAAAGUACAAUUUAGCUAAAUCGAGUUAUAACAAUCUCAAACAUGUAAAAUUUACAAAAAAAUGGACUUUGUAUACCUUAACAUGCAUGGCCAAAAGCUUCACUUGAAGUUCACUUUCUUUUGUUUCAAUCGGUGGAGAAAGACACCAAAAGCAAAAAUGAUGGUGACUUUUUUUCUUUUUAUGUUUUGUAAUUGACUAAUAAUAUAAUUAUAAAUAAUAAUAUGGUUUACAGUUUUUAUGAUUUAAAGUUGGAUUAAUUCUCAUUUAAAUCCCUAUAUAUUCAUUAAUUAAACAUUUUAUAAGCUAAAAUUCAAUAGUGAUCAACUUUUACAUUUUUUACAAUUUAGCCCUUUUACAUUAAUUAAUCUCUUAAUUGGCAAAAUUACUAGUCCAAAAUUCAAUUCACCUAUAAAAUAACUCAAUAAAUAUUUAAUAAAAUAUUUACAGGCUUAGUUUUCAAAAAUGCGAUUCUGUUACUUCAUUUUCCAAAACCACUAACUUUAGGGUCAAAUCACUUGUACUUUAACUAACUGACCAAUUAGCAAAAUUUAUUAGAUCAAUUUUCAAUAUAACUUUAUAAUUGACUCAUAAAUAUUAAAAAUAAUAUUUACAGAUACACUUGUCAGAAUUGGGGUCCCAAACCCGCUAUUUUCAACACCAUUGAAAAAUAGGCUGUUACAAUUCAUCAUAACGGUUCUUAUUUGCAAUCUAUGCAAAGUUAUGUUGAGUUAACGAAGGGACUGGUCAAACAUAUAUAACUAGGACUUAAAUAAUUUGUAAUUAAGUUCCAACUUUUCAUCUAUUAACCACAAAUUAUUUAGUCAUGGAGUCAAUCAACUAAAAGUACCAUGACUAAUCUCCUCAUUAUAUACCAUUACUAAAGCAACUAACAUUUCACGUUUUUAUCCAAUGACCUCGUCAAUAGUGUGUUACCCUCAUAGGAUAUCCUUGAUCACUUUAGAUUAGAAUCUAUUCAUCUAAUUUGAUCCUAUUUUAUCUCAUGGUGACCAUUGCAUCUUCCAUAAUGAAAAAAAUCACUACUUACAAAUAGUAAUGAUAAUCAUUUGUCCCAUAUGAAUGACCAUUAUUAUGUUCCUUUUUUAUAAUGCAUGCAACACCAGUGAAAGGAUAUCAUUUACUCUUUAAUUGAGUUAUGAAUUCUACUAUUGUAAGUGAAGCUAUGUUAUACAUAAGUCAUAUACUUAAUAUACCAGCUUUUGACUUCAAUACCAAUGGAACAUAGGCUUUUAAUAUGUCAAACCAUGUGAUUCAAGUACACAUGGUCAACCACUUACUCAAGAUUGGGGAAAGUUACACUGGAAAUGUCACAAAUGAAUAAAGUCAUAAAUGCAUCCAAGGUAAAUUCAACUUGAAUCUUGUCUGAUAUAUUAUAAGUCAGACGAUCACACCUAUGUUUCUAUUUUUUGGGAGUCAACUACCCUAUUACCCAAGAUAAGGUAUCUCCUUAGUUGGACUUAAUAGAUAACAUAAUAGUUCCAUGAAUCAAUAGCUCAUUUUGUUUCUUUUGACUAUGACUAGUUAGACUACCACUAAUAUUAGUUAUCUUCCCACAUCAUAAUCCUUUCCCUAUUAUUCAACUUAAUAUUAGUUAAAUCUAGGUAAUAAAUGAGCUAAUGUUUGUUUAUUCAGUUUACUUUUCAUGCAAAAACCAUUGAAAACAAGCAUACAGAGACAUAAUAAUUUAACUAUGAAAUUUUCUUUAACUAAUAUGUUUGAAAAAUUACAAGCAAAAUGGUGAAACAAAAAAAAAUCCUAUCAAUUUUGGUAUGCCAAAAUUUGGUCUCUCAAUCUAUGCUAAAAUUUAUAAGCAAAAUCCAAAUUUUCUAUAGAGAUUUAUAUCAAAAUUUCUAAGCAAAUGCUCUAAAAAGUUUGACAUUUCAUUCGAAAUUUUAGCAUUUAAUUGAGAGAUCAAAUUUUAAUAAUGAUUUAACUUAGAAAUUUUGGUAUUUCUUAAUUCUAAGAAAACAUAAUUUUAAACAAAACUUAAGAAGUUUUUUUUAUAAUUUACCAAAAAAUGUAUUUAUUUCUUCUUUUUUUUAUCGAAAUAAUCGACUACAAGUUGUUAGGAGAUUGUUUCUAAGAAACCCAAUAGAAUAGAAAACAGAAAGAAAGAGCAGAGAAAGAGGAGAAAAUUUUCACUAAUUUAUCAAUAUCCAAAAACAUGCCUUCCUUUUUUCCUCGAUUUGAUUAUAAUAAAAAAGAAGGAUUGCCACAUGGAAAGAAAGCAAAAGUAGUUACAACUGAAAGAAAACACAUCGUUUAACAAAGACAAAUCAAAAUGAUUUGUUUCAUUAAAACCCUUUUUUCCAUAAAACGCUGCGCAAAACAUUUUCCCAAAACAUAGCAAAAUAACAGAAAUUUAAAACUUAUUAAAACACCCUUAACAAAUACUCCCCUCAUCGAAAAUCCUUGACCUCAAUGAUCAAAAGAGGAAUAGAUUUGCUUGAAGUUAGACAAGACUUCCCAUGUUGCAUUCUCUAGAAAGGAAUUAGCCCACUCAACCAAAACCUCAGUCACUACAUGGUGACCCUUCUUGGAAAUCCGACGAUCUAAAAUUUGAGAUAACUCCCUCAACAGAAUUCCUUUAGGACUAGUAGGUGGUAAAGUGGCAGCACUAGGUUGACAACCCACAUGACGUUUGAGUUACAAAACAUGAAAAGUAGGGUGGAUCUUCGAUCCCUCAGGCAGCUGCAAGGUAUAUGCAACGUGUCCCACCUUAGCCUUGAUAAAAAACGGUCCAAAAGAAUCUAGGGGAGAGCUUCUGAUUUUUUAUUUUCCUUAAGGAAUGUUGCCUAUAGGGUUGAAGCUUUAAAUAUACCCAAUCACACUCAAGAAAACUUCUUUCACUUUUUUCUUAUCUGGGUAGUGCUUCAUACGAUCUUGGGCACGCUGGAGAUGGUACAUGAGUAAUUAUCGAGUAGUUUCUCUUCGUUGUAAGCUAUGAUCCAUAUUGUCAAAUUUAGAAGAGCCAAUCAAGUAAUGGAGCUGUUGAGGAGGUGGCCGACAAUACAUGGCUUCAUAUGGAGUGGUCUAAAUGACAGAAUGAGAAGUUGAGUUGUACCACCAUUCUGCCAAUAAUAGCCAAAGAACCUAAUCUCCAAGUGACUGCCACGGGACAUACCAAAGUCCAAAGUAGAAAUCCUACACAAAAUAUGUUAAAAAAGUGGUAUCCACAAGUAUACGGGUCAGGUUGUAAUAUAGUUACAAUGAAGUAGAACACUAGAGGCAAGCACUAAAUUAAUUCUAACCUAAACAAAAAUAGAGUUAACUAGUGCUUUAAAUAAAUUAUAUUAUGACUGAACAUAAAGAAAGAGUUUUGUUAUAACAAAAGCAAUAAAAUAAGAAGUACUUAAUCAGAUCUGAGCAGGGGUGAUUAGCUCGCUUAGGUAAUCAUAACUAACUGUUGAUUCGGGUUUCCUGUUCAAUCAACUAGUUAUUACCCUAGCAAGAUCUCUCGAUCUUCCACUAGAAUAAUGACUUAGCAAGAACUACUUAUCUCUCCACCUCAUAGUUCAAACUGGUUCAGGGAUAAGGUGUUCAUAGAUAGGCCAUACCAAUUUUGGGUUAAUUCCCACCUAAAAGACUUCCUAAACUUGUCUAGCCUAGGGUUUAGAUUCUUCCUUUUCUAAACAGUUGAUCCGCUAAGAAAACAUUGUACAACAAUCAAUUAGUCAUACCUCCACUCACUAAUCCCCCACAAGAGAAUUAGUUCCUCAUGGAUCUCAAAAACAUAAUAAACUAGAUAUAAAAGAUGAAAAUUAAUGGUAAAUCAAUAUAAGAAGGUUUAAGAGAAGCCUGAAUUGUAUUUAAUUGAAUCACAAAAUCAAAAAAGAGUUGAUUGAGUUCCACAAAUCAAGUGUGUCGAAACCAUUUUUUUGAAAAUGGGUCGACUUGGAUUUUGAAAAAUGAAAAAAUGGGAGUCGCCACCAAUCCUUUUUUUUUGAGGUGUGAUUGGGUCACCUUGAUAUUAAAACAUUUUAAUUUAUUAAAACGAUGAUUUUGGCCUACGAAAUUCGAGGAAACGGGUUCGAAAGUAGGUUACGAACGAGGAAGGAUUAGCACCCUCGUAACUCCCAAAAUUGGUACCAAAUUGGUUGAUUAACAUCUUAAUAUCAAAAAUUUGAAAAGAUUUUUAAAAUACGAUCCUCUUUGUUUAAAGAAAAACUUAAGUUAAAAUGGAUGCUGAGACCCACCUAUUUCGAAGAAGUAAAAGGUCAUACCCAAUGAGUUAGGAUACGACAUUUUGAAUCCUUGAAAAAAGUUUUUAUUUAAUUUUUAUGCUUUGAUUUUAAAAAGAAAAUAAUAGGGCCUUUGAUGAGAAAAAUCGAAACCCAGUAAGUUAAGGCACGAUUUCUUUCGAACCUUAAAACGUGGAGUAUUUGCUUAUUCCAAAAAAAAAAAUUAAUGCAUAGGAUAAAAUGUAAUACGAUUAUAGUAAAACGAAAAAUGAAUUAUAGUGCCAAUAUGCAUAAUAGAAUAAAAAUGAGGGCAAUAAUAUAAAUAACAAUAAUAAAGGCAAAAAUAAAAUACAAUAAAAUAAAAGCUAAAACAAACAAUCUAUAUAAAAUAAUAGGUAAAAAUGAAUAAAUAAAUAAAUAAAUAAAUAAACAAAUAAAAGAAAAGAAAAUAAUAACAAAAAUAAAAGCUAAUAGUAAAUAAAUAAAUAAAUAAAUAAAUAAAUACUAUGUACAAUAGCUGAAAGGUAAUAAAAUAAUAAUGAUAACAAUAAUACAAUAAUAAUAAAUUAUAAUAAAAAUACAUUAAUAAACAAAUAAUAAUAGUAAAUAUAAUCAAGAGUAAUAAUAAUCAUAAUAAUAAUGAUAAUAGUAGUGAAAAUGACAAAAUAAAUAAUCUACUAUUUGAAAGCAUAUAUAAAAGGAUAUAAAAUAAAUUUAAUGAAUAAAAUAAUCAUAAUGAAAAUAGUAAUAAUAAAAUAAAAAAAUAAAAAAUAAAUAGAGUCUAUUUAAAAAAGUAAAUAAAAAUAGGCAUAAACAUUCAACAUUAAAUACAUCAAUUUAAUAAUAUAAUAAUAAUAGUGGUAGCAAUAAAAAUAAUAAUAAUGAUAAUUAAAAUUAAUUAAUUUAAUAGCAAAAAUAACAAAAUGGACUAACUUGAAUUUAAAACAGAAAUUUAGGGGCAAAUCUAAAAUAAAUAAAAAUAAAAGGACCACAUUGAACGCUCAAAUAACAGAGCGGGACCAAAAGGGAAAUUAAUCCUUGCCAUCCAAAACGACGUCGUUCAAUUAUGGACCUAAUUGUAAUCGAAAUAAAUUAUGGGGUACAAAUUAAAGAUAAGAAAGACUCGAUUACAAAAGAAUAAAAAAGUGGAAGGGCUAAAAGCGCAAUUAGCCCCUCCAUUAAAAACGUGCGGAUCCUAGGAUCAGGUCGAGUCAGCGCACGGGUCAUUGGCAAAACGGCGCCGUUUUGAGGCCACCGAAACAGGCCCCAAUCAACGUCGUUCGAAUGACUUAUAAAAUAGAAUUUUUUUUAAAACCUUCACUUUUGUUGUUUUGUUUAAAAAAACAAAAGGGGGAGGGUUGUUUUCUCUGCUAGGCAUCCUUCUCCGACCGCAGGUCCACUCAUCGGACCGCCGUCGUUCGCCGCCAAUGACCGCCGUGCGCGGCAGUCGAACCCCUCCCAGGUUAGUUUUUUACUCUAUUUUAAUACAUAUAUAAAAAAAUAAAAACCAAAAAUCUUUAUAUAUUUAUAAGAAAUUUCGAAGAGAAAAACAGAAAGAAAAAUAAGAAAGAAACCUUUGCUGAUUUGCUCUCUGAUUUUUUAUUAAUUUCCUCUUUUUUUAUUCGUCAAUCCGUUUACGGGUGCAAAAAUCAGCUUUAUAUAGCCAAAUGAAAAUACAAAAAAAUAUUUAUUUAUUUUUACUUUUAUAUUUUUUGCUAUUUUUUUCUGCUAUUCUUUUUUCUAGAAUGUCGCCCUUUGCUAUUAUUCGCAUUUGUUGUUGCUGUUUGUUUCUGUUUGUUGCAGGUUCGGCCAGCUGGAGGCGCGUGGGUGAGGGCAGUGGCUGGUGGCUGGUGGCUGCUAUUGUGGCGUGCGGCGGCUGAGUUUGUUCCUACCCAGGCUAGGGUUUUUUUUAAUAUGGGUUUGGGUUUCUGUAAUUUGGCCAUUUGGGCUGUAUUGUUUUGGGCCAAUGUAAAUGGACUGUUAUUGGACUGCUAUUUUAUUUUUAUUGAUUUAUUAUUUAGUUGUAAUUUCUGGUUUUGGGCCCCGGGCAAAAUGGGCCGUUUACAGCUGCCCCUCCUUGCUCAUUAUCGUGUAACCCCUCUUUGCCUCUCUUGGUGCUUCUCUUCUGCAAGUAGCCUAAUUCCAACCCACUGCAUCUUCUUGCUUCGAUCCACUCUACUGCAACUUUAGAUAUGACUCGUACCUUUAAUCUACUCUACCGCGACCACUGCAACUUCAAAGGUAUAGGAUUUUUCAUUUUAAUCCUCUCCACUACAACUUCAGGGAGAUAGGAUUGGUGGCUUCAAUUUGCUUCACUGCAACUUUAGGAAGAUAAGAUUCGUGAUAAAUUGUAUCUUUAAUUUGUUCCGCUGAAACGUUAGGGAAAUAAGAUUCGCUGCCUUCAGCUUUAAUCUGUUUCACUGCAACGCUAGAGAAAUAAGAUUCGUUAUCUUCAGUCUGCUCCAGUGUAACUUCAAGGAGAUAAGGCUGGUAGCUUCAAUCUGCUCCACUGCAACUUCAGGAAGAUAAGAUCCGCCAUAAUUUGUAGCUUUAAUCUGUUCCACUGCAACGCUAGGGAAAUAAGAUUCGUUGUCUUCAGCUUUAAUCUGUUCCAUUGCAAUGCCAGAAAAAUAAGAUUCGCUGUCUUCAGUCUGCUCCACUGUAACAUCAGGGAGAUAAGGCUAGUGGCUUCAAUCUGCUCCAUUGCAACUUCAGGAAGAUAAGAUUCGCCAUAAUUCGUAGCGUUGAUCUGUUCCACUGCAAUGCCAGGGAGAAAAGAUUCGUUGCCUUCAGCUUUAAUCUAUUACACUGCAACGCUAGGGAAAUCAGAUUCACUGCCUUCAGCUUUAAUCUGUUCCACUGCAACCCCAGGGAAAAAAGAUUCGCUGCCUUCAGCUUUAAUCUGGUCCACUGCAACGCUAGGGAAAUAAGAUUCACUGCCUUCAGCUUUAAUUUGUUCCACUGCAACGUUAGGGAAAUAAGAUUCACUGCCUUCAACCUUAAUCUACUGCAACGCCAGGGAAAAAAGAUUCACUACCCUCAGCUUUAAUCUAUUCCACUACAACGCCUAGGAAAAAGAUUCACUGCCUUCAGCUUUAAUCUGUUCCACUGCAAUGCUAAGGAAAUAAGAUUUGCUGCCUUCAGCUUUAAUCUACUUCAACACCAGGGAAAUAAGAUUCGUUGCUUUCAGCUUUAAUCUGUUCCACUGUAACGCCAAGCAAAUAAGAUUCGCUGCCUUCAUCUUUAAUCUAUUGUAACGCCAGGGAAAUAAGAUUCAUUGCUUUCAGCCUUAAUCUACUGCAACGCCAGGGAAAAGAGAUUUGCUGCCCUCAACUUUAAUCUAUUCCACUGCAUCGCCUGGGAAAAAGAUCCGCUACCUUCAGCUUUAAUCUGUUCCACUGCAAUGCCAAUGAAAUAAAAUUCGCUGCCUUCAGCUUUAAUCUACUGCAACGCCAGGGAAAUAAGAUUUACUGCUUUUAGCUUUAAUCUAUUCCAUUGCAACGCCAACAAAAUAAGAUUCACUGCCUUUAGCUUUAAUCUACUGCAACGCUAGGGAAAUAAGAUUCACUACCUUUUGUUUAAUCUAUUCCAUUACAGCGCCAAGGAAAUAAGAUUCGCUGCCUUGAGCUUUAAUCUACUAGAAUGCCAGGGAAAAAAGAUUCGCUACCUUCAACCUUAAUCUGUUCCACUGCAUUGCCAAGGAAAAAAGAUUUGCUGCCUUCAGCUUUAAUCUAUUCCACUACAAUGCCAAGGGAAAAAGAUUUGCUGGCUUUAGCUUCAAUCUACUUCAAUGCCAGGGAAAUAAGAUUCGCUGCCUUCAACUUUAGUUUAUUCCAUUGCAAUGCUAAGGAAAUAAGAUUCGCUGCCUUCAACUUUAAUCUGUUCCACUGCAAUACCAGAGAAAUAAGAUUCGCUGCCCUCAGCUUUAAUCUGUUCCACUACAAUGCCCAGGAAAAAAGAUUUGCCAUAAUGACUUUAAUCCUUCCCACUGUAACUUCAGCGGUAUAGGAUUUGUGGUUUCACUGAUCUGUUCUCUGGGGAACAUGACCUGUAAAAUCCAUUUCAUAGGUCUAUUCAUGCCUAGUGAUUAGGAUGUUAUGAUUGAAAUGAAAUCAAAAUAUCCUAACUAGAUGUGUAUGAAUGAAUGCAGAAUGUCAUGAAAAUGAUCCCUUAAUGUUUGAGUUAUUAUUGCUCGUUAUUCAUUAAGGCUCUAUCAUCGACACGUCAGAAUGCCAUCUUGUUCAGCGGGUAUUUCCACAGAAACACUCAUAUUUUACAUAAUCAGAUUACCCCCACUAUAAUCUUCAAGGUUCAAUCCACUAUAAUCUUCAAGGUUUAAUCCACUAUAAUCUUUAAGGUUCAAGCCACUGUACUUUUGGGACAUAAAAUUUGAACCAUUUUACUCUCACUGUAAUUUAGGAGUAUAAGAUCUGGCCUUCUCAAUCCUCUCCUACUGGAAUUCAAGGAUAUAGGAUUUGAAUCUCUUUGGUCUCCUACACCAUUCUCAGGGUGUCAUAACAAAUGUUUAUGCACAAUUGUAGAAUUUUAUUCUCCAAGAAAAACCUCUUCCUAUUACUCUGUGAUCAUUACUUGCUUGUUCAUUGAAGCUUUAUCACCAACACGAUAUCUUGUCAUUUUUUUAAAUUAAUACUUUUGACAACAAAAUCUAAAGAGAUAGUCUUAAUUUAGACUUUUCCUUCUCAGAUAUUUCAACCUUUAAACUUGGUGAAUUCUAAACAAUAGUCCUGUUUCAGGUUCCUGUAUUAUUUAGAAACUUCUAGAGUAAUAUGCAGAACUUCCUUUGUGAAAGUAUUGUUAGUCCAUUAAUAAUGCAACAUGCUUGCAAAAGAUCAUAACACUGGAUAAGAGUAAAAUUGAUUUGGAGCAUAGCUCAAAAUGAAUAAAUUAUCAAGGAUGAUAUAAAAAGAGAAUUGAUUGGGAACACGUAUCUUGAAAAGAAUAAAGUAUUCCAAGAAUAGCAAAUCCAAUAUAAGUAACAUGAAGACUAGAUGCCCCAGAUAUCGCAGCUUGAACUUCUCUGUACAAACUUCUAAGAACCGUUUUGUCUUUGACAUGUGUUUAGGAGAUCUAUAGUACUUUGUCGAUGCCCCAGAUGUCGCAUACCCCUUUCUUGUUAAUUCAGGUAUAGCAAGAUCACCGCAUGCCCCAUUUUGAUCAUUAUUUGAGCCGCCCUUUUUGGGUUUUCAAAUCAAAUCCCCUUUGGUCUCAAGGCGCCCUUUGCGGGUUUUCACCUUGGCCUCUCCUUUUUUUUGAAUUCAAAGUGCCAUUUGCGGGUUUUCACUUUGGUCUUUUUUUUAGGACUCAAGACGCCCUUUGGGGGUUUUUACCUUGGUCUCUUUUUUAAGACUCAAAGCUCCCUUUGCAAGUUUUCACCUUGGUCCUUUCUUCUUCUUUAGGUGAAGUAUUUCUUGAUUGAAUCUGAGUUUACAGGAUUUGGCAGGUUUUUACCAUCCAUCUCACUCAAAAUCAAUGCCCCUCCAGAAAAGGCUCUUUACAACAUAAGGCUUUUCCCAAUUUGGCAUCCACCUCUUUCUAAAAUCCUUUUGUAGGGGAAGGAUCUUUUUCAACACCAACUCUCCCUCAUCGAAUUCUCUGGGAUGAACCUUUUUGUUGUAAGCUCGUAUUAUUCGUUUUUUGUACAUCUAACUUUGACGGAUAGCCCUCAGCCUCUUUCUUUCAAUCAAGAUCAACCGGAUUCAUUCUACUUCAUCUAAUUUUAGUUCUGACAAAACUCGGAGAGAAGGAAUCUUGAUUUUAAUGGAAAAACCGUGAUAAGCCAAAGAGAAAGGCGUUGCCUCAGUAGAAGUUUUUGUUUCUUUUUGUUUUUUGUUUUUGUUUUGUGUUUUUUGUGUUUUUUGUUUUUUGUCUUUUUGUCUUUUUGUUUUUUAUUUUUUUGUCCUCUAUUGCCCUUCAUUUUGGGGUGAUAUGGCAACGAGUUAUGGUGUCUGAUCUUGAAUUGAUUACAGACCUCUGCUAUUAUGCUGUUGUUCAAAUUCAACGCAUUAUCAGAUAUGAUUCUUUCUGGCAUUCCAUACCAACAUAUGAUCUCCUUUUUCAAGAAUUUGUCGACUACCGACUUUGUGAUGUUAGCAUAUGAAGCAGCUUCCACCCACUUAGUAAAGCAAUCAAUGACCACAAAGAUGAAGUGAUGCCCAUUAGAAGCCUUCGGCGAUAUUGGUCCAGUGACAUCCAUGCCUCACAUGGAGAAAGGCUAUGGAGAAGUCAUAAUGUGAAGAGGUGUGUGGUGGAGGUAGUUCUCAUAUCACCUUGACUUCAUCUGGAUCGACCUUGAUUCCUUUUUCACUGACUAUGAAGCCUAACAGCUUUCCUGACCUAGCUCCGAAAGUGUAUUUUGCUGGAUUGAGCUUGAGUUGGAACUUCCUUAAUCUUAAGAACAAUUUUCUCAGGACUUGUACAUGUUUCUUUUUUGUUUAGGAUUUUGCAAUCAUAUCACUGACAUAAACCUCAAUUUCCUUGUGCAUCAUGUCAUGGAACAAGGUUACCAUGGCUCUUUGAUACAUUGCUCCCGUAUUCUUUAAUCCAAAUAACAUCACUUUAUAGCAAAACGUUCCCCACAGGGUCACAAAUGUGAUCUUUCCCAUGUCUUCAGGAUGCAUCUUUAUCUAAUUGUAUCCAUAGAAGCCGUCCAUGAAGGAAAAUAGUGAGUAGCCUGUUGUAUUAUCCACCAAAGUGUCAAUGUGAGGCAAUGGGAAAUUGUCUUUUGGGCUGGCCUUGUUAAGUCCCUGUAAUCCACACACAUUCAUACUUUCCCAUCUUUUUUAGGGACAGGGAUGAUGUUGGCUACCCAUUCUGAAUAUUUGACCACUUGUAAGAACCCAACAUCAAACUAAUUUUUGACUUCUUCCUUUAUUUUUAGCACAAUAUCAGGCCUCAUCGUCCGGAGCUUCUGCUGAACUGGCUUGCAAUCCUCUUUCAUAGGAAGACGGUGUACUACAAUGUCUAUGCUCAACCUGAGCAUAUCUUGGUAUGACCAUCCAAAGAUAUCUUUGAAUUCUUGGAGUAAUUCAACGAGGUCUUACUUCGUCUUUGGGGUAAUGUUAGUUUCAAUCUUCACCUCUUUUCCCUCUUCCAAGCUCACAAUUUUCAUUGAUUCCUUGUGAGAUAGGAUUUGUUUCUCCUCUUAUUCUACAAUCCCCAACAAGUCGGGAGAUAAGCCACAAUCUACAUCAUCUUCAAAGUCAUGAGAUCCUUUUAAACACAUGUCUUGUUCAAAAGGAAAUUCUGAGUUUGUAGCAGUGUCACUCAUGUCGUUGAUAUCCAGGAACCUAUUGUAGGUACCAAAGAAUAUACAAAGAAUGUACAAAUUUAAGAAUAAUUGUCUGUACAGUAUGAUUAUGAAUGAAAUGAAAGAAUGAUUUGGAAGAAAAUCUCCAAAAGAAUGAAAGAAUAAUUACUCCUAUGGAAAGAAUGAAAGAAUAUUUGCUCAAAAUGAAUGCAAAGAUGUAUUUCAUUGAAAUAAAGAUGUUCAGACAUGAGCCUAUUUCAUAGAAGGAUUCUUAUCACUUUUAAGCAACAAGUGUGUUCUGAAUAUUACUCUACGUAAGCUCUAAAAACUAUAGGGAUUUCUUCUGCACUCCAAUUGUUUAGCACGCUCCUAGGUUCAUAAGGGCAGAUAUCUAACAAGGUCCCUCAUUCAGUUGCUUCUUCGUAUAUGACAUUGAUGUGAACAUUUUCAAACAUUUAUUCAUACAUCGCAUUCACCCCAUUAUCAAUAUGAUUGGGUAGCAGAUUUUCUGUACUGGAUGAAUCAUCGAAUUUGACAAUGCCCAUAUUGAUAAACCUUUCGAUCGACUUUUUAAAGGCAGUGCAAUUUUCUAUAGAAUGCCCAGUAAUUCCCGCAUGACAGUCACAUUGUGCAUUCGCAUCAUACCAUUUAGGAUACGGAGGUUGUAAGGGUUUUAAGUAGAAAGGGGAACAACUGUGCAUCAAAUAAAUUCUGAUAGAGCUCCCUAUACGACAUUAGGAUUUGUGUAAAUUGGAGUUUCUCAGUGUUUUGCCUUGUGCCAAAUUCUUGUCUUGAUGAACCUUGUUCACCAGCAACCACCUUUAUCGAUUUAGAGUAACCUUUAUUAUAUGUACUUGUGUUGUUCACCUCAUUUUCCUUUUUCUUUGAAGGUGACCUUUUGUUAUUUUCUCCAGCAUCGAUCUUUCCACUCCUUAUGGAAUUCUCAAUCAUCUCGCCAUUCAUAAUUAUAUCUGAAAAAAAUUUUGUGGCGCUCCCUAACAUGUGUGUGAUGAAUGGGGUUUUUAGUGUGUUGAUAAAGAGCAUCGUCGUUUCUUUCUCUAGGAGUGGUGGCUGAACUUGGACGGCAACUUCCUUCCACCUCUGUGCAUAUUGCCUAAAACUUUCAUUCGGUUUCUUCUCCAUGUUUUGCAGAGUAAUUCUAUUAGGAAUCAUAUCAGUUACAUGACUGCACUACUUCAUGAAUGCUUGUGCUAGGUCCCUCUAUGAACCAAUCUUGAUACGACUCAAUUGGUUGUACCAUUUGUAUGCUGCCCCCACCAGGCUAUCUUAAAAGCAGUGUAUUAGCAACUGAUCAUUGUUAACGUAUCCAGUCAUCCGCCUACAAAACAUGGUGAUGUGAGCCUCUAGGCAACUAGUCCCAUUGUAUUUUUCAAAAUCUGGCAUUUUGAACUUGUAAGGAAGUACUAAGUCUGGAACUAAUCUUAGAUCUUUAGCGUCGAUUCCAUGACAACUAUCAGCACUUUCCAUUACUUUGCAUUUUUCCUCCAGCCAUUUACACCCAUCUUCUAGCUGUUUUGGCAAUUCUGCCUUUGCUUUUUCCUUUCCUGCCACUUCAUCAAAAUCGGGUAUAACAGGAUUAGUUGGGCUAUCUCCUGGCUUUGAACCUGAUCCAGCUUGAAAGUUCAUUGGCAUCGAAGCACCAGCCUGAAAUUGUUGAGUCUUAAUUGUGACAAAUGGUCUCCUUGGGUACAUUUUAGCUUGGGUCUAUACAUUUGGUAGAGUAAAACCUGAAGGAUACAACGGCUACUCAAUAUCGUCAUCAAAAUUGUCCAUAGGGCCCUUUCCCUUAUCUACUCCUCCAAUUGGUAAUUGGGUCAACUGAGCCAUCAUAUUUCUUUGAGAUUUCAACAUCUUUUUCGUCAUGUCUUGCUGAAUUUUAGCUAACUGCUCUUGCAUCUGUGCCUGCAGUUGGUCUUGCAUCUCCUUUUGGAGUUGUUCAAGUUUUUCCAAUAUUUGGUCCAUGUCUUUUGUUUUUGCUCGGGUACCGUAACGGUGUUUCGCUGGUAGGUUAUUAUUGGUUUCUAGAUUAACUAAAAUAAUUUUAAUUAGUUAGGCUCUUUUGGUGGACUUUAAUGUAUAUGUGGUAAUGUAAUGCAAAUGCAUGAAAUGAAUGCAAAAAGAGACGUUGAUUCUAGUUUAGUUCUAUUAGAAGAACUUUACUAGAAAACAAAUCCCUUUACAUAAAGUGGAUAUACAUACAGCUUUGCCCUCAUACUCUAGGCGAAGACAUCGAUCCCUUUCUUCAUUCGGAAGAUAAAUCUUGCUAAUUUUCCAAUGGAUGCCUCUACUAGCUUUUUUUUGCUUGAUUCGGCUCUCGACUCAUUGCUCACUCAUCCUUGUGAUGCCUGUUAGCUUAUUUAAAAAGAUCAGAAUGUUGACCACUCUCGAAUAAUUUUUGUCAACUUGAAUCCUCGGGCAAUGAAACAAAGUUAUGUAGUUCUUCAUUAAACUAUCACCCUUCUCUUGUUGUGUUUUCUUGGAACAUAUUCGAGCAGCCAUAUUAUUUUCCACUUUAUCAAGAAAUCCAUUUUCCAUGAUAAACUCUCUUUUUAGUAACUGAACGUGAAUCAACACCUCUUUUCUAUGAUAAAAAUGCAAUGCAAUCAUAACCAAAACAAAACGAAACAGGUUAGUACAAAGCAAAAACAAGCAAGAAUAAAUAGAACACCUAUUCGGGUGACCACUAAUGGUUUGGUAUAGUUCUAUCUAAGGUAGGCUCUUAUGGUUCACUAUAUGCGGUUUGGUUCUAAAGUAAAGGUACCUGAACCAGUAGAUUCCUCGAUCCUCACCCAUUAUAGGCUCAUACGGACUGAGUUCAGUUCAGGGGAAUACAUUUCCCUAUGGUUGCACGGAGAUGAAAAUCUCACGAAGACAUAGGUACGGGUGUAUCCCGAAAGCGAUCCACUAUCCUGCAAGGAGGAGAAGACCUCACGAAGGAAUAGUUUCUCACUCCCACUUAAAAUGGUAUAACUGAACGGUUAUGCAAUGCAAUAUACGGAGAUUAAAAGACUUGAACCAAUAAAGCAAGCAUAUCAAAAUGAUGCAGAACAUAGAAAUGCAAUGAAAGGAUCGUAAAUUUAAAUCGAAUUUUCAACUUUCGACAAAAAGACAAAAAAUAAUCAAUUUGUGGCUUGACUCUCAAAACCAGUCCCUAGUGGAGUCGCCAAGCUGUCGAAACCAUUUUUUUGAAAACAGGUCAACUUGGAUUUUGAAAAAUGAAAAAAUGGGAGUCACCACCAAUCCUCUUUUUUGAGGUGUGAUCGGGUCACCUUGAGAUUAAAACAUUUUGAUUUAUUAAAACGAUGAUUUUGGCCUACGAAAUUUGAGGAAAUGGGUUCGGGAGUCGGUUACACACGAGGAAGAAUUAGCACCCUCGUAAUGCCCAAAAUUGGUACCGAAUUGAUUGAUUAACGUAUUAAUGUCAAAAAUUUGAAAAGAUUUUUAAAAUACAAUCCUCUUUGUUUAAAGAAAAACUUAAAUAAAUUAAAAUGGAUGUUGAGACCCACCUAUUUCGAAGAAGUAAAAGGUCAUACCCAAUGAGUUAGGAUACGACAUUUUGAAUCCUCAAAAAAAGUUUUUAUUUAAUUUUUAUGCUUUGAUUUUAAAAAGAAAAUAAUAGGGCCUUUAGAUUUGAUGAGAAAAAUCGAAACCCAGUAAGUUAGGGCACGAUUUCUUUCGAACCUUAAAACGUGGAGUAUUUGCUUAUUUCAAAACAAAAAAUAAUGCAUAGGAUAAAAUGUAAUACGAUCGUAGUAAAACGGAAAAUGAAUUAUAGUGCCAAUAUGCAUAAUAGAAUAAAAAUGAGGGCAAUAAUAUAAAUAACAAUAAUAAAGGAAAAAAUAAAAUACAAUAAAAUAAAAGCUAAAACAAACAAUCUAUAUAAAAUAAUAGGUAAAAAUAAAUAAAUAAAUAAACAAACAAAGAAAAGAAAAGAAAAAUAAUAACAAAAAGAAAAUCUAAUAAUAAAUAAAUAAAUACUAUGUACAAUAGCUUAACGGUAAUAAAAUAAUAAUUAUAACAAUAAUACAAUAAUAAUAAGAAAUUAUAAUAAAAAUACAUUAAUAAACGAAUAAUAAUAGUAAAAAUAAACAAGAGUCAUAAUAAUAAUAAUAGUAGUAGUAGUAGUAGUAGUCAAAGUGACAAAAUAAAUAAUCUACUAUUUGAAAGCAUAUAUAAAAGGAUAUAAAAUAAUAAUUAAUGAAUAAAACAAUCAUAAUGAAAAUAGUAAUAAUAAAAUAAAAAAUAAGUAGAGUCUAUUUAAAAAAGUAAAUAAAAAUAGGAAGAAACAUUUAACAUUAAAUACAUCAAUUUAAUAAUUUAAUAAUAUAAUAAUAAUAGUGGUAGUAAUAAUAAUAAUAAUGAUAAUUAAAAUUAAUUAAUUUAAUAGAAAAAAUAACAAAACGGACUAACUUGAAUUUAAAAUAGAAAUUUAGGGGCAAAUUGAAAAGGACCACAUUGAACGCCCAAAUAACAGAGAGGGACCAAAAGAGAAAUUAAUCCUUGCCAUCCAAAACGACGUUGUUCGAUUAUGGACCUAAUUGAAAUCGAAAUAAAUUAUGAGGUACAAAUCAAAGAUAAGAAAGGCUUGAUUGCAAUACCAUUAAAAAUGCGCGGAUCCUAGGGUCGGGUCGGGUCGAGUCGGCGAGCUGGUCAUUGCAAAAACGACACCGCUUUGAGGCCAUCGAAACAGGCCCGAAACGACGUCGUUCCGAGGACUUAUAAAAGAGAAAAAAAUUUAAAACCUUCAUUUCUGUUGUUUUGUUUAAAAAAAACAAAAAAAGGGAGGGUUCUUUUCUCUGCUAGGCAUCCUUCUCCAGCCGCAGGUACACUCAUCGGACCGCCGUCGUCUGCCGCCAACGACCGCCGUGCGUGGCGGUCGAACCCCUCCCAGGUUAGUUUUUUUACUCUAUUUUAAUACAUAUAUAAAAAAUAAAAACCAAAAAUCUUUAUAUAUGUAUAAGCAGUUUCGAAGAGAAACACAGAAAGAAAAAUAAGAAAAAAAGAAACCUUUGCUGAUUUGCUCUCUAAUUCUUUUAUUAAUUUCCUCUACUUUUUUUUGAUUCGUCAAUCCGUUUACAGAUGCAAAAAUCGUCUUUAUAUAGUCGAAUGAAAAUACAAAAAAUUAUUUAUUUAUUUUUUCUUUUAUAUUUUUUUCUAGAAUGUCGCCCUUUGUUGUUAUUCGCAUUUGUUGCUACUAUUUAUUUCUGUUUGUUGUAGGUUCGGCCAGCUGGAGGCGCGUGGUAGCGUGCGUGGGUGAAGGCAGUGGCUGGUGGCUGCUGUUGGGGCAUACGGCGGCUGAGUUUGUUCUUGCCUAGGCUAGGGAUUUUUUUGAAUAUGGGUUGGAGUUUCUGUAAUUGGGCCAUUUGGGCUGUAUUGUUUUGGGCCAAUGUAAAUGGACUGUUAUUUUAUUUUUUAUUGGUUUAUUAUUUAGUUGUAAUUUCUGGUUUUGGGCCCCGAGUAAAAUGGGUUGUUUACAAAGUGUAACACCCCUAGCCCGUAUUCGUCAUCAGAAUAAGGUUACGGAGCAUUAUUGGAGUUUACAUUUUAGAAAUUUUCAACAAUAUAAAUCAUUUGCUUCACAAAAUUUAUCAUAGCGAAUUCCAUCAAUAUCAUGCAUAUUGUUCCUUAUACGAGCCCUCGAGGCCCUAAAAACACAUUAGAAACAAAUCGAUACUAAAUUGGAAACAUAUAGAAAUUUCAGGGAAAAGAUGAAAAUUUUCAAAAUGCAAGGGUCACACGGUCACGUGGCCACGCCGUGUGGACAUUCGAUGUAGGGACACAUGGUCGUGUCCCAGUCCGUGUAACUUACUGAUUUAGGUCACACGGCCAAGCCACACGCCUGUGUGCUAGGCCGUGUACCCUUCGAAAUAGCCUUACACGCCCGUGUACCAAGCCUUGUGCUAGACCGUGUAACAGUCUGACUUGCAACCUUUUGAAAGCUAUUGGGGACACAUGGCUGUAUCGCUUGGCCGUGUGCCACACAUGGUUGAGACACACGCCCGUAUCUCUACCUGUGUGGAUGAAAAAUAGGCCACCUUCAAGCAAUUUUUCUCACCCAAACAUGCAUCCACCUACCACUAAUUUUUCACAUAUAAUCAAGCAUACAAAGUGCAACAAACCAUGCUAUAACAAGCUAUCCAAUCAGGGUACAUAAGUAUACAACCAAUGUGCCUAAAAGGCACCUCAAUUAUGACCAUUAAACAUGUAUAUCCAUAUACAUAAAUUGGCCAAAAGUUUAACUAACUUAUAACUAAACUUAUGUCAUAACUUAACACUUUGUUCACAUAUCAAAUUCACAUUCCAAUAUACCAAAAUUACUGUAACGAACUCCCUUAUAGGAGUAAUUGAGUCAUUGAUUGCCUGAUCGUGAAAUUAAGUAGUUCUCGUUUUGAAUUAACAAAAUGGCUAAGUUAUAAAAAGAUAGUUGUUUGGUAGCGGAUAAAAAAGAUAAAAAUGAUGGAAGAUGGAUAUAAUGAUCUUAAAACACGAACGAACCCGUAAUAGUGAUUAGGACCCAAUUUGUAUAAGUCUUAAGGUGGAGUAUAGAUAGCUGGAUAGGACUGAGGUCCGCUAUCUAGGGAGAUAGGAACUUACGGUAUAGGUGAACGCCACACUCGAACGGAGAAAGGAUGACGCGCCGUAUGCAAUCCACAAAAAAUGCCUAUACGGUUGUUCAAUUCUAUCUUUUUUUUUCUUAUUAUUCUUUAGUUAUUUUUAACUAUUCUUCUCACCUCAUUAUGUGAGUUAAAAGAACCUUUUAUUAUGUUUUAUCAUCAGGGUAAUGAUCCAUCAACCUGCUAGUUCUUUUUAUGAGUCACAAACACACUAGCAAUGCUAGAUAAGUCAAAUCAAAUCACCAAAAACAAUGAGAGUGAAAAACUCAUAAAGUCUGAAAUAUUUCAUAAAUUUAUCAAAAGGUUUUCAAACAAUGUUUCUUACAAACAAUUUAUAGGCAUUAUUAUGACUAUUCAAAUUCAACAUUCAUACCAGCUAUUAACAAAAUAUUAAAAUUCGGUUAUAACUUUUAAUGGGCAGCCAAAGAGUCAUGUCUUUCACUUGAUUCAUGCAUAGCUGAAAAGUCACGCCUCUUCACUUGAUGAAGGCAUAAUAGUCCAUUAAAUGUGUUGCUUAAUGUCCCUUCACUUUUCCUUUCACCAAAUGCCUUAAUGCUUGUGUAUUCAUCUCUUAAUUGGUACCAUAACUAGCUUUGAGUGCAUGAAAUCGAUCAGACUUGAAGAGUCACUCUUGGUCCAUUUGAAAAGUCACCAUAAUGAGCUUUGAAUGCUUCAAUAUCCCCCAAAAAUGUUCCAAAUAUGCACCAGCAAUUAAGUGGCCAAAUGCACACUCUUUUAUUCCAAAAUUGGACAACCAAUUGAAUGUGACAGCAUUUGAUUCUUCUUGGCAAACGAACAGCCCUAUUGUAGCUAUGUGACCAGCCUUUUGGACUUUCCUACAAUAAUCACACAAUCAAAUUAUUUAAGAAAAAUUAAACACAUUAUAAAUUAAGCAUUAAAAAGUAAUAUCAAAAUUAAAUAACAUACUUAUAUAAACAAACUCAAACAUAUUUAACAAUUAAGAUGCUUAAAUGCUUGGUUAAUUAAGAUGUAAACUAAAUGAACAAUGAAUUACUUAAUGCAUGACUUCAUUAAAAGAUGCAAACUUUAAUUAACAUGGGAGAUACAUAAUGCUUGACUUUAUUAAAUGCAAAACACAAAAUGCAUGACAUAAUUAAAAUAUGUAGAUCGAUAAUGCAAGACAUUAACUAAAGAUGCAUUUAGUAAACAAGAAAUAAUUAAAGACUCAUAUUAUAAUAACUGAAGUAACUAAAAUAAAUAAAUCAAAGUCCUUAAUCCAGCAACCAAAUUAACAAACUGGAAUUAAAACUUCAUUUUGCACUUGGGCCCUUCGAGUUUGGGCCAAUUCCGAUAUCGUCGAAUUGUUUCAAAACAUGAUGCGGUCGGUAUCGCAUCAUACCCUUCCUCUUGAAGACGAUUUGUCCUCAAAUCGGGCCAAUUGCUCGAAAAAAAAUUUUCAUCGUCACAAACCUUGAAACUACACAAGACUCAAAAAGGAAACAAAUUAAUUGCUUUCCCUCCCUCUUUAGGAGGAACCCAUUUCAAAGUGUCACCUUCACGAAAAUGAAAGAGGUUAGUGACAACAUGGAUGAUGAACUCAAAGGAACUUUCUGAAAUGUUAUGCACAGAUUGAACAUAUGUUCCUAUGCUGGCGUCAAAAACAUAAGUUGGCCUUACCAUUCAAGAUGAAUCAAGAAUUUCAUGUACAGCCACAUAGAAGAAACAUGAAUCAAUUCAAAUUUGUAAUUAGAAUGUGCAAAUUUCAUUUUCUUAUUUAAAGUCCAAACAACAAUUAAGCACACGUUGUGCUCACACUUAUCUUUACAAAAUUUGUUAGGCUUGAUCUCUCUCAAUGUCGAACCAGAAUGGUAAACUCCCGGUUUGAACACACGAAAUUGUUCGCUCGUCCCAAAAUGUGACACGAAUUCUUUAAUCACCAACAGUUCACAAAAGUGAAACAAAUUAGUGACAUUAUAAGUUAUAGGCACAAAACAACUUGUCGAUAUCCAACUCAAGAAUGGAACACAUGAACCAAUGCCAAAAUAAAGAUUAUUACCUUUUCAGAAUGAAUCACAAACUUUACCGAUGGUAACAAACCAGAAUUGCAAGACCUUCACAAAUUAUAAUCUUGGAAAGGAAAAUUUCUUCGUUCAAAUCCUUUAAACAAAAACAUAGAACAAUAAUCUCCGGGAUCAAAAAUAAAGUUUUCUCUUAUCUUCUCAAUCUGACAUGUAGAUUUCAUGACUAGUAACAAAGAAGGAAUUUGAAGUAAUCGAAAAUUAUAAACAUGCAAGAGAAACUUAAAUGCUGUCGACCACAAUGUAGAGUAAUGAUUUCCGUAAAAAAAUAAUUGAUUUUGUCUUUGUACACCAGCAAAGUUCACAUAAUUUGUUUUCGAAACUAAUGAUAAAACAUUAAGCAAAUAGAAAGGGCCAACAUAUCUAUACAAAUUAAAAUAAUGGUGCUCGCUUUCUCUCACCAACAACUUAGAAAAAUAUACUCGAGGUUUAAACCCAUGAUUUGGGUCACUUAUGUUCGAAAACAAUGUAAAGACAUAGUCCAUCAACAAUGCAAUCAUGCUUAACAAAUGGAAUUUAGUCACAUGUAUGUACAAAUAAUCAAAACUUUCAAAAUACCUUCGAACAGGCAGCAACAUCCAUAAAAUUUCCUUACAUUGAUUGAAAGAAUUCACGUAGCAAUCAAAACCAAACAGAUUAGGUGUUUUACAUGAAUACCUUUGAUCACAUGCAACAAUCUUUUGCUAACUUAUAAUUGGAGCAAUGUCAUCAACGUCCGUAACAUCUUGCAAUUUGAUGUGAUUUGAAUCAACAUGAAUCAAAUGAUGACAGAAACAUUUCAUGAUACUAUUCAAAAUAGGUUCAGCAAUGAAACUCAUGUCAUUGCGCGUUUUAACACAAAGCAAAAGAUGAAAGAAGCUAUGCAAGUCACCCUUCAAAACAGAUUCAUCAAUUCCAAUCAAUGUAUAACAACUAAACAAGUUCUUACAAAGAAUUUUUUUAAGAUCAACAAUAUGAACAGGCUUAGCAACAAGAGUUAAAAAGUUCCACUUCGAUUGGUUUUCAAUAGAUUCCUUACAUUUCUCACCUUUGGAAAUAUCAAAAACAUUCGAACUUUCCAUCUUACCCUCUUCAAUCAAUUGAAAUCGUCGUUCGUUGGGUAGGUAAUGGAGCUGGAACUUGUCUUUAGGUGGAAGUUUACAAACCUGAAACAAAGAGAAAUCACAAGGCAAGUUCGAAUGGGGGUUAGCAAAAAUAUUCCUUUAUUGUGUUUGAGGACUCUCUUCUUCUUCCCACGUUUCUUUUUCAAGCUCUCUCUUUUUCACUUUUUUCUUUUCAAGCUCUCUUUUUUUUCACUCGUUUCAUUCACAUUUUCUUUUGUUUCUCUCCCACUUUCCUCAUUUUCAUUUUCUUUUCUUUCAAUUUCUUUUUCAUUUUUCUCCUCUCGUUUUUCUUUUACCUCACUUAUUUUUACAACAGAAUUUUUCAGUUUGAGUUGAUCCUCGUAGACUUGCGUCAAAGUGAGCGGUACUAAAGUUACUUUCCUCCCUUGCUACUUAAAAGAAUACCUAUUGGUAUGGCCAUCAUGAAUGACCUUUCGUUCUAAUUGCCAUGGCCUUCCUAGCAACAAAUGGCAGGCAUGAAUAGAUACCACUUCACACACGACUUCGUCUUGAUACUUGUCGAUGGAUAGGCAACGUGCACUUGUUGAGUGACCAUAAAUUUUCCUUCGUCGUUAUGCCAUUGCAAUGUAUAGGGGUGCGGAUGCUUGGUAGUGGGUAAGCCAAGCUUCUCCACCAUUCUAGCACUAGCCACGUUUGAACUACUUUCACCAUCAACAAUGAUGCAACACACUUUAUCGUGGACACAGCAGUGAGUGUGAAAUAGAUUCUCACAUUGUGGUUCACUCUCGAAGCUUUGAAGGGUUAAACUCAUUUUGAUGUCAAAAGCUUCAUCAAUGACAGCAUGGGGCAAGUAAAACUUAGAAAAUUCUUGUGUAACACCCCAUACCCGGCCUAGAAGUUAGUCCCGAAUCUGGUGUGCCACAUUGAAGUGUCUUUCGAAAACCAUGUUUUCAUUGAAAACAUUCUUAAUUAAAAACUUGAGUAAAAUCCCAGUUAUGUUAGUUUAUUCCCAAAAUUUCUUUUAAGUUGCGGAAGUUAAGCUUAAAAGUAACCGGUUUACGAAAACGUGAUCUUUCAAGAUUAUGUUGUGGAAGCGUAGUGUUUUGAAAACAAUUAUUAACUUGGAAAACCACGAUCUACUUUUAAGACAGAUAGAAAACGUAAUAAACCGACGAUCCCAAUUCAAAAUCCAGAAAUUAACGGAGGCCUUAUUACAUCCCAAAUCAGAAUAUAAGUACUUAUAAGUAGGUAGCUUAAAAGAAAAUCGGGAUCAAUAGCAGUUGUGUUGCCAUCUCUGAGUCCCUUGCAGCACCGAUCCUCCUAAUACUGGGGAUUACCUGCACAGUUAAUAAACAGGGCGAGUUUAUGAAAACUCAGUGUGUAAUCCCCUUAUUAAAGUAACAGUCAAUAUACAAAAACAGAAAAAGAAACAGAAACAGUCAGGGCCAGGGCCCUUUUACAGUAAUGGUAUAGUCUAAUUCAGAGCAUACGUGGACCAAAACCCACUACAAUAUCAUUUGGGUCAUAGCCCAUAACAGAAUCAAUUGGGCCUAGCCCAUUCUCAAUAUCAGUAAUAGUUGGGCCUAGCCUAAAUCAGUAACAGAACAGAACAAGGUGGGCUUUAGCCCAAUACAGAAACAAGGUGGGCCUUAGCCCAAUACAGAAAUAGUAUGCAGUAUGGUGCAAGUAUGCAAACCCACUCCAAUCCAGGUAGCACACCACCCGUACCAACCCAACACACCAUUUGGGGACAAAGUCGACCCACCCAUCCCACACACCAUUAUUGCAACAUAGCUGCCAAUAAUAAUAAUAACGCAGUAGAGCUGCCAGUACAGUAUAUGUGGCAAAGCCACCAGUAACAGUAUAUGUGGCAGAGCCACCCGUAACAGUACUUCUUCCAUAACAGAAUCCCAACCCCAUGCAAUAUGUCGUGUAUGCCACGCUCAAUCAUCACACGUGUAUGAAAAAUGGCCAUGCACAGUAACAAUCAUUUACACACAUAUUAGAAACAUAACAUUCAUAUGACCAGAGUCAAGUCAGUUAAAUUCAAAGACCAAGCCAGUCAUCUACCUACAAGGGCAAAACGGUUAUUUUACCCUAUAAGGGUAUUUCGGUAAUCUUACCAUACAGGGGUAUUUCAAUAAUUUCAAAAACCAGGGGUAUUUCGACAAUUUCACAAAUUGGGGGUGUUUCGACAAUUUUACAAACUGGGGGUAUUUUAGUAAUUUUACACAUCAAGGGUGUUUUAGUAAUUUUGCAAACCGAGGGUAUUUAGGUAAUUUCACAAAUAGAGGGUCUCAGUGACCCAACAAAAGGCCCACCAUCUCCUCAAGCGACUUAAGUAACCUAAACAAUCACAACGGUAUAAAUGGGCCUAAGGCCCAUUAUUCGGCCUAAGUGGGCCCACACGCUCGUGUGGCCCAAUUAACCCAGAAAUAGCCACAGCUAUGCGAAUGUCAUAAUCCAAACAAUACUUACCAAAUCACCCACAUUUUAUUCGUGUGGGCCCUCAAGCCCACUGGGCCCACACGACCCAUUUCGACCCAACUAGGCCCAGAACAGCCUAAGACCACAUGAGCGCUCGUGAUGGCCUCUACAGACUAAUGCCCAUGUUCAUGGGCUCGGUUCACCAUAUGUACGAUCGCAUGCUUGUGUGGCAUCAUACGCCAUAUUUCUAGCUUUUCGACAUUUUGCUGAUCUACAGUCAUAGCAGUGUAAACGACACAUAUUUUCGGCUUUUCAGCCGAUUAUCAAACAUAGCAUACAGUUACACACCUGUUUGCGAAACUAGCUAAGAUCCACGCUCUCCGAAUCCUAUAAUCAACCAAAAUAUCAUAUCAGAUUUACAACCAAUAAGGUUAAUAACUGUCCAAGCCCAAAACGACAAUCCAUACUUACCUUGACUGAUCGCUAGUCGGUUUAUUUCCCUUCGAUCAUAGGCUAGAGUUGAUCACACUCCUCUUUUAUGAUUAACUGCAUUACAAAUACAACCUAUCAACUACGAUGGUCUAAAACCAUGGUUUAGCAUACAUUAGUCUAGAGGAAUUACACGCAACCCUUUCCCUCAAAAAGGCAAAAGUAACAUUUGGCCAACCACUUGAGAAAUUACAAGCCUUCAACUUUACCUUUAAUCGUGGGAUGGGCGAAUGGUUUGCACUCCUCGUGGAAUUCUUUGAACCGAAGGCACUACCAAGCAUCAAGGGGGAAGAAAAUCGGCUAACAGAGAACAUAAAAGAAAAAAGCAUAUGUUUAAGAAAGAAGUUUGAACAUAUCAAAGGAAUAGAAAAAGAACAAGAAGAAAUCUAGUAACUCAUCGUUUCCUAGAGCCACACCCAAACUGGAACUAUCAAAGAAGAAGAUAGAAAUCGGUAACAGAAUCAAGACACUGGAGGGGAGGAAAGAUCAAAACAACCGAUCAAGAAAAUCAUUAACUAAAAGCUGACAGACAAAAUGGAGAGAUGAGAGAAAUAGAAGUUCGACAAGAAGGGAAGAAGAAGAUCAACAGAUCAAAACCGCAAAAGAAGAGGGGGAAAAGAGAAUGAUAUAUUCGGAAGUAAAGGACAAUUCUCCAAAUGAUCAAUUACUCCAACCCAAAAUAGUGCACUCAAACCCCAAUCCCGAAAUUCUGAGUAGUCCCCACUCAAAUUCAGCACAAUACACCCAUUAGACACCAAAUUCAUUCUUUUUCUCCCCCAAAUCCCCAACCAACAACCCCCUUAUCCAAAUCCCCCAAAACCCUCCUAAAAACACUCUAUAAAUCCCUCAAAGACCAAUUCAAACUCCCCAACAACUUCAUCCAAGACCAAGUCAACCACCUCCCUAGGAGAGUUUUUAUCCAACUCUACCUCUCUCUCACCUCAUGGAAAUAAAAUAAAAUCCCUUUGCAUCCCAUGCAAUUCGAACUCAAGAUCCCCUUACCACCAUAAUGACGCCACUACCACUGGAUCAUCAACCCUUCUUGUGUCAUGAUUUCCCCAACAAUAUUCUUAAAGCCCACUUACUUACAUCUAGGGUUUUAUCCACUUAAAACCAAAAUUUUCGCUAAAGCUCAGGUUUGAACCUAGGACUUUUGUAACUCCUCACAGGGCCCUUAACCACUUAAGCAGACAUUAAAUUGUGUCAUUUCCUAGCACACAUAAACUUUUAUGCACAGUUUCCUUAUUGUUCCCUUGCUCAAGGUCGAAUACUUUUAAGCCCAAAUUCCGGGCUACAUCUUGGAACAUGGUUUCAGCAAAGUAUUAAAAAAAUAAAUAAAAUAGAAAAAUGAACCUCACUACAAACCUCACAAAUCCUCUCGCAAAGAAAAUUAAGAUGUGCUCCCCACUCGUGUUUGCGCUCAGAUAUUGGCUUUAACCUCUUAAUGUACUUUCACUCGUUCCUUUUACCUCUCGAAUUCACCUCUCGAAGUUCUUAGCAAUUUCGUUAGACUUAUUAACACACUUGUGGGUUGGCUUCAAAAGGCUAAGAAACAAAGUUUGUUGUUAAGGUAAUUAGGUAGGCUGAAAGAAAAAUUUUAAAGAGUGUGGCUACAAAAAAAAACGGUUUCUUCAGAAAGAAACACGAAAGAUCGGGAAUUAAAAUUUUCCAAAUAGCGUUUCUUUGAUUCGAAAUACUCAAAACCAAACUCCCACUUUUGUAAUUUUUCAACUUAUAUGCACAAAUUUUUUUUACGAGAAUUUUUUUCAAAUUUUUUUCCUUUUGUUAAUUUUGGAAGCACAAAAUGAUAAAAAAACGUACCUAAUUUGAAAAGCUCUGAUACCAUAUUAUAAGAAUUCGCUUACGGGAGUAAUUGAGUCAUUGAUUGCCCGAUCGUCAAAUUAAGUAGUUUUCGUUUCAGAACAAAAUGGCUAAGUUAUAAAAAGAUAGUUGUUUGGCAGCCGAUAAACAAAGUUGAAAAUAAUGAAAGAUGGAUAUAAUGAUCUUAAAACAUGAACGAACCCGUAAUAGUGAUUAGGACCCAAUUUGUAUAAGUCUUAAGGUGGAGAAUGGAUAGCUAGAUAGGACCGAGACCUGCUAUCUAGGGAGAUAGGAAUCUACGGUAUAGGUGAACGCCACACUCGAAAGUGAUAAGAUCAAGGACGGAGAUAGGAUUACGCCACUAGCAAUGCUAGAUAAGUCAAAUCAAAUAACCAAAAAUAAUGAGAGUGAAAACUCACAAAGUCUGAAAUAUUUCAUAAAUUUAUCAAAAGGUUUUCAAAUAAUGUUUCUUACAAACUAUUUAUAGGCAUUAUUAUGACUAUUCAAAUUCAACAUUCAUACCAGCUAUUAACAAAAUAUUAAAAUUCGGUUAUAACUCUUAAUGGGCAGCCAAAGAGUCGUGUCUUUCACUUGAUUCAUGCAUAGCUGAAAAGUCAUGCCUCUUCACUUGAUGAAGGCUUAAUGGUUCAUUAAAUGUGCUACUUAAUGUCCCUUCAUUUUCUUAUUAACCAAAUGCCUUAAUGCUUGUGUAUUCAUCUAUUAAUUGGCACCAUAACUAGCUUUGAGUGCAUGAAACCAAUCAGACUUGAAAAGUCACUGUUGGUCCAUUUGAAAAGUCACCAUAAUGAGCUUUUAGUGCUUUAAUAUCCCCCAAAAACGUUCCAAAUAUACACCAGCAAUUAAGUGACCAAAUGCACACUCUUUUAAACCAAAACUGGACAACCAAUUGAAUGUGACAGCAUUUGAUUCUUCUUGGCAAACGAACAACCCUAUUGUAUCUAUGUGACCAGCCUUUUGGACUUUCCUACAACAAUCAUACAAUCAAUUUAUUUAAGAAAAAUUAAACACAUUAUAACUUCAGCAUUAAAAAAAAUAACAGCCAAAUUAAAUAACAUACUUAUAUAAACAAACUCAAACAUAUUUAAUAACUAAGUUGCUUAAAUGCUUAGUGUUAAUUAAGAUGUAAACUAAAUGAACAAUGAAUUACUUAAUGCAUGACUUUAUUAAAUGCAGAACACAAAAUCUAUGACACAAUUAAAAGAUGUAAAUCAAUAAUGCAAGACAUUAAUUAAAGAUGCAUUUAAUAAACAAGACAUAAUUAAAUGCUCAUAUUAUAAUAACUGAAGUACCUAAAAUAAAUAAAUCAAAGUCCUUAUUCUAGCAACCAAAUCAACAAAUUGGAAUUAAAAGCUCAUUUUGCACUUGGGCCCCUCGAGUUUGGGCCAAUUUUGAUAUCGUCAAACUGUUUCAAAACAUGAUACGAUCGGGAUCGCAUCAAUUACCAUUUAACAAUUAGCAUCAAUAAUCAUAUUUGACAACUACAUUUUUCAUACCAAUAUGAACAUGUUCAACUCCCAUCAUAUGACUACACACAUAUAUCAACAUAUCAACCAUCCAAAGUACCAAAUCUACAAGCCAAAACAUAAUGGCUAAAACAUCAACCAAAAUGACAUAUAUAUAUAUAUAUAUACCAAACUCAUCAAUUAAACAUUAGACAUAGUCCACCUAAACAUGCCAUUAUAACCUUAACCAAGACAUCAAAAUCUACCGAUAUAAUCGUUGGAUAGUGUGAUGGAUCUCCAACUAGCUUCCAACUCGAUCAAGCUUUCAAUAAUUUGAAAAGUAAAGGGAAAACAAUCGCGUAAGUAAUGAAUGCUUAGUAAGCUCGUAUAAACUUUAGUCAUAUCAAUCCAUUUCAAAUAUGAAAUUUUUAAAUAUCAAGAAUAAUCCUAUACCGAUACCGCAAGAUUCAUGAAACCAUAUUCAACAACUCACAAAGUGAAUGAAUCCAGAGCAUCACAUAUACAUAUCAUCCCUAGCAUAGUAGGAUUUUAUAAAACUUUAAACCCUUUCAAAAUUUUCUUAUUUUCAUUUGCAUUUCAUUACUUUCCAUUGCAUUUAUUAUCUUUAGCUUAAAUAACAACAUCAAUUCAACUCAUCAUUCCCUUUUUCAUCAUUUUACACUUCAAGUAUGAACUUACUAUUUUAUUAUCUUUCCACACUCGUUUCAUAUGCAUAUCACACGAGACAUAAACAUGUCAUUGAACCAUAGCCACAAGCUAGUGCAUUUAAACGAAAUUCUUUUUGGAACUAACCACAUGAUAAACCAUUUCAAUAGAAAUUACAUAAUUUAAACCUUACCACCCUUUCAUGAUCACAAGCAUAUUUCCAUUUAGGCGCUUACCAUUUCAAUACAUAACUUAUAAGUUUAAUGUGACAUAAUCCAACCACAACUUGGCCAAAUCCUAAGCAUGUACACCAAACAUGUUAGCGAAACAAACAUAUAACAUAAGCAUUAUAAACAUGGAUGAGCACAACAUUUAUUCAUGUAUCAUAUACAUAUAUCAUCCAUUUCCACUUUCAAUAUACCAUGUAAUACCAUUUCAAAUAAAUUCACAUGUAUCUAUAUCUUAGUUUAUAUCGAACUCUUACCACUUCAUAUCCAAAUAAUGCCCGUUAAACCAUUUAGAAUACCGUUGGAUACCGAAGAUAGGUAUCACAUAGUGCGCUAGCUCAUAUAAUUGUAAUUCAUCAAAUCCUAUACAUGUAUGCUCACACGAACUGUGAAUCGGUAUGCUCACACGAGCUUUAAUUCGGUAUGCUCACAUGAGCUGUGGGUCGGAACGUAGCUACACGACGCUACUCACACAAGCUAUGGAGUAUUCGCAACAAAUGCUAGACCUCAGCUAUCGGUAGGACGUUCAAGACCAACACCCAAAUCAUGUAACCCUAAUGACAUUUCAUUUGUUUCCUACGAAUUCCUAAGGUUUAAAUGGGGCUCAAUAAUCAUUGUACAUCGUUGGAUUUACGUCAUUUCAUAACACGGUAAAUUGCAUACUAACAUAUAUAUUAAUUUAAUCACAUAUUAACAUUCAAUUUAAUCAAAAUUAUACAAAAUAUGGUUCAUACGAGCUUACCUGGCUAAAUUGUAAAAAUACCAAGGUUUAAGGGCAUUUUGGUAAUUUUUAAUUUUCCUCAAUUUUUAACCCGAUCUUUAUCUAAAUUACUAAUUUAAUUAAAUAUAUUAAUUUAGACAAUAAAAAAAUUCAUUUCAUGAAAAUUGGUCAUUUUUUAAAUUUUUACAAAAUUACCCCUAAAGUUUUACUUUUAUUCAAUUUAGUCCCUGAGACCAAAACAUGUAAAUUAACCAUUUUUACCCAAAGUUGAGAUUAUUCAAAUGUUCAUGGUAUCCAUAAAAACCCAUUUAUGGAAAAAUUUCACAUUAAAUCCUUGUACUUUUAUUAAUUUAAUAAUUUAGUCCCUAAUCGGUAAAUUCAUCAAAAAUCACUGAACAAAAAACUUUUAAUUGUCAAUCAACAUUCCAAAUUCAUUAUUUAACUACAAAUAUAACAAUAUUCAUCAAUGGAAACAUUCAAAAUCUUUAACAGUUUCAAAAUCGAAGGUACGAGCUAGCUGGAUCUAGUUGCAACGAUCUCAAAAACAUAAAAAAUAUUGAAAACGGGGCUAAAAUGGACUUACAUUCAUCGUCCAAAGCUAAGUCGAAGCUUGAAGCUUCUCCAUUUCUUGCUUUCCAUGGCCAUUCGGUGUUAAAGAAGAUGAUGGCUUAUGUUUUAAUUUUAUUAUCCUUUUAUUAUUCAUUAUUUUAUUUUUUAUCAUAUAAUAAUAACAUAAAAAACAUUAUAAUUAAAAAAUUUAAGCAUCCAACUGUCCCAUUAUCUUUAGGAUGGAUAAUUUACUCAAUAAGGCCAUCCAAUUAUAAUUCUUUAAUCAAUUAACACCUUUAAACUAAUAGUGAUUCACUUUUCAACUUUUACGAUCUAGUCCUUUUUGCUUAAUUAACUAUCGAAACGUUAAUUUUUUUCUACGAAACUUUAAUACCACCUUAAUGACACUCCAUAAAUAUUUAUAAAACUAUUUAAUACUCAGUUUAUAGAAAGGAGGUCUCGAUACCUCAUUUUUUAAAAUCACUUGACCUUAGGGUCUUACCACUUGAACUUAAUAAAUCGCUAAUAUAACAAAAAUCACUAUAUCAAAAACCUUUUUAAAACCAUGUUUGCCUCUUAAAUCUUAAACAAUAAUAUUUACAAACUUACUCAUCAAAUUUGGUGGCCCCGAAGUCACUAUUUCCGACACCACUAAAAAACGGGUUGUUACAUCAAGUCUCCCGACAAUUACAAAACUAAAGAUAAGCUAAAGUCUAAGAAAAGGAAAAAACUUAAAAAUUGAAAUCAUGAAGAAAAUUAUAUAAUAUGAAAGUUGUCCAUGAGAAGUGUUAAAUUAGCCUAUUUAUAGACCUAAGGUUGUUGUUGUCCUCAACCCUAGUUCAACUGACGCUCUCAUGUAUAAUAUUAGAUUGUGAAAACCAAAACGCCCCUCGCUCAUUAGUAUUGCUCGCACAGGAUCGGCUUUGUGAUACCCUAGUGCCUGUGUAGCAACAUCGAAGGCAGUAUGCUCGUACUCAGGGUAGCUUCCAGGGGUGCGUCGCGACAUUGAAGGUAGUCUUGAAAUUCUUGCUCUCUGCUCCUUAUGUUACUACAUUAGGCUCCCCAUGUUGCAACAUAGUGACUAGUAUUGAGUUGGUACACCUUUCAAUUGUCUCCUACACACUCACAAAGUAUAUUAGCUCACCCUUAGGCCUCAUUCAGCUCCUAAGGUCAAUAAAAGACUUAAAUUACACUUUUUAUUGAAUGUAAACAAAACUAAGAAAACUUAAUUACAACAUAAUAAAAAUGUUUGUAUUCAAGCUCUUCAAGUGCGAAAACUAGUUUAAUCUGCUAGACCAAAUUACAACAGAUUAAAUUCCCCUACACUUAAUUCAUUGCUUGUCCUCAAAAAAAGUAAAAAAAAUAGUAAUUAAAAGACGACCCUUGAACAAAUAUUGUACAAAUGUUAUUUUUGGAGCACAUGACUAGGCAGUUCAUAUUUAGACAUGAUUUUGGCAUAAUAUGUAGCUAACUUACAAAUUUUGAAAUCAAACACCUAAGUUCACUAUAUUACAAAGCAUACAAACAUUAAGGGUUUUAACUGUAGGGAGUCAUUAAUAAGUUAUACAGGUAAUUUGAUUAUCCUAGCAUAAAACAAACAAUCGUAAAUGCAAUUAUUUAGUAUGAUGUUAAUUAUUAAAUAAGUCUACUUAGAAUCACAUAGGGCUUUUUGACUUGUAACUUUCUGAUGCUUAGGAUAGGUAUGGAAUUAUAGAAUAGUAAGUGUCAAAUAGUUUCAAGCACAAAAAUAGUUUGGCAAAUUGUAUUAUUCCCUAUUCUCCCCCUUUAGCGACCCUUACCUGCUCACCGCCUUAUUUCUCCUUCUCUCACCUUUCUUAUUUCUCCACAUAGGAAAUCAUAACGUAAGACAUCAACUAUGACUAGCUCACAAGUUUUUGUGUACUACUAAACAAGUCUUUCUAUUUUCGGUGACUUUGUCACUUUUAUUUAUUUUUCAAAACAUUUCUCAUUCACGAUUGCUUUUUACUCUCAAGAGCUUUUUCUACUCUUUUUAUUAUUAUUUUCUUUUUGAAAUUUUCUUUUGCUACACAUAUUGGCUAACCUAUAAUUACUCUAUCAUAAUGAUCUUUCCUAUUUCACUUUGUUUUUACAAAAUUCUACCAUAACGUAUCUACUUAACCUUCAAUAUAUAUGGUCAGACAUCUAUAUUCGUGCAGUUCAAGACCAAAGAAAAAGGGUAAAGACAUAUUAAUGUUUUUGGCUCGGGUUUUGAGUGAAGGUUCAUCAAGAAGCGUUUUUUGGCUCAAAUAUAGGUACUAAUGAAGAAUAAAUAGGGUUAGCAUUUUGGCUCGAGGUGUAUACCAAACAAUGUCUCAGGUCAUCCCUAGUUAUCUCAAUAUUCACAAAUUUAAUCGCGCAAACAAUCACAAUCUCAACAAUUUAUCAUACAUACUAGCAUGGUUGUUUCCCUAUAUUUCCUAUAUCAUAUGGUACAUUCAUUUGAUAAAUACCUAUUUACAGUGUACUAUAUAGAACUUAGUAGACUAAUAAUAAAAAAAUUAAAUUCACCUAUCAUCACGCCAAAUUAUAGUAGAUACAAUCAACCUAUGCAUAUGCUCCUAACCAGUCACUUGUAUUUCUACAAGAUUAAGUACAAAAUUGACAAUAAAAAUCAAAGAAAAGUUAAAAUAAAUCUUCUGUGUUACCCCCCAACACUUUAAAUAACACAUUGUCCUCAAUGUGUAGCCCCUGACAAGAUAAGGAAAGAAAUUACUCGAUUGAUUGUGGUUGUUCCAUAAGCUAUUGGUGGGUAUCUUCUUUUAUCGUUGGACAUUUGAAUUUGUUGUGCGGGGAUUUAGCUAAAAGUUCAUAAAUAUGUAUAUCUGCAAAAUUCAAAUAUAACUUAUUACAUUAUACUAAAAAAAACUUAAUAUUCCUAAUGUAAGCUAUACUUAAAAACUAUCCUACUACAUGUAUAUAACAUCUUAUUGUAUUAUUCAUCUUCCUCUUGGUGUCCUCUUUUUCUUCUUUCCUCCUUUUGCUUUCUUUAUAUUAUUAUAAACUGCCUAUAUACAUCUUCGAGGAUUCAUCUCUGUAUCUAGUUGCUUCAUAGGCACUCCUACUCUUUUACACAGCUUCGUUAUCAGAUGCAGGAAGAAUGUUCCCUUUUCCUAAUUUCGUACGCAUUCAAUCAUGUUCUGAUAUAUCCAUGCACCAAUACAUACUUGCUUAUUUUUCAAUAAUCCAUAUAGUAGAAUGGCAUGUAUUGGGCUAAUGUCAAAAAUGUCAGCUAUAGGGCAAAUUCUUGAACAUACAACUUUAUCCAUAAUUUUUCUUUUAGCGUCAUUAAUGCUUGGUUAAAUGUCUUAGGUAUAGUUGUUCCAGUUUUAUACGUCCAUACCUCUUUUCCUUCUGUCAAGAAUCUCAAAAUCCCAUUCAAGCCUACAUUUCUAAACUCUUUAAGAUCCGCUUUGUACAAAUAAUCAUGGUAAUAAUAUGAAGCAUCAUAAAGCUGACAAAUACUUAUUUUGACAUUAACCCUUCUAACUUUGACAAAAAAAUGCGACUCAUAGAAUGGUAUUAUUGCUUCCUCUCUUUUAAUGCAAGAUAAAAUUCCUGCACAAUGGGAAUUAUUGUGGGGUCUUCUUAUGGUAAACAAAAAUUAGUCCAUUCCCUUUCUGUUGCGAUCUCCUAUAUCCCUUUGCAAUUUCCCAUCAAUGGAUCAAAUCCUUGUUCUGGAAUGAAAGAGUAAGGCUACAGUUGUUGUAGAUAUCUAUCUACGUUAUUUUCCUAUAAUUCAACAGACGGAUUCAUGAUAUUAUACCAAAACUUAUAACUUUUCCAAACCUGAAUAGGCUAUCGUAGUGUCCUUUGAAACUAUCAAGAUUUUGAACAAUGAUAGAAAAAUCUUACUUUUUCCACAAUAUUUUUAAGUAAUGAGAAGAGUAAUGUGACCUAUUUAUUCUUGAGGAAAAUAAUAAUAAAAUUAAGAAUUAUAGCUGUGUUAGACAAGUUAGUCCUGAUCACAAAGGGUGUUAAGAGUUCUAAAUCUAAUGAAAUUCAGUUGUAGAGACGUAAGAAGUUAGAAUAUAUACGGUUGGAAGAUUACACAGGUGUGUUGUGACAACCUCUAUGGGUGUUGUGACGUCGAGGAAAGUUUACCUAUUUUGAAUUUUGUCUGAUGUCGCGACAUGCACUCUUGAUGUCGCUACACUGAUGCCAGUUUCUGUUGUGCUCUUUUUUUGUUUUACGGUCUUUUGUUACAUCACUUUUUUCAUUGGUUCCCCAUUCAUGUUCUUUCAUAUCCUCUUUUUCGCUGAGGCUCCAUAAAUUUUUGCAUUGUAGGGCUUGUGUGUCUAUUACUUCCUUUGUUGUCCCUCUAAAAUAAUGUUUUAUUCUUUGCCCAUUUACAAGAAAAAAUUAUCCUCCCUUUUCGAUGAGUUCUAUUGCCCCGUUAGGUGUCACCUUGUUUAUAGAAUACGAGCUAGUCCAUUUCGAUUUCAGUUUGCACAAAAAUGAUUUCAAUCUCUAAUUGAAGAAUAGGACUUUUUAUCUAGGUAAGAAUUCUCAUUUUUGGAUCCUUGCAUCAUGCUGAAGUCUGCUCCUUUCCUUGUACAUCUUAGUGCUUCCGUAGGCCAUAAAACAAGCUUAUUCCAAUUUGUUUAAUUGGAAUAAUCUUUCUCUCUUAGCUAACUUUGGAUCUAAGUUCAGUUCCUUGAUUGCCUAAUAUACUUUGUUUUCCCAUUCAAUCGGUAAAUGACAAUUUUUCCCAUAAACUAAUUUGUAGAGAGACAUGCCUAAUGGAGUUUUAUAUGUUGUUCUUUAAGCCCAUCAUGAAUUGUCCAAUCUUGCUACCCAAUCUUUCCUGCUUGGAUUCACCAUUUUCUCUAAAAUUUGUUUAAUUUCUUGGUUAGAACUUCUGCUUGACUAUUAACUUAGGGAUGGUAUGCUACUGCCAUUCGAUGCUUCACACUGUACUUAGCUAAUAUUGUAAAAAUGGGAUCAUUCAUCACUUACCAACACACGGGGUAUUCCAAAUCUAGUGAAUAGGUUUUUUUUCUCAAAAAUCUAACUAUUGAUUUGGUAUCGUUGGUAGGUAAGGCCACAACCUCAACCCAUUUUGAGGCAUAAUCAACAACUAUUAGGAUGUAUUGGUUCUCGAAAUAACUUGGGAAGGGCCCCAUGAAGUCAAUCCCUCAAACAUCAAAUACCUCUACCUCAAGUAUCCCUAUUUGUGGCAUUUCAUCUCUUUUCGAUAUGCUCUCAAUUCUUUGACAUCUGUCACAUCCUUGUACAAAUUUGUAUGCAUCUGUGUUCAUGGUUGACCAAUAAAAUUCCCCUCGCAUGGUGAUGUAUGAUAUCCUUGCAGAAUAUCAUUUAUCUUUCCCUCUGCUACACAUCUUCAUACUAACUGAUCAGCACAUUGCCGAAAUACAUAUGCAUCUUCCCAAAUAUAAUUUUUCGAUUGAUGCAUUGUCCUCUUCUUUUGUUUCCAUGAUACUUGUGGUGGAAAGACACCUUUAGCAAUGUAAUUGACAUAAUCUGCAUACCAUUGUGUGUUGUUAUUCCUGGACCUUGUUUGAUGGAUGUCUACCGUAAAUAACUAUUCGUCUAUAAAAGUUUCCUUAAUUUCUUUAAAAGUCCCCUUUUCUAAGUCAUUUUCUAUUCUGGAUAGAUGACCUGCAAUUUGUUCCUUUUCUAUCCAUUGUACAUAAGUCAAAUUCUUGAAGCAGCAAUACCUAUCUUAUCAGUAUAACUUUUUUUUUCUUUUUUUCUUAAUAUAUUUCAAUGUCGAAUGAUCAGUAUAAACAUAUACUUUGUUUGUCAUCAAAUAAAGACGAAAUUUUUCAUAAGCGAACACUAUAGCAAACAUUUCUUUCUUUGCAUUACGUUGAGUUGAGUGUCUUACUUGCAUAGUGAAUAGCUCCAAAUAUGUUAUUUCUCUUUUGUCACAGAAAUGCUCCCAUAACAUAAUCGCUAGUGUCACACAUAACAAUAAAAGGGUUUGAACAAUUAGGAGUAAUAAUUAUAGAUGCAGAGAUGAGUUUUUCUUUUAUUACCUCGAAGGAUUUUUUACAUUUUUGAUCGAAUAUAAAAGGUGUCUCUUUUUGGAGAAGUUGAUUUAAUGGCUUAGAUAUGUGCGUACAUUCUUUUAUGAAUCGUUUGUAGAAUCCAGAAUGACCCAAAAAAUUUCACACUCAUGGAGCGGUUGUAAGGUUAGGAAGAUUGUUUAUAACUUCAAUUUUAGCUUUAUCUACUUCCAAACCUUUCCUUGAUAUUUGAUGUCCUAGCACUAACCCCUAUUUCAUUAUAAAAUGACAUUUUUCCCAAUUAAGUACUAGAUUAGUUUUUUUGCAUCUCUGUAAGACUUUCUCAAGAUUACCUAGACACUCUUGAAAAGAGUCUCCGUAUAUUGAGAAAUCAUUCAUGAAUACAUCCAAGCCUUCUUCCAAUAUAUUAGCAAAAAUGGCAGUCAUACAUCUCAUAAAGGUUGCUGGAGCAUUACAUGGUCCAAAUAGCAUUCGUUUAAAGGCGUACAUGCAAAAAGGACAUGUAAAGGUAGUUUUUUCUUGGUCAUUCAAAUGUAUUAGAAUUUGAUGAUAUCUAGAAUACCCAUCAAUUAAACAGUAGUAGUCUUCUCCAACCAAUAUAUCAAUCAUUUGAUUAAUAAAAGGUAGUGAGAAAUGAUCCUUUUUUGUAACGUCAUUUGAUUUUUAGUAUUCGAUGCAUAACCUCCAAACAGUGACUGUUCUUGUUGGAAUUAACUCAUUCUUAUUGUUCUCAACUACCAUUAGUCCUACUUUCUUUGGAAUGCAUUGCGUAGGGCUAACCCAUUCACUAUAAGAACUUGCAUAAACAAUACCUGCGUCCAACCAUUUAAGCAGUUCUUUCUUUACCACCUCUUUCAUAGUUGGAUUGAGCCUAAGAUGUGCAUCUACCAUAGGUUUUUUUCCUUCUUCUGAUAUGUUCUUGUGUUGACAUAACGCAGGAUUAAUCCCUUUAAUAUCAGUGAUCGUUCAUCCUAUGGCCUUUUUGUGUGUUUUUAGAAUAAUCAACAAAACCUCUUCCUACUCUGAACUUAGCCUGACAACUAUAAUCACAGGUAACAUAUUAUGAUCCCCCAAAUACCCAUACUUUAAAUUCUCUAUGUAACACCCCAAACCCGUCCUAAACAUUAGGGCCGAAUCUGGUGAUGUCACAUUGUAACACCUGUUACCCGUAUCAACGCUGGAAUAGGGUACGAGGCAUUACCAGAAUAAAUACACUUAUAGACAUAUUAAUCCGAGUUAUAAAAUUUUAUCCAAAUUAAACUUUCCAAUUGUUAUUCUGGGUCGUUAAUUAGGGUUUACUUGGCUAAAUAUACUCACAAUCUUUCACUUCUUCAUCGUAUGAAUUUAUAAAUAUUCACUUGUUGAAUUCGUCUUGAGUACCUGAAUUGAUCCGUAUCAUUACAUAUUCUCAUAUUGUCAAAUUUUCCUUUUUAACUAUUAUAGUAUAACAAUAGUUCACUAUCUAGUACGCUAAUUGUCACAUACAUACAUUAACCAUUCAUCUCCCAUACAGCUAAGAAAAUUAGCCACAAAGAUAGUACAAAUUUUCUCUAUUCGAUAUAAACCAAAACCUGUUAUUUCUUUUCCAACAAACCUUACUAGAUAUACACUUUAUACUAACCUAAGUGUUCAACCAUUCACCCAUGACAUAAAUGUAUUUUAUCCAUUAUUGCCGAAUAUAGAUAUGCUUCACAAAUCAUAAUUCACCUCACAUAGUAACCGAAUUAAUUUUUAUCAUUUGUCAAAUAGAUUACAAAAUAAGUUAUAUAACAAAAUAUAGAUACAUUUUAAACCACACAAUUAAACAAAUUUUCAUGGCAUUACAUGAUCUUCACUUAUCAAAGACAAAUGUUCUUGACAUUUCCAUCACCUAAACUGAAUUAAUCAAUGCAACUCAAUAAUAUAAUCAUCCAUACAUCAUUAUUAUCACACAUAUAUAUAUCAUGACUAAAUUUCUUAAACAUUUGAUCAUUUGCUUUUCAAUACCGCAAUAGCUCCUUCAGUACAAAUACGUAUUUACCAUUCAAUUUAACAUUUACCGAUUAUAAUCGGGCAUAUGACCAUUUAUACACAAUUCAUUCAUACAUUUUAUUCUCCUCCUCCUCUCCAUCCCACAUCCUUUAUGUAUAUAACAUGCUUAAAUAGCAUUAUACAUAAUUUCACUAUCCACUUAUAUUUAAAUUUAAAGUUGUCUAGUUGAGUUAUAGUCACUAAAUUAUUUUUAUCUAGAGCUACAGAGCUCCAAAUUAAGUUUUGUUAAUUUUUCCCGAAACUAGACUCACAUAUCUCCUUACCAUAAAAUUUUCAGAAUUUUUUGUUUAGCCAAUUAGUAUAGUUUAUCCUUUAAACUUCCCCUAUUUCACUGUUAGAUAGCUCUGAUCCCUCUUCACUAAAAUUUACUUAACUCUUUGUACAGAAUUCAAAAUAUGUUCUUGUUUGUUUCUCUUGAAAAUAGACUCAUUGAGAAGUUCAAACAUGUAUAAUACAAGCCAUAAUUAUUGUGAUUUUUCAAAGUUGCACAACUGCUGUUGUUCAAAACUAUUUUAUUUCUAAAUUUACUCUUUUAUAGUUUUGAUAUUUCAUACCAUCUUACACAUGGGUCGAUUAAGUAUCAAACCCAAUAUUCCUCACAUAAUCUUGUCCAUUUCAUAUGUACAUUCACUUUUCCAAUUUCCCUAUUGAACACUCGGAAUAUUAUCCGUUACUUGGUGGAUUCAGCACUUAGCAACCACCUUAAAUUCAGUGAUACGGGGAAUCAGCACAUAGCAACCCCUUUCACAAUCAAAGAUACGGUGGAAUCAGCACUUACCAACCACCUUUACAUUCAGUGAUACGGGGAAUCAGCACAUAGCAACCCCUUUCACAAUCAAAUAUACGGUGGAAUCAGCACUUAGCAACCACCUUUAGAAUCAAUAAUUCGAGGAAUCAGCACUUAGCAACCCCUCAGAGAAUCUACACUUAGUGACCCAUUUUCAUCCAAUGUAUUCCGGUCUAUUCCGAGUGUUCAACCGGAAACCUUGUUUUUUUAAAAUUUUACCACCUUUCUCAAACUUAACCACAUUUUUUUUAUAAUCUACAUCAAAUAUUUAAUCUAUAUUCACUCAAAUCUCAACAAUAUAUUGAAUAACAUUAAAAUAAUGCAUUAAUUCACAUACAAACUUACUUUGGUGCAACAAUAUAGAAAUUUAGUAAUUUAGUCUUUAAUCUUUUCUUUUCUUUGAUCAAGGUCGAUUCCACUUCUUUCUUGAACUAUAAUAACACAUUUAACUUAUUUAACAUGCACAUUCAUCAAAACAGUCCUUAACUCAAACUUUGGCAAAAUUACAAUUUUGCCCCUAAACUUUUGCCCCAAAGCUCGAAAAUUAAACUUCAUCUCUUGUUCUUAUGUUUUAUGACAUACUAAACAUUUUUCCCUUCUAUGGCAACAUCAAAUUCCCACUCUAACACUUAUGAACAUUAGGUAUUUUUCUGAUUAUGUCAUUUUACUAGUUUUCUCUUAAAAUCGCUUAGCAAAAGUUGUUUAACAUAAUUUCUAGCUUUAUAUUCUACCAUAAAACAUCAAAAUAAACACAUUUCACCUAUGGGUAUUUUCCCAAAUAUAAACCCUAGGUUAAAUUAUUGUUAGAAAUAGCUAAAACAAGUUACCGAGACUCUAAAAACGUAAAGAACAUUAAAAACGAGGCUUAGAAUCACUUACCAUAGAGCUUGGAAGCUUGAAAACCCUUACUAUGACUUCUCCCCUUGCUAAAUUCGGCCUUAGCUUGAAGAUGGACAAAAUUUUGGCUAUUUUGGCCUUUUUAAUUCUUUUAAUUACUAAAUAACCAAAAUGCCCCCAACUUAAAAAAAAAUCCUUUUUCACUUAUCUCUUGUCCAUUUUUGUCCAACAAGUUAACCAAUGGUAUAAUUACCAUUUAAGAACCUCCAAUUUAAAAUUUCAUAGCAAUUUAACACCUCUAGCUGCUAGAACUCAACUUUUGUACUUUUUAUAAUUUAGUCCUUUUGGCUAAAUUGAGUGCCUAAACGUCGAAAUUUUUGAACGAAAUUUUUACGAAAUCAUUCCAUGAAAUUGUAGACCAUAAAAAUAUAAUAAAAAAUAAAUUUUUCCUCAUCAAAUUUUUGGUCCCGAAACCACUGUUCCGACUAGAUCUAAAAUCGGGCUGUUACACUCUAGUAAUGACUUUAACUCCAACUCAGGAGGUUUAACAAUGGAAGGUACCAUAUUUUUUUAAUUUAGGAUAAUUAGUCUUGUUUCCCCUUACUUUGCCUCCACCAAUCAAGUUGGAAAGCUAUCUGGUCAUUCUCUUGUUCGGUAUCGUACCCUUUCUCUUAUUUCGAUUCAUAUUCAUCCUACUCAAUCGACUUCACUAUCAUUGACUCCAAUCUAUUUAACUUUUUCUCUUCUGGUUUAGACUUUUCUAGCCCUCUAGUUUCUAGUUCUCGAUGUGUCCCAUAGGUAAAUUCAUUUUCGUUGAAUUUUUCCAAUAUUUUCAUGACCUCUUUUCUUGUUUUCUCCCAAAUACUUCCCCCAGUCAUGAUGUCAAAUUGCGCCUAUUCUGACUAUCCAAUCCAUCAUAGAAAUGUUGAAUUUGAAUCACAAAAAGUAUGCCUCCACCCUGAACUAAUUUGAUGAUUAUUUUAAACCUCUCCCAUGCUUGCCUUAAUGUUUUAGUGAUGUGUUUUAUGAAUUGAAAUAAUUUCUUAUAAAUAUUGAGUACCUUAGUUAUAUGCAAGACCCAAUAAAGAAAUAACUACACAAAUUCGUCCAUGUAGAAAUAGUAUCAGGUGGAAGUGCAUCUAACCACACUUUUGCUUUUCCAUCUAACGCACAUGGAAUUAGCAAUAAUUUAAUAGUGUCUAGUGGAACUCCAACGUAAGCGACAGUGCUGCAGAUGUGUUAAAACCACCGUAGGAAGGUUAUAGGGUCCUCUAUUUUAUGAUCAUUAAAUCUUACAUUAUUAGAAAUCCAUGUUAGUCAGGAAGGAUUUAACUCAAAAUAUGGAUUAUGAAUAAUGGGACAAGUGAUGCUAGAUCGCAACCAAUCCACAUCAAAAAAAAUCUUCCUAAUGCUUGCAUCAUAUUACUAAUGGUUACUUGUAAUAGUCUGUUUUUCAAUGGUGUCAGAGAUAGAGGCUUUGGGGCCACCAAAUUUGACAAGUAAGUUCGUAAAUAUUACGAGUCAAAUAUGGUUUUAAAAAUACUUUUGAUAUGAUAAUUUAUGCUAUUCAAAUGAUUAAUUAAGUUUAAAUGGUAAGACCCUAAUGUCAAGUGGUUUUAGAAAAUGAGGUAUCGGGACCUCGUUUCUAUAAACCGAGCCGUAAAUAUUUUUAUAAAUAUUUACGGAGUGUCAUUAAGGUGGCAUUAAAGUUUCAUUGAAUAUUUUUAACGUUUUGAUAGUUAAUUAAGCAAAAAGGACUAAAUCCUAAAAAGUGUAAAAUGUGAUCACUAUUUAAUCAGAGUGAUUAAAUGGCUUAUUGAAUAAAGGAAAAGGGACCUAGAUGGUAAUUAGACCAUUUUUAUAAAUAAUGGACAAAGGUGGACAAUAAAUAGGUAAAUUUUGAUAUUAUAACAAAGGUUAAUUUAGUAAUUUAUUUAUUAAAAGAAAAUUAAAACAAAUAAAAAAAUGGCAUCAUCUUCUUUAACUUUGGUUCCACUGAACUUGUUGAAGAAGGAAGCCAUAGCUAGAGCUUAAUAUUCGGCCAUGCUUUGGAUUAUGCAUGUAAGUCUGUUUUAGCCUCGUUUUUAAUAAUUUUUAUGUUUUGUGAUCGUUGCAACUAGGUCAAGCUAGCCAGUACCAUCGAUUUUGAAAUUGUUGAAGAUUUUGAAUGUUUCCAUUGAUGAACCUUACGAUUUUAGAUUUUUAAUGAUGAAUAUGAAAUGUUGGUUGGGAUUUAAAAGUAUUUUGUUAAGUAAUUUUGAUGAAUUUUUCGAUUAGGGACUAAAUUGUUGAAAUCGUAAAAGUACAUGGAUUUGAUGUGAAAUUGUUGCAAAUAUGGGCUAUAUUGGAAGCUAAAAAUAUUUGGCUGUUAUGAAAUUUCAAUAAAAAUGGUUAAUUUGCAUGUUUUAGGCUCAUGGACUAAAUUGAAUAAAAGUAAAAUAUUAGGGGUAAUUUUGUAAAAAUGUCAAAAUGACUAAAUUGCAUAAAUACAUUGUUUUAUUGUAUAAAUUAAUAGAUUGAAUAAAUUAUUAAUUCAGAUCAAGAUCGAGUGGAAAAUCAAGGAGAAUGGGAAAUUACCAAAAUACCCCUAUACUUUGUCAUUUCUGCAAUUUUGCCAGCUAAAUUCGUAACUUGUUUAGUUCAAUUAAUUACUGUUUCGAUAAAUUAUUAUCGAUUUGUAUAUAUAUAUGUGAAUCAAAUUUUUCAGCUUGAAGGAAACGAAUGAGACACUAUGGCAAUUUUUCAGAUGCAAGACCGUGGUUGGACAAUGGCAAUGUUUACGUAAGACCAAAGCGAGGAUAUGGCAGAUUUUCAGACGUAAGACCAUGGUUGGACCAUAGCAGUGUAUAUAUAUAUGUAAGACCAUAGUUGGGCUAUGGUAUUCUAAUGGUAAGACCAUAACUUGGUUAUGGUACUAUGAGUGUAAGACCAUGGCAAGGCCAUGGCAGUGCACAUGUAAGACCAUAGUUGGACUAUGGCACAAUAUGAAACGUGUACCGGGUUUUAAAGGUCUUUACAGUGUUCAUCAAAUAUGAAAAGGGAUAGUUUUGACCAUCGAUUAAAGAAAAUGGAUGGUUUCGACUUUUAUUUAGCACACUUGUGUGAGUUCCGGUACUGGUUUCGAUUGACUUCACUACGAUAAUUAUGGAAAGGUAUAAUGCAUCAAUGAUCAAAGUAUGAAUAUUAAUGACUUGAAAGGUAAGAUUUAAGUGAUUCUAUGUUUAUAUACUAUAUUUGUAACACCCCAAACCCGGCCUAGACGUUAUGGUCGAAUCUGGCGUGUCACAUUGAAGUGUCUCUCGAAAACUGAACUCGUUGGUAAAAAUUUGUUUCUAAGUUUAUAAAAAAACCCCAUUUAUUUUAAAUUAAAAAAUCAACUAGUCAAAACGUUUAUCUUGUUAUCUGAUAUUGUUUUAAUAAGUUGGUCUAAAAUCGCAAAAGCUUUUAAACUCUAUUGUUAAAACUCGUGUCUUUGAAAACAGUAAUUAUUUUAAAAUUUUAUCUUCUCCUAAACUAGCAAUUUAAAAUAAGCAAGCGAAGCCCAAUUCAAAAUUAUAACCAACAUAAAGGCCUUAUUAGACAAAAACAAAACCCAACAUAUAAAUUAAGUUAAAAUAAAAGCACAUGUAAACAACAGCAGUUGUGUGGCCACCUCCGAGUCCCUCGUAGCACCGAAUCAUCUACGACUGAGGAUUACCUACACAGUUAAAAGGAGAGGGUGAGUUUACGAAACUUAGUGUGUAAGCUCCAUUCAGUCAAACAAUAUACGACAUGCAGUAUCAGUCUAGGCCUAAGCCCUAAACAGUAACAGUAUAAUGUGGGCCUUAGCCUAAUACAGUAACAGUGUGGACUUUAGCCCAAUCAAUAUCAGUACAGUGCAAUAAUGUAAAUCAUCCCAAUCCAACCAACACACCACUCUGUACCACCAACACACUAUGUGGGGACAAAAUCGACCUACCCAGCCAACAUACCAAUACCGCAGCAAAGCUGCCAGUAGUAGCAUCACAGCAGAGCUGCCAGUAUCAGUAUCGCAGCAAAGCUGCCAGAACAGUAUACUUCCUCCAUAACAGUAUCCCAACCCCAUGCAAUAUGUCUUGUCAAAAAUCAUACUUUUAUGCAAAAUAUCAUAUUUGAUCAUAGUCAUACAUAUCAUAGAGCAAAUCGGUCAUACAUACAUAAGGUCGUAACAGUCAUUUCGACUCUUAGGGGUAUAAUAGUCAUUUUACCCUACGGGGUAUUUCAGUCAUUUUACCCUUUGGGAGUAUUUCGAUCAUUUUACCUUUCGGGGGUAUUUUAGUCAUUUUACCCUUUAGGGGUAUUUCGGUUAUUUUGCCCUGAAGGGGUAUUUAGUCAUUUUACCAUUCGGGGGUAUUUCGAUCAUUUUACCCUUUGGGGGUAUUUCGAUCAUUUUACUCUUCAAGGGUAUUUCGAUCAUUUUACCCUUUGGGCGUAUUUUAGUCAUUUUACCUUUAGGGGGUAUUUCGAUCAUUUUACCCUUCAAGGGUAUUUCGAUCAUUUUACCUUUUGAGGGUAUUUCGGUUAUUUUACCUUUUGGGGGUAUUUUGGUCAUUUUAUCCUUUGGUGGUAUUUCGGUCAUUUUACCCUUCGGGGCUAUUUCGGUCAUUUUAUCCUUUAGGAGUAUUUCAGUCAUUUGCCCACGAAUCGCAACUUGGGCUUACCACUCGAGCGAUCGCAUGCCCUUGUGGUCUCAAACGCCGUGUUUACGGCUUUUCGGCCUUUUGCCGAUCUACGGUUGCAGUGGGGUGAUUACCCACAUGUUUACGAGAAGAGCGCAAAUCUACACGUACACCCACCUAGAAUCAAACAUGACCCAAAGUUAGUCCAUUAAUUGCUAGGGUAAAACGCCCUCUUAUUACACUUAAUCCAAAACACCCUCCUUAACUUGAUUGAACGUUGAGCCCAAAGGUUGCGACUAUUUCAAAUCAUUUACAAACCACCACUCCUCGAAGGAAACCCUAAAACCGCAACGAGUAACACCAUAUGAGGAAGAAAUCAACCAUAGGGAAUUAAAGUGUAAAGAAAAAGAGUAUUCGAUUUUGAGAAAAAGAAAAGAAGAGAAUAGGUUUACUCAAGUGAGGAGUAUAACCACUUACCGAUAGUCAGAAACCUGCAGCACAGGAAUGGCAAGAAGUAGCAGAGAAAGAUCAAUGUAGAGAACGAUACAACGAAUGGGUGAUAUUCGGCUAGGAGGUAAAAAGGAGAGAAGCCCAACAGAGAUAAACCGAAGAAAACAAACAGGUUAUUCGGCCAAGAGGGCAUAGAUUGAAGGAGAAGAGAAGAAGAAAAGAAAAAAGGAAUAGAGAAUCAAAGCCGAUAAAAUGAAAGACAGAAAAGGGGGAGUUCGGUAAAAGAAGGAACCAAAAUAUUGUUCGGCCGAAACCAAAAAGGUAAAAGAAGAAGGCAGAAAAGUAAUCAAAAGGAGAUACUCGAGAAUUUCGGCACCACAAAGCAAACCAAGGAAAACAUUACCCAAAAACGAAAUGCGAAAAAACAUCCAAAAUGAGCCAUAUUCCCUCUAGCCGAAUUACCUGAGUACCAAAGUCUCCAUUCGGCACACCUCUCCUCUCCCCUCACAUCCCUUGAUUUUCUCCUAAAAUCACUCCAACAACUCCAUUCAAAUUCCAUUCAAACUCCCAUUAGCUGUGUUCCAGUCCAACUCCACUACCUACACAACUGAAGCAUCAAAAUAAACACUCCAUUGAACGACCCACGACUUGAACCUCAGACCUCACAAUCACACAACACGCCACCUUGCCACUAGACCACAAGCUUUUUUUGUGUCAUAAAAGAAACACUAAUAUUUAUAAGGCCUAAAUACCAAUGUCCAAAUUCAUUUAAGAGCAAAACUAAAAAUUCUGCAAAAGCCAAGACUUGUACCCAGGCUCCUCAAACACUCCCGUACACACCCAAAUCAUUUAGCCAUUAAAGCAAACAAGCAAUUUGUGUCAAAUCAUGGAAAAAAUAAAGACUUCAAAUUUUGGGGCGUUACAACUCUACCCCCUUAACAAAAUUUUGGCCUCGAAAUUUACCUGAUCAGAAAAGAUGAGGCUAUUGUUGUCGCAUCGCCUCUUCGGGUUUCCACGUGGCUUCUUCUGAAUUGUGAUUACGCCAAAGAACUUUGACUAGAGGAAUAGACUUCUUCCUCAGUACUUUAAACUCACGAUCUAGUAUUUGCACUGUCUCCUCCUCAAAAGACAGAUCUGACCCAACCUCAAUCUCCUCGACUGGUACAAUGUGGGUGGGAUCAGAAAGAUAACGCCUCAGCAUGAAGACGUGGAACACAUCAUGAAUCUGGUUUAAUUCUGAAGGCAACGCAAGUUGAUAUGCAACCGCUCCCACACGCUUUAGUAUACGGUAAGGCCCAAUGAACCUAGGGCUAAGUUUACCCUUCCGCCCAAACCUCAAUAUCUUUUUCCAUGAGGAGACCUUGAGAAAUAAGAAGUCCCCCACAGAAUACUCAAUCUCUCAGCGUUUAAGAUCCACGUACGACUUCUGUCUAUCAGAUGCUUUCUUCAACCGGUCUCGAAUCAGUUUUACAUUUUCUUCGGUAUUAAAAACUAACUCAGGCCCUAAAACUCACCGUUCCCCUAGCUCAGUCCAACUGGUAGGAGUAUGAUACCUUCGACCAUAUAACGCCUCAUACGGUGCCAUUUGAAUACUGGACUGAUAGCUAUUAUUAUACGUGAACUUUGCUAACGGAAAAUAGUCUUCCCAACUACCACAGAAAUCCAUUACACAACACCUCAACAUAUCCUCCAGUCUUGAAUCACUCUUUUUGAUUGACCAUCCGUCUGAGGAUGAAACGCAGUACUAAAGUCCAGUCUUAAACCCAAAGCCUCGUGAACUUCUUCUAAAAUCGUGACGUGAAGCAAGGAUCUCUGUCUAAUAUAAUGGAAACCAGUACCUCAUGUAGUCUUACAAUCUCAGCCACAUAUAGUUUAGCCAACUUCUGCAAAGAGUAAUCAGUACGGACUGGUAUGAAAUGGGUAGAUUUAGUCAAUUGAUCUACAUUAACCCAUACCGAAUCCUUCUUGGUAGGCGUUAAGGGUAGCCCACUCACAAAAUCCAUGGUUAUUCUCCCCCACUUCCAAAGUGGUAUUUUAACUGGCUGUAGUAACCCUGAAGGUAAUUGAUGUUCAGCCUUCACUUACUGACAAGUUAGACACUUACCCACAAAAUUAGUAACUUCACGCUUAAGACCAAACUACCAAAAUAACUCACGAAGGUGACGGUACAUUUUAUUCCCGCAGGGAUGCAUAGCAUAAGGACUACUAUGCGCCUCUCGCAGUAUAGCCUGCCUCAAAUCAUUAUCCCUCGGCACACAGGCUCUCCCACGGAAGCACAGUACUCCUCACUAUUCAACCCAAAAUCUAAAGUUUUCCCACUCCUCACUUGUCAGAAAUGAGGAACCAGUGAUUCAUCCAACAACUGUUUACCCUUAAUUUGUUCAGUCCACGUUGGUCUAACUUGCAGCUCAGCUAACAAGUUACCAUCAUCAAACAAGCUGAGACGAGCAAACAUCGCUCUUAAAUCAGACAUAGUCCUACAACUUAGUGCGUCAGCUACCACAUUAACCUUUCCAAGAUGGUAUUCAAUCAAGCAAUCAUAAUCCUUAAGCAGCUCUAUCCAUCUUUGCUGCCUAAGAUUCAACUCCUUCUGAGUGAGGAGGUACUUGAGGCUCUUGUGAUCUGUAUAGAUAAUACACCUCUCAUUGUAUAAACAGUGCCUCCAAAUUUUUAGUGCGAAAACCACUGCGGCUAACUCUAAGUCAUGAGUAGGGUAAUUCGCCUCGUGAGGCUUAAGCUGCCGAGAUGCAUAAGCAACCACCUUACCCUCUUGCAUCAGCACACAACCCAAACCAACGUGUGAUGCAUCACUGUAGACAGUGAAUUCCUUCCCAGACUCUGGCUGUAUCAAGAUAGGGGCCCCAGUCAAAACUUUCUUCAUUUUCCCAAAACUUUCUUGCUGCUUAUCAGUCCAGUUAAACGGUACCCCUUUACGCAGCAACUUAGUUAGAGGUGCAGUAAUUAAGGAAAACCCCUCAACAAAACGUCUGUAAUACCCUGCCAAACCCAGAAAACUUUGAAUCUCAGAUACGGUCUUAGGUGGUUUCCAAUCUAGUACAACUUCAGUUUUUUGAGGAUCAACCCUAAUCCCCUCAGCAGACACCACGUGACCUAGAAAUGUCACUUCUCGCAGCCAGAACUCACACUUGCAGUACUUAGCGUAUAGUUGUUUCUCCCUUAGAAUCUGCAGAACAAUUCGAAGAUGUGCAUCAUGAUCAUCCUCGAUUCUCGAAUACACUAAGAUAUCAUCUAUAAAUACCACUACGAACCGAUCCAGGUAGCGAUGGAAUACUUGGUUCAUCAAGUCCAUGAAGGCUGUUGGUACAUUCGUCAGCCCAAACGGCAUGACUAGGAACUCAUAAUGACCAUAAAUAGUCCUAAAAGCAAUCUUAUACACAUCAACCUCCUUAACUCUCAGCUGAUGAUACCUAGAACGAAGAUCUAUUUUAGAGAAUAUCGAAGCUCCUUGCAACUGAUCAAAUAAAUCAUCUAUCCUCGGCAAAGGAUACUUAUUCUUGAUAGUCAAUUUAUUCAAUUGUCAAUAGUCAAUGCACAUGAGCAUGGUCCCAUCCUUUUUCUUUACUAACAACACUGGUGCUCCCCACGGAGACACGCUAGGUCAAAUGAAUCCUCGAUCCAACAGUUCUUGGAUUUGAGCUUUUAAUUCCACCAGCUCCUUCGGUGCCAUCCUAUAAGGGGAGAUGGACACUGGAGUCAUUCCAGGCAGGAGCUCAAUUCCAAAUUCAACUUCGUGGCUCGGAGGCAACACAAGGAGCUCAUUAGAAAAAACAUCGGAAAAAUCCUUAACCAUUCUAAUAUCUUCAACAGAAAGACCCUUAGAAUCAGAUAAACCAACAUAGGCUAGAAACGUAUUACAACCCUUGCGAACCAGUUUUUCGGCCCUUAAUGUAGAGAUGGCAUUAGACAGAAAGUCAUUUUGCUCCUCAAUCACAGCCACCUCCUCAUCCUCUAUAGUCUUUAAUACCAUUCGUUUAGCAGCAUAAUCGAAACUUGCAUGGUGUUUUACCAACCAAUCCAUCCCCAAGAUUAGAUCGAAUUCACCGAACGGUAGCUCCAUAAAAUCCGCUAGAAAUAUCACUCCUUGAACCUCUAGGGGCACUUCUCUGAACAACUUGUCUACCCUUACUGAUUAUCCCAAUGGACUUAACACAGUUAUCUUAUUAACAGUACUCUCACGCAUGAUACCCAAGGUGCCAGACAUAGUGGAUGCAAUGUAUAAAUGUGUAGACCCUAAAUCAAUUAAAGCAAUGUAAGGUACAUUGUGAAUCAGAAACAUACCAGUUAUAACAUCUAGAGCGUCACCAUCCUUUCAGCGACGAGCAGCGUAGACCAAUGCUAGCGGUCUCACCUCAAUGUUACCAACACCUCUGUCUGGCAUUCCACGACCUCGUCCCACACCAUUUUCACCUCUAAACUGCCCAAGGCCUCUCUAUGGCUGCUGAACACCUCUAACUGGCUGAACAAAACCCUGACCUGUAGCUUGCACCUAAACAGGCCUCUGAGGACAAUUCUUAACUUUAUGCUCCAUAGACCCACAUCUGAAACAAGCCUCAAUCUUCUUCUAGCAUUCACCCAGGUGAUUUCUUCCACAAUCAACACAAGGCUGUGGUCUUGCAAUAGAAACCCUAGCUCGGACUGGCCUAUCAAACCUAACCUUCUUUUUAGACCUUCUAGAAGUACUUGAGAGCUCUAAAUCCCUCUUAUAUCUGCCCCUAUCCUUUCCACAGUUCUGGCGCUCAAAGAACUUCACAUCCUCGGCAAUUUUCGCCUUCUCAACUAAGGUAGCAAAAUCUCGAUCCCUCUACGGAGCUAUCAAAACUCACAACUCAUCCCGGAGGCUGUCCUCAAAUCACACACAGCAUUCAUAUUCAGUCGCCAUUAUCCCACAAGCAUAAUGAAUCAGACGCAGAAACUCUGCCUCAUAUUCCGCCACAGUUUUAUUCCCCUGAAUCAAACUCAAAAAUCCUCUUCUUCGGGCGUCCACAUAACUUGAGCCCACAUACUUUCCUUGAAAUGCCGCCUUAAAGAAAUCCCACGUUAACCGGUCGGCCUGAGUACCUUCUCUCUCAGUAAGCCACCACUGAGAGGCUUCAUCUCGCAGUAAAGACACUGCUUCUUUAAGUUUUUGCUCAAAAUUGCAGUCGAGAUCCUCCAUUAUUCUCUCUGUGGCUUCCAACCAGUAUUCAGCCACAUUAGGGGCUACUCCAGAAAUACCCCUGAAAUUUUUUGCUCCAUUCGACCGGAGUCGUUUUGAAAUUGAACCAUAGCCCACAGCACUAGUACUGGUACCCUUUCCAGAAUGCGAAGCAUAGCUUGGGAUAGUGCAUCAUCCCUAGCCGCUCGAUCGAAUGAUCCCGUCUUAGUCACUGAUGAAGCUGGUGCUUCCCUAGCCCCAACAUUAGCCAUGUGGCCUGACGCCGAAGACCCAGCCCUAGCACUUCCUCAGCCUCUACCACAACCUCGUGUACCCCUUCCGCAAGUACCUCUAGUGCUCAUAUCGAAUAACGUAUAAUCUGUUUAUGAAGUUUUAUGUAUUAGUUAGUAAUUCCAGUAUUUAUUAACAGAAGUCUUAUGGGAAGCAAUAAUCAGAGUUUGUUUUCGUAAUUCAAGAGUUCCCUACAGUUUCCAGUUUUCUUACAGUCUCAGUUUUCUCUAAUUUAAGAGUUUCAGUACAGUCCUACUAUUUAUAGUAAUCUCUCAAUGUUUUUUAGUUCAGGCAGUCUAUAGUAUAAAGAAACUUACAGAUUUGGCACUGGAGACUCGGUGUGUCACACUUGUAAGCCUUCCAAAAUACUUCAAAACAGUUUUCCAAAUACUUUCAAAACCCAUUCCAGAGUCGAGGUUUGCAACCUUGCUUUGAUACCACUAAAUGUAACACACUAAACCUGGCCUAGACGUUAUAGUCGAAUCUGGCUUGUCACAUUCAAGUGUCAUCCAAAAAUAAAACUCGUUGGUAAAAUUUAUUUCUAAGUUUAUAAAAAAUCAUUUAUUUUAAAUUAACAAAUCGAUUAGUCAAAACGUUUAUCUUGUUAUCUGAUAUAAGUUGGUCUAAAAUCGCGAAAGCUUUUUAAACUCUAUUGUUAAAACUCGUGUAUUUGAAAACAGUAAUUAUUUUAAAAAUUCGUCUUCUUCUAAACUAGCAGCUUAAAAUAAGUAAGAAAAGCCCAAUUCAAAAUUAUAACCAACUUAAAGGCCUUAUUAGAUAAAAACAAAGGCCAACAUAUAAAUUAAGUUAAAAUAAAAGCACAUGUAAACAACAGUAGUUGUGUGGCCACCUCCGAGUCCCUCGCAGCACCGAAUCAUCUAUGGCUGAGAAUUACCUGCACAGUUAAAAGGAGAGGGUGAGUUUACGAAACUCAGUGUGUAAUCUCCAUUCAGUCAAAGAAUAUACGACAUGUAGUAUUAGCCUGGGACAGAGCCCUAAACAGUAAUAGUAUAGUGUGGGCCUUAGCCCAAUACAGUAACAGUGUGGGCCUUACCCCAAUACAAUAUCAGUACAGUUUAAUAAUGCAAAUCAUCUCAAUCUUGCCAACACACCAAUAUCGAAGUAAAGCUGCUAGUAGUAGCAUCGCAGCAGAGCUGCCAGUAUCAGUAUCGCAGCAGAGCUGCCAGAAACAAUAUACUUCCUCUAUAACAGUAUCCCAACUCCAUACAAUAUAUCUGUCAUAAAUCAUACGUGUAUGCAAAAUAUCAUAUUUGAUCAUAGUCAUACAUAUCAUAGAGCAAACCGAUCAUACAUACAUAAGGUCAUAACAGUCAUUCCGACUCUUAAAGGUAUAACAGUCAUUUUAUCCUAUGGGGGUAUUUCGGUCAUUAUACCCUUGGGGGUAUUUUGAUCAUUUUACCUUUUAGGGGUAAUUUAGUCAUUUUACCUUUCAGGGGUAUUUCAGUCAUUUUACCCUUCGAGGGUAUUUCGAUCAUUUUACCUUUAGGGGGUAUUUCAGUCAUUUUACCCUUCGAGGGUAUUUCGAUCAUUUUACCCUUUGGGGGUAUUUAAGUUAUUUUACCUUUCAUGGGUAUUUUGAUCAUUUUACCCUUUGGGGGUAUUUCGGUCAUUUUACCCUACGGGGGUAUUUCAAUCAUUUGGCCACGAAUUGUAAGUUAGGCUUACCACUAGAGCGAUCACAUGCCCGUGUGGUCUCAAACAUCGUGUUUACGACUUUUUGACCAUUCACCAAUCAACGGUUGCAGUGGGGUGAUUACACAACUGUUUAUGAGAAGAUUGCAAAUCUCCACGUACGCCCACCUAGAAUCAAACAUGACCCAAAGUUAGUCCAUUAAUUGCGAGGGUAAAACGCCCUCUUAUUACACUUAAUCCAAAACACUUUCCUUACCUUGAUUGAACGUUGAGCACAAAGGUUGCGACUAUUUCAAAUCACUUACAAACCACCACUCCUCGAAGGAAACCCGAAGACUGCAACGAGUAACACCAUAUGAGGAAGAAAUCAACCAUAGGCAAUUAAAGGAUAAAGAAAAAGAGUAUUCGAUUUUGAGAAAAAGAAAAGAAGAGAACAGGUUUACUCAAGUGAGGAGUAUAACCACUUAUCGAUAGUCAGAAACCUGCAGCAUAAGAACGGCAAGAAGCAGCAGAGAAAGAUCAACGUAGAGAACGAUACUACGAAUGGGUGAUAUUCGACUAGGAGGUAAAAGGGAAAGAAGCCUGACAGAGAUAAACCGAUGAAAAAAGAGAGGUUAUUCGGCAAAGAGGGCACAGAUUGAAGGAGAAGAGAAGAAGAAAAGAAAAAAGGAAUAGAGAAUCAAAGCCAAUAAAAUGAAAGAAAAAAGGGCGAGUUCGGCAAAAGUAGGAACCAAAAUAUUGUUCGGCCGAAACCAAAAAGGUAAAAGAAGAAGGCAGAAAAGUAAUCAAAAGGAGAUACUCGAGAAUUUAGCAAUAAUUCGGUACCACAAAGCAAAACAAGGGAAACAUUACCCAAAAAUGAAAUGCGAAAAAACACCCAAAAUGAGCCAUAUCCCCUCUGGCUGAAUUCCCUGAGUACCAAAGUCCCCAUUCGGCACACCUCUCCUCUCCCCUCACAUCCAUUGUUUUUCUCCUAAAAUCACUCCCCUUAUCCCUCAUUGAAUCACUCCACCAAAUUCUCCUCAACUCCCUCCAACAACUCCAUUCAAAUUCCAUUCAAACUCCCCUUAGCUAUGUUUCAGUCCAGCUCCACUACCUACACAUCUCAAGCAGCAAAAUAAACACUCCAUUGCACAACCUACGGCUUGAACCUCAGACCUCACAAUCACACAACAUGCCACCUUGCCACCAGACCACAAGCUCUUUUUGUGUCAUAAAACAAACACUAAUAUUUAUAAGGCCUAAAUACCAAUGUCCAAAUUCAUUUAAGAGCAAAACUAAAAAUUCUGCAAAAGCCAAUACUUGAACCCAGGCUUCUCAAACACUCCCAUACACACCCAAAUCACUUACCCAUUAAAGCAAACAAGCAGUUUGUGUCAAAUCAUGUAAAAAUUAAAGACUAAAAUUUUUGGGGCAUUACAAUAUUUUACCAUGUGAUGAUAUUGCUAAGUUAUGUUUCAAUCACUAGCCUGUGACAAUGGUAAGUGUUCAAUAUGAACCAAGACAUGUGUGUAUGAAACUUAUUGAAAUGAUGAUACAUGGGAAAACAUGAUAUGUUAUGAAGGAUAAUAGAUCCAAUUGGAUCAUGCUAAAGUAUAAUGGUUGUCUAUGUUAAGUUCACAUAAAUUAUAUUCAAUUAUGGUAUCAUGUGUUAUUGUUGGAGCUUGGGCUUGUGCCAAGUUUAUGAUUGAAUUAUAUCAUGUUUAAUCUUAAUGAAAUGCAUUGAAACGGUAAGUGCUCAAAUGGGUAACGUGCUUAUGUCCAUGAAAAGGGGGAAUAAAUCAAAGUAUGUAAUUUCUUUUGCAAUGGCUGAUUAUGGAGUUGAUUCUGAACGAACUAUGUUUAAAUGCACUAGUUUGUAGUCAUGGUUAAUAUUAUCCGUAUAUCUUGUGUGUUAUAUAUAUGAAACGAGUGAUGAAAGGUAAUGAAAUGGUAAAUUCAUAGUCGAAAUUAAAUUUGAUGAAAAUGGAGUAAUGAGUUUCAAUGAUGUACUAUAUGUUUGAAGUUUACGUAUGCUAUGAAUGAAUAUAACUAUAUCAUAGAUAAAUACACUAAGUCAGGAAUUGAGAAUGUGGUUUAGGCUUAUGAUAGGCAUUGGGAAUGAAAUGAAAAGAAAGUAGAUUGAAAAGUGUAUAAUCUUAUAGAAAAUUUGAUGAUUAUCUAUUAAGUCCCUUAAAAUCCUAUCAUAUUAUGAAUGAUAAAUGUAUGUGACAUUAAUGAACUUACUCAUUUAUGGGUUGAUGAUCAUAUCGUUUUAUGAAUCUUAUGGCAUUUACAUAGAUUUAUGUUUAUUUUAGAAAGUCUAUUAUUGAAAUGAAAUAUUAUGUUUAAAGUUUAUACCAACUUACUAAGCAUACAUUGCUUACGUAGUUAUUUUCCUUUACUUGACAGAUUAUCGGAAGCUUGAUCAGGUUGGAAGCUAGCUAGAGAUCCAUCACACUAUCCAUCGAAUUUAUCUGUAGAGUUUGAUGUUUUAGUCGUGGUUAUAAUGCAUGUAUAGAUGGAAUAUGUCUAAUAUUUAAUUAAUGAGUUCAGCAUGUAUAUGUCAUUUUGGUUGAUGAUAUUGGCAUGAAAUGUUGCCUUGGAUUUUACGUACUUAAGGUACUAUUGAUGUUUUCUUAGUUGUGGUUAAUAUGAUCAAAUUGAUGCAUGGUCUUAUGACCAAAGUGUUAUGUGUUGGCAUGUAUAUAUCUUUGGUUUUAUGAGUGAUGACAUUUUGACAUUUUGGUUCUUAAAUGGUUAAUGUUGAAAUGGCCAAGUAGAUGUAUGUUUUUAAUGAUCAAUUUGGUAUAUUUUGUUGAGGUCUGACAUAUGGUCAAUUGUGCUAUGUCUUGGCAUGAUAAUUUAUGUUUGUGUAUAUUGAUUCAUGCCAAAACAUGUAAGUGUUUAGGUUGAUUUGAAUAUUUAUGUUUGAGGUGCCUUUUGGGCAUACUAGUUGUAUGCAAAAAUGUCAUAUUGAUCUAGUUUUAUUAUGCAUGUGUUAGGUACAUUUUUGAAUGCUUGAAAUAGGUGCAAAUGGCUUGUAUGUAUUAACAUGUUUUGGGUACGAGAAAUGCCUUGAAAAUGGCCUAUUUCUUGUCCACACGGCCUGAGACACGAGAGUGUGUCUUAGCCAUGUGAGUCACACGGCCAUGCGAUACAACCAUGUGUCCCCUGUAGGUUUUUAAAGGUUGCAUUUCAAGAGUUACAUGGCCUAGCACACGGGCGUGUGGCUUGGUCAUGUGAACCAAGUUAGAGAGUUACAUGGGCACAAACACGGGCUAGGACACGGGCGUGUGUCCUUACUUCAAAUGCCCACACGAUAUUGUUACCCCUAUAGUGUAAAUUUUUCCAUAUUUUUCUAUGAAGUUUUAGAUGUUUUUGAUUUAGUCCCGAAUUGUUUCUAAAGUGUUUCUAAGGCCUCGAGGGCUCGAAUUAGGGAUGUUAUGCAUGUGUUUGAUUUGGACUUUGCAAUGAUUAUGAAACAUUGGAAAUCAAUGAUUUAAGUUUUGUUUUUAUGGUAAUUCUUCGUAACCCUAUUCUGGCGAUGGAUAUGGGUUAGGGGUGUUACAUUACUUAUUAGCAGGCAAAUGUUAUUCCCUCAUAUUGUGUUCUAUACCACCAGAAGAACUUUAGUCGUUAGUUUUCUUGAGUACAUAAGUAUCUUCUAUAAGUAUGUUCCUAUAUCUUGAAACCAAAAGAAAAAAAAUAUGUUAGUAAAGCUGAUGUUUAAAAUUUGUAUCUCUAAUGUAUCAAUUUCCUAAUUAUUCUAUUAAAAUGCAAAAAUUAAAAUUGCAACACCUCAAACCCAGCCUAGGAGUUAUGGCCGAAUCUGGCGGUGUCACAUUGAGGUGUUUAGCGUAAAACUUGUUUUGUUCAAAUCUUUAAAAUCAAUUAAUCAUUUUGUUAUUAAACGGUGAUUCCAAAACGGGUUGUUCAUUUCCAAGCGUGCAUCAUUAGAAACUAAUCACUUUUAAAAUGUUAUAAAUUUUCCAAAAUCUCAUUUAUUGCGAAAACGUGGUGUCUUUGAAAACUCGUCUUAUUUUACAACUAUCUGUUUAUAUCAAACUAAAUAAAUAAAACCCCCAAUUCAAAUUUCAUAACUUUAAAGAGUCCUUUUUACAUAAAAAUACCCAAAUUCAGUUACUUAUAAAUCAAAAGCUAAAAACAAAAUCUGAUGGUUACCUGCACAAUUAAGAGGAGAGGAUGAGUUUACGAAAACUCAGUGUGUAAUCCCUUAUCAAACAGUCGGCAUAUAGAACAGAAUCAGUCUAGGCCAGAGCCCUUUAACAGUAACAGUACAGUGUUGGCCUUAUCCCAAAACAGAAACAGUGUGAGCCUAAGCCCGAUACAGAAACAGUGUGGUGCAAGUAUGCAAACCCAUCCUAAUCCAGCCAACAUACCACCCGUACCAACCCAACACACCAUGUGGGGACAGAGUCGACCCACCCAACCCUCACACCAAUAUCACAACAUAGCUACCAAUAGUAAUAAUGCAGCAGAGCUACCAGUAGUUAGAAUGGCUAAGAGCCGUAAACAGGAUAGCUAUAAGCUAUAAACAGAAUGGCUACAAGCCAUAAGACAGUAAUGUGAUUGGCUCAAAGCCAUCAGUAGCAGUGAUAUGACCGGCACACAGCCAUCAGCAACGGUAACAUGAUCAGCUCAAAGCUAGCAGCAGCAGUGAUAUGACCGGCACACAGCCAUUAGUAACAGUGAAAUGAUCAGUACAAAGCCAUCAGUAACGGUACUAUGAUUCGCACAAAGCCAUCAGUAACAGUACUAUGAUCGACACAAAGCCAUUAGUAACAGUACUAUGAUCGGUACAAAGCCAUCAGUAAUGGUACUAUGAUCGGUUCAAAGCCAUCAACAGCACCGCAGUAAAGUUGCCAGCAACAGUAUUGCACCAAAGUUGCCAGUAAUAGUAUAUGUGGCCAAGCCACCAGUAGCAGUGAUUAUGGCAAAACCACUAGUAUAGUACUUCCUCCAUAACAGUAUCCUAACCCCAUAUAGUAUGUCGUGUAUGCAGAAUGCUAUGCUUAGAAUCAAUCAUUCAAAUCACAGGCAAAUUAUUCAUACCAAACACAGACAAACCAGUAAUUUAACCACAGACAAAAUAAUCAUUUGACCUCGAGGGGGAAAAAUUGUCAUUUACCCACAAGGGCAUUACGGUCAUUUUACCCUACAGAGGUAAUACGAUCAUUUUACCAUACAGGGAUAUUACGGUCAUUUUACCCUAUAGGGGCAUUACGGUCAUUUUACCCUACAAGGGUAUUACGAUCAUUUUACCCUACAAUGGUAUUACGGUCAUUUUACCCUAUAGGGUCAUUACGGUCAUUUUACCCUACAAGGGUAUUACAGUCAUUUUACCCUACAGAGGUAUUACGGUCAUUUUAUCCUAUAGGGGUAUUUCGAUAUUCUACCCUAUGAGGGUAUUUCGGUCAUUUUACCUUAUAGGGGAAUUUUACUCAUUUUACCCAUCGAGGGUAUUUUGGGCCAGAUAUCGACCUCUUGAAAAGUCCACAAUCACCUCAGCGACUCAGGUAACCUAAUUGGUCACAAUAGUGUAAAUGGGCCCAAGGCCUAUUACUCGGCCCAAGUGGGCCCACACGCUCAUGUGGCAUGUUGUACGAGUCACAAAGCCCAACUCAAGCUCAAGAACAUGAUGGGCUCAAAUUACCACAAAGGCCCAAUAAUGAGGUCAAAGGCCAAGCAAAUGCGUAUGAAACUAAAUGGAACCAUUCAAGGCUUCAUUAGCAAGGCCCUAGAUGCAUAUACAAAGGAAAAAGAAAAUCAAGAUUCACUUUCUUGUUUUCAAGAAAAUCAAGAAACCGAAUCUUGGUCCAAUUUUGCUGUUUUGAGCGAUUUCAAGAAUCAAGAAAAUCAAGAUUUCAAAUCUUGGAAAUCUUGGUCCAAGAAACUAAAUCUUGCAGCUAAGGCGCAUUGGAUCUCAGUAACUAGCAUCAACGAACCAAUUUCGGGAGAGAACGGAUUACAAGCUCAAGUUCUUGAAGAUACGACCCAAUAAGAUGUUCCAAGCCCAACCAAGAAGUUUAAAUUAGACUUAGUUGAAAAUCAGGCCAAAUUGUCAAAGUGACCUAAUUUGUGAAAUUUUAAUUCUUUAAAUACUUAGUUUUAAUUUUUAGACUUUAUGAAUAAAUUUCUAUGUAAGAAUUCAGUCCAAGAGGCCCAUUUAAAGGCCUUGGACGAAAUUCCCUUGAAAGGCAACAAUUAGGGUUUUUUUUAGUUUUCCUAGUAGGGAUAGGAAAGUAGUUAGGAGGCCUAUAUAUAUGGCUUGGCCGACCACCCUUUUACAGGAUAUAUUGAAUUCAGAUUUUUUUUGUGGAGUGAAAACUCUCUUUGAGUUUCUCCAAGAAUUCUCUCUUGAGUUUUCUUUAGAAGUAGUUUUAAAAAUCUUUUUGAUUGUGGGAGCCAUCUUCAACCUUCUUCUUGCUGUGUUUUUACAUUGGAGGGAAGAUUAGAGCCGUUUGAAGGGAGUUGUGAAAUCUUUCUUGAUUUCAAGGCUUCUUAGGACUUUAUCCAUCCUUUUUGCUAUUUUUUCUUUUUUAAUUAUUUUUGUUUGUGUCGAAUUGUUGAUUAACUUGGUUUAAUUAUUCUUGUUGCGUUUGCAGCCAUUCCAAGCUUCAAGGAUCUGUUUUGUAACAUUCUUUGGCAUCAAGAAACGUUCUUUAUUCAUCCUUUCUUGCCGCCCAAGUAUCAUUCUAUUUCAAUUUGGUUUUCUUAGCCUUUUAAGUUUAAUUUUCUAUUUUCUGUUUAUGUUUUAGAUCUAAGUGUCGAUAGUUUUCGUAGGAUUUUCCCCUGACUUGGCAACUCGAUCUUGGUCCAUGCGCAACCUCCUAUCAUUUGGUAUCAGAUUUUGGGCGUUUUGGGUGUUCUUGGUUGAUUUCUAAACUGAUUUCCUUUAAAAAACAGCAUAUAGCAGUUUUUACCAAGAAAAAUUUUUGAAAAAAAUUCAUUUAAGUGGAAAAUAUUGUCCGAUUGGUCUGAAAUUUUAUAUGCAUAUUUGUGGCAUUGUGAUAGAAUAUUAAAAAACAUCUCCCGCAAAAAAAAUCAGUAGAAAAAGUCAAAAAAAUAGAAAAAUACGAAAUCAAAUAAAAAUUUAAAAAAAUAUUCAGCGAGUUGAGUUUAGUGCCGAAACUUUCCAGAUCAAAUAUACAAUAUUAAGGACAUUCCAGUUUAAAUUUUGUGAUUUUUGGAGAUCGAGAACACCUCGAACGAAGUUGUGAAGUUACUCCGCAGUUUUUUCGAGUUUUCGGGUGUCAGCAAUUUUUAUUGAUUCUUAGCUGUAGGUUUUCAUUUGUUUUUCUUUUAUUCUUCCUUUACAGUAUCUAACACCUUCUUGUUUCUUGUGUUAGUAGGAUUUAAAAGUGUGCACAAUUCUUCCUCGGUGCGACACAAAUAAAUUGGUGCCUCGUCACUUUUUGGACUCCUAGUGCAAUUAAGAUUCUUUGGUAGUUACGGUUCAUACACUUUCUAAUUGAUUGAUAUAGACUCUACUAAAGUACUCACAAGACUGAAUUCUACCUCUUUGUGAAUUUGAUUUUCCUUUUUGAGUGAUUAACGGUGAGGUUUGUUAAUUUUUGAGUGUUGAGUCUUUGUUUUGCAGGUAUUCCAAAAAAAAUAAAAAAUAAAAAUAAGAUGUCUAGAAUUGGUCAAGUCGUUGAUUUUUUAGAUUCGAGGACGAAUCUUUUUGAGGAAAGGGGAAUGAUACGAGUCCCAAAGGCCCAACUCAAGCUCAAGAACGUGAUGGGCUCAAAUUACCACAAGGCCCAAUAAUGAGGUCAAAGGCCAGGCAAAUGUGUAUGAAACUAAAUGGAACCGUUCAAGACUUCAUUAGCAAGGCCCUAGAUGCGUAUACAAAGGAAAAAGAAAAUCAAGAUUCACUUUCUUGUUUUCAAGAAAAUCAAGAAACCGAAUCAUGGUCCAAUUUUGUUGUUUUGAGCGAUUUCAAGAAUCAAGAAAAUCAAGAUUUCAAAUCUUGGAAAUCUUGGUCCAAGAAAUGAAUCUUACAGCUAAGGCGCAUUGCAUCUCAAUUAUGAGUAUCAACGAACCAAUUUCGGGAGAGAACGGAUUACAAGCCCAAGUUCUUGAAGAUACGACCCAAUAAGAUGUUCCAAGCCCAACCAAGAAGUUUAAAUUAGACUUAGUUGAAAAUUAGACCAAAUUGUCAAAGUGACCCAAUUUGUAAAAUUUUAAUUCUUUAAAUACUUAGUUUUAAUUUUUAGACUUUAUGAAUAAAUUUCUAUGUAAGAAUUCAGUCCAAGAGGCCCAUUUAAAGGCCUUGGAUGAAAUUCCCUUGAAAGGCAACAAUUAGGGUUUUUUUUAGUUUUCCUAGUAGGGAUAGGAAAGUAGUUAGGAGGCCUAUAUAUAUGGCUUGGCCGGCCACCCUUAUACAGGAUAUAUUGAAUUCAGAUUUUUUUUGGGGAGUGAAAACUCUCUUUGAGUUUCUCCAAGAAUUCUCUCUUGAGUUUACUUUAGAAGUAGUUUUAAAAAUCUUUUUGAUUGUGGGAGCCAUCUUCAACCUUCUUCUUGCCGUGUUUUUACAUUGGAGGGAAGAUUAGGGCCGUUUGAAGGGAGUUGUGAAAUCUUUCUUGAUUUCAAGGCUUCUUAGGACUUUAUCCAUCCUUUUUGCUGUUUGUUCUUUUUUAAUUAUUUUUGUUUGUGUCGAAUUGUUGAUUAACUUGGUUUAAUUGUUCUUGUUGCGUUUCCAGCCAUUCCAAGCUUCAAGGAUUUGUUUUGCAACAUUCUUUGGCAUCAAGAAACAUUCUUUAUUCAUCAUUUCUUGCCGCCCAAGUAUGAUUCUAUUUCAAUUUUGUUUUCUUGGUCUUUUAAGUUUAAUUUUCUGUUUUCUGUUUCCGUUUUAGAUCUAAGUGUCGAUAGUUUUUGUAGGAUUUUCCUGUGACUUGGCAACUCGAUCUCGGUCCGCACGUGACCCUCUAUCACCUGUUCAGCCCAAAUUUCACCACGGCUAUGAGAUCUACAUAGCCCAGUCUAGUAUUUGCCACAAAUAGUGGGUUUCAUCUGUGUGGGGCCCACAAGCCCAUUGAGCCCACAUGACCCAACGUGGGCCAUUACGGCCUAAGCCCAUGAAAAUGCUCAUGGAGGCCUCCACAGUUUAUUGCCAAUGAUUCGCAGGUUCAGCUUUCCACACGAGCGAUCACACGCUCGUGUGGUCUCAAACAUCGUAUUUCAACCUUUUGGCUUUUGCCAUUCUACAGUUACAGUGGGGAGUUUACACACCUAAUGCAAUUUGCAGAUUCCCUUCGAUCCGAACACUCUUAUUCUGCAAAUCAAUGAUCAUCGCACCCUUGGUUCCCAGGAAAUGUGCCAAUCAACCUCGACUACCUCCAGUUAGGAAUGGAAGCAAUACAGGUUGGAGAAAGUGACGAAUACCUUGAAAGCCUCGCUGAUCUCCCCCAUUUAGAACAAGGAACAAAUGAGAUUAUAUAUAGCUCUCUACAACAACAACCUCCCCAAAUCCCAAUAUUAUCCUCCAUAACAACCUCCAAGACCCAUUCAAACUCUCACCCAACAGAGUUCGAAACCACCUCAAACUCCUAUCACCUCAUGCUAGCAAAAUAAAUAUCCUUUUUGCUUGCAAUGAGAUUCGAACCCAAGCCCCCCUCAAUAGCUCAACACGCCACUUGUUCAUAACAACAACAAUAAAAAUUAAAGGAUAGGGAACUAGAAUCAAAUCCAGUGUUUCUCUAAAGCUUGACUAGUUUGCUCUGCUCCUCCUUCUCCGCUUGUUCUUAUUGAACCAAGGCUUCUAUGAGCACUUGAAUGCUACGUCGAAUAGUGGUUGAAGGGCUCUUUUCCAGGAGGGGAAAUCGACAAAGGAAUGGAAGGGAAAAAGAAGAACAAAGGAACGGUUUUGAAGAGAGAAAGUGAGAGAGAAGUGAAGAAUGAAAAGAUAAGAGGUGAGUUUGAAAUGAACAGCUAAGGGGGGUACUUAUAGGUUGAGUAGGCUACUAAAAAUAGAAAAAAUUAGUAGCCAUAGACUUCCCCGGUGGCCGACCACACAUGUGGCAAGUUUGAAGCUUUCAGACUUGCUAAAUUUAGCUAGGGCCAAAUCUACAAAGGCUUGAAUAGUAGAGGGGUUUGAAUGCAAUUUCAAGAAAGCUUCAAGGGUUGUUUUGCAAGCCAAAUAAUUAGGUAAAUAAGCUGAUUGGGUCAGCAUGUUGGACAGUUUUUGUAACAUUCUAUUUUUCAGUGGUGUCAGAAACAGUGGUUUCGGGGCCACCAAAUCUGACGAGUAUGUUCGUAAAUAAUAUUAUUUAAUAUUUACAAGUCAAAUAUGGUUUUAAAAAUAUUUUUGAUUUGAUAAUUUAUGUUAUAUAAGCGCUUUUUUAAGUUCAAGUGCUAAAACCCUGAGGUCAAGUGGUUCUAGAAAAUGAGGUAUCGGGACCUCGUUUAUACAAACUGAGCUGUAAAUAUUUUUAUAAAUAUUUACGGAAUGUCAUUAAGGUGGUAUUAAAGUUCCAUUGAAAAAUUUUAAUGUUUCGAUAGUUAAUUAAUUAAAAUGGACUAAAUUGUAAAAGUUGAAAAAGUCAAUCGCUAUUUAAUGUGAGUGAUUUAAUGGCUUAAUGAAUGAAAGUAUAUGGACUAAUAUGGUAAAUAUACCAUAUUACAUUUGAGUGGGCGGUUGGUUUUGUUUUAUUAUGAAUAUAUAUGUGUGUUUUAUUAAUUAAAAAUAAAACAAAUUAAAAGGUAAAUAAUUAAAGUAAAAGAUAUCAUCUUUUUUCUUUUUAUGUGUUGUUGAAUUUGAGGAAGGAGAAAGCCAUUGUUGGACCUUCAAGCUUCGGCCAAGCUUCAUAGGUUGCAUGUAAGUUCGUUUUAGCCUCGUUGUUAGUAAUUUUGAAUGUUUCCAUUGAUGAUUCUUGUAUUUUUUAUGUUAGAUGAUGAAUUUGGAAUGUUGAUUCAUAAUUAAAAGCAUUUUAUUAAGUGAUUUUUGAUGAAUUUACCGAUUAGGGACUAAAUUGUUAAAAUAAUAAAAGUAUAAGGAUUUGAUGUGAAAUUAUAACAAAUAUUGGCUGAUAUGGGUGCCAUGAAUUUUUGGCUAUUAUAAUUUGUCAUUAAAAAUGGUUAAUUUGCAUGUUUUAGGCUUAGGGACUAAAUUGAAUAAAAGUAAAAAUUUAAGGGUAAUUUUGUAAAAGUAUCAAAAAUGAUCAAAUUGCAUGAAAUAUAUUGUUUUACUAUCUAAUUUGAUAAAUUAACUGAAAUCAUUAAUUUAGAUCAAGAUCGGGUGGAAAAUUGAGGAAAAUGGAAAAUUACCAAAAUACCCUUAAACUUUGGUAUUUCUGUAAUUUAGCCAGGUAAGUUCGUAUGAACUGUAUUCUGUAUAAUUUUGAUAAAAUUGAUUGUUAAUUUGUGAUUAUGCUGUGAUUAAAUCAAUAUAUAUGUUAGUAUGCAAUUUACCGUGUUAUGAAACGACGUAAAUUCAACGACGUACGACGAUUAUCGAGCCCCGUUUGAACCUUAAGAAUUUGUAGGAUACAAAUGACAUAUCAUUAGAGUUUACAUGAUUUGGGUGCUAGUCCUGAACGUCCUACCGAUGGCUGAGGUCUGGCAUGUGUUACGGAUACUCCACAUCUUGUGUGAGUAGCAUCGUGUAUCGACGUUCCAACCCAGAGCUCGUGUGAGCAGGCCCAUUUUCAUAGCUCGUGUGAGCAUUCUGAUUCACAACUAUUGUGAGCAUACAUAUACAUAAAUUGAUAGAUUACAGUUAUAUGAGUUGGCACAUUAUUUGUGGCUAUCCCAAGUAUCCAACGGUAUUCUAAAUGGUUCAACGGGCAUUAUUCGGAUAAGAAACGGUAAGAGAACGAUAUGUUUUAUGACAUGCACAUAUAUGAACAUCCUUGAUAUGAUGAUACAUGAAAAUUAUAUAGGUUGAGAUGAGUUAUAAACUCAUGAGAUACAUGUAUUGGCUAAAUGGCUAUUUAUGUUAAUGUGCCUACGAUUUAUAUCUUGUAUGCUAACAUGUUUGGUGUAAAUGCUUAAGCUUUGGCCAAGUUGUGGUUGGAUUAUGCCAUGUUAAACUAUAAGUUAUGCAUUGAAAUCGUAAGUGCCUAAAUGGAAAUAUGCUUGUGAUCAUGAAAGAGUUGUAAGUUUUAAAUUAUGUAAUUUCUUUUGAAAUGGUUUAACAUGUGGUUAAUUCCAAAAGAGAUAUGUUUAAAUGCACAAGUUUGUGGCUAUGGUUAAGGACAUCUUUAUGUCUUGUAUGUUAUGCAUAUGAAACGAGUGUGGAAAGAGAAUGAAAUGGUAAGUUCAUACUUAAAGUGUAAAAUGAUGAGAAAGAGAAUGAUGAGUUGAAUUGAUGUUGUUAUUUAAGCUAAAGAAAGUAAAUGCUAUGGAAAGUAAUGAAAUCCAAAUGAAAAUAAGAAAAUUUGAAAGGGUUUAAAGUUUUAUAAAAUCCUACUAUGCUAGGGAUGAUAUGUAUAUGUGAUGCGGUGGAAUUAUUCACUUUGUGAGUUGUUGAAUAUGGUUUCAUGAAUCUUGCGGUAUCGGUAUAGGACUAUUCUUGAUAUGUAUAAAUUUCAUAUUUGAAAUGAAUUGAUAUGACUAAAGUUUAUACGAGCUUACUAGGCAUUCAUUGCUGACGCGAUUGUUUUUCCUUUACUUUUCAGAUUAUAGGAAGCUUGAUCGAGUUGGAAGCUAGUUGGAGAUCCAUCACAGUAUCCAACGAUUAUAUCGGUAGAUUUUGAUGUCUUGGUUAAGGUUAUAAUGGCAUGAAUAGUUGAACUUAUGGUUGAUGAUUAGUUGAAUGUUAGUUGAUGUAUUUAGCAUGUAUAUGUUAUUUUGGGUGAUGUAGCCUUGUUGAUAUGUGCUAAUUUGAUAAUGUGUUAAAGCAUGUUUGAAUGGCCAAAGUGAUAUAUGAUUAACUGGCCUCAACAUGGUCAAGAUGUGGUAUGCUUUGGAAAGGUUUUGAACUAGAUAUGGCAUGAAUCUAAUAUGGUGUGGAGAUUAUGUAGUAAUUAUGUCAUGUUUUGGCAUGGAAACAAGUUAAUUGAUAAUUGGAUAAAUAUGCAUAUUUAUAGGUGUUUUUGGUUGAUGUUUUAGCCAUUAUGUUUUGGCUUGUAAAUUUUGUAUUUUGAAUGAUUGAAAUGGUUGAUAUGUGGAUAUAUGUAUGUAGCCUUUUGAUGGAUGAAUUUAUAGUCUUUAUGAUGCUUAGACAAUGGAAGUUGAACAUGGUCAUUUUGGUAUUAAAAAUGUAGUUGGUAUUUAUGGCUUAUGAUACUAAAUGUUAAAUGGUAGGUUUUGGCUAAACUAAGUAUUUAGUUAUACAUGUUUAAUUGUUGUGAUUGAGGUGCCUUUGGGCAUAUUGGUUGUAUGAAUAUGUACCUGUUUGGGUAGCUUGUUGUUGUAUGGUUUGGUGUACUUUGGGAUGCUUGAUUACAUGUGGUAAAUUGGUUCUAGGUGUGUGCAUGAAUGGGUGAGAAAAAUGGCUUGGAAAUGACCUAUUUUUCGUCCACACAGUCAGAGACACAGGCAUGUGUCUCAGCCGUGUGUGACACACGGCCAAGCGACAUGGUCGUGUGUCCCCUGUAGGUUUUUUAAAGGUUGCAUUUUGAAAUUUACACGGCCUGACACAUGAGUGUGUGGCUUGGCCGUGUGACCCAAGUCAGAGAGUUACACAAGAUAGGACACGGUCGUGUAUCCUUACUUCGAAUGUCCACAUGACCAUGUGACCCCUGCAAUUUGCGAACUUUCAUAUUUUUCUGAAAAAUUCUAUAUGUUUCUGAUUUAGUCCCGACUUGUUUCUAAUGUGUUUUUAGGGCCUUGAGGGCUCGUAUAAGGCAUGAUAUGCAUUUUAUUGUUUGGUUUACUGUGAUUAAUGAUAUGAAUUAAAAUGAAAUUUUGAUAGUUUUGAAACAUAAAAUUUGGUAAUGCUCUGUAACCCUAUUCUAGUGACAAAUACAGGUUAAGGGUGUUACAGGUUUGGGCAGCCCAUUGCUCGAUUGGAUCGGUCUGCUUGGUUUAGCCUAAUUGAGCUUCUUUUCAUAAUUAAUUAAUAAUUAUUUAACCCAAAAUAAAUUAGAUUAAAAUUAAAAUUAAAUAUAUUAUGAAUUAAUAUUCAUAAUUUGGACCGUCUUAGGCUGAAAAAUUAAUUCGUCUCGAUGAUUCAAAAUCGCUUCUCGAUUUUGUGCUUCCAAUAGUGUCUACCAAGCCAAUUUUUCCCCUUUGUGCGAAUCUAUCGAAAAUAAAUCAAAAUAAAUCAAAUUUUAUUAUAAAAUUAAUUAAAAUUCAACAUGUUAAUAAUAUAAGUACAAUUUAAUUACUUUAUAAUUAUUAUAUGUUUUUUGACAAGAAUUACCACGAAAUUACGUGAAUUUGAGUUAAUAAGGGCAUGAAAAAGUGUGUAUAUUUUCGUGUUUCCACACCCCCAAACCUAAUCAUUGUUCGUCCCGAGUAAAACACAAAUUGAAAGGAAUUUCUCGAAAACACCUUUGAAAAAUUCCUUAAAAUUAACACUCUUCCCAAAAUUAUGAAUUUAGUAUACUUAUGCUCAAAAACAAGAAAUUUGAUAUUUAUGCUACUUAAGUGUACAUAUCAUUCAAAUUAAUAUCAAUUACUAUUAUGAUAGCAAAAAUAGACUAAAUGCUUACUCAAUAAUGACAUGUUAAAUCCCUACCAAUUUGAUUUUAUUCCCUUGUUUAAGAUUAAGCUACAAUAAUUAAGUUUAACUUAUGCCUCCAUAUGUUGAAUAUAGAAAUUUUUCUCCACUAAUGUAGGUAGCAUAGAAACUUGAAUCAAUAUGUCUUUUAAAUAGGUUGUAACGUGACUAGGCUAGGGGUAGGUGAAAGAUAGAUAAAUUUAGGCUAAAAACCCUAGACUUAGCUUCAGUUAGACCUUCAAAAUAUUUACCUUCAAUACACCAACUUAUUUUACUUUCACGUGCUCUUUUGUACAUCUAUUUUCUUUCAAAUACAUAUGCUCUUUCUCUUCUUUUUUUUCACGAGCAUUUUUAUUUAUGUACUAUAAUUUUUUGAGCACUUGAUACCUCUUUUCAACUCUCCCAAACUUAUUUUCAAAGAAUAUUUUGAAUAGUACUGAGUCUAGUGUUUGAGACAAUUUAAAGAUAAUUAAGAGAAAAGUGAUGGCUAAAUAUUGCAAGGUUCAAAUAAAAUUAGGCCAUGUAGCUUCAAAGUUGGGUUGCAAGGGAUAACAAUUCGUCAAGGUUGGCUUUAAAGGCUCAAGCGGUCCAAACAAAAGUUUCCUAAAUCAUUUUCAACAUUCCAUGCUUCCUAGGAUUUCGUCUCAAGAAAUUACUAAGUCAAUUCUAGAGACAUAAACUUUCAUGCAUUCCUAGCUUUUCUAAGGAACUAAAAAUUUUAUGGUAUGAUUUACAUACUUAUUAAAAGUACAUUUAUGUCAUAAUUCAGCUAGCAUAACAAUUAUUGAAAUAAUAGAACUUUAUUCAUACUGAAGUUUAGCAUACUUAGAAAAUUUUCAAAUUUUUGAACAAAAUAUAACUUAAUCAUAAUUAAAAGAAAAUUUUAUUCUGAAAGGAAAUGAUUUCAAUUUUUCGGUCCCCCUACUUAAGAUGAACAAUGUCCUCAUUGUUAACAGUGAAUAGAUACUAUACACUAGGUAAGAUUCUAGAAAAUAGAAGGUGAGUCAAUUUGACUACUUAAGUACCAAGCUCUUUCUAGAUCCAAUCCUAGACAUGUAUAUAUCUAUUGCCACACUUCUCAUUAUAAAAAAAAUUCAUUAUUAUGAUUUCAAUCUCUUCUUUUAUUAUGCGAAAAAUUAAAAAUUAUAAUAGAUCCUAAUCCUAAAAUAACCUAAGAAAGAAAAUAAUAUAAGGUAAAGAUCCCUCCUUUCUUAUUUAUUUACAGAGCCCCAUCAUCUUUGUUCUUGCAUGAAUCGCUUCAUUCCCUCUUUGAUAGUGGACUCCAUGGUUCAAAUUAAAAUCUAGAAACUCAGGCACAAAAAUAAACGGGUCAUUGAAUAUUUUCGUAAGAGUGCUUCUCAUUGAGUCAUCCCGUAUUUUUGAAUAUCUCCAGUAAGCUUGUUGCUGCCACUGCAUAUGUUGCAUUAUGUCCAUCAACUUUGACAACUCAUCUCAAAGAUCUGGGAGAGGCGAUUAAAUUCUGAACAUUGAGGUUGUCAUGUCAAGUUCGGUUACUAGUUCUAUUGGUUCUUCCUUAUCAGGGAUUUCAGCUGACUGCAUUGGUUCAAUCUCUUUAGGAUCUUCUUCUUCUUCUUCUUCGAGAUCCUCGUUCUCUUCAACUCCUCACUGGAGAACAAAGUCUCCAGCUAUUCGGUAGAAGUCUCAAUCUGUGAUUGUGUCUUGGCUAUAACCUGUCUUUUGUUUGUUUGCAAGAAUUUUAGCUUUCAAGCACAAAAUUAUUAUCAUAAAGGGAAAGUAAGUUGGGCGAGAAUGUCUAGCGGCACAAUUCUGCAUUUCUAUCAGAAUGAAUUUCCCACAUCAAUGGUCUUUCCAGUUAAAAUCAAGUAUAAUAAGACCAUUCACUCUAAAUUGUAGUUCCAUGCGAAAUAGGCAUAAGGUUGAAUCAAAUGAAAUAGAACCAUACAUUCGCUAGUGGUGUCAAAUAUUCUCUACGACAAGUGUGAAUUCCUUGCUUUGACACAGUCCACUUAGAACCUGGAACUGUAAGUUCCUUAAGAAUUUCUUGUAAAAUUUUAGCCUCAAUAUUUAUCAUCAAGGAAGAAUAUUCUUCGUCUUCAAAAUCAGGUAAUUCAAAGAAUUCAUUAAUAGCGUUUGAGUUUAUUAGUACCUUAAUUCCUCGCACAGAAACUUCCGUCAAUUCGUUUGAGGUCAAAUUUGUCAUAAAAUUCACGAACUAAUUCCUCAUUUGCACUAAGUCUUUUCUCACAAAACAACUCUCAAUUGAGAGCUUCAGCAAUUUGUCGAAUGCGCGACAUGAAAUCGAUAUAGUUGCAUUCUUUCAGUAUAAAGCCUUUUUCAAGGUGCAUUUGUUGAUUCUUGAAAACGUUUUCGUAUCUCGCUUUGGCUUCUUCACAGUGGAAUUUGUUUUAUAAUUCGUCAAUUUGGACAGAGGCACAAGUUCUUUUGCGAGGCAUGAUCAACCUGAAUAUAAGAUGGAAACAAAUAUUUUCUCAAAAAUUCAAUUAGUAUAAAAUAUUAACAAUUCAAUAAAUUGAAAUAUUAAAUAAAUUUGAAAUUUAGGAGAAAAAUUUGUCUUGCCACAUUUAUAUAAAAAUUAAGAACUCAAAGAAAAUAAAUAUAAAGAAAAAGAGGUCGGUUUAGGGAUGGUUGGAGGGUGUCUUGAUGGUGUGGUGCGUUAGGUAGGGGUGUGCGGCUAGCAAAGGUGUGCACAGGUUUGAAGUAACGCACAGCAGUAGUGCACCUCCUUAGCAUGAGUUGUUGCGUCAUCUGGGCAGCAACUAGCGGCAGCGUGGUGUGAUAAAGGCAGGUGCGUGGGAGUAGGCCUGGCGUGAGCGACAAUAGCAAUGUAGGGUGAUCAGUUGCUGGGUGCAAGUGUGCCGUGUGGAGCUGGGAGAUGUUGUGGCUAGAGGUUCGAGAGCUGCAGCACUAGGUGAUUAUUGGUGUGGUUUGUUUAAGGUGAUGUGAAAAAGUGUAGAAGGUGAUUGGAAUUUAUAGUGAAGAGGGUACGAGUUCCAUUAGAAUUCUUCGAACAAAUUAAUAAUUAAAAUAUUCUAAGUUCUAAUUCUACAAAAAGUUAAUAACACUUAAUAAUUAAUAUAAUGCAUAUUAAAUUAUUAUUUUCUAUUAAUUUAUUGAAAAAAAUUAUUAAUUAAAAUAUGAUCAAAUUUAAACAAAUUCUAAUUCUAUGCAAAGUUGAUAAUAAUUAAUAUAAAUAUAAUUAUAUACUGUUAUUACCAUCUUAUUUAUUAAAAUUAAAUUAAAAACAUUUAUUUUAGAUCCCUUUGAAGAUAUUUACAAAAAGAGACAUCUAAUUUUUUAAUAUUUUCAAAAAGAGUAACUGAAAUUUGAAAAUAAUUCAAUUAAGUACGUAAACUUAAAGAAAAUUCAAAAAUUGAGUUGCAAUUAAAACUUGGAUAAAAAUUGACCCUUUUAUUUGAAAAAGUAAAAUAUUAUUUUGUCAUUUAAUGAAUAAUUUCUCGGAAGAUUAUGUUAAAAUCAAUUCCUAGGAAAGAUUAGAGGGGUCACAAGCGGUCCCGCUUAAGUUCCAAUCUCCUAGAUAGAAUUUUUUUAAACAUGCUAAUCCCGAAAAUAUACCUUAAAUCAUUUAUUUAAAAUGAAAAAUGAGAAAAAUUAAAUAUUUGAUAAAAUGAAUGAGACUGUAUCCUGCUCAAUUUUAUCCCCCCAAUAAUGUUUUAAACGCUGAGCAUUGACUCGAAAAUUACCUCAUUUAUCUUGAAGUUCAACAACUCCAUAUGGAAAGACUUGAUGAAUCUUAAAUGGACCAGACCAAUGUGAUUUUAACUUACGUGGAAAGAACCUUAAUUUGGAAUUGAAUAAUAAGACUUGUUGACUUUCUUCAAAUUCUUGAACUCGAAUGUGCUUGUCAUGCCAUCUUUUAAGUCUUUCCUUAAAUAGUUUGGCAUUCUCGUAUGAGAACAUCCCGAACUCUUCUAACUCAUUGAGUUAAAGCAUCUAUUUCUCUUUAGCAAGCUUAAGAUCCAAGUUGUGUUGUUAGAAAGCCCAGUAAGAUUUGUGUUCUAACUCCAAGGGCAGAUGACAAGCUUUCCCAAAGACCAACCUAUAAGGUGACAUCCCUAAAGGUGUCUUGUAUGCUGUCCUGUAGGCUCAUAAAGCAUCAUCCAGACUUUUGGACCAGUCUCAUCGAUUCGGGCAAACUACCAUCUUGAGUAUGCCUUUUAUUUCUUUGUUCUCCAGUUUAGCUUGUCUAUUCGUUUGCAGAUGGUAAGCUGUGGCAACCUUGUGCUUCACUCCAUGUUUGUCGAGUAACCAUUUCAACCAUUUGUUCACAAAAUCGGACCCUUCAUCACUGAUGAUAGCUCUUGGGGUUCCAAACCUUGUGAAAACAUGCUUCUGCCUAAUGUACUACUACCAAUAUGUACUUGUGACCAAAAGAUGGACGGAAAGGACCAAGGAAGUCAAUACCCUAAGCACCAAAUAAUUCUACCUCAAUGAUGUUUGCUCAGGGCAUCUCAUUUCUGUCGGUGACGUUUCCAACCCUUGGCAUCGAUCACAACUUUUUACAUAAGCAUAUGCAUCUUUGAAUAGCGUUGGCCAAAAGAAUCCAGCUUGCAAUACGUAGGCUGCAAUACAUGUACCUCCAAAGUAUCCCCCACUUGAAGCUGUGUGAAAAUGAUAUAAAAUCUUAUGUACUUCAUCUUCUGCUAUGCAUCUCCUGAUCAUUUGAUCUGCACACCUUUGCAACAAAUAUAGCUCUUCCUAGAAAUAGUACUUCACAUCGUGAAGAAAGUUUUUCUUUUGGUGAUAGAUCUUAUCAACUAACAUCAAUCUACAAGCUAAAUAGUUAGAAAUAUCAGCAAAACAAGGGGUAUUAUGGACAUGAUUUACCUUCAGUAUGUGUUUACUUAGGAAUGUCUCUUGAAUGGCUAUAAGUGGAGAAUUCCCUUCUUGUGGCUCUAAUUUGGACAAGUGGUCUGCUACUUGGUUUUCUACCCCUUCUUGAUCUUGAAUUUCCAGAUCGAACUCUUGGAGUAGUAGUACCCACUAGAUCAAUCUCGACUUAGCUUCUUUCUUGGCAAGUAAAUACUUAAUUGUCAAAUGAUUCGUAUAGGCAGACACAUUGGUACCUCCAAGAUAAGAUCGACACUUGUCAAAAGAAAACACAAUGGCAAGUAACUCUUUCUCUAUUACUGUAUAAUUCAAUUGAGCUCCUGUCAGAGUCCGACUUACAUAGUAGAUGGGAUAAAAAAUUUUGUUCCUUUACUGGCCCAUGACAACUCCUAUCACGAAGUCACUUGCAUCACACAUCAAUUCAAAUGGCAAAUCCUAGUCCGGUGUGACGAUUAUGGGUGCCAAAACUAACCGACUCUUCAAAUCAUUGAAAGCUUUUAAGCACUCCUCAUCAAAUUUGAACAUCGUGUCCUUCUCCAAUAAUUUGCAUAAGGUUUUAGCAAUUUUGGAGAAGUCCUUGAUAAAUAUCUGAUAGAAACCGACGUGGCCCAAAAAGCUCCUAACACCCUUUAUAGAUGUUGGAGGUGGGAGUUUCUCAAUAACAUCUACCUUUGCUUUAUCUACCUCAAUCCUAUGUCUCGUUAUCCGGUGCACUAGAACAAUACCUUCUUGUACCAUAAAAUGACACUUUUCGUAGUUAAGUACGAGGUUUGUUUCUUUGCAUCGCCUUAGUACCUUGGCUAGAUUGGCUAAGUAAUCAUCAUAUGUAUCUCUGAAUAUUGAAAAAUCAUCUACAAACACUUCCAAAUACUUCUCAACCAUGUUAAUAAAUAGACAUCAUACAUCUUUAAAAUGUUGCAGGUGGAUUACAUAAACCAAAUGACAUGCGUCUAAAUGCAAAUGUACCGUAUGGGCAUGCGAAUGUUAUCUUUUGUUAAUCUUCUAGCACUACUGUAAUCUUAUUAUACCCAGAGUAUCCAUCAAGAAAAUAGUAAUAGCUCACCCCGCGAGUCUAUCCAGCAUCUAGUCCAAGAACGGUAAAGGACAGUGAUCUUUCCUAGUUGCCUUGUUCAACUUUUGGUAAUCGGUGCAAAUUCUCCAUCCCGUAACCAUUCUAGUUGGUAUGAACUUGCUAUUCUUGUUCUCAAUGACUGUGAUACCUCCUUUCUUUGGCAUGCACUAGACCGGACUUACCCAUGAACUGUCUAAGACGGGGUAAAUUAUACUCGUAUCUAACCACUUAAUGAUUUCUUUCUUUACCACAUCCUUCAUGUUGGGGUCCAGUCUUUAUUAUCCAUCAAUUGCCCAUUUCUCGCCAUCUUCCAGGAUGAUCUUAGACAUGCAUAUAAAUGGACUAAUGCCACGAAUAUUGGCUAUGGUCCAUCCAAUAGCCUUCUUGAAUUUUUUCAACAAUAGGAUGAGUUUCUCUUCUUUCUCUUCGGUCAAUUUUGCUGAAACAAUCACAGGCAAAGUAGAAGCAUUAUCUAAAUAAACAUAUUUUAAAUAUGAGGGAAGUGCCUUCAAUUCUAAUUUAGGAGGCUCCUCGAUUAACGCUUUUGGUUGGGCAUAAUCCCUCUUCAUUCAUUCCCUUCCAAUAAAGUAUGCUAUCCAUUCUAUGCCUAGUAGCGUUAGUGCUUGAAUGUCCACCAGUGGCCCUUCAUCGAAGUAAUUGAAUAAUUCCCUUCUCAACAAAAAAUUAGAACCAACUACGAAAUUCUCUUUCCUAUUCAAAAGUUGACCAUCCCAUGUAUAUUUUGGAUGAGAGGAAGACUACAGUUGCAAAGAUGCACAAAGUUUCUUAAGCUUCAAAAUUUGUCUCCGAGAUUGUUAUACCUUUCCCAACAAUUUAGAAACAAUGGAAGUACACCCCAUUUGCCAAUACUAACCUUCCUCAAUGAACUAUUGUCUAGACAACCCAUCAGCCACCACACUGGUGUUGCCCCUUCUAUAAAUCACCUAAAAAUCAUAGUCGACUAUCUUUGCCACCCACAUUUGCUAGAAGUGUAACACCCCUAACUCACUUAUGACAUCGGAUUGGAUUAUUGAGUAAUGCAAAAAACUUAACAACAUUUAACCUUACAUAAAUUCUAUAUAUUUCUAAGUAAAUAUGAAUAACAAAACACAUUCAAUUUCAGUCAAACAUGCUUUUACGGGUAUUAACUGAGCUUACUAGGCCCAAACCAUAAAUUGGAAACAUUUUGGGGUUCAUCUAAAACAACUAAAAAAAGUUAGGAAAAAGUUAAAAAUUUUGGAAACAGGGGUCACACGGCUGUGUGGCCAGACCAUGUGACAUAGGAUAACCCGUGUAGCUAAAACAUGGCCAUGUGUCUAUCCCAUAUACCUGUAUCCCCAUCCUCUGUAACUCAUUGACUAGGACCACACGGUCAUGCCCCAACCCAUGUGUCUGCCCGUGUAACUCACUACUUCGGGACACAUGGUUGUGCCAUAGGUCGUGUGCCUGACCAUGUCAAACCUGCACUUGAAACUUAAAAAACACAUAGUUGUACGAACAGACCGUGUGUGGUACACGACCGUGUGAUUGCAUGUGUCUCAGGCCGUGUGUACCAAAAUGUACCUUAAAAAUCAAGUUUACCAAUUAUAUUUUCUUGUGCCACAAGCAUACAAUUAACCAACAUAUAAAACUAUUCAAUACUUACUUAAACAUGACCAAGACAUAUCAAAAUCACACAUAUACAACCUAAUUCCACUAGCUAAGCAAUGUACCCUCAUUAGUACCACAUGUAAAUAUUCAAUCAACCCAAACAUCAUCACAUUCAAUAUCUCAACUAUUUCAAAUAUUAUAUAUGCAUAACAUAUCAUAUUUAAAGCAUAAACACCAAAAUAUCAAACAUACAAUUCAAACAUCAAAAUGACCAUUUCAACUCACUAGUUCUACUACAUUAUAUCAUAGUACCUUCUUAAUUACAUGCCACUUUUAACCAACAUCAAAACGAAGUAAAAAAUGACUACCAAGGUAUGGAUGAUAGUGUAUGAGCUUUGGAAUUGAUCCAACCGACGACACGAUUCUAAGAGACCUACAAAAUGAAAUCAACCUAGUAAUAUCAACAUAGCUUAGUAAGUUCGAGAAGUUAACCUAAUUUUUUUAGCUCAAUUCGAAAUUUAAUAAAACAUCAAUAACCUAAAGAACUUGAUUCAUUGGCAUAAAGCCUUCUAGGCACUAAGCCUGAGUACCACCGGUAAGAAGCCUACUAGGCGCUAAGCCUGAAUAACACACUGGCACAAAGCCUGCUAGGCACUAAGCGUGAAUAUCACACCGGCACUAAGCGUGUUAGGCAUUAAGCCUGAAUAACACAACGGCACGAAGCCUGCUAGGCACUAGGCCUGAAUAAUUUUAAGGUACAACUAAUCAUUAUUGUGAAUUACUUCUCCAAUUAACAAUUUAUAAUAACAUACUAAUUUAUAGUGAAACUAAUAGUGAUAAUUAAUUGUAAACAUAAAAUGUAUAAUACUAACUUACAGGAAUUCGAUAGAUGUGGAAAUGCGACUAAGUCUACUCAACGAGCUUUUCUUUUCCCUGACUAAUGAUCGACGGAGUUGAUUCUUGAUUUAGAUAAAAUCAUUAAUUCAAUUAAUGAACUCAACCAUAUCAAAAAACUCAAAUAAUUCACAUAGCUAACCUUCAAUGAAGGUAUACACAUUUAACCUAAACUUUUGCUAUUACUCCAUUUACCUAUCUAUCUUAGACUUCUCCAUUUAAACAAACUAAGUUAAAAGAAAAUAUGUUGAUUUUGUAACAAUCCCUAUGCAGUUAAAAAAUUAGUUUUUAGUCCUUGACUUUACUACAUUGUCACAAUUACAACCCUAGCUACAAGACCAUUCAAAAGUACCUUGCUAAAUAGUCUAGAUUUAUCAAUAAGAUUCGAAAUACAUUUAUUAACAUCAAAAGAUAAAAUUUCCAUCAAUAGCAAAUUUUUAAACAUUUGAUAAUUUUAAAAGUAAAUCCAUAAACUAACUAGAUGAAGCUCCCAAGACUCCAAAAAUACAAAAAUCAAAAGAAAUGAGCCUCCAAAUACCUACCACACGACCCCAAAUAUGCUUCACCGAAUGUUGUUUAAGUUUUUAUGAAGGUUUGCAGCAUGGAGAAGAUGAAACAAACAAUAAAAAUAUAAAAAAAAGGUAAAGUGCUUUGUUUUCUUUUCUUUUUUAUCUUAACUUUCUUAUUUUAUUAAUAAUAAUAUAAUUAUAACACAUAUAAUAAACAAUAUUAACCAUUUAACCGUCCACUAUAACCAUUUAAGGUUUAUUUACCUUUUAAAGCCCGCAAAUCAUGGUUUUAUAACCAUUUAACACAUAAAAGCUAAUAGUGAUUAACUUUUGCAGUUUUUUACGAUUUAGUCCGUUUCAAUUAUUUAACUAUCUAAACAUUAAAAUUUCUUAACCAAAAUUUAAUUCAACUUUAAUACAACCCUAUAAUCAUUAAAAUAUUAACUCACUUAUCGAAAUCAUGGUCUUGAUACCCUUUUUUUUGACACCACUGAGAAUUGGUUGUUACAACUCUCCCUUUCUUAAGAAAUUUUACAAGAAAAUAGGAUCGGAUAGUGCACUUUCAUAGCCUCAUCUGGUUCGCAAGUAGCUACCUUAACCCCGUUAUGAUGCCAAAGAACUUUAACUAAAGCUAUGCUUUUAUUUAUCAAUUCUUUAACUUCCUGAGCCAUAAUUCUAACUAGUUCCUCAUUAUACGACAUAUCUAAUUGAAUUUGCACAUCAAUAGGCGAAAUUACAUGUGAAGGGUCGGAUCGAUAUCGCCAUAACAUCAAUACAUGAAAUAUGUUUUGAAUUUUCUCUAAUUCAAAUGGUAAGGCCAAACGAUAAGUUGUCGGUCCGAUUCUCUCGAUGAUCUCGUACGGUCUGAUAAAUCGUGAACUAAGCUUCCCAUUUCAACCAAAACAAAGAACUUUCUUCUAGGGCGAUACUUUUAAAAAUACUUUGUCAUGGACCUGUAAUUCAAUGUCUUUUCUUUUCAAAUCAACGUAUGCUUUCUGUCGAUCGAUAGAGCUUUCAAACUAUUUCGAAUAACCUUGACCUUUUCUUUAGUUUCUCUAAUUAAAUCAGUACCGAAAAGUUUUUUCUCUCUCAAUUCAGUCCAAUAUAAAGGAGUUCUACAUUUUCGACCAUAAAGAGCUCCGUACGAUGCCAUCUUGAUGCUCGAAUGAUAACUAUUGUUAUACGUAAAUUCAACUAAAGGAAGAAAUUUUCCCAGCUACCUUUAGAUUCUAGAAUGCAACAGUGAAGCAUAUCUUCGAGUACCUGAAUUACUCGUUCAAACUGACCGUUAAUUUGUGGAUGAAAUACCAUGCUAAAAUGUAAUCUAGUGCCUAAGGCUACGUGAAAUUUAUUCCAAAAUCUAGAAGUAAAUCAUGGAUCUCGAUCAGAGAUAUAGAUAGUGGUACCCCGUGAAGUCUAACAAUCUCAGCAACGUACAGUUUUGCCAACUUUUCGAGUGAAAAAUCUAUCCGAAUAGGUAAAAAGUGUGUUAACUUAGUUAAGCGAUCAACAAUAACCUAGAUGGCAUCUUUCUUCUUCAAAGAUAAUGGAAGUCCUGAAACAAAAUCCAUAGUAACUCGUUCCUAUUUUCAUUCUCGAAUCAUAACAAGCUGAAGCAAUCUUGAAGGUACCUAAUACAAAUCAAACAUUUAGAUACAAAUUCAGAAAUUUCACAUUUCAUAUCUAGCCACCAAUACAUUUGCUUCAAAUCACUAUACAUUUUGUUACUGCCAGGAUGUAUCGAGUAACUACUAUUGUGGUCUUCUUGCAAAAUCAUAUGUUUAAUUUCAGAGUUUCUUAGUACAUAAAUUCUAUUUCAGAAACACAAGCUACCAUCAGAACCAAUAUGAUAUUCUGAAUCAAAUGUAUUUUACAUUUUUUCCCGCUUACUAAUCGGUUUGGAAUCAUUCUUCUGAGCUUCACAAAUCUAUAGCAGAAACAUCGAUUUAGCUUUUAAUUUAGCUAAAAUAGAAUCAUUUUCCAUCAACAUCAACUAAGAAUUCAAAGCUCGUAAAGCAAAUAAAGAUUUUCUACUCAAAGCAUCAGCAACAAAAUUAGCUUUACCCGGGUGAUAAUCGAUGACCAGAUUGUAGUCUUUUAGUAGUUCUGACCAUCUAUGCUGACGUAAGUUUAAUUCUUUUUGUGACAUCAAGUAUUUCAAACUUUUGUGAUCUGUGAAAAUGUGUCAUUUUCCCCAAAUAAAUAAUGUCACCAAAUAUUUAGAGCAAACAUAAUAGCGGCAAGCUCUAAAUCGUGUGUUGGGUGAUAUUUCUCAUGAGGCUUCAAUUAAUGGAAGCAUAAGCUACAACUUUACCUUCUUGUAUCAACACACAACCCAAACCAUUAAGUGAAGCAUCAUUAAAAAUUACAAAUUCCUUACCUGACACUGGUUGACAUCGCUUUCAACUGAUCAAAACUUUGUUGGCACCUUUUUGUCCAUUCAAACUUAACAUCUUUCUAUAGUAAACUCAUUAAAGGUAAACAAUCAUUAAAAACCCUUUCACAAACCUUUGAUAGUAUCUAGCCAGUCCCAGGAAACUUCUAAUCUGUGAUGUUUUUCGGGGGCUUCUAAUCCAAAAUGGCAAAUAUUUUACUUGGAUCCACUCUAAUGUCGUUAACCGAUACUACGAGACCCAAAAAUCCAACAUCUCGAAGCCAUAACUCACAUUUACUGAAUUUUGUAUACAACUAUUUCUCGCAUAGAGUUUGCAGUAUUAAUCUCAAAUGAUGAGCGUGUUCCACUUCAUCUUGAGACUAAAUCAGAAUAUCAUCAAUAAAGACUACCACCUUCUUCUCUGGCACUCUGGAGUCUAGAAUGUAAGCUAAAAAUGCAUCACAACCUUUCCGAACUAGUUUAUGCACCUUUACAGCUAAGAUCAUACUCGAAAUACCAUCAGCUUUAUCAGAUCUAGCAUAAAUUAUCUCACCAUCGGGACAUCUCAAAUCAACUCUUUUUUGUCGACAAUUAGUCAAAGCAUCAUGUAGAUUCAACCAGUCCAUUCUCAAAAUGACGUCAAACUCAUUAAAAGUUAAAAGCAUUAAAACGACAGGAAAGUUGUGACCUUGAAUUUCAAUGGACAUUGUUUGCAUACCAAGUCAACUAUAACACUGUGACCUAAAGGAUUCGUGACUUUGACAACACAAUCAGUGGAUUCGACAAGUAAAUUCUUUUCUGUCACUAACGUAGUGCAUAUAUACAAAUCUGUUGACCCCGGGUCAAUUAAUGCAUAUACACUAACAUUAAAGAGAGAAAAGGUACCAGUAAUGACAUCAGAAGUCGAGGCCUCCUGUAACAGGCCGUUUUUAGUGAAAUCAAAAUAGUGGUUUUGGGACUACAAAUUUGACGUGAAAAUAUUUAUUUUACUAUUAUUUUAGUGUCUAUGAAAUAUUAGUAAGGUCGUAUAAAAUUUUCAUUAAAAAUUUUGACAUUUCCUUGCUUAAUUAAGUAAAAAGGACUAAAUCAUAAAAGGUGCAAAAGUAUAAUUCUAUUAGCUAAAGUUAGCAAAUGGCUAUAGAAACUUAAUGUAAGAGUACUUAGGUGGUAAUUAGAUCAUUUUUGUGGUAGCGAACAUUUAUGAGAUUGGUUUUAUUGAAAUUAUACAGAGUUUUAAAGGACAAAAUGGUAAAUAAGUACUUAUAGUUAAAAUAACUUAAACAAAAUAUGUCCAUCUUCUUCAUUUUAACAUCCUCAACCGAAAUUAUCAAGGGAAGCCAUUGUUAGGGUUCGGUCAAGCUACAUUCAAUUGCAUGUAAGUGGUUUUUGUCUCAUUUUUAAUGAUUUUUAUGUUGUUGAAGACGUUGUAUCUUAAUCUAGCUAGCCCAGGGACUAAUUUGCAAAAAUUUUAAAGGAUUAGGUUUUUUCCAUAAAUUGUUUUGUAUGAUUUUUUAAGUUUUAUGGAAGAAUCAAUAUUUUUUGUUAAAUAAGCAACUUUUGUAAAGAGAUUUUUGAUGAAAUUAUCAAUUAAGGACUUAUCAGUAAAAGUAGUAAAGUGUCAUGGUAAAAUUAUGAACUGAUGACUUGUGUGGGUUGAUAUGAGUCCCUAACUAAAUCAGCUAGCAUGGUAUGUGGAUGAAAUUGCAUAAAUUUUCAUUUACGAGCUUAACGACUAAAUUGUAAAGAAGUUGAAAUAUUAGGGGCAAAUAUUUAAAAUUGCAAAUAUGUGAAUUUUGCAUUAAAUUGAAUAGUAUGUGUAUUAAAUAGAUUGAAUUUGCUUAUUUAGAUCAAGGUAAGCCUCGUACGGAUCUAGAUUGAGGAAAAGAUAAAAGUCUCAGAUUAGUGAUUCUAUUUCGACAUCCUUAAAAUCGAGGUAAGUUCAUAUGUUUAAAUAAUGUUUUAAUGUUAUUUGAUAUAUGUAUGCUAUUUUAUUAUUUAUCAAAUCAUGAAAUGAGGGAAAUCCAACAGCGUACGAUGUCAUUAUGGUUACCAUGUUUUGGGUGCUUAUCCUGAAUGUCCUACCCAUGGUUGAGUUCCAGCAUUUGUGUAGCUACAUUGUGGUCAACUUGUGUAAGCGACAUUGUGUAGCUACAUUCCGACCUUUAGCUUGUGUGAGUAGACCCAUUUAUGGCUCAAGUGAGCAAUGAUGUAAAGGAAAAGGAAAAGGAAUGGUUUCGACCAUAUGUAUAGAACACUUUGUGUGAGCUUCUCACAUAUCCGAUAUUAUUUUAAGUGGUUCAAUGAGCAUGAAAAGAGAAGGAACGGUAAGUGUUUCGAUCGUCUAUUUUAUGAACCUAUGAAAAGGUAUUAAAUGUCAAUGAUCAAUGCAUUUAUAUUCAUGAUUACGGAAAAUAUGAAUUCAAAGAUACUAUGUUCAUGAAAUUUAUCUUACCAUGUGAUGAUUUUAUUAAGUUAUGUGUUAAAGCACUAACUUGUGUUGUUGAUGAUGCAUAGGCUUGUGCCAAGCUUAUGUUGGAUUGAUUCAUGUUUAGUUUAUAAGGUUUUGCAUUGAAAUGGUAAGCUAUGUUCUUGAUUUACAAAAUUACUAAGCAUUAUUAGAUUACAUAGUUUUCUUUCCUAUGUUUUAUAGAUUAUAGGAAGCUCGACAGUUUGGAAUCUCGUUGGAGACCUAUCACACUAUCCAGUGAUUAUAUCAGAAGAUUUUGAUAUUUUGGUCAAGGUUAUAAUGGCAUGUAUAGGUGGACUUGUGUAUAAAUGAUCUAGUUGGUGUUUUGGUAUAUAUAUGUGUCAUUAUGGUUUAUGUACUUAUAGUAUUUGAUGCCCUGAUGAUUUGUGUUAAUAUGGUCACUUUGAUGCAUGGUUUUAUGACCAAAAUGGUAAGUUUGGCAUAUUUGCAAUAUGGUUAAUUAUGGUAUGCUUGAAUAUGAAAUUUAGUUCAAUGUGUUUGUAUGAAAUAUGACCAAUUAGACAUAUGUUUAGAUAUGGUUGAUGCUUUGUGAUUGAGGUGCCUUAAUGGCAUAUUUGUUGGAUGGAUGACGGCUAAUUGAAUUGGUCUUAUUAUGUAUGUUUUGGGUAGGUGUUCAUGCCUUGAUCAUAUGUGCAAUUUGUGUUUAGGUGCAUGGUUGAAAUGGGUGAUAGAAAUGGCUUAUUUUUUUUCCAAUUUCUUGUCCACACGGCCUAAGACAUGGGCAUGUGUCUCAGCCGUUUGUCCCCUAUAAGUUUCAAAGGUUACAAGUCAGGCAGUUACACUGCCUAGCACACGGCCUAGCACACGGGCGUGUGAGGCCAUUUCGAAAGUAACACGGCCUGGCACACGGGCGUGUGGCUUGGUUGUGUGACCCAAGCUAGAAAGUUACACAGGCAAGGACAUGACCGUGUGUCCCUAUUUCAAAUGUUACACGGCCUGAGACACGGGCGUGUGUCUCAGUCGUGUGAGUCAUAAGGCUUGGCCACAUGACCGUGUGACCUCUGCAGUUUGAUUUUUUCUAAUUUUUCCUUCAAUGUUUCAAAUGUUUCUGAUUUAGUCCUAAAUCGUUUCUAAAGUGAUUCUAAUGCCUCGAGGGAUCGAAUAAGGGAUGACAUGCAUGAAUAUGAAUUGAUUAGGCUAUGUUUAAUGAAAUGUUUGGAAAUGUAUGUUUUAUGUUACGAUUUUAUGGUAAUGCUCCGUAACCCUAUUUCGGCGAUGGAUACGGGUUAGGGGUGUUACAUUUAGUGGUACCAAAGCUACGGUUUAGUCAAUUCUCAGACUAAACGUAACGAGUACGAGUCUAGAAAUACAAGCCAUUAUAUAACCUGUGAUAUUGUGAUAACUCCUGACUCGAUUUCAAUUAUGCUUUCAUAUAGAUAAUAUCAUCCAAUCGAGCCAAUUCCGAUGAGGCUGAAAGUAACACGCAAGCCUCCGUUCAUGGAGCAGUGUGGAGUGGUAGUAGGCCCGUAUCUGAGGGCUAGGGAGGAGAGGCUAAGGAAUCCUUCUUCCAAAUGAUGAAUAAGUGGUUUACCGAGUUCGUACGAACGAACCCGAUGGCUCAACAACCUCUACCCCCUCCUGUUCCCCAACCAGGCCCCGUAGUUCCUCAGGGUUUGGAACCAAUAUGAGCUAGCAAACCUCCAAUUGAUAAAUUCGUAAAUAUGGGGCUGAAGAAUUUAGAGCUACUUCUAAAGAUGAUCCGAAAAGAGCCAUGUUUUGGUUGGAAAAUACGAUCAAGGUUUUUUAUGAGUUAUCUUGUACACUAGCAAAGUGCAUGAAAUAUGUUGCUUCCUUACUAAAGGACUCAACUUAUCAGUGGUGGAAUAUCUUGAUUUCAGUUGUGCCGAGAGAGCGAGUAGACUAGGAAUUCUUCCAAACCAAGUUCCGAAAGAAAUAUUUGAGCGAAAGGUUCCUUGACAAGAAAUGCAAAGAGUUUCCCGAGCUUAAAUAGGGUCGGAUGACAGUAUCUGAGUACAAGCGAGAAUUUUUUUCAAUUGAGAAAGUAUGCCCGAUAAUGUAUACCGACCGAGAUUGCCAUGUGUAAACAGUUUGAAGAUGGGCUGAAUGAAGACAUAAAGUUGUUAGUAGGGAUUCUAGAAUUGAAAGAAUUUGUGGUACUAGUUGAUCAAGCACACAAAGUUGAAGAAUUGAGUAAAGGUAAAAGAAAAAUUGAUUAUGAGGCUCAUGAUUCGGGUAAGAGAUCAGCAGGAACAUCUUACCAAUCGCCAUCAAAGAAGCCAAAGGAAUAUCAUAACCGCUCGUCAGCUUCAGUGGGUCAUUCUAAUAGAGAUCGAGGAAAAUAACAUGCGAGUUUAAAACCUCAAGCUAUAUCUAUAGUGAUCGUAGGCAGUGUUAAGAGUAACAAGCCUGAUUGUCAACAAUGUGGACGUCAACACUUUAGUGAGUGCAAGAUGAAAGAUGGGCAUGUUUUAAAUGUGGUUCGUAUGAACAUUUUAUUCGAGAUUGCCUGGAGAGGUCCAAAAAAGAAAAGGCUCAGACUGUUAGACCGAGCAACACUGCUGUGAGAGGUAGACCACCUCGGAACCCUAGAAAUGCGAGAAAUAGUCGUAGUAGGACAAAAGACUCUAUUGUGAUAUCUGAGGCACGAGCACCAGCUAGAGCUCACGCGGUCCAUGCACGAGAGGAAGUGUCAGUGCUAGAUGUUAUCACUGGUACAUUUUCUAUCUUUGCUACAGAUAUUACUGCUUUGGUUGAUUGGAACACAUUCAUAUGUACACACAAAUCUAGUGUCAUGUAAGAAAUUGCCUGUUGAGUCCACUAAAUUUGUGGUUAAAGUAACGAACCCCCUCUGUCAGUAUGUGUUAGUGGAUAAAGCCUGUAAAAACUAUCCUCUGAUGAUUUGGGGUUGCAACUUCCGACUGAUUUGAUUCUACUACCCUUUGAUGAGUUUGACGUGAUUUUGGGUUUGAAUUGGUUGACUUUGCAUGAUGUCGUUGUGAACUGUAGAUGAAAUUUUAUUGUGUUAAAGUGCUAGAACGGUGAAAAGCUUCAAAUUGAAUCAGAUAGAAUGGAUAAUAUGUCAAAUGUUGUUUCAGCUAUAUCAGCACAGAAAUAUGUUAGAAAACACUAUGACGCGUAUCUUGCUUACAUAUUUCAUUCUAGAGUUUCUGAGUUAAAGCUAGAAUCAGUUCUAGUGGUAUGUGAAUAUUAAGAUGUGUUUCCAUAAGAGUUACUCAGGUUACCGCCAAUUCAAGAGGUUGAGUUUUCUAUUGAAUUAAUGUCGGGAACAUCUCUGAUAUCGAUAGCUCCUUACAGAAUUGCACCUAUAGAGUUGAAAGAGUUGAAAGAGUUGAAAGCACAGCUGCAAGAAUUGGCAGAUAGGGGUUUUGCUUGACCUAGCUUUUCUCCUUGAGGCGCACCUAUUCUAUUUGUUAAGAAAAAGGACGGAUCCAUGCGAUUAUGUAUUGACUAUUGAUAGCUCAACAAAGUUACAAUCAAGAAUAAGUAUCCAUUGCCGCGUAUUGACAAUCUAUUUGAUCAGUUGAAAGGUGCGACAGUGUUUUCAAAGAUUGAUCUUCAUUCUGGUUAUUAUCAGUUGCAAGUUAAAGACUCAGAUGUGCCGAAAACUACGUUUAUAACUAGGUACGGACAUUAUGAAUUUCUUGUGAUACUAUUUGGUUUGACUAAUGCACCUACGGUAUUUAUGAAUUUGAUGAAUAGAAUUAUCAGACCGUAUUUAGACAGAUUCGUGAUGGUAUUCAUUGAUGAUAUUUUAAUCUAUUUAUGAGAUAAUACUGAACAUGCCGAGAAUUUGAGAAUAGUUUGCAAACCUUGUGCAAAAGCCAAUUAUUCGCUAAGUUUAGCAAGUGUGAGUUCUGGCUUCGAAAGUUGAGAUUCUAGACAUGUUGUAUCAGCCGAGGGCAUUAGAGUUGAUCCGAGAAAAAUUUCAAUUGUGGUAGAUUGGAAGCCUCUGAGAAAUGUAUCUGAGUUUAAAGUUUCUAGGUUUAGCCGAAUAUUACAGAAGAUUUGUCAAGGGAUUCUCGAUGAUUGCUACACAGUUAACGAGACUGUUGCAAAAAGAUGUGAAGUUUAAGUGGUCUGAGAAGUGUCAGCAAAGCUUCAAUCAAUUGAAAGCAUUGUUAACUGAGGCACCUGUGUUAAUUCAGCUAGAGUCGAGUAAAUAAUUUGUGAUUUAUAGCAAUACAUCAUUAAACGGUUUAGGUUGUGUUUUGAUGCAAGAGCGCAAGGUGAUAGCGUAUGCCUCUAGACAGUUAAAACCGCACAAAAAUAAUUAUCCGACAUAUGAUUUAGAGCUUGUAGCGAUUGUAUUUGCUUUAAAGAUUUGGUGACGCCAUUUGUAAGGAGAAAAAUGUCAUAUCUUCACAGAUCAUUAAAGUCUGAACUACUUGAUUUCACAGAAAGAUUUGAAUAUGAGACAGCGCAGAUGGCUCGAGUUAUUGAAAGACUACGAAUUGAUCAUUGAUUAUCAUCUAGGAAAGGCUAACAUUGUUGUUGAUGCUUUAAGUAGAAAAUCUUUGUUUGCUUUACGAGCUUUGAACACGUGGUUGACAUUGAUUGAUGAUGGUUCUAUUUUAGCUGAGUUAAAAGCUAGACCGAUGUUUUUGCAACAGAAUUGCGAAGCUCGGAAAUGGGAUGAUAUGUUGAUAGCUAAACAAAAAUAGAUUGAGACGACUCCUAAUUCAGACUUUCAGAUUGGGUCUGAUGAUAGUUUGUAUUUUAAAGGAAAAAUUUGUGUUCCGAGAAAUUCUGAUCUCGUUCAGAAAAUUUUACAAGAAGCUCAUAAUAGUAACUUGUUUGUUCAUCCUAGUACUAAUAAAAUGUAUGGUGAUUUCAAACAAACGUACUGGUCCCCAAGUAUGAAAUGAGAGAUCUCAGAGUUUGUAUCCAGAUGUUUAGUUUGUCAGCAAGUUAAAGCCGAACAUCAGGUACCUUUUAGAUUGUUACAACUAGUGAUGAUUCCAGAGUGGAAAUGGGAACGUGUUACGAUAGAUUUUGUAUUGGGACUAUCUCCAAUAAAGAAAGAUGUUUUUUAGGUCAUUGUUAAUCGUUUGACGAAAUCCGCGCAUUUCAUUCCAGUGCGUACAAAUUAUUCACGCGAGAGAUUAGCAGAGUUAUAUGUUGCUGAGAUUGUCAGAUUGCAUGGGGUGCCAUUUUCUAUUAUUUCUAAUAGGGAUCCGCGAUUUACAUCACAACUCUGAAGCAAGUUACAUGAUGCUUUAGGUACUCAUUUCCAUUUUAGUAUCACGUUUCAUCCCCAAACCGAUGGUUAGUCUGAGUGAGUGAUUUAGAUACUCGAAGAUAUGCUUCAAUGUUUUGUUUUAGAGUUUAAAGGUAACUGGGAAAGAUUUCCACAGUUGGUUGAAUUUGCGUACAAUAACAGUUAUUAGUUGAGCAUAAAAAUGGCACCGUACGAAGCUUUAUAUGGUCGAAAAUGUCGAACUCUAUUUUAUUGGACUGAGCUCAGCGAGAAAAAGCUUCACGGGGUUGAUUUAAUACGAGAAACUGAGGAAAAGGUUAAAGUGAUUCAACACAGUUUAAAAAUAGAUUCAGAUCGAUAGAAAUCCUAUGUGGGUUUGAAAAGAAAAGAUAUAGAAUUUCAAGUCGACGACAAAGUAUUCUUGAAAGUAUCGCCUUGGAAGAAAGUUCUUUGGUUCGAUCGUAAAGGAAAGUUAAGUUCACUAUUUAUUGGGUCGUAUGAGAUAAUUGGGAGAAUCGGGCUGGUAGCUUACACAUUAGCUUUACCAUCAAAAUUGGAAAAGGUCCACAAUCUUUUUCACGUGUUGAUGUUACGACGGUAUCGAUCAAAUCCAUCACGUGUUUUUUCACCUAUUAAAGUUGAGAUUUAGCCUGAUAUGAAGUACUGUGAGAAACCGAUUAGAUUUCUAGCUCAAGAGAUUAAAGAUUGAGAAAUAAAAGCAUAGCUUUAGUGAAAGUCCUUUGGCAAUGACAUGGUAUAGAAGAGGCUACCUAGAAACCGGAAGAAGCUAUGAAAGUGCAAUACCCGAACCUCUUCUUUGUUAAGAUUUUCGAGGAUGAAAAUUUCUUUAGAGGGCGAGUUUUAAUAGAGCGUUUUUAGUGAAAUCAAUAUAGUGGUUUUGGGACCAAAACUCUGAUGUGAAAAUAUUUAUUUUAUUAUUAUUUAGUGUCUACGAAAUAUUAGCAAGGUCGUAUAAAAUUUUCGUUAAGAAAUUUUGACGUUUGCUUGCUUAAUUAAGUAAAAAGGAGUAAAUCGUACAAGAUGCAAAAGUAUAUUCUUUUAGCUAAAGGUAUCAAAUGGCUAUAGAAAUUUAAUGUAAGAGUACUUAGCUGGUAAUUAGACCAUUUUUGUGGUAGUGGACAUUUAUGAGAUUGGUUUUAUUGAAAUUAUGCAUAGCUUUAAAGGACAAAAUGGUAAAUAAGUAAUUACAGUUAAAUUAACUUAAACAAAAUAUGUCCAUCUUCUUCAUUUUAACAUCCUCAACCGAAAUUAUCGAGGGAAGCCAUUUCCAGGGUUCGGUCAAGCUACAUUCAAUUGCAUGUAAGUGGUUUUUGUCCCGGUUUUAAUUAUUUCUAUGUUUUUGAAGUCGUUGUAGUUUAAUCUAGCUAACCCAGGGACUAAUUUCCAAAAAUGUUAAAGGAUUAGGGUUUUUCCAUGAAUGUUUUUGUAAAUUUUUGAAGUUGGAUGGAAGAAAAUGAAUCUUUGUUGUUAAAUAAACAACUUUUGUAAAGAGAUUUUUUCAUGAAAUUAUCAAUUAGGGACUUAUCAGUAAAAGUAGUAAAAUGUCAUGGUAAAAUUGUGAAUUGAUGAUUUGUGUGGGUUGAUAUGAGUUCCUAACUAAAUCAGAUAGCAUGGUAUAUGGAUGAAAUUGCAUAAAUUUCCAUUUACGAGCUUAAAGACUAAAUUGUAAAGAAGUUGAAAUAUUAAGGGUAAAAAUGUGAAUUUUCUAUUAAAUUGAAUAGUAUGUGAAUGAAAUAGAUUGAAUUUGCUUAUUUGGAUCACGGUAAGCCUCGUACGGAUAUGUAGAUCAAGGAAAAGAUAAAAGUCUCAGGUUAGUGAUUCUAUUUCAACAUUCUUAAAAUCGAGGUAAGUUUGUAUGUUUAAAUAACGUUUUAAUGUUAUUUAAUAUAUGCAGGCUAUAAUGUUAUUUAUCAUAUCAUGAAACAAUGGAAAUCCAACGAUGUACGAUGACUAUCGAGCCUUGAUUGAACCUUAGGAAUAUCUUGAAUAUCCUACCGAUGGCUGAGUUUUGGCAUUUGUUGUUGAUAUUCGUUAGCUUGUGUGAGCAACAUCAUGUAGCUACAUUCUGACCGUCAGCUUGUGUGAGCAGACCCAUUUAUGGCACGAGUGAGUAAUGGUGUAAAGGAAAAAGAAAAGGAAUGGUGUCGACCAUAUGUAUAGCACACUUUGUGUGAGCUUCCUGCGUAUCAGAUAUUAUUCUAAGUGGUUCAACGGGCAUGAAAAAGAAAGGAACGGUAACUGUUCUGAUCCACUAUAUUAUGAACCUAUGGAAAGGUAUGAAAUUUCAAUGACCAAUGUAUGUAUAUUCAUGAUUAUGGAAAGUAUGAUUUCAAAGAUACUAUAUUCAUGAAAUUUAUCUUACCAUGUGAUGAUUUUAUUAAGUUAUGUGUUAAAGCACUAACUUGUUUUGUUGAUAAUGCUUAGGCUUGUGCCAAGCUUAUGUUUUCAUUUUUAGUUUAUAAGGUUUUGCAUUGAAAUGGUAAACUAUGUUCACGAUUUAUGAAUUUACUACGCAUUAUAUGCUUAGGUAGUUUUCUUUCCUAUGUUUUAUAGAUUAUCGAAAGCUCGAUUCGUUUGGAAGCUUGUCGGAGACCUAUCACACUAUCCAACAAUUAUAUCAGUAGAUUUUGAUGUUUUGGUCAAGGUUAUAAUGGCAUGUAUUGGUGGACUUGUGUAUAAAUGAUCUAGUUGUUGUUUUGGUAUGAAUAAGUGUCAUUAUGGUUGAUGUACUUAUGGUAUUUGAUUCCUUGAUUGUUGGUGUUAAUAUGGUCAAGGUGAUGCAUGGUUUUCUGACCAAAGUGGUAACUUUGGCAUGUUUGCAAUAUGGUUAAUUAUGAUAUGCUUAAAUAUGGAAUUUAGUUAAAUGUGUUUGUAUGAAAUAUGACCAAUUAGACAUAUGUUUAGAUAUGUUUGAUGCUUUGUGAUUGUGGCAUAUUUUUUGGAUCGAUGAUGGCUAAUUGAAUUGGUCUUAUUAUGUAUUUUUUGGGUAGGUUUUUAUGCAUUGAUCAUAUGUGCAAUUUGUGUUUAGGUGCAUGGUUGAAAUGAGUGAUGGAAAUGGCUUGUUUUGGGCCAAUUUGUUGUCCACACGGCUUAAGACACAGGCGUGUGUCUCAGCCAUGUGUGACACAUGGUCGUGUGUCCCCUGUAGGUUUCAAAGGUUACAAGUGAGGUAGUUACACAGCCUGACAUUCGGGCAUGUAAGGCUAUUUCGAGAGUUACACAGCCUAGCACAUGAGUAUGUGGCUUGGCUGUGUGACCGAAGUCAGAGAGUUACACAGGCUGGGACACGGCCGUGUGUCCCUAUUUCGAAUGUUACACAACCUAAGACACAGGCGAGUGUCUUAGCCGUGUGAGUCACAUGGCCUGGCCACACAGCCGUGUGACCCCUGCAAUUUGAAUUUUUCUAACCUUUUUCUUCAAUGUUUCAAAUGUUUCUGAUUUAGUCCCGAAUCAUUUCUAAAUAGAUUAUAAGGCCUCGAGGGCUUGAAUAAGGGACAACAUGGACGAAUAUGAAUUGAUUAUGCUAUGUUUAAUAUGUUAGGAAAUGUAUGUAUUUAUAUUACGAUUUUACGGUAAUAUUCUGUAAUCCUAUUCCGGCAACGGAUAUGGGUUAAGGGUAUUACACCUCCUCUCGUGCACGGAUAGCAUAGGUUCUAGCAGGAGCUCUAACUUCAGGUCUAUUCAAGAUAUCUUUAGCUCCACUCCGAUUAACUCCAACUGAAAUGUUAUUCCCAAGAUGUCGACCUCGGGUAGGAGUAGUCAUAGACUUUGCAUUACUAGGCUCAAUUCUAUCCGAACAAUCCCUUUUAAAGUGAUCAGGGGAUCCACAUAUAAAGCAUGUCCCGUCGUUAACCCUACAUACUUUAAAAUGAUAUUAAUUGCAUUGUUUGCACUCUGUCCUGUUGGAAUUUCGCACGUUGCCUGUACUAGCCACUGAAGGAGUUGGAGUAUUCUUGCCACUCUGUUUGAAAUGAUCCCUACCCGAGAACUUUGAUGGUGCUAAGAAUUUAUCCUUAGAUUCCCUCAGCUUUUUUUGUGGAGAACCAAAUAAAGUUUUAGGUCCAAUGCGUUUGCUGAAGUCGUGUGUUUUCGCCUUAUUUUAUCUUUUGCUAGCACAAAUUUCUUUCAUCUUUUGAGCUCGAUCAAAUAGAAUCACAAACUCACUGAUCUUUAUGGCUCCAACUAAAAUAUUUAUUUCAUCAUUCAGUCCAUCUUCAAAACGUACACACAUGUCCUCUUUCGUAGGUACAACCUCACGAGCAUAUUUCCUAAGUUGCACAAAUUGUCUCUCGUACUCGGCCACAGUUCUAUUUCCUUGUUUUAGUUCAAGAAAUUCUUUCUUCUUUCACUCCAGAUAUCGCUUACUAAUAUACUUCUUACGAAACUCAGAUUUAAAGAAAUCCCAGUUGACUCUUUCUUUCGGUACCACUAACGUUAACGUGGACCACCACUGAAAUGCCUCUUCUUUUAGCAACGACUCCGCGCAACGCAAACAAUACUCUGAAGAACACAACAUUUCAUCAAACACCCUCUGAGUAUGUUCUAACCAAUACUCGGCCUUGGUUGAGUCAUCACCCACAUUACCACAAAAUUCCAUGGCACCACAUUUUCUAACUUUAUCAAUAGUAAUUUUCGAAACAAUUUGCUGAGUUGAACUUUGAGAAUGAAGGGGAUAAGUUUGCUGAGCUGUUGAAUUGAUCUUUAAAUAUGUCUCAUACAUAUCAUGCAUCAUACAGAGAAAAGCAUUCGGUGCAUAUCUCUAGGCCCUUGUAAUCCAAGCUCAUUCUUAGUACUACCUUUAUCUAUAGCUGGAAUGAAACUUUCUACCUCGUUGGAAUCUGCUCGAUUGGAUCAAGAUGAUAUCUUUUAUCUAUAUGAAGAAAUUUCAAAAUAAUCAAGAGUCAUCACACUAUCUCCAGUUAAUAAGUGGAAUGUAUUUCUAGACUCAAUACAUGCUACGUUUAGUUUGAGGACCGGCUAAAUCGUAGCUCUGAUAUCACUAAAUAUAACACCCCUAACUCAUUUACGACACCGGAUUAGAUUACCGAGUAAUGAAAAAACUUAACAACAUUUAAAAUUACAUAAAUUCUAUAUAUUUCUAAGUAAAUACUAAUAACAAAAACACAUUCAAUUUAAGUUAAACAUGCUUUUGCAAGUCUUAAACGGAGCUUACUAGGCCCAAACCAUAAAUUGGAAACAUUCUAGGGUUAAUCUGAAACAACCCAAAAAAGAUAGGAAUAAUUUGAAAAUUUUGGAAACAUGGGUCACACAGUCGUGUGACCAGGUCGUGUGCCACAGGCCGGCCCAUGUGGCCAAAACAUGGACGUCUGUCUAUCCAACACGCCCUUGUGGUAAAUUGACACACCUGUGUCCCCAUCCCGUGUAACUCACUGACUAGGACCAUACGGUCAUGUCCCAACCCGUGUGUCCGCCCAUGUAACUCACUACUUUGGGACACACAUUUGUGUCGUAAGCCAUGUGCCCGACCGUGUGAAACUUGCACUUGAAACUUAAAAGACACGUUGCCAUGCGAACAAACUGUGUGUGGCCUACGGCCAUGUGACAGCUUGUGUCUCAGGCCAUGUGUACCAAAAUGUACCUUAAAAAUUAAGUUUACCAAUUAUAUUAUCCUGUGCCACAAGCAUACCACUAGCAAACCUAUAAACCUAUUCAAUACUUAAACAAGACCAAGACGUAUCAAAAUCACACAUAUACAACCUAAUUCCACCAACUAAGCAAUGUACCCUCAUUGAUACCACAAGUAAAUAUUCAAUCAACCCAAACAUCAUCACAUUCAAUAUCUCAACUAUUUCAAAUAUUAUAUAUGCAUAAUAUAUCAUAUAUACAAGCAUAAACACCAAAAUACCAAACAUACCAUACAAACAUCAAAAUGACCAUUUCAACUCACUUGUUCUACUACAUUAUAUCAUAGUACCACAAUACUUUUCUUAGUUACAUGGCACUUUUAACCAACAUCAAAACAAAAUACAAAAUGACUACCAAGGUAUAGAUGAUAGUGUGUGAGCUCUUGAACCGAUCCAAGAUUCCAAGAUACCUACAAAAUGAAAUCAACCUAGUAAGCUCAACAUAGUUUGGUAUGUUUGGGAAGUUAACCUAAUUGUUUUUCAGCUCAAUUCAAAAUUUAAUAAAACAUCAAUAACCUAAACAACUUGAUUCACUAGCACAACUCCUGCUAAGAACUAAGCCUGAGUACCACCAACACGAAGCCUGCUAGGCGCUAAGCCUAAAUAACACACCGGCACGAAGCCUACUAGGCACUAAGCUUGAAUAACACACCAGCACGAAGCCUGCUAAGCACUAAGCUUGAAUAACACACCGGCACAAAGCCUACUAGGCACUAAGCUUGAAUAACACAUCAGCACGAAGCCUGCUAGGCACUAAGCCUAAAUAAUACACAAGUACGAAGCCUGCUAGGCACUAAGCCUGAAUAACACACCAGCACGAAGCCUACUAGGCACUAAGCCUGAAUUACUUCUCCAAACAACAAUUUAUAAUACCAUACUAAUUUAUAGUGCAACUAAUAGAGAUAAUUAGUUGUAAACAUAAACUGUAUAGUACUAACUUCCAAGAAUUCGAUAGAUGUGGAAAUGCGACUAAGUCUACUAAAUCACCUUCUCUUUUCCCCGACUAACGAUUGAUGGAGUUGAUUCUUAAUCUAAAUAAAAUCAUUAAUUCAAUUAAUAAACUCAACCAUCUCAAAAAUCUCAAAUAAUUCACAUAGCUAACCUUCAAUGAAAGUACACACAUUUAACCUAAACUUUUGCUUUUACUCCAUUUACCCAUCUAUCUUAGGCUUCUCCAUUUAAGCAAACCAAGCUAAAGGAAAUUAUGAUGAUUUUGUAACAAUCCCUAUAUAGUUAAAAUAUUAGUUUUUAGUACUUGGUUUUACUACAUUGUCACAAUUAAAUCCCUAGCUACAAGACCAUUCGAAGAUACCUUGCUAAAUAGUCUAGAUUUAUCAAUAAGAUUAAAAAAAACAUCUAUUAACAUCAAAACAUAAAAUUUUCAUCAAUAGAAAAUUUUUAAAACUUGAUAAUUCUACAAAUAAAUCCAUAAACUAACUAGAUGAAGCUCCCAAGACUCCAAAAAUAUGAAAAUCAAAAGAAUCAGCCUCCAAAUACCUACCAUGCAACCCAAAUAUGCUUGGUCGAAUGUUCUUUAAGUUUUCAUGAAGGUUUGCGGCAUGGAGAAGAUGAAACAAACAAUAAAAAUAUCAAAAAUAAGGUAAAGUGCUUUGUUUUCUUUUCUUUUUUACCUUAACUUUCUUAUUUUACUAAUAAUAAUAAAAUUAUACCAUAUAUAAUACACAAUAUUAACCAUUUAACCAUCCACUAUAACCAUUUAAGGUUUAUUUACCUUUUAAAGCCCUCAAAUCAUGGUUUUAUAACCAUUUAACACAUAAAAGCUAAUUGUGAUUAACUUUUGCAAUUUUUUAUGAUUUAGUUCGUUUUAAUUAUUUAACUAUCUAAACAUUACAAUUUCUUAACCAAAAUUUAAUAUAACCAUAUAGUCAUUAAAAUAUUGGCUCACUCGUUGAAAUUGUGGUCCAGAGACCCUUGUUUUCGACACCACUAAGAACGGGUUGUUACAGGAAGGGUGUAAUAGCCUGCUGGUCUGAAAGAAAUUUCAAACUCCGGUAAUAAAUUCUAACGCAAAAGUGGCGCCCCAUGACUGCCUCCAGAUGUACUAACGUCCUGAAUGCGACUACUGUAAUAAAAUAUAUAAAUACGAGGCGAUAUUCGCAAGUGUAUGGGUCGAGUUGUAAUAUAGUUUUUACAACGGAGUAGGUGAGUACUCCGAGGAUCAUACCUAAGGGAGACAAGUGCUAAAUCAAUUUCAACCUAAACACUAAAAGAUAUAAUUAGUAAUUUAAAUUAGUUAUAUUAGGAAAACAUAAAAUAAAGGAUUUUUAGGGUUUUAUAAUAAAAAUAAAAUAACAUAAAAGAUAAAAAUUUGAGAGACUAAAGAGUAGAGUGAAACAAAUCUUGAUUAUGGGUGAUUAGCUUGCUUCGGUAAUGCCCAUCAACUUUUCCUUUGGGUUCCCUGUCAAUCAACUAGUCAUUACCUUGGCAGGAUCUUUCGAUCUUCCACUAACAUAAUGAGUCAGCAAGGACUACUCUUCUUCCAACCUCAUAGUCCAGACUGGUUUGGGGUAAAGGUGUUCACAAAUUGGCCAUACCAAUUACCACCUUAAUAACUACCCGAGGUUGUCAAGCCUAAGGUUUGUUUCAUGUUCUUCCUUUCCCAAAUAGUUGAUAUGCUGAGUAACCCUACAAAACAUUUAAUAGAUUAUACCUCCACUCGCUAAUCCCCCAUAGAGGGAUUAGUUCCUCAUAGCUUCUAUAGAUAAUAUCAUACCAAUAUAAAGAGCAAACAUGUUAAAAAAAUUACCAGUAUAGAGUUUACAAAAGAGACUGGUUGUAUUAAGAAUUGAUUAUGAAUCCAUAAAGUUUCAUGAUCUCCCCAAAUCAAAUAUCUUGAAAACAAAGAACAAUUGAAAAUAAAUUAUAAUAACCUAAGAAAAAAGAAAGCUAAGCUAAAAUUAAAAGACUAGUUCUAAAUUGAAUGAAUGGUGUCCAUAACAUGUACCAAAGGUCCUAUUUAUAGAUUCUUAGUGGUCAUCAUCCUUAACCCUAGGUUAACUAACGUUCUCGAUCCUUAAUUUUGAUUGUGCAGACCAAAACACCCUCAUUUCGUGUGUAUCUCUCGUCUGAAGUUGAUGUCAGACACACCAGGACCUAUGUCGUGACAUAGCAGUUAGUGUAUUCCUCCCAGGAUAUCUUCCGGGGUAUGUCGUGACACCACUAGUCUAUAUUGCAACAUCGGAGGUAAUUUUGUGAUUUCUCCAUUUUGGUCCCUUUGCUACUACAUCGAGCAUUCCGUGUUGUGACAUAGCGACUAGUAUUUAUCUAUUAUACUUUCUAGUGGUCUCCUACACACUUAUACAACUCAUCAGCUCACCUUUAGAUCUCAUUCAGCCCAUAGGGUCAAUAAAAGAUUCAAUUUGCACAUUUUAUUAACUAGAUGGAAACUUUAAGAAAACAUAAUUAAAACUUAACAAAACACUUGUCUUCAAGCUCCUAAACUACGAAAAUUAGUUUAAUCUACAACACCAAGUUACGGUAGAUCAAACUCCCCCACACUUAAGUCAUUGCUUGUCCUCAAGCAACAUAGACAUAAGCAAGAAAUAAAAGUGGCGACAAUAUGAUACAAGUAUUGACUUCAGGGCACAUGACUUAGACAUUUCACAUUCACUAACAACUUUAACAUGAUGAAUAACUGAUUUACCACUUUUGACCACAAACAUCUAAGUUUAGUAUGUUACAAAGUAUACAAGUAUUAAGGGUAUCACCUAUAGGAAUCCAUCAACAAAUCAUACAAGUAAUUUGAUUAUCCUAGCAGAAUACAAAUAGUCAUUUAUAUGCUUGUUUAAUGCAAUGUCCAUUCAUACAUAAGGAUACUUUGGUCACAUAGGACUUUUCGGCUUGUAACAUUCUGAGGCUUAGAACAGGUAUGGAAUUCAAAAACAGUAAGCAUCAAUAAGGGUUACAAACAUGAAAAUAGUUUGGCACAUCAUAUCGAUCCCUAUUCUUUCCCCUUAGUGACCCUUACCUGCUCACCACCUUAUUUCUCCUUCUCUCACUUUCCUUGUCUCUCCAUAUAUAAGAAAUCAUAGCAUGAUAUAGUAACUACAACUAGCCUACGAGUUUCUAUGCACUAAUGAACGAGUUUCUCUUUCUUUUGUGACUUUGUCACUUUAUUUUUUUAGUUCAUCUCACUCAAGAAUGCUUUUUAUUUUUUGAGAACUUUUUCUAUUUGUAUAACUUUUACUUUUUUGAAUUUUUAUUUUGUUUUACACUUUCAGGCUAACCUAUAGUUCCCAUAUGACACCAAUCUUUCCUAUUCCACUCUUAUUUUUACAAACACCAUCGUGAUGUAUCUACUUAACCCUCAAUAUGUUUGGCCAAACAUCUAUAGUCAUGCAGUGUAGGACCAAAGAAAAGGGUAAAUAGAAAUUAACAUUUUUAAGCUCAAGGUUUGUAAUGAAGUUCAUCAAGAAAUGUCAAUAGGCUCAAAAAUCAGUACUAAAGGUGAAAUAAAAAUAGGUCAGUUUUUUGGCUCUAGAUGUGUUCCAAACAAUGCCUUUAGGUCAUCCUUGAAUAUCUCAAUAUGCAGAAAUUUAAUCAACCAAACAAACUCAAAUUCAACCAUUUAUCAUUCAUACUAGCAUGCUCGUUUCCUUGUAUUUUCUAUAUCCUUUGGUACAAUUGAUUGCUCAAUCCCUAUUUACAGUGUAACAUCUAGAAAUUAGUAGUCUAAUAAUAAAAAAUUAAAAUCACCUAUCAUUAUGCCAAAUUUAUUUGCAAACACAAGCAACCUAUGUACAUGCUCUUAACCCAUCACUUGUAUUUCUACAAGCUCAAGCACACCAAAGAUACAAAAAAUGAAAGAAAAGUAUAGAAAUUGAAAACGAAUAAACAAACUUUCUAUGUUACCCCCCUCACUUUAGUUGACACAUUGUCCUCAAUGUGUAGCUCAUAUAAAGAUAAGGAAAAAAGUUACUCGAUUGAUCGUUUUCACUCCAACUGCUAAUGGUGGGUGCUUUCUCUUUUGGUCAUGUAUGCUCGAAUUGUUUGUGUCUCCUUCGUGUUGGUUUCCUACAUAGAAAUUUUAAACAAAAUGCAUGAUAACUAAAAAUCUACUAUUAAUCUUACUCCUAUAAAGUCAAAAUCAAAAAUUAAUACAAGUCUUUGAAAAUAAAACUAAAAAUGUUCAAGCCUCCUCCUCCUCAUCCCAAUGUGGUGCCUGCCUCAUUUCCAUUGGAGCUUUUCCCUUUCUUUUGACAUAUGUUUGGUGAGAGCUCCCACCCAUUAAAGGCACAUGGCCAGUUGGGCUUCGGAUGAUAAGCCCCUUUGGUGUAGAAAAUUACAGCUGGAAAGUCUCUUCAUAUACGUCCUCCGUUCCAAGGUACUCUUGAGACACACCUUCCUUUUCGAAAUUAACCCCCUUAUCCUGAUGAGUCGGUGUCGAGCUAAACAUGUCUAGGGGAUAAUUCAGAGCACGUAACCUAUUCAUUUUUUCAAAUUCUUGGAUUAAUGGGCUUGUUUCCUGCAUCCACUGAACCAUCCUAUCAAACUUUUCCUCUACACUUCCGUUGGUUCCUCUUCGAACCACUGUCUUCUCCUUUCGCUUAAGUGAGACUAGGACAUCAAUCUUUUCCUCCCUCCUCUGAUUCCAAUCCAUGAUUUGUUUUAUUUGAAGCUCAACAUAUUGGGUGUACAGUAAAUCUCCAAUUAUGCUUUUUUUGGGUUUCAUGAACUGUUCAUUCUAUCCCAUUGGAACUCCUACCCGUUGACACAAUGCAGUCACCAAGUGAGGAAAGAAGAUUCCAGCUUUUUGGCUAAAUCUAUUUGCCCACACAAACCUGCUUGCACUGUAAAAUGCCAUAUAACAAAAUAGCUCAAAAAGUAUUCACGUUAGAAACAUUUAGAGCAGGCACAAUUCUAGUGUUGACAAGCUGCAUCCACAUUUUCGCAAUGGGGAACAUUAUCGCUUGAUUGAAAUUGUGGGCAACUCUGUAUCGGGCCUAUAGUUCCAUGUACCUCUUCCUUGAGCCAAGUACUUGAUAACAUCUUCUAUGUCUAUAUUCUCAAGUUUAUCUAAAUAGAUGAUAUUAAGGAAGUCUUUGUCUUAGAAAGGUGCAUCGUAGAACUCACAUAUCUCCCUAGGAGUGACCGACACCUCUUAACCCCUAACUGUCAUAGUGUCCCAAUUUAUUAUUUUUCAUAUUUCUUGGUGUCUAAAAGAAGAAUAAAAUUCUAGCACUACUAAGUCCACAACAGUUUCCUUGGGAGCGAUACAGAAUCGCUCCCAACUAUGAUAUCUAACCAAAGUCCAAAUUUUAUUGCACAAAAUCAUUGAAAUUUCGAACCCUUGUUCCUGAUUAAAGGCCUACCCUAUAACUGAAGAAAAUAUUUUUCCGUUUCUAGAGUCUCAAAAUUUUCAGGAUUCGAAACUACCGAAGUAUUUUGUACCAUAGUUUUCUUGCUUUUUCUAGGAGGCAUUCUCUAAAAAUAAAGUUUCUAGAAAAAAUAUGAACACUAAUUAAUGGAACAGUAAAAGAGAGUUGAGAAUACAUUAACCUUAAUCUUUUGAAUCUGUAUGUGCCUCUACUUUGAUUGAUUGAUGAUGUUCUCCUCCAAUGUGGCCUUUAGGAAUGAGGGUGAAGGAUUGAAAACCUAAGUUUUUAGAGGAAAAAUGGGUUUGGAAAUUAGAGGUUUUAGAGGGUUUAAAGAGAGGGUUGGAUGUUAAAAUUAGAUUAGGUUGUGUUAAUAUCGUCUUUUUAUGCUUAAAAUGGGAGUUUUUGAAGUAAACAACUGAGUAUUUCUAAGGUUAAAAAGUUAGGCUGCGCAAUUCGGUCUGGUUGACCCUGAAAACAUCCCUAUCUGAUUACUCAUGUCGCGACACACCCUGCUAUUUUGAAAAAUUGGGAGACUGUUAGCUAUGUCACGACAUAAGUUAAUGGUGUCACAACAUCGAGAUUAUUUUUUAAAUUCCUCGCCUCUACCCUCGAUGUUGCGACACGGGGUGGUUGUGUCGCGAUGUGCCAUAAGUUUCCUAUAUUUCUGGUCUUCAGAGUGCUUCAAGUGCUUGUUAACCCUGUCUUCAAUCUGCCUAUAAUAUUUUAAUCAAAUUAGUUAGUAAAAUAUACAAUUUUGUACAGUUAGUUAGAGCUUUUACAUAAAGAAUGUUAGUUUUUGAUGCCAGACUCGUCCGUCAACUCUGUUAGUGUACACUAGGGUGAUCCUUGUAAAUUGUCUCUAUUUGUAUUGGUCCAACACUCAUCAUGUCAUUAUAUUCACCUUUGAUUGUCUCUCUCUCUCUAAACUUUCAUUUUCAGCCUGCCUUAACAGCUGACAACUCUUUCCACAUAUCAUAACUAUUAAUUAUUUGUAGUAUCACGUAACCAGGCAACCAUUUUAAUUUUCGCUUAACAUUCUUGCUUUGUAAAAAGGUUAAGAAUUGCGGCUCAUACUCGUCGCUCAUUGUGUUCUACCCAUCUCACCGAUCAGGAAUAGUUUUUCAAGAGUACUUAAGGUAAUGAUUGGCAUAGAAUUUUGAACUACCUCACUUGAAUUCUGAGUUUAUGGUAUUUUGAAUUCCCCCAUUUGUUUACAAAUAAAUUUCUUGCAGGGUUCCUGUAAUAACUACUCAUUCUGAGAUGCACGUAGCUUAAGGCCUAUGCUCAUCAGUUGUCUCACUUGGUUGACUCCUCCUAAGUGAUCAUAGGUCUUGUUUAUAUAUAUUUUUCCAAUUUUGUUCAGCGUCCAAAAAAUUCCUAGAUCGUCUAAUCUUUGGGGCGCCAGAUUUAGGGAUAAGGUCAUGCAAAUUAUAGUCAAUUCAGGUUCAUCAGAUGGGACUACCAGUAUCUUUUUAUUUUGCUAUGGUAAUUUCUGAAUCGACAGUCACUCUUCCACUAGAUCAGCCAUUACCAUUGUUUCUAUUGGUUUGUCUGUGUUAUACUGCUCUUGUGUUUCGGAAUUAUUGGUAGAACCCAAGGUUUUUGGGACAAUGAGUUCCAUGCUAGCUCUAUAUAUUUUCUUUCAACAGUUGUGUUUAAUUUGUCUGAAUAUUCUUCUGUCUGCUGAGAUAUAUAGUAGUUUGGGAGUUCUCCUUUUUCACAAGCGUCUACAGUGAUAUUCUCUUCUUCACUCAACUUUGGACGUAACACCUCUUGGUACCUUUCUGAUGGUAUAUUAAUACGGUCGUUAUUGUCUUUGGAAAGUACUGGGGUUUCUCCUCGGAGUUAACUUAAUUCAAGCACUAGUAAUCGUUGGUUCUCCUAUAUCUCCUAGUCUUCAUAAACUCCUUCUUCGUAAAUAUUAGCAUCGUAAUCUAAUUCCUCGUCUGACCACAUAUAAUCCAUUAUCCUUUUAACCGACUUUCUUUAAUUAUGGUAGCUGUAAUUUUGCUUCUAAAUAUGCACUAGGGUCUUCCUUAAAAAAAUUAAGUAAUAGUAAAGUUAGUUAAAUAAAAUAAAAUUCGUAUCUAUAACCUAAAAAUUUCCUAAUUAGUCUUUCUGAAUACAAAAAUUAAAAUUAAUCUAGAAACGUUGCCUCCUCGGCAACGAUGCCAACAACUUGACUACCUCCAGAUGUACAAACAUCCAGAGUGUGACUGCUGCUAUAAAAUAUAUAAAUACGAGGCGGUAUCCAUAAGUAUAUGAGUUGAGUUGUAAUAUAGUUUUUACAACGAAAUAGUUGAGUACUCUGAAGAUUGUACCCAAAGGAGGCAAGUGCUAAAUCAAUUUCAACCUAAACACUAAAAUAUAUAAUUAGUACUUUAAAUUAGUUAUAGUACAAAAACAUAAAAAAUAAAAAUAACAUAACAUAAAAAGAUAAAAAUUCAAGAAACUAAAGACUAGAGUAAAGAAAAUCUUGAUUAUGGUUUAUUAGCUCGUAUCAGUAAUCCCCAUCAACUGUCUCUUCGAGUUCCUCAUCAAUCAACUAGUCAUUACUCUAGCAGGACCUUCCAAUCUUCCACUAACAUAAUGAGUCAGCAAUGACUACUUAUCUUUUGACCUCAUAGUCUAAACUGGUUUGGGGUGAAGGUGUUCGCGGAUGGGCCAUACCAUUUUUGGGUUAAUUCCCACCUUAAUAACUUCCCGGGGUUGUCAGACCAAGGGUUUGUUUCACAUUCUUCCUUUCCUAAAUAGCUGAUCCGUUAAGUAGCACUACAAAAUAGUUAAUAGAUCAUACCUCUACUAGCUAAUCCCUCAUAGAGGGACUAGUUUCUCGUAGCAUCCAUAAACAAUAUCAAAUCAAUAUAAAGAGCAAACAUGCUAAAUAAAUUGCCAGUAUAGAGUUUACUAAAGAGUUUGAUAGUAUUAAUAAAUGAUUGUGAAUCCAAAAAGUUUGAUGAUCUCCCCAAAUCAGAUCUCUUGAAAACAAAGAACAACUAAAAAAAAUUCUAAAAACCUAAAAAAGAAGGAAAGCUAAACUAAAAUUAAAAGAAUAGUUCUAAAUUGAAUGAAUGGUGUCAUAACAUGUGCCAAAGGAGCGUAUUUAUAGAUUCUCGGUGACCUUCAUCUUAACCCUAGGUUAGCUGUCAUUCUCGAGCUUUAAUUUUGAUUGUACAGACCAAAACAUCCCCAUUUGUGUUUAUCUCCUGUCCAGAGUCACUGUCAGGUACACCAAGACCUAUGUCAAGACAUAGCAGUCAGUAUACUCCUCCUGAGAUAUCUUUCAGGGUAUGUUGCUACACCACUAGUAUGUAUCGCGACACCGAAGGAAAUUUCAUGAUUUCUCCAUUUUGCUCCUUAUGUUACGACAUUGAGCAUCCCAUGUUUCGAAAUAGUGAACAGUAUUUAUCUAUUACACCUUCUAAUGGUCUCUUGCACACUUAUACAGUUCAUCAGCUCACCCUUAGGCCUUAUUCGGCCCCUAGGACCAAUAAAACACUCAAUUUGCACAUUUUAUUAACUAAAUGGAAACUUUAAGAAAACAUAAUUAAAACAUAAUAAAACACUUGUCUUCAAGCUCCUAAAGUGAAAAAAUUAGUUUAACCUGCUACACUGAAUUACGGCAAAUCACCCUACCAAGUAUGGAUGCCAUUUUUUAACAGAUAGCAAAGCAACUAGCAUUUCCUUUUCAUAUAUCAAAAAAGAUUGAUAUUUGAUGCCCAAAGCCUUACUAAAAUAGGCAAUUGGUUGUCUAUUCUGUUGCAAAAUGGCCCCAACACCAGUACUACUAUCUAUGUCAAUACAAAAUGCCUCAUUGAAAUCUGGUAAGGUAAGGAUAGGUGUUGAACUCAGGGCAACUUUUCAUGCCAAGAAAACCUAAUCAACUUGAGGUGACCAACUUUAGUUCCCUUUUCUCAAUAGUUUAGUCUGAGGUUUAGCUAUUGAACCAUACCCUUUGAUAAAUCAUCUAUACUAACCAAACAGACCCAAAACCCCCCUUGAUUCCUUUAAAAAUUGAAGAAUCUUCUAGGCCAUGAUAUUGUCAAUCUUGGUUCUAUCCAUACUGACUCUUCCAUGUGAAAUACAUGUCCCAAAUAAUCAAUUUGUUCAGCACCAAAAUGGCAUUUGCUUUUCUUUUUUUUUUUUGCAUAUAAUUAACGAGCUCUCAAAAUAGAAAACACCUCCCUCAAAUAGUCAAGUUGAUCCUACCAAGACAACGAGUAAACAAGUAUGUCAUAAAAAAACUAACACAAACUUCCUCAACAAAUGGCUUAAAAAUGGAAUUCGUAAGAGCUUGAAACGUGGAUGGAGCAUUAGUAAGCCCAAAGGGCAUCACAAGGAACUCGUAGUGCCCUUCAUGUGUCUUAAAAGUAGUAUUGUGAAUGUUAGGUUCCCACAUCCUGACCUUAUGGUAACCUGACCGUAGAUCCAACUUAGAAAAUACCACUGCUUUCCCCAAUUCAUCUAGCAACUCUUCAAUAAUUGGAAUUUGAAAUCUAUCAUUGAUUAUCAAAUGGUUCAAGUGUUUAUAGUCCACACAUAACCUCCUUGUACCAUCUUUCUUUUUUACCAUAUAGGAGAAGCAAAAGAACUAUUGUUGUCCUGAAUUACCCCAGUUUGCAACAUCUCUUGUACCAUUCUUUCCAUUUCAAUCUUUUGUAUGGCAGGAUAUCAAUAUGGCCUCAAUUUUACCACAAUAGUCUCAUAUUUUAGAGGGAUUUUAUGAUCUUGUAAUCUAGGUAGAGGUAACCCUUUAGGUUCCUUAAAAAUGUCAUAAAAUUCCUCUAAUAAUUGUUGUAAUUGCCCUAGAGUUGAUGAUGUCAUGGCUCUCAAAGUAGCCUAUGUUGGAGUAGGCACCAUAAUAAUAUAAGGACACAGAAGGCUUCCUGCCAAGGAAAAACAUUCUCUAAAACCCCUCUACCAACUGAACAUUACCAAGUUGAAUACCCUUCAAGACACAAAUCUGUCCUACAUACAUAAACUUGAUGGUUAAUGAACUAAAUUGGCAACUAAUGGUUCCCAAGGACAAUAACCAUUGCACUCCCAAGACUAAGUCAUAUUCCUUCAGGGGAAAAACAUAAAAUUCAGUGUAAAAGUGAGUAGAUUCCACCUCUCAUUAGACAACUCGACAAAUGCCCCCCAGGUACUAAGAUAGCUCUAUUGGCUAUAGUAACCUUCAACUUGUUCAUAGGACUCACUGGUAAGCCUAACUCUUUGACUAACUUGACACUUAUAAAAUUAUAAGUACUACCAAAAUCGAUUAGAAGAAUGACCCUGGUUUGGCCAAUGUUGGCUGCCACUCACAUGGUGUGAAUGUCUUGAGAUCCUUGGAUAGCAUGCAAAGAUAAGACUAUACCAGAAAUUGUAAUACGCCUAACCCCUCUUCAUCGUCAAAUUAUGGUCACGAGCAUUACUAGCAUUUCAAACUAUUAAUCAAUCAUAAUUACACAUAUACAUACUAGCCAUUAACAAUAUAAUGUACAGGGGCUGGUCACAAACAAUCAAAUUAUAUCAUUUUAGAAUAUUAUACAAUCGAAUAAUGAUUCAUGCUAUGCAAUGUUAAACUUGGUCUUCCAUUGUCUACACUCUUAUCACAAUUUAUACAUUGCUAACUUAGUAUUCCACUGUCUACGCUCUUAUCACCAUUUAUCCUUUCUUGAAUGUCAGAAUUCAGAUACAUACAAGGGUAUUCCAAUUAUUAGCAUCAGAACAUUGGUUCAUACUCCAUCUACGAUUAUCUUUUUAAAUUAUCUUUGAUGAUGUUAGUGGAAUGCACUUAAUUUAGGUUUACUAACCCACCCCAAUCCAAAGUAAAAGUUACUUUUAUAGCCCCUAUUACGAGUCUACGGGACCCUAAAAGUAGUUUAAAAUUAGGCAGGGAAUAAUUUGAAACAAUUCUAGAAGUUUAGGAAAUAAUUACAAAAAAUUUGAUUAUAGGGAUCACACACACGUGUGGCCAGGCAGUGUGCCUCACACACCUAUGUGGCCAGGCCGUGUGCUUUACACGGUUGAGACACACGCCUAUGUCUUAGGCCGUGUAACUAUGUUCAUGUGUUUCAAUUCAAUAGUAUAAUUUUUGUUCAUUCCUUAUUCACAUCUACUAAGAUUUUCACAUGUUCAAAUAGAUAAGUAUAUAUCAAUGGCAUUUCAUUUAACAUUUGAAUACAUCAUCUCAUGCAAUGGCAUGAUUCAUAUCUUUGAUCAAUACUUGAAUUUAUUCAAGUUUCACAUCUCAAUUCAUCAAUUCAUAUCUCAUUUCUCAUAUCAUAAUCAUUUCUCAUAUUUGCCAUUUCAAUAUUUUCUCAUCUCAUAUUCAUUUAUCAUAUUUUUCAUUUCAAUAUUAAUCACAUAAAUUAUUAUUUUACUUUCCUCUAUUAACACGACACAGACUCGGACGGAUACACGGAUCCAACCAAUACACCAGUUUGGCACCCAGUGCCUCAUCAGAUAAAUCCAAAGUAAUAAUUGCACGUAGCGCUAUAUAAAUUGACACCUAGUGUCUCAUCGGUUAAACCGAAGCAAAUUGGCACCAGUGCCUCAUCGACUUAAGGUCGAAGUAAUCCCUAAACUCUUCUUAUCAUGUGGCAUGCCAUCUAUAUCUAACUCAGCCCGAUAUAGUUAAUAGGGAUUCAUUUCACUUUUCAAUACAACCAAUGUCUCAAUUUCAUGAAUAUAUAUCAUCACAUAUAAGCAUAUAUUCAAUUCGAUAAUAAUCAGGUUUUUCUCAAUACACAUAUAUUCAUAAUCAGUAUAUUUCAUAAUAUACAAAAUCAUUCAUUUCAUUUCAAUUAUGGAUUUAAUUCAAUUCCCAAGUACCCAAGUACCCAAGUACUCAUCUCAAUUGCUCACCAUAUGCAAACAAUUAUAUAUGCAAUAAUCUACUAUUUAAUUCAGAUUAUAGAAACAAAAAUAGUAAUUUCUAAGCUAUUUGACAUCGAUUUUGUCCUUCCCCUUUUUACUCAAGGAUUCUGGUACGACGUUAGCUACGAAAUAAAACAAUUAAAUCACAUUAAUAUUACACAUUUCAAGUUCACAUUAAAUUUCAAUUUUCACACUAUAUUUUGCUUAUUUUUCAAUUUAGUCCCUAAAUCGAGACUAGUUUUAGCCUUCACAUUUAAAUUCAUAUUUUUAUACUAAUUUCACUUUAGACCACAUUUAGCUUCCUCUUUUCCAAUUCGACCCCUUAAUUUUAAAUUUUUACAAUUUAGUUCUUUUUAUUCAAAACCUAUCUAUUUAAUCCCUAAUACUUAAACUAUUUAACAAUGUAAACAUCUAAAAUCUUGAACAAUACUAAAAAUUACAAUAUGGGUCGGGUAGCCCUAAGUAUCGAGAUUCCGAAAAUAUAAAAAUUACAAGAAAAGAGGACUAAAUUGACUAACCAAUUGAAAUUUGAAAGUUUGGAGCCCUUGGUGUCGUCAGCCACUUUGUUUCUUUCUUUUUUUUUAUUUUUUUCUUUAAUUUGCAUACAAUUGUUUCAUCUUUCUUUCCACUUUCUUUCAUUUCUUUAUUAUGUUUUCAUUUUAUUAUCUUUAUUAUUAUCAUUAUUAUUAAAGUUACUUUAAUAUAUAACAUAUACACAUGCAAAUUCAUUAAACCAUAACCGCCCACCAUUUUAAUAAAUGGUAAAUUUGCUAAUUUAGUCCCUUCUAUUUCUUUCAAUCUAUAAUUCAACUUUUAACCCUUACAUGAUUUAGUCCUUGUACCUUAAUAACUCCUAAUUUCACGAAAUUUACUAAUCCAAAAAUCAAUUAUUUAUUAAGUUAGCCUCGUAAAUAUUUAAUAAAAAUAUUUAUGGGUUUGGUUUACGAAAAUAGAGUCCCAAAAAUAGGUUUUUCGACACCCCUGACUAUUAAGUCGUUACAGAAACACUCCUCCCCCAACUUCAAAUCUUCCAACUGCUUACUACAUUCUUGAAACUUAUCAUUAUCGCCCUCUAUACCCGGUUCCAAUAUUAGUUGAUAUAACUUGGACUUCAUGCACUUGUGACCAACCCGGUAUUUGGCCCCGCACCAAUAGCGAAGUCAUUUCUUUAUUAUGUCUUCAAUCUCAGCAGAAGAUAAGGACUUAGGUAUUCCACGAGGCUAUCCUCUAAUAUUGGGUGAACCCGCUAGUGUAGCCCCCCAUUCGAUGGUUAAGGGUAUUUAGGCCCUUUCUAACUAGUGAAAUUCAAAACAGAUUGGGGUGUAGGCUUGAAAUGAGCACCCCAUCCCACCACCAACCUUCGUUUGGAUGAGCCAUUGAGGAUGGCUUCCACCUAUCUAGCAGUCAAAAACCUUUCCAUCAAGGUGGUAGGUUUUAAAAGCUCUAGGCAUUGCCCCACAUCAGCCUUCAAAUUAGUGAUGAAUAUACUAACAACGUAUUGUUUAGGUAACUGCAACUAAUUUAACAAACUAAUGAAAGAAUUAUAGUAUUGAUCGACUGAACCUACAUGUUUAAGGGAGAGUUAUUCUUUCAUAGGAUCCUAGAAAGUUUGAGAUCCAAACUUGUCCUUGGGACUCUGCGUAUAUGACUCCAAUUCAACAUGUGGAACCCCCUUGCCUUUGAGCAUAAAAAUGAUGUCAAUCGAGAGCCCUUCCCUCUAAAUACAACAUGACCAUCCUUACUCUAGCAUUCACAAGAAUCUUCUCAGCCAAAAAGUACUAUUCUAGUUUUGCCUACCAACCUCUAAAAUUUGUACCGUCAAAAUGAGGGUAAUCCAAUUUAGGGGGUUUAGUAUUGACCUUGACAACACCAGACUUUUGGAUUGGAAACAAGGAAUCCUUAGGAGGGAAUCUUGGUGGAGGCUCGCUCAACACUCCUAUCCCCUUGUUAGACAGUAAAAGUUUUCCCAAAUAUUGCUCAAAUAUACCAUGAACUUGACCUUGAAGCUCAGCCUUCAACUCACCCCGAAAAUCCUCCUUUAGUUCUUUGAACCUAUCCCUAAUACGACUAUCCAAUUUGUCUCCAAUACGACUAUCCAGUUGAGAGGGUUCGGAUUGAAGCUUAAUGACUUCUUGUUGCAGAUAAGUAACCUCCUUUUGCAGACAAGUGGAAAUUCCAUCUCCGACCAUGAGAAUUGACUUGCUCUGAUACUUUUAUUAGGAGAUUGUUUCUAGGAAAACCAAGAGAACAGAAAACAUAAAGAAAGAGCAGAGAAAAAAAUAAAAUUUUCAUUAAUUUAUUCAAUAGCCAAAAACAUCCCUUCCUUCUUUCCCCGAUUCGAUUAUAACGAAGAAGAAGGAUUGCAACAUGGAAAGAAAACAAAGGCAAUUACAAUUGAAACAAAACACAUCGUUUAACAAAGACGAAUCAAAACUAUUCAUUUCAUUAAAACCCCUUUUCCCCAAAACACUAUGUACAAAGACGAAUCAAAACUAUUCAUUUCAUUAAAACCCCUUUUCCCCAAAAACACUAUGUAGAACAUUAAACACAAAACAUAACAGAAUAAUAUAAUUUAAAAACUUAUUAAAGUACCCAACUCUAUUAUCAAAAUAUCUAACAGUUAAUUUUUAUCUUAUUAAAUUAAAUGGCCAUUUCAACGAAGCGGUCUAAGAAAGAGGCGACCCAAGAAAACCGGUUAAGAGAGGUUGCAUAUUAAAAAUUAAUUAUCGUUCGCAGUAAUACGGUUCCCUUAUUUUCUUCUACAUAUCUCUCUUAUCUAUUUUCACAUACCGCUCCAACCCGAUUCGGCUCCGAAAUGGACUCUGAGUCUGUAAGUUCCGCGAAUCCCUCACGCUUGCCUCUGAGCGUUUAGAAACUUUUCGGGAAAAUAACAUAAGAGAAAACAAAAAAAAACUGAAUCCAUCCAUUUCUAGGGCUUUAAUUGAAUGUAUUCAUCUAUAUAUUUAAAAUUUAAAUAUUAAUUGGACGUUAUUUUUUUCUUUUUCUUUUUGUUUUUCAUAUCUAGUUUUGAAGGAUUCGCGAUUGUAAAUGCUGCUUAGGGUUCUUGAAGAAUUGCUGCUUUGAAAUAUAUAUAUUUCGAUUUGGAACGGGUUUUCCUGGGUUGGUUUUUUAAUGUUGGAACCUUUUCUUUUUGGAGGAGGUAGCUUGAUUGGGGGGGUUGAUUUUAGGGUUUUUAGCCAUUGAUUUGCAAAACGGGAAAGAUAGGUUUGGGUUAGAGGAUAAUGUGUAUACUGUGUGUGAUUCAGAAGUGGUCUCGCCGGGUUGCUACGAUGCUGCCUUGGUUAGUUAUACCUCUCAUUGGUUUAUGGGCUCUUUCUCAGCUAUUGCCACCUGAUUUUCGAUUUGAGAUCACGUCCCCAAGGCUGGCUUGCGUUUUUGUGCUUUUGGCAACUCUGUUUUGGUAUGAGAUUUUAAUUCCCCGGCUAUCUGCUUGGAGGGUUAGAAGGAAUGCACGCCUCAGGGAGAGGAAGAGGUUUCAGGCUAUAGAACUGCAGAAGCUUCGUAAAACUGCGACACGAAGGUGCCGGAACUGCCUGACUCCAUAUAGGGAUCAGAAACCUGGUGGUGGUCGGUUUAUGUGCUCUUAUUGUGGCCAUAUUUCAAAGAGACCUGUUUUGGACUUGCCAGGUCCACCUGGUCUGGGUAUUUCAAAUUCUGGGAUCAUUAAGGAUCUUGUUGGAAAAAGUGGUAAAAUCUUGAAUGGAAAAGGAUGGUCGGAGAAUGGGUGGAUGUGUGGGCAGGAUUGGUUAGAGAAUGGCAACUGGGUCUCUGGGUCCGUUGGAGGGAAGCCUAGCUAUUGGUGGAAGAAUGGCACUGGUGACUUUGGAGGAGAUGAAGAUUGUUUGGCGAAGAAAUCUUAUUCAGGAAUUGUUAUUUUUGCAUGCAGACUGUUAACGUCCUUCUGGAGCAUUAGGUGGCUUUUGAGAAGGAUUUUUGGGGUUAGUUCAUCGAAUUAUGAUGCUUCAUCUGAUGCAGACCACAGGGGCAUGUUGACUAAGAGGGGUGAGAGUGGGACAAGCUUUCAUGAGAGCAGAGGAGAAAAAACACGCAGAAAAGCUGAAGAAAAGAGACAGGCUAGGUUAGAAAAAGAGCUUUUGGAGCAAGAAGAGAGAAAGCAAAGAGAGGAGGUUGCAAGAUUGGUGGAAGAAAGGAGGAGACUGAGGGAUGAAAAAUUGGAGGCUGAAAGAGAUCGCAGCAAAUUAUCACCAUCUGCAAAGGAGAAAGAGAUAAAAAGGGAAGCUGAAAAUAAGUCUAAAGAGAGAAGGAAAGAGAAAGAUAAAGCAUUUAGUAAGAGCCACACUGAUGCGGAAGAGCUUGAAAAGAGAGCUGUUAAGGAAGCUGAACUGAAGCAUGACUUUGAUAAGAAGUGUGAGAUUGAUUUCCGGGAACAUCUGAGGUCUGGGUCUGAUAAUCUAAAGGGCAAUGCUCUAGAAACAGGACAUGUAAUUAAAAGUACUCCUGCAAUUAAUUUUAGCCGGGCAAAUGGUGGAACUAGAUACCUUGACCGUAUGAGGGGUACAUUUUUGUCAUCCUCUAAAGCUUUUACAGGAAGUAGUUUCUUUGGAAAGAAUACUAAUAUUCCUGCUAUUGCAAAAGAAAACAAAACUAAUAAUCCUGUAGACCAUGCCCAUACUUCAGCCGA